RNAcentral lists this long non-coding RNA (228900 nucleotides) under Populus trichocarpa (black cottonwood). Its description in RNAcentral is "long non-coding RNA (PTRI_LNC003285)". The stretch from base 206291 to 206439 matches the Rfam family "Small nucleolar RNA snoR145". Lineage: Eukaryota; Viridiplantae; Streptophyta; Magnoliopsida; Malpighiales; Salicaceae. The record is from RNAcentral.
CAAGACUCCCCAUUGAAUUAUUCAUCUUCAUGAUCUCCACCCCAUUCAAAAUACCAUCAACUCCAUAUGCCAUGGUCUUGUUGGUAGGUCCAACACUAACACGCAAAACCCCAGAGCUAUCAUCAUCAACAACAAAAUCCACAUAAAACGGAGAAGCCAGCGUAUAUGUAAUAGACGAAAGAUCUAAAUCUUCAUAUGCCAGGUACCCAUUAACAUAGACAUUAAAAUGUAUCAAACCAAGCGAUAUGCUAGCAAUAUCACAGAAAUGCAUCCUAACAAGAUACUUAUAACCCUCAUCCACUGGAAACUCCCAUGUCAUAUUAACAUUAAGUACUGAGCCAUUAGUGUUAGUAAUCACUCGAGCAGUCUUGUACACAAAAUCAGGACCUACUUCCCUGCUAGCCCCUCCAAUUUGGUAAUGAAUACGACCACCAAAGUACAUCCGUUUCGACAAAUCAUUGCUUGAUUUCAAAAACUCAUAAUCAGGAAUCCAUGUUCUCCAUACAGUAUCAUUAAAAGGUGUCACCUUUGGACCUCCAACAUUGAUCCUAUGCACAGUUUCGAGUGCCUGCUUGGUUAAUCCCACAAAUUUCUCAUCUUUAUUACCAUUAACAAGAAAUCCCACAUCAGCAAUCAAAUCUUUAGGUGCAGAUAUCACUUCAAUUGCAUUAACAAAACCAUAAUUACCCUUCUUUGCAGGCACAAAAUUAAUCACAAUCUUAUCAGAAUCAGCCCAUAUAAAAUACUCCUUAACUACGAAGUCCCUAACUUUCCCUACACUGAAAUUGCUCAAAGCAACAUAUCCAUUAACCAAAACGUGAAAUUGAGCAUCGCUUAAGUCCAAAUUGGAAGAAACAAAAGCGUGAAAAUGAAGCCUUACCAUAUGAGUCCCUGGUUCCUUAAUCUCAAAAGCAUAUUUUGAAGGUUUUUUGAAAAUUCUUGCGGAGUUGUAGAUUUGGAUAGAAUAAGGAGAUGGGCUUUGGUUGGUGAGCGGAAUCGUUUUUGCUGAGGAGAGAAGUGGCGAGUUCGGAUUGGAAUCGGAGAUAAAACGGCGGUUGUCGACGGUGGUGUCGACGGUGGAGCCACAAGAAAUGAGGUGGUUGUCUGUGGGAGAGAAGCUGGAAAGAGAGAGGGUGGAGAAAAGAGAGAGGGUGAGAAUCAAGAGAGAGAAAGUAUGGAUUCUGUGUGAGUUAGUCUCCUCCAUUUGAGAGAGAAAUUGAAGAAUAGAGAUUUCGGACAGUGAAGAGGAAAUUAAAGAGCUUUUGUUUCUAUUUUUGUGAUCGUGAGUUAGGGACGAGUUGAAUUGGGUUUUCGGGACAUUGUCAACGCGUCAUUUGGUGUCCGCGUUUUGGUUAUGGCCCCACUUUACGUGCUAACCUGGUAUUGAGGUAGAGCCAGCGCGUCGCUCUUACAGUGUUGGGACCCAACCAGGCUGGUUUAACUUGAACCAGCUAUUGGAAUUUGGCUGCCUUUUCCUUUCCUUUCCUUUUUUUUGUUUUUUUCCUCUUUUCUGCCAAUAUCCCAAUAAAUCUAUUUUUAGUUUUAAUCAUCUGGGUAUUUUCAUACCAUCUUUUUUUUUUUAUAAUGAUAUUUUUUUUUAAGUUGGGUUACUGGUUGGGAAUUUACUCUUAUCAAUUCAUGUUUUAUUUUAAAAAAAAAACUCUUGAAAUAACAAAAUUUUUAUAUAUAUAAAAAAAAUCCAAAACAAGUCUAAGUAAAUCUGGUUUUAACCUAUGAUUUCACAAAAAUUAUUCCAGUCAAGUCUAUUUUACAAAUGAUGGAAAGAUUCAAACCCGGAAUCGUAAAAUUUAACAUUAAAAACAUGGAAUAUUAUGUGAUUGGCAUUACAGAUUUAUAGUCCUAAACAACAAAUUAAUUUACUUUCUAGUGCGGUAAACCAAAGCAAAGUAUAAGGCUUCCAUGUUUAGGAUUGUAAUAGUGGUUGCGGUUUAAAGUGUUUUUCACUUAAAAAUAUAUUAAAAUAAUAUUUUUUUUAUUUUUAAAAAAUUAUUUUUGAGAUCAGCAUAUCAAAACGAUCUAUAAAUAUAAAAAAAAUUAAUAAAAUUUUUUAUAAUUUAAAGAAAUUUGAUUUCAACCGCGUUUUCAAACGAAUCCACAACGCAUACAAAAGUGAUUGCAGUCAGGUAUCUAUUAAAUGAAAUUGAAAAAAAUAUAUACAUGCAAUUGGAUCGAUCACAAGAGAGUUAGUGUUCACUCUUGAGCUCGGGAGUGAGAGAGAAAAUGGCGGACAAGAAGCCAUCAUCUUCUCUUCUCGUAGUUUCAUCCAUAGUUUUUGAACUCGGUCCGAUAGCUAGCUAGGUCCAAGGCCCGAGUUCCUGGUUUUGACCGGGUCACCGGGUUGUCCAGGUCAAUUCCGUUUUUUUAAAUCAAUAUGAAGUCAUUUUAGUAAAAAAAAAAUCAACGGGUUGCAACCGGGUUUUUGACCGGGUCUUGCUAGGUCAACCGGAUCACCCCAAGUUUUCUCUUUCUCUAUUUUUUCUUAAACCCGGUCCGGUUCCCACCCCGGAUCCCGGGUCGCCCUGCCAAGUCGGGUUUCAAAACUAUGGUUUCACCCCCUCCACCCUCUCUCUCUUCUUUCCAAAUAGAAGCUAGUCUCUGUAUUUAAUUUAAAUGGAGAAACGGACUAAAAUGUUAGAUUACAAGAUCUUCGAGGAUGCAAAUAACUCCAAGAAAGAUAGAAGGAUGAAUACUUCUAAGACUUUGUUAUUUGUUUUUUUUUUUGUAAGAUUAUUUGAGAGGGUGAGUUAGCUUAAUUUGAUUUGAUUUUUUUAUUGUUUUUUUUAUGAAAUUAUUAAUUUUUUAAAUUUUAUUUCUUGAUAUUGAAUUAUUGUCUUUAGGUUUUGUGAUUUUUUUGCUUUUUUUUUUAAGUUAUUUCGAGUGCAAGUUAAUCCAAGUAACUUUAACUCAUGUUUUUUUUUGCUGUAUUUUUAUUUAAAUUCAGUUUUUUUUACUAAGUUUUUUAAUUAAAAAUCUAAUAUUUUUGUCUUGAUAUUAUAUCAUAUGAGAUGGAUAGUCAGAUUGAUUCGAGUUCACAUGUUUUUUUCUUGGACAUUACAAUUUUUUUUUUAUACUUAUCCUUUAACAUUAUAUUAUUGAGCCCUUCAGUUUUGUGUUUUUUUUUUUUUGUUUUCUUACCUCGAGUUAUCUAAUCUAGUUAACUCGGAAUUAGCUAGUUUAUCAUUAUCUGUAAAUGUUUUUCUACGUUAAAAACAUUUAAUGACCAGCGGUGAAGCUGGACACUAAUCUAGUUAAUACUACAAGUUUAUAUACCACAGUCCCAAUAAUUCAUAGCAGAACACACCACUAAACCUUUUUUUUUUUAAUUAUCAAUAGCGAGGAUUUUACUCUAAAAGUUACAAAACCUUGUGUAGCCAAAAUAUAGAUCUGGCUAAUUCUCAUUUUGGUAAGCUGAUUCUCAUUUUGCUCGCCUGUAAAAUUUUGAUUGCAGCACAGGUUUAGGGUUUAAGGAUGCUUCUGUUUUUAAUCUUCUUCCUCUUCCUCUUCUUCUUUUUAUAAACUUUACAUUUUAUUAUUUGAUAGUUAAAACUUAAAAGUGCUGUUUAAGGUGGUUUAUUUUAGUUUUUAGACCCAAAUUUAUCUAUACUACUUUUAAUCUCUUCAAGUAAGUUUGUCUGAUUCCUAUCUUUUUAUUUUUCUCUGUGUUUUGCAGGUUGAGAGCCUUUUGACAAGUUCUUGGUUGCAAAUUGGUACUAAAUUUUUUGUUACAUUUUAUUUUUUUGAUGAAAUGGUUUAGUUGAAUUCAUCUCAUGCUGUAAGUUGCUAUCAUGGCUGGACUUAGGUUUUCUAUGCUAAAAAAGUCUUUCUGUAAUUCCAUCAACCCCACUUCACAACGUCAAUCGCUUCGAUUUUAUAAUGUUAAUGGAAGUAGUCUAAGAUCAGCAUCUGCUAUCAUAAAUCGAGAUUAUUACAAAGAUGAAUCAAAAUUGGCUGGAAAUCUGUCAAAUAUUAUAGCUAUGAGAUCUGAUGCUUGUGUCAAUAGCCAAUGUUAUAAGAAUAAACCCAUGAGAGGAUUUUUGUCAACUCCGUCAAAUGUGUUGCUUCGAAGUGCUGUUCCUUUCUUUUCAAUGAACCCCGGGUUGAGCUGUAGAUCAUUCUCUUGGUCUUCUGGUGGCAAAGUUGAUAAAUCUGGGGCUAGUGAAGUUUCAGCUUCUUCCAGUGGAAGUGAUGUGGACGUUAGUAACAGUGGUGGUAUUGGAAGUGACUGGAUUGAUAAGGUUAAAGAAGCUUGGCAAAGUGCAGUGCAUGCAGUAACUUAUUCUGAGCAAAAGGCUAAAGAGAUCUCCGCUGAACUGACCCCUUAUGUUCAGCAGUUGCUUGAUUCGCAUCCAUAUCUUAAAAAUGUGGUUGUUCCAGUUGGUUGGACUUUGACUGGUACUGUUGUGGCUUGGGUGGUUAUGCCUAGACUUUUGAGGCGAUUUCACAAGUAUUCUUUGCAAACUCCUGUUGCUUUACUAUCUGGAGGCACAUCUGGUGAACAAAUUUCAUAUGAGAAGAGCAUUUGGGGUGCUUUGGAAGAUCCUUUAAGAUAUGUAAUCACCUUUAUGGCAUUUUCACAAAUGUUAGUAGUUCCAACUAUAAUCCUUUCCACUUUAUGAUAUGUGAAUGUUCAUAUUUUUUAUAUAUAUUUUUCAUUAGGUGACUAAUAUAUUUGGACUCUGAUUUGCAGUGCUGUGAUGGUGGCACCUACUACAAUUGCUUCUCAGUAUAUAGCACAAGCAUGGAGGGGUGCUGUUAUUCUUUCUUUUGUAUGGUUUCUGCAUCGGUGGAAGACAAAUGUGUUUAAUCGUGUGAUAGCUUCGGCAACAGUUGAUCGGGAAAAGCUGUUAACUCUUGAUAGAGUUUCUUCUGUUGGUCUUUUUGUUAUUGGAGUGAUGGCUUUAGCUGAGGCUUGUGGGGUUGCAGUGCAGUCUAUACUGACUGUGGGUGGCAUUGGAGGUCAGUGUUAGUAAAUGGCUUGUGCUUUUACACAUGCAGUAAUUGUGAUGAUAGGAAUAUUUGGCAUGGAAAAUUCUGAUAUUUAACUAAUCUUCUGAUUUUUUAUUCCUGCUCGAUUUAUGCUUCCAAAUUCCUAUUUAUUUGUGAUUGUAGUGCAAUCUUAACAUUCUAACAUUUUUUUUUUGAAACGCUUAAUGGAUUUCUUGAAUGCACACGUUAACUCUACAAGUUCUUAAAUCAAAGUUACUUCUCUAUUCCCUCUCUAUCUGUUGACUUCCCUUGUCACUUAGUUUUGGCGAGCAAUACGGAAUUGUUUUUGCCAUUUUUUCUUUACACCUUAUGGAGACUGUCCUACCAAAACUUCAUGUAUUUGUAACACUGUUUGUUCUAUUCAGAAGCCCUCCAUAUGAAUGGAGGGAUACUCUUUAGUUAUGUUGUUGGGACUUUGGUCUGCUAUUUUAGUUAGUUUUUUUUUUUUUUUUACACUGGUGGCUAAAAAGACUCAAGUCAUGUUAUUUGUUCACCUUAACAUCUUUUUACCACUUCUUUUUUCACGUGAAUGCUAGUUAUUGCUUGAUAGUUUUACAUUUCUCAUUGAAAACUAAAGGGUAAAAUGUAGAGUGCCCCUGUACCAUUGGUCAAAGAACAAAGAAUCUCUAAACAAAAUUAGGGGUAAAAAUUAGUCUUUCUGGUAAAUGACGUUAGGUUUUCAUCCAAUUUUUUUAAGGUAAAAAGUGUCAAGCUCCCUUAUACUAUUGGUCGAAGCGCAAAUAAUCCCUGAACAAAUUAUUCAACUGAAAUCGGAUCCUUCUAUAAAGUGGACUAUGGUGACACGUGAUUUUACUUAACCCAAAUUGGAUGGAAACCUAAUGUCAUUUAGCAGAAGAACUAAUUUUUACCUCCAGUUUUGUUCUAGGACUGUUUGAGCCGAAUAGUUUGUUCAGGAACUCUUUGUGCUUUGACCAAUAGUACAUGGGUCCCUCAUACAUUUUACCCAAAACUAAAUGCAUCUUAUUGAUGAUAUCUCAAUCUAGACCACCCAUUCACUUUUCUCUUAGGGUCAAUCCUAUGUUGUAUCGUAGUUUUGUGUUUUUGUAAUCAUAUAAAAAAACCUGAUUCUCUUAUUAUUAUAAAAUUAUGUAGGAGUUGCUACUGCUUUUGCUGCCAAAGACGUCCUUGGGAAUGUGCUCAGCGGGUUGUCUAUGCAAUUUUCAAAGCCCUUUUCACUUGGAGAUACAAUAAAGGUGAGAACAUGUCAUUGGUCCUUUGUUGAUUGAAGUUUUUGUCUUUGGAUAGUGAAAAGUCUUUAUAAAGAAAUAGUCCAUGAGUAAAGAUCAAAAUUAUGGCUUUCUGUGAAAAGUUCUCUGAAGUUUCUUUUCACAAUGUCCAAGAGCAUUGUUUCACCAGACAUCCAUAACUUAAUUUAUGUUUUUAUUUGUUGUUACUUUCCCGCUGUUGAUCUUGUAAUGAAUUAUACUGCCAAGCACCUUUCAUCCAGCCCCUCAUUACUUGUGGUAGAGCAUGUUAGGAAUGAGCAUGAUAGUUGUGUAGAUAGUAUCCCUACCAAUUAUCUCUAUCAUUUUUAUUUUUACGUGCAGAUAUAUAUUUUGUUACCAGAAAAAGGGUAUCUAUCCAUUCUGAUUCUUUAUUCGUCAAUACUUGUGAAAAAUGGAAGAGAGGCUAUUCUUCCUAUGCAUUUGUAAUAAUCUCAGCAAUUUUAGGCAAGCCCAUUUGUCUUGUCCCUUUUCUCUUUAAAGAGUCACUGAAAUUCUUUGAUUGCAGGCUGGAGCUGUAGAAGGUCAAGUGGUCGAAAUGGGACUUACCACCACUUCAUUAUUGAAUGCUGAGAAAUUCCCCGUCUUAGUUCCAAAUGCAUUGUUUUCUAGUCAGGUAGGCCAUUUUCCUUACAAGUCAUAUUGUAUUUUUUGGGAAACCAUGGUCUAAAGCUGUGUGAUCAUGGACUCUAUCUCUGUUUCUGCCAAGGAUAUUUACAUCACACACCUAGUUGCUGAUGUCAUCAUAUUCAAGCCUUAUAUUUCCUUUUUCUUAUGCUUUGAUUUGGAUGUUGAAGUUUUCAGUGGUUGAUGGCUCAUCCUUAAUUUUUGAUUGAUUUAAGUGGCCAUAUGAAUAUCCAUCAUUGAUUCGGUUCUCUGACUGAAACUGUGGGUGUGUGUGUUUUUUUUUUAUUUUUUGAUAUGCAUCCACUCAGAUACCUUACAUUAUCUAAAGAAGCGUAUCAUCUCUAUCUUUCUCCCACAUAUAUGUGUCUUCCACAGUGCAUUGCACAUGUGCACACACAUUAUAGUGGUAUCUAAUAACGAGCUGGCAUCUUGAAUGCUUAUUCAGGAGCACCUUCUUUGCCAUGUUUAUACUAAUACUGUUGCCUGAAUAAUCUUUGAGGACUGACAUAUAAAGUUAUAGGUAAUUGUGAACAAGUCUCGUGCCCAAUGGCGUGCGAUGGUCUCCAAAAUUCCUGUGACAGUUGAUGAUGUGGAGAAGAUACCCCAGAUAUCAAAUGACAUCAAGAACAUGCUAAAAUCUAACGCAAACAUUUUCUUGGGAAAGGAGGCUCCUUACUGUUACUUGUCUAGAAUAGAAAGUUCAUUUGCAGAAUUGACUCUUGGGUGCAAUCUCAAACAAAUGGUAAGCUCGAAUCUUCCCCCAUCGAUUCUUUCUACUUUUGAUGCAGGACAGAAAAUCGACCAUUAUGCUUGCAAAUGAGCUGUGUUCACUUGCUGAUUUUCAUCUGUACCUGGCUCUGAUUCUUUGAAAUUUGAACAUCAUUUAUCUAGUUUGCUGUUAAUUGGAACUGUCUUCUGUGCUUGUCUCUCUAGUUUAAAAGACAUGUUGACCAAGGAAUAAAGACAUUUUUUUUUAAUAGCUGUCACUGCUCUGUUGGCUAAUAAAUGCGACCCUAGUCCUUUAUAACCUUCAAUGAUAUCACAUAAGGAUUCUGGCAUCAAAUUCAGUUAAGCUUUGUAGGGCAGAAUUGUAUUUAUAACAUGUCCAAACACGCGAGCUUGAGGGUUCAUAUUGUUGAUGACAUUUCCAAAAUAUUGCCAUACAAAUAUAACCAAGGCAAUUGCAGAGAAGCCAUUCCCUUUUUUUGUUUGUUUGCAAGGACCAAAUGAACUGCUUAUUCAUCUCUUGAUGCUCACCGUUGAAUAAAAGAAGAUUGUAGUCAUUGAUCUGGUUUUCUUCUCAUGAAGCUCUGUUUUGAAUCUCAAUACUUGGAUGCGUCGUCCUCUCAAAGAGUCCAUCACAUGUCAGCACAUUUUUUACCAUCCUUUUCUGUUAUGCUAGUAUAUGUUUAUAAUCAUGUGGUAUGGACUAAGGCUUUAUUGUUGUUGUCAUCACUGUUUUUACUAAUAGAUGUUGUACUGCUCUGAGUGCAGAGCAAAAAUGAAUUAUACUCCACGGAGCAAGACAUUCUUCUGCAGUCAGUCAGGAUAAUAAAGGAGCAUGGUGCUAGAUUAGGCAUCACUACUACCAGUCAGUGAUACAGUGACAAUGCUGGUAAACGAGAUUCCGCAUGGUGAAGCUUGGACCCUUCUCUACACGCACUCAACUUGAAUAUCAUACUGUGCAGAAACCUGUAUCAUAAUGUUGAUUCUUGUGUUCGAGUUGUUUUGGUGCAUCUGAAAAGAAAAAAAAAAAACUGUUGUGGUGUAACGGCUGACAAGAUGCAAACUCCAGUCGACUGAAGAACAGGUUUUCAACUUUCUUGACCAACAGUAGUUGAAAGUUUUGAAUCCAUUUGUUCAGCUGAAAAGGUAUCAUUUCUUUCUUUCUUUCUUUCUUUUUUGUAAAGAAAAAACCAAAAAGUCAAAACAUGCUUCAUGAGGAUUAUUCUAGCUUUGUGUAGCGAUAGACUAUUACAGCAGUCGUAAAGAGCGUCGAAUUCAAAUACAGCCUUCUUGAACCGAAAUAACGCAUGCAGAUGGUGUAGCAUGCUCUGAAUACAACAUAUUAGUGCUUAACAAAGACAUUAAUUAUGCAUUUCUAUACUGUAGCAUGUGUAACACGCCCAAUAAAUUGAAUUGGAUUUGGAUUGGUAACUAAUAUGGGAUAUUAUUGAAUUAAAAAUUGAUAAUUACAUUGCAUUUUUAAAUAGAUCUAUCACUUAUUUGAAUUUUUAUUUGCCAUCGACAACUCUUUUUUGUAUUUUUUUAAUGCAUAUAGUUUUCUAUUAGUUUUUAUGAACACAUUGAUAAAGCUUUUGAUGUGUAAUUCAGAUUUUUAUAUUGUCAACUCAAAAUUUAACACCGUCCAUGUAUUCUCUCUUUUUUUUCCUUACAAUUGAAUCGACUUCUCAUCUAACUUGCAGAGUAACGCGGGCACCUACUCUAUCUAGUAAAUUAAGAAAUCUCGUGCUUAUUUACAAUUCAAGCAACAAAACAAUCAGAAAAUCAUCAUUGGAUCCACUUCAGCUACAAUGUAAAUCAUUGUUGUUAAGGAGAUGAACUUUCAGUUCUCGAAAAGGGUCAUAAAACUGAAAUCUAUUGGGCAAGAUUAAAAUAGUGGGGGUAAAUUAAAUUUCAUUAGAAACCAUUGCAUCCAUUCCAGUCUGUUAACUGUAUUAUUUGAAAGUCGUAUGAUAUUGAUGGCAAAUCACUCAAGCAGCCAACAAACUUCUUCGAACCAAAAUCACUUGAUGCCAUUGUAGGAGUCCUGAUGCAGCUUGUGAUCUCCAAAUAUUGCAUCAGCUUCUUUAGUUCGAACUCUCGGUUUCUCUUCCUCCUUCGACACCAAGGCCUGUCUUGGUCUGUCCCUGCUAAAUGAUCCAUCUUCACUCCUCUCUAUUUCCACAGCCAGACCCUUCUCCACCAAAGCCGUUGCAUUCAAAGGCUGAUCAAUGAUGAAAGGUAAGAGAAAGAGACUGUCCGAAUUGCUAAGUUUCAAUCACAGAAGCCCAUGCAGAGUGAAACAAUGGCCCUCCAAUGGAUGAAUGCAGGGGCGGAACUGCGUAUUUCAGUCCUAAAAUAUUUAUAGUUUUUAAUUAUACCCUUUAAUUUUACAUGUUCGGCACCCCAAAAAUCAAGUAUAUUCUUUUUCGCCCCACCAAUCUUAAAUUUCUAGUUCCGCUCCUGGAUGAAUGUGCUAAAAUUUCAAACUGGGGAACACAAGCCCCUGCUUUGAUAUCUUGUCAUGAAAACCUACUGGCAUAGCAUCAAGAUCAUGAACAGCACAACUGGGUUUUCUAAGGGCCCAUAAAAAUGGCAAUUCAAAUAGCACUAUCCCAUGAGCAAUCUCAAAGACUUGUCUUUACUCAGCUUGCACUCCCUACCCACUCCCUACCAAACCCUACAAACUGUUAGCACAACACAAUCUGACAGCAAGCAUUGUGAGAAUUCAAUGGAGAGAUAAGAUUGAAAAAGCUACUGGAGUAAUAAGGCAGAACUCUCCUACGAUGCUGCCAGUGAAUGCCUACAAAAUUGGCACCUUUUGCUGGAGAAAAAUUAGGGAUAAAGAUGCUUCAAUGACAACAAAUUCAAGUCAAGUCAGAAUGGUAUUCUAACAAGAUAAAGAAACUGCUGUGAUUCUCCUGAAACUAAAAGGAUUUUAUGAUGAUAAAUCCGGAUGCCACUCCAUACCCUUGUCCAUGCAGAACAAGAUAACUGCUAUCAAUCUGUAUAGAAGAUAAUCCCUAUUCAUUAGCUCUUAGAAUCCUUGUAAAUGUCAUCUUCAGUACUCUUUAAAUACCCUCCUACCAUCACUGUAAAUAUAUUAAGAGAUUUAUUGCUGUAAAAUCUAUGAAGCAUUGUGUGCUCACGUUCUUCAUAAAUAAAAACAGAAAAACAAAGAAAGUCUCCACUCACAUCUACAGUUUUCUUCUCAAACACCCCUGAUUUGGCCUUCUGUUCACCGAGCAACCUAAAAAUUUCAAUCCAUGAACCAUCGGUGAUUUCUCUUUCUUGCGAUUUCACCUAAAAAGUAAGUACAAAAGCAGAGAAACAUGCAGGGAAUGUGGAAUUCACGGCGAUGUCAAUGGCCCAAUGGGGAAUGCAAUUGAUAAGUAUCCAAUCAGGUGCUUGAUCAGCUAUUAAUUGCCCGAAGGUGUGUUUCAGGAGAUCAUAGGCAACGUUCAAGUUCCGAAUUUUCUCAAACGGAAUGUCUAAGCAGUUUCAUCACUACUGGACAAGAGUUCAUUGUCUAAAGAUGGCAUUGGAAACACCACUAAGCUGAUCAAAAUCUCCAGACUUGGAGGAUAUUUAGGGUGUCUUCGGAUGUUUCUUGGAGUUGACAUAAAGGAGAGCUUUGGCUAAGUCUACAGGGAGCUGAAAAAAUGGCAUCAUGUGGCCAAGGCUAUAUAAUAAGCUGAAAAAAAUGGCAUCAUUUGGCCAAGGCGCAGUCCGUGGAAGCACGACUACAUGAUGAUCUUUGGCCAUUUCUGUUUGGAUAGAAUUCAUGGACAUAGCAGAGACCUAAUUACAAAUAUAUGGAUUUAUGGAACACUGAAAUACCAAGAAGAUAUUGCUAAGAAUAUUGGAAUCUGAUUUUUCGAUGAGGGCUGCUAUCUCAUUCUAGGCUGAUCCGCUGAAGGACUCAUCUAGCUCAGUUAGAGUCUUACUUCAAAUCAUUUCUUUGUUUCUCAUCGUACACCAAUUAAGUUUUGUAUAGUGGUUUACAAAUUAAUACAGAGCGCAGGAGCCCAUGGAUUCAUUAUAAAAACAACUAAAUGCAGCAUAAUGUCCGUUCCAAAAGCUAUUUUGAAGAGGUUUCAUUACCAAAAAUGAAGGUUUUUAUUCCAUAUUUCAAUACUUGAGAAUAUGAAAGCACCUAAAUAAAAUCUCCAGCAUGGGUGAUGAUCAAAUCUGCCUUGCGAGCUGUGGCCAUGUCCUUCAAACAUCCAUCUCUUCUUUUUGAGAAAAUCAACAAACUGACCAAUAUAGUAAUCCUGAUGCAACUUCUGGUUUCCGAAAAUCGCAGCAGCUUCACCUGCUUUCUCCCUCAAACUCUUUCCUUCCGCGGAUACCAUAGCGAGUUUCAGAGCCUUGGCUACACCAUCCCGGGUAAAUGACCCAUCUUCCCCUCUCUUUAUUUCCACACCUGAACCCUUCUCAACCAAAUACCUUACAUUCAAAGGUUGGUCGAUGAUGAAUGGUAAGAUAAUAAGGGUACGACCAAACUGCAAGCUUUCAAUAAUAGAACCCCACCCAGAGUGAAAUAAUGAUCCCCCAAUUAUUCUUUAUAAAUUUUGUUUCUCCUCGUCCGCUUUCAGGUUUCACAGCGCCCCGCGUCAUCUCUCCAAGCUCUCCUCUCUUUCUCUCUCUAUUUUAUCAUCUGUAAAAAAAAAAAAAAAAAAAGAGUGACGGGGAUCUUUUUUUAUUAUGCAUGAAAAUUGCAUUGUGUAGGUGCAUGAAAUCCAGUACAGAUGUAAAGCCAACGGUUCAUCCAAAUGAAAUAAAUGGGGAUCGGUGUCUAUGGCUGAGAUUUUGUGGUCUUGGGCCAUGAAAAUUUAAAGGCACAUGGGACGGAAGGCUUGAGAAUUGAUUGCUCCAAAUCCCUCUGCUCAUGUCUUCUCCUGAUGAUCCUUGAAAAUGGAAUGAGUUUGCGCCACAAAUUCCUUAUGGAUAAAUCUCACUACGCAAACAAUGUUUUCUCCACCCCUUUUAAUUUCUUCUUAACUUAAUAAUAAUCUUAAAAUCUUGAUUAAUUAAUUAAUAAACACAGGUAAAUCACAAUGAUGGGAGAGAAGGGAACGGUAUUAGUGACGACAACAAUACAGUGACGUGACUACAAAAUCCUCAUUUUAAUAGAUUUUUCCAAACAAGUCCCAAAAGAACAGACAAGAUCAUAUCUAGUACUAAACACUAGAUUACUCGGUUAAUACACACACUAUUAAUUCUUAGAUUAAAUGAGAGUUUUUUAGAUAUUAUUUUUUAAAAAUCUCAUUUAAUCUUGACUUUGUUCUAUAACCAUUUUUUUUUAUAUUUUCUUUGGUUACUUUGCUGCAAUUGUUUAUCUUUAUUGCCAUACGAUUAUAUAAAAAAUAUAUUUUUUUAAAUGAACUUGUUAAAUUUAGUUGAGUCUAUGCCUCGUGCUAUGGAUUUGACGAGUCAACUUAAAUCAAUUUAAUAUAUCGUUGUCUUAAUAUUUUUUUAAAAAAAAUAGCAUGUGUCUUCAAAACAUAACAAACCAUGUUUUAUUCUAAUCUUUCAUUUUACUUCUGAUUUGUCAAUCAAAUCAAAUUAGAUCAAGCUCCUAACACUAUUUAAUUUAAAAUCCAAGUUAAGUGAGGGUUCGGGUAAAAAAAUUUGAAAAAUUAUCAAUAGAGCCGGAUUUAAUAGUACUCACGGAAAGUUUUUAGUGAUAAUGUGGAAGAAUUGUAUUAUUUUUAUGUUUUUUUAGUUUAUUUACAUUAAAAUUAUUAGAAUUUUGAAUUUUAAAUAAUGAUUAUAAUUUUUUUUAUGUCAGAAAAUACGCUUAGAUAUUUUUUAUAUUAAAAAACAAAAACCAUACACAGCAUAUCGCGGGCCUAUAUGGUAUGUACCAGGAUUGUUUAAUUAAACCAAUACCAGAAGCUUGUGAUAUUUAAUUUGUUUUGUCGCCAUUGCAUAUCAUUACUCAUCAUCAAGGGUCUCCAUUUCCAACGCUGGCGAUUGUAUUCCAAAUUCCCAUUUGACCAUCGAGUAUUAAUAAUUUACUUUGUCGUUUAUUUGGAAAGAUAACAUUUUUAAAUUGUUGAUGAACAGUUGUUGACGGAUCAGACACGGCAGCUAAUAAUUGGUUUUUAUAUUCUAGGAAUGUUUUAUAUUUCAAGUUUCAACCAGUGAAACGGACCGGCAGUCCGCGGAAAGAUGACUGCGUGAAGAUCUUUAGCCAUUUCAGCAUGGGUAGAAUUGAAGGGCAUAGCAGAGACCUAAUUACAAAUAUAUGGAUUUAUGGAACUCUGAAAUACCAAGAAGAUAUAUUACUAAGGAUAUUGGAAUCGGAUUUUUCGUUGAGGGCUACAAUCCCAUUCCAGGCUGAACCGCUGACGGUCUAAUCUAGCUCAGCUAGAAAUGAAGUCUUUAUUUCACGUAUUUUCUCUCUGUUUCUCAUCGGACACCAUGGUUUGCAAAUUAAUACAGUGCGCAGGUGCUCAUGAAUUCAUUAUAAAGGCAGCUAAAUGCUGCAUGAUGUCCAUUCAAAUAGCUAUUUUGAAGAGGUUUCUUGACAAAAAAAAAAAAAAAAAACUGUUUUAUUCCAUAUUUGAAUACUUGAGAACAUGCAAGCACCUAAAUAAAAUCUCCAGCAUGGGCGAUGAUCAAAUCUGCCUUGCGAGUUGUGACCAUGUCCUACAAACAUUUCAUUUCUUCUUUUUGAGAAAAUCGACAAACUUACCAAUAUAGUAAUCCUGAUGCAACUUCUGGUUUCCGAAAAUCGCAGCAGCUUCACUUGCUUUCUCCCUCAAGCCUUUUCCUUCCGCGGAUAUCAUAGCGAGAUUCAGAGCCUUGGCUACACCAUCCCGGGUAAAUGACCCAUCUUCCCCUCUCUGUACUUCAACACCUAAACCCUUCUCAACCAAAUACCUUGCAUUCAAAGGUUGGUCGAUGAUGAAUGGUAGGAGAAUAAGGGUGUGACCAAACUGCAAACUUUCAAUAAUAGAACCCCACCCAGAGUGAAAUAAUGAUCCCCCAAUUGAUGGAUGACCCAAGAUUUCCAUCUGUGGCGCCCAUCCCAUGCAAACAAUCCCUCUAUCAGAUGUCCUUUCACCGAAUCCUGAAGGCAGAGCAUCAAGAUCAUCGUUGGCCCAACCGGGUUUUCGUAAUGCCCACAGAAAUGGCAAUCCAGACAACUCUAGCCCAUGAGCAAUCUCAUAUACUUGAUCUCUGGUUAGCUUAUACUCGCUACCAAAGCCUACAAACACAACGGACUUCGGCUUUUGGUCAUCAAGCCAUUUAAAGAUUUCACCCCACCUCCCAUCAGUGAAUUCCUUUCUUUCUGGCUUCUCCUGUGGCAACAAACCUACUGGGAUCACGGGUUUUCCUAUCACCCUUUCAAAUAGAUUCAAGUAGUCUCCUUCAAACUCGGCACAGCUGCGUACCGCCAAAGCUUGGCAUCCAUGGAGUAUCUUGGAGACCCUUUCACCAUCCGUGAUCCCAGAAGCAUUUCCUUUAUAAAUCCAUUCAAAAACUCCAACAGCCUCAUGGUUUCGAUAAGCUACCGAGGAGGGAAAGUCAACCCACUCUGGUUUCGAUGUCAUACUCGUCCAUGACGGCCUAAGUCUUUUUUGACCAUCGCCAACUAAUAAGCACUCUGGGUGCCCAAGAAACACAUAUGCAACAGCAGAGAAAACAGAGAAAUGAAUAAGUGGAACUUUUUUAUCUCUAGCAAUCUCUACCAUCCAAUAAGGAAUCAUGUCAAUGAUUAUCCAGUCUGGAAGUUGAUCGGCGAUGAACUGCUUCAAGGGGUGCUGCAGGAGAUCAUAUGCAAUCUUCAGGUACUCGAUUUUCUCGGCAGGAAUGUCAACCGUGGCCUCUCCAUCUUCUGGCAAGAUAUCAUUGUCUAAGCUUGGUAGUGGAAACUCAACAAAUUUCACCAAGUCUGCUAGACUUGGAGGAAUUUUAGGUAGUCUUUUGAUGUUUCUUGGGGUUGAAACAAAGGAGACUUUGAUUCCAGCUUUGGCUAAAUCUAUGGAAAGUUGAAAGAAAGGUAUCAUAUGGCCAAAGGCAAUCCAUGGAAGCAUCACUAUGUGAAGUUUCUCUGCCAUUAAUUCAAGGUAUGGAGAAAAAGAAGAUUUCCCAGGCUAGGAAAGGCAAACCUGUAUAAAUUUUAGAGUAUUGAGAAAGGAGGUUUAAGAUCAGUAUAUAUGGACUGAAUAUAAGAGCCAAUUAGGACGGACAGUAAGCAGAUUUCAAUGAGAAAAGCAAAACUUUACCAGCUUGUCUGUAGAUUAACGAGUGAAUCUUUCAGGGACUUCAAUGAUUUUUAAGUUUCGAAUGGAAAGCACUUCCGAUAUUUAACGAGCCAGGGGGCCAACCAAGUCUCGAACGUGAACUUCAUGUCCGAUUUUUCUUCUUUUUGACUGUACAGUACUUCAAUUAAUGGUUACUUUUUUUUUUUACAGAAAAAUAAAUAAAAUAUUUAUAUUUACAUCAUUCAAUUAUAAAAGAAACAUAAAAUAAAUAUAGCCAAAAGCCAUGAGAGAAAGAACAUUUGGUUACACCACUGAAAAAAUAUGUAGUUACUAUAGUGUUCCUUUUCCCAUGAGAUAAGUUUUCAGUCAAGUAGGGAGUGGUAGGGAUCUUGAUUAUGUCACAGAUGGAAUUAGGGGCGCUGGCCGGGAAAGCGGCCAUUGCAAGGAUUUUGUUUUCAGUCACCUCUUCUAAUAAAUUAGAAUUUUAGCUUUAAAAAUAGAAAAUUUUUAUUUCUGACCCCUCCUAAAAUUUUUCUCUAACUUCGCCCUUCCAAACUAAAAUUCAUAGCUCUGCCACUGCAUGCAUAAUGCAUUGUGUUGGUUUCUAUAUAUAUAUAUAUAUAUAUAUAUAUAUAUAUAUAUAUAUAUAUAAGUAAAAAUAAUAAAAUAAAAAUUAAUUUGAAAAUUUUUAAGAUCUCAUUAGAUAAAUUUAGAGUUGUUUAAGGAUUUAUUAUAUAAAAAUUUGAUCUUUUCGGCUUUGAAUAGUUUUUUAAAAAUUGGGUUGUCGCAAACCACAAGUUAUUCAAUUGUCCAGCCUCUAACGGUAAUCCACGCAAUCACCACUGAUAAAUCUCCUAAAUUUUUAUUUAGGAGAGAGAAAUUGUUAUGCUUAAAGUGCUAGUUUUCUAUUAUGUGACUUAUGUAAUUUUUUUUGUCUAACAGACAACCACCUUAAAAAUAAAAAAACACAGCUUACUAUUUAUAGAGAAAUCUGAAAAACCAUAUAAAUUAUUAUGAUCUUGAAAAAAGAGUUUUAAUAAAAAAUAAAAAAAAACAUGGCCUUAUAAUUUUGAUGUGCCUAUAUAACAAAUAAAAGAAAUUAAUUUGAGAAAACUAUAUAAAAAUUUAUAAUAAAAAUAACAAAUUGAUAUUUUACUCUAGUUAAAUAUUUAAAAAAUAUUAAAAAAAACCAAUUAUGUACAUCAGGCUCAUAUAGAAUAUUCAUAAAAUAAAUAUUAAUAUUGCAAUAAAAGGCUAUAAACUUAUUUGAAAAUUAUAGCAUAAAUGGAUAAUUAUUUAAAUAUCAUUUUAAUAAUUUUAUUUUAGAAGAAUUUCAUUAUAAAAUAUAUGAAAAAUAAAACAACUAGAUAAAAAAAAAUGAAAAGCUAAAAGAAUCAAGCUCGAACCCGCAAGCAUGACUUUUUAGAAAAAGCCAAGCACUCUUUUAGUCUAGCCUACUAGAAGAAUCUCAGCGCACCUGGUUUUCUUUUAAAAUCAAAUAGAGUCGUUCACUUGAUAAUUUCUUUCAUAUAUAAAAUAGAUGACACGUCAUAUACUUUGACGAACGAACGAAACUAGUCAGAACAAAUUUUCACCAUAAAAAAAAUCAAGGUUCGAAUAUUACGGACCCCUAAACCCAAAAUUUCAACAUAUUUCUUUAUUAAGAACACAUUGAAAACAUACUUUAAACCUUCAUAACCCAAAAAAUCAAACUAAAUUAAAACCCUAUAAAUUUUGAGAAUUCUGAUAUUUUUUUUCAAUAUAAUUAAAGAUUCAAAUCAUUUCCAUCAAAAAGACGAACCCUCCUCCAUGUUUAAGGGCAAGUUUAAAUAUAAAAAAAGCAAGUUUAAAUAUAAAAAAAGCAUGACUCGAUAAAUUUUGAGAAAUUGUAUGUACAUAUAAAAUAAUAAUUAAUUCAAUAAAAUAAUAUAAAAAAUAAUAAAAUAAAUAUUUUAUUAUUUCUCUUUGGGUCUGGACCGGUUCCAAACCGUCUCUUUCUUUUCUGUAUGUGUACGAGAGGCGGGACGGACCCGUGACUUCUGCGUACCACCCAGGCAGGGACGGAGUCAGGGGGUGGCAAGCAGAGGCCCGGGCCCCUGCCCCUGCAAAAUAUUUUAAAUUUGUUUAUUAUUUAAUAUUUUUAAUUUAAAUAAAUAAGCUUUUUAAUAAUAUAUAUUAUUAUAUUAAUUUUAGCCUCCCUGUAAAAUUUACCUAGCUCCGCCCCAGCACCACCCAGGGAUAGCGACUGAAGAGAAGGGGUUCUGUCUCCGACAUAGGAAGGAAGGAUUCUUAUAAACGUUAGCAGGUCAUACUUUCUGCUAUCGACACAGACAGUGGCAAUCGCAGCUGCAUUUCUCGAGAGGUCUCUUCCCACCAUCAAACCUUACCAGCCCUUGACAUAUGAGGAAUAUCGCGUGAGUGAAAAGCCAUCUGAGUCGAGAUCACAGCCUUCUAGCCCUGUGCUAAAGCAAAAGGGGCCUCCUUCUACAUGAAAAAUGAAAAAGACUUGUCGGAAAAUAUCGCAUAAAAUAUUCAUGAGAAUUAUUAUUUUUAAAAAUACAUGUUACGUUCAUAUAUAAUUAAUAAUAAUUAAUUUGAUAAAAUUCUAUGAAAAUUUUAUAGAUAAAAAAUAAAAAAAUAGAUAUUUUAUUCUUAUUAAAUAUUCAUGAAAAAUAUUUUUUUAAAAAAAUUACAUGUUAAGUUCAUAUAUAAUUAAUCAUACUAUCAUCAUAAAGAAAUCCAAUAUUAUUUGAAAAGUAUGGCAUCUCAAAUGAUUUUUAAAAUUAUUGUAAUUUUCUUCUUUUUUAAUAAAUUAAAAUAUAAAAAAUACAACAAUUAAACAAAAGAAAAAAAAAACACAGAGAAUCAAGCCUUGGGUUUAGAAAUCCACAUGCAUGUCCUUCAAAAAAAGUCCAAGAUGAGUCUUGACUUUGAAGAGCAAGCCAGUGCACCUGCCUUUAAAAAACAAAAGCAGGGGAGGACAUCUUCUCUCCUGCAAUAAUUUUCAUCCACCUAUGGUGACCGAAUAUAGAUCUAACUAGUUAGAUGAACUGCGUGUUGUUGCAGGUUUUUUUUUUUUAUAAAAAAUAUAAAAAAAAUUAAAUUCUAAAAGUUUUAGGUUUUUUUGCAAAGUUAUAUUCGAGAGUUUUGGAUUUGACUACAACGCCUAACCCAAGAGUAAUAUUUAUAAUAUAAUAAUAACAUUAAAUUUGGAUGACCCAAGUUUAAGUGGGUCUGACUGCAAUACCAGAUCUAAUAGCCUUGGAUGUGGGUCUGGCUGUAAGGUCGUAUCAUAAAAGUGUGAUAAUUAAAUAGAUUAAUUAAAAAAAACAUAGAAAAAAAACCAACAUGAAGAAAAAAACUAAUGAAGAAAAAAAUUCUGAAUUAACUGGGUUAACCCUUCAAACCAGGUUAACCUGUCAAAUCUUGGAUUCGUGUCGUGAAAGUUUGAUAACUAAAUAGAAAAAAAAAAUUGACGGGUUACCCAGAAUUAACUGGGCUAACCCGUCAAAUCCAGGAUCCGUAUCAUGAAAGUUUGAUAACUAAAUAUAAAAAACUUUAACUUUAACAAACUAAAUUAAACAAAAAAAAUUAAUUAAAAAGAAAAAAAAUAAAAUAAAAGGCAUCAGCAGGGGGUGGCAACAAAUAAAAUAUUUAUAUUUACAUCAUUCAAUUAUAAAUAAUUAAAAUAAUUUUUGCCAAAAGCCAUGAAAGAAAGAACAUUGGAUUAGAGCACUGAAAAACUAUUUAGUUACUAUAGUGUUGUUUUUCCCAUGUGAUAUUUUUUCAGUCAAGCAGGGAGUGAUAGGGAUCUUGAUUAUGCAUGCAUCACAGGUGGCAUUAGGGGGGCUGGCAGGGAAAGCGGCCAACGCAAGGAAUUUUUUCUUCCACUCACCUCCUUUAAUAAAUUAGAAUUUUAGUUUUAAAAAUAUAAAUUUUUUAAUUCUAACCACUCCUAAAACUUUUCCCUAGCUUGGUCCUCUGAAACUAAAAUUCCUAGCUCCAUCCCUACAUAAAUAAUGCAUUGUGUUAGUAUUGUUGGGUUUUUUGAAUAUCAUACACGCAGAAAAAACAAUGAAACAAAAAAUAAUUUAGGAUCCUCUAGGAUACCUUUAGACAGAUUUAGAAUUGUUUAUGAAUUUAUUAUCUGAAAAUCUAAUCUUUUUCAACUUUAAAUAAUUCUUUAAAAGCUGGGUUGUCGCAAAUCACAAAUCAUCCAAUUGUUCAGGUUCUAACUGUAAUUUAUAUGAAUCACUACUAAAAAAUCUCCUAAAUUCUAUUUAGGAGAGAGAGAUUAAUAUGCCUGUAGUCCCAACUCUCUAUUAUAUGACUUGCGUAGUUUUUGUCUAACAGACAACCAUCUUAAAAAUAAAAGGCAUUAUUUAUUAUUUAUAGAGAAAUCUGAAAAACUUAAAAAUUAUUAUGAUCCUGAAAAAAGAAUUUUAAUAAAAAAAAGAACAAAAAAAAUGGCCUUGUAAUUUUGAUGUGCCUAUAUAAAAAAAAAAUUGAGAAAACUAUAUAAAAAUUUAUAAUAAAAAUAACAAAAUUGAUAUUUUACUCUAGUUAAAUAUUAAAAAAUAUAUAAAAAAUAAUUAUGUAUAUUAGGCUCAUAUAGAAUAUUAUUAAUAUUAUUUGUAAAAUAAAUAUUAAUAUUGCAAUAAAAAGAUACAAAAUUAUUUGAAAAUUAUAGCAUAACUGGAUAAUUCUUUAAAUAUCAUUUUAAUAAUAUUAUUUUAGAAGAAUUUCAUUAUAAAAUAUAUGAAAAAUAAAACAAUUGGAUAGAGAAAAAAAUGUGAAAAACUAAAAGAAUCAAGCUUGAACCCGCGAGCCUGGCCUUUUAAAAAAGAUCAGGUGCUAUUGAGUCUAAAAGUGUUGAAUAUUAGUCUAUGAAAAGUUUACAGAUAAAAAAUAAUAAAAUAGAUAUUUUAUUUUUGUUGAAUAUUAAUGAAAAAUAUUUUAAGGAAAUUUACUUGUUAUCAUUAAAAAAAUCAUACUAUUAUCAUAAAAAAAAAUCCAAUAUUUUUUGAAAAGUAUGGCAUCUCAAAUGAUUUUUAAAAUUAUUGCAAUUUUUUUAUUUUAAAAUAUAAAGAAUAUAACAAUUAAAAAAACACAAAAAAAAUCAACUCUAAGUGUCACUGGCUAGACAUGCUUGGGUAAAUUCCAAGAUGCGUCUUGACUUUGAAUAGCAAGCUGCACUUGCUUUUUUUUUUAAAAAAAAAAGUAGCGGAAACCUCGAGGAAUGUAACUUAACUGAUCAGGUUCUGGGUUUGCUCUUUAAAAGUUACAAGUUAAAGUCCUACAAACCUCAGGAUCAUUAGAGGUUUACAUGGUCGUUAACUUUAAAGCUCGUGAAAUUAGUUGAGGUGCGCGCAAACUAACUCGAACACCCAUAUUAAUAAUAAUAAAAAAGUAGCGGGAGCACAUGUUCUCCUGUAAUAAUUUUGAUCCAUUUUCCAUUUCCGUAAAAUCUAGAUUUGAUUUUUUUACCUCAAAAUAAAAAUCUUAAUUUGUUUUGUUUAAAAACAUCUAAAAACAUCAUAAAAAUCUCCAUAAUUUCAUAACAUACUUUAAUUAGUCAAUAAACUCAAAAUCAAAUUAGACUGAAAUAAACUUGUUGAAUUUCUUUUUUUUUUUAGGCUCAAACCAUCAACAUUGAAAUCCUCUCUUCAAAAUGAAUAUAUUGAUACUAAAAUCAAUGGUUUUUUUUUUUUUUUUUAUGUCUGGCCAAAAAUUCCCUCUCUCCUCUUUCUUUUCUGCUCUAUCAAUUAUUGGAGACUAGAAUAUAAGAGAAAUAAAGUUUUAUAACCAAGAUUUAAACUUUUAAAACUAUAAGGAUUAAAGUGUAAAAAGAUGUGCCUUAUAAACAGUGCUAAUGAAUAAUGAAUGAAUAUUGUUUUGUGCAUGCAUGAAAAGCGUGACUUUAGUUUUUUUUAUAUUUAUUUUACCUUUUAAUUUAAUUUGGUCAAUCUUUAAGCUUUGAAGUUUGAUGUACCAAUUAUGAUUGUAUAUUAACUAAUAAGGUAAAGGUGUGGGUGAUUCACUGUUCACCUACACCCAAAUCAUCGUGAAUUACAGCAGUAAUUUAAAAUAAAUUCUUUUUUUUUUCAACUUUUCUUGUUUUUUGUUUAUUUUUUAUUUUUUUUUCAAAAUUACUUUUCUUUUUUUUCCAACUUUUCCUCUCUUUUUUGUUUAUUUUUUUAAAAAAAUUAUCUUUGUCGAUUUUACUUUUUAAUAUUGAGCUGAUUAAAAAUUUCGCUCUGUAAUUCUUUUUCUUUAAAAUACUGUGGAUUACUAUGGUGUUUUCCUACAUGGUUUUUCUAUUUUAUUUUUUUAUUUUUCAAAAUUAUUUUUAUUGAUUUUAUUUUUUUAAUAUUGAGCUAAUUGAGAAUUUAGUUUUGUAAUUAGAAUUUUAAAACAUUGUUGAUUGCUACAGUGUUUCUCCGCAUGGUUUCUUUUUGUUUUUGUUUUUUGAUGAUUUUCUCCGAAAUUAUCUUUUUCGAUUUUAUUUUUUAAUAUUGAGCUGAUUAAAAAUUACAGUUACAAUAUGUGAGAAAAACACUGUAACUUUCCUCGCAAAUUACUGUGAAUUGCUUUGGUGUUUUUCCCACAUGAUUUUUUUCCAGUUUUUUUUGUGUUUUCUUUUUCUGUAAUAUUUUUUUCAAAAAUAUCUUUGUCGAUUUUAUUUUUUUAAUAUUAAACUGGUUAGAAUUUAACUUCGUAAUAAAGUUUAAUCAUGUGGGGAAAGCAUUGUAACUUUACUCACAAAAUACUGUGGAUUGCUAGAGUCUCUCAACACGGUUUUUUUUUCUUAUGAUUUUUUCAAAAUUAUCUUUUUUAAUUUUAUUUUUUUAAUAUUGAGCUGGUUGAGAAUUACAAUUACAAAUCAUUACAAAUAAGGCUAAAUCAUGCGAGGAAGCACUGUACGUAGCUUUCAUCACAAAACACUGUGAAUUGCUACAGUGUUUCCUCCAUGGUUUUUUUUCCUGUUUUUUUAUAAUUUUUUUUUAAAUUAUCUCUGUCGAUUUUAUUUUUUUAAUAUUGGAUUUAUUGAAAAUUUAACUUUGUAAUUUUUUUUUUUAAAACACUAUGAAUUGUUACAGUGUUUUCUCAUAUGAUUUUUUUCAAAAUUAUCUUUGUCGAUUUUUUUUUGUAAUAUUGAGUUGGUUAAGAAAUUAUAAUUACAAUAAAGUUAAAUCAUAUGGGGAGAGCGUUGUAGCUUUUCUCACAAAACACUGUGAAUUGCUACAGUAUUUGUCUAAAGAUGGAACCUUCAUAGAGAUUCUGCUCUGAAAACUUGAGAAUUAUGCUGCUUGUCCUCUGUCUUACACUUUCUGAUGUUGUAACAAAUCUGAGAUAUCAGCUCAUUGAGCUCUACAGAAAAUUGUAAGCAAAUCCAAUAUACACUAUGUUUCUUAUCUCUUCUUCUCUCAGAGAACCUGGUGGAUUUUAUGUAAUAAUGUUGUACAUCAUAAUCAUGGGAUACCUUCCCAACUGCACACCACAAGUUGAUCAGAUAAUUCUCACGAAUCUGGAUUGAAGUUUACAGAUUCCCUCCAGAUGAGUUCCUUGAUGUUUUCUUCAGUAAAAGAUGGUUGCUCAAAAUCAAAGCUGAAAGGCUUUGGGCAAACAGGCUCCUCAUUGAUGCCAUGAAGAGGUUCCAAGUAUGGAUGGCACAGUGCCUCAUCGACUGCAAACAGCAAAAAGGUCAAAUGUAAUCAUCGGUCAAAUAAAAGCUUCUUUGAUGAGAAAAUAUACUCAAUUUUGAACAUUCUGAUAUAAUUUCAGAAUGUUGAGACAUGCCAUAUUUUACUCUACUAGUUUGCUAAUAUAUGUAAUUUCGCUUCAUUAAGUAAUAGCAAUUAUCUCAAAUAUUAUUCAAUGAAUGCACUUAAUUCCAGAUCAAAUGUGUAGCCAAGAUUGCAGGAAAUGUCUCAUAAAGAUAAAAACAACAUAUGAAGCUAUUUCCGUAAUUAAUUCUUGUUUUGUCGCAUGAUCAAUGUCAUGUCUAUCCCUGAAUGUUCAACUUUACCUUACGUUUAUAGUCAUUGAUUUUAAAAAAUAAUGUCACAAACUAGUCCUUGACAUCACUAUCAUGCCUCAUUUUUACCUGUAAUACGCCUAUUUGGAUCAAAGACCAGCAUUUUCUCCAACAAUUCGACAGCACCAGCAGACAUGUUAGGAAAUCUAGCAGCAAAUUUUUGCCUCGGGUAUUGCGGAAGCUGCCUAACAUAUCUUCGAGCAUUCUCGCUUCGUAGGAAACCAAGACUGAAGUCGUCAGGUGAACCUAUGAGCUUUUCAAAGAUAAAUGCACAAGGUAUCAUGCUCGUAGUUUGAUAACAAAAAACUGAGCAGUUUCAUACUAUCAACAAGCCUGCUAUAUACUUCAACCUCUAUGCAUGCUAACAAAAGCUAUAAAGUUGCACCCCACACAACAGACAAAAGAACAAACCAAAACAUAACUGACAAAACAGAACAGAAGUUACACUGAUUGAAGCACAAGAUACUACAUUAUCACCAUAAUUGACCAUGAAAAGGAGAAGGGAGGAUCAUUCUGAUUCCCAAUCACUUCUCUUUGUCUCACUAUUGUCAGUAAGAUAUCAUCACUGCCAGAAAAUUUUCAGAAUUCUCCCUAAUUUUGCAAAAAAAAAAAAAAAAAACCUAAAUGGCCCCCUCAAUAAAAAAUUUACAAACUUGCCCCGAAAUGUCACAUCCUAGAUUCAUCCCUGGUCGUUACAUUCAGUUACCAGAUUAAGAAUCACCAUUAAUGCAAUUCCUGCCAUUUGAAUAAAAAGGCGGGAGGGAAGCGAGAGAUGAGUCUCUGACUCAUCAAUUUUGGAAAAAAAGCCAAAGGGCAAUCAUAAUUGUCAAUGCACAUGACUUUAAAAAGCUACAAUCACGCAUGAGUUAAUGAAAAGAGUUAGGGCUUUUGAAAUGAAAUUAUUUAGGGCCUCCCGUCCACAAAUGAUGAGCCAGAUACUCAAAAAACACCACAAGAUUACCCCAGGGCACAAUUGCUGGACAAUUUCAAAAUCACAUACCUCUGUAAUAAGCCUCAGCUGGUGAACAUAGUCUUUUCCAGGAAAUAAAGGUUGCCCAGUCAUGAUUUCACCAAGUAUGCAACCCACUGACCAUAUAUCAAUUGCUGCAGUAUACUCAGAGCAGUUAAGGAGUAAUUCUGGUGCCCGGUACCAUCGAGUGACCACAUACUCGGUCAUGAAAUCCGUUUCAGAUGUUGUCCUUGCAAGUCCAAAGUCUCCAAUCUUAAGGUCACAAUUAGCAUUCAAGAACAAAUUACUGGGUUUUAGAUCACGAUGCAAGACAUUUGCCGAAUGUACAUAUUUAAGCCCUCUUAACAAUUGAUAAAGAAAGUACUGCAAAGAAACAAUUUAGAUAUCAGUGAAAAUCAAGCACAUAACAAAGUAUUUGUUAAUUUAACAAUGCUUGCUCAUAAACAAUGAUAAUUUCCAAUUACAGCAUAUGUUAUAGAAAGCAUUUUAUUCAGUAGCAGUCUCUGGGCAGCAGCAUGUAGCCAUUUCUUGCCUCUCUUUGGUAACUUUUGUUUUCUUCCCUGGGAACAAAAGGAGAGAGGAGAUGGAAAGGGGUGAUAGAUGUGAUGGGUUGGCCUGUAGGAAUUAGGGAAACAAGAGAGAUAGAAGAACAGUGAAGCCAAAUGAUAGUUGUGAUUUAUUAGAGACAUUAUCCCGCUAAAUUCCAAAAAACUAAGAUAGCCAACUAAUAAACCUAUUAGCUCAACAAAGGCAAACAAAAAAUGAAAGUCAUCAUGUUAUGAUUGUGAUUUAGUUGAAAAUAUGGCAUUUAUUCAUAGCUAAUUUUAAUGUGUUUUUCAUUUAAAAAUAUAUAAAAAUAAUAUUUUUUUUAACGUCAAUAAAUUAAAAUAAUCUAAAAAACACAAAAAAAAAUAAUAAUUUGAAGCUAAAAAUAUAAAAAUUAAAAAUUAAAAUCACAAUCUAGCCGCACAAACAAACACCCGCCUAAAUGAGGAAGUAUAGCUUGUGCUGCUUAUCAUAACUAGUUGAACCAUUUUGUCAAAAUUUAACCUGUAAAGCUUGAAAUAUGCAGCAAGCUAAAAAGUCCAGCUAAAAGUUAAAAAUAUCCUAGAGAAAGAUAAAAAUAAAUAAAAAUCAAAUAAGUAACCAUAAGAACAAUAAUAUCUAAAAUAACUCCGCUAGCUAUGAGUAUAAAUUACUUAUAGUAAACAUGAAAACCAAGAAAACUUAAUGGAGCUAACCCGACAAUGAUCAUCUGUCAAUAGUUGGUUGGAGCGUAUUAUUUGAUGUAGAUCCGUGUCCAUUAAUUCAUAAACAAUGUAUACAUCAUUGAAGUUCUCCGUCUGGGGAGGCCGGAUGAUGUCUUUGAUAGCAAUAACCUGAGGAGCAGUAAAUGAUUAGCACGACCAUAGAUACAAAAAAAAACACCAUAGAAACAAUAAAUUAGACAGGUUCUGCGGUACAACGUCAGCAAGCACCCAUGCUGUGUAUGCUUCUAUGCACGUAAUUACAGAGUGUUGACAAACUAGUCUCAAAUGAGGAUAAAAAGAAGUCGAACAAAUAAGUUAAGGAACUUAGCAAUCAUGAUAAUCUAGUCAAUCCUGAGCUACCAGAGCACAUGUCUAAAGGACAACGUCGAAUACAAAAGAAAGUUGUGAAUCAAAUGAAUCCAAGGUAACUCUAGUCGACCCAGCAACUGGCCUCUGAAUCACCAAGAUCAUCAUGCUUUGUGAAAGCAAAACUUAAAAGUUUAAUUUAUCAAGGAAUCACCCACUCGAUAAUAAGAAUAAAUUAAACACGGAACAAUUUAACAAAAAUCCCACUCCCUAUAAGAGAAUCUCAAUUGCAACAGAACUCAGGUUCUUAGUAGCAUUGUCACAGGGUAGGAUUUUUCUUGUUAAAAUUUUCCAGUCCCCAUGUGGCAGCUCAGCCUCCUGUCAGACUCUAUUAAUUUACUCGUGUUUACUUAGCAACUAAAUAUUUCCCCUCACCAAGAGAUUUCUUUACACUCUUCCCUGUCACAAGACAAGCGGAAUACACAAGUAGAAAGGAUGCAAUGCAAUAUGAGUUCUGUGAGCAGACAAAACCCAUUGUGCAUAUCACAUACAUUAACGGACUUACUUGUGUAUAUCUUUUUGAGUUAAUGAGGAUUGUUAGCAUUAUAACAGAGUUUAGCUACGAAAUCAUGAGCAACAACUUCAGCUGAGCUACAAAAUCAUGAGAUAUUAACUUCAGUUGAGCUAAGAAUCGUGAGAAUAACAAAGGAAAACAAACUUACAUUUUCAUGAUCCAUGUGGCGAAGAAGCUUAAUCUCUCGUAAAGUCCUCUUGGCAUCUAUUCUGUUGUCAAAUGCAUUACCAAUCUUCUUGAUGGCAACCUCUUCACGUGUCUCAGAAUUCACAGCAGCACUGAAGGAAACAACAAAAUCACAUCUUCCUUCACGUUGUAGAUUUCACACAAAAAAUUAAGUCAAACAUAACGAGACCAUAACAUUCGCGAUUCACCAGUAACAGCAUUUUUCCUAACUAAUAAAACAGAUUCCGUGCAUUUUCCUUUCUGUAAAGUAUUCCAAACACGCUCGAAACUCCAUUUACUUCUUUUUUUAGCACUAGCUUCACGGUUUACCAAGCAGCCUAGAGCACUUAGUUUUAAGAGGAUUUAUGAGAUUACGGUGUCCUGGUUAUUGUUUUGUUUAAAAAUAUAUUAAAAUAAUAUUUUUUUAUUUUUUAAAAUUAUUUUUAACAGUCAUAAAACAAUAAAAAAAAUAAUUUUUAAAAAAUAAAAUUUAAGUAAAACGGCCUCUUAAUGUUGUAUUCUUGAGACUUCCACCAUCAUUUCUCCGAUUCCAAAAGGAUAGCUAAAAAUUCUAAUAAAAAAUCAUAACUCGAAAGGAUAUUUUAAGAAGAACACAGUUUUUAACCUCAAAGAAUCGAAAUCGGAAACUAUAAGAAAAUCUACAGUUGAAACUUAAACACGAUCAUACAAGGGAAAAAGAGAGAGUAAAGAAUCAGACUUACCAAACAAUACCAUUAGCGCCACGGCCAAUAGGUCGAAUAGGAGGGACGUACUUUCUAGAAACUUCAAAGAGGUUACCGUACACAUUAUACUGUACAUAGCGUCCAUCAUGAGCAGGCAUGCCUUUGAUGUUAGGAUCACCACCUGAGCUUGACUCUAAGCUUGUCAUUUUUUCCAGUAGCAACCUGAAAGGAUCCAAUUAAGCUAGAGCGAAAAGGAGAUAGAAAGGAGAGGGCUAAUUAAGCAGUCCAGUGGUGGUUGUUGAAGAGGAGGAAGAGGGGCUAAAAAAGAGGGCGGACGUGUUAGUAGGCGUAGAGCUUUCUCGUUUUCACAUUUCUUCUGGUUGGCGUGUGGGUUGUUUUACUACUAUUAGAGUCUACACUUUACAGGGACGAGUGAGAAAGAUGGGGGAGAGAAGAUAAAAGGUAGAGGUGGACCGGACCGUGUGGUGCCCGACUUUUGAACUGGAAAAGCUUAGCCUACCUCGUGACUCGACAAUUUGCUUGCUGACGUUUAUUUAAUUUAUCUCAGGUAGUUUUUCCUAGAGAGAACAGGAAAGAAAAUAUACACUGUUUUUGUUGGUGAUUGUGAUUUAACUCUAAUUUAUCAAACUUUGAAUUCUGACUUUUCUAGGUCUCUCGUAUUUUUAUGAUCAGUAGUGCGAUUGAUUGAGAAAUAAAGAAAAGAAAUUAUGGGUGGAUGGCAUUUGAUUUCGAUUGGAUCUAGCUCGAAAUCACUGGUGUUUAGGCCUGCCUAAACUUAGCCAGAGCAAGCGGACAGAAUCAUGUCUAUUAUCCCAUUCUUUUCGAUUUGGGUGAACUGGAAGAGAAAGAUGCAGGAAACGGACCCAUCAAGCAUUCCUUUCUUCAAGGAACAUGAACAACUCAGCAGAUCAUGAUGAUGAUGAUGAUCAUCAUCAUCAGUAUGGUUCUCUACUCCCUCCAUUUUUGUUCAAACUAACCUAACUGUAAGAAAACAUUACACUGAUAAUUUCAAGUAUCUUUGCAUUGCAUUUCGAGUCACAGUCAUGGUUCGUUCAACAUAUGUUUGCUUGGCGUGUUUGAUACUCCGAUCAAAAUAUUUUUUUUUAAUUAAAAUUAUUUUCAUUUGUUGAUUUAAAAAAUAAAUUUUAAAAAAUAAAAAAAUAUAUUAAAAAAAAAACUUCAAAAUAUAACUUCAGAAACCACGCUUUCAAAUUACUACGAAGAAAAGGUUUCCCGUGUUUCAAACCAACCUUCAACUUGCUGAAAAAUCAAAAGGAAGCAAAAAGACUCCCUCCUCCAAGAGAAGAUAACAACUCAAGGCUCAAAGUCAAGGCCUGCCUACCUUAUUUUCCACCGACCGGAAAAUCCGCCAUUUUCUCCAUCCCCCCUGGAAAGGUCUACUCAAACACGAACCUUCAUCGACAUUAGCAUCUCCGGAUUUUGUCUCCCCAAACGUGAUUUUUGUUCCAAAACUGUCACCGUAUAUUUUAUUUGGCCAUGGCAUUCCUGAAUUCCUGAUUGUGGUAUUUUUAUGGAAUCCAGGGAAAAUUUGUUCAGGAUACUCUAGAAUUCGAAAAAUUAAUGCAUUACUUUAAUGAAAUAAUACCAUGUUGAUUGUAGAUCAUUUUGCCCUUCGUUAUGUUCCAAUUUUAAAUUGGUUUUAGCUCCGAAAUUCUUCUUUCUUUGCUCAAAGCUAAAGGUUUUACUCUGUCCAAAUAACCAUUUUUUGGUCUCGAUUUUCCUCUAAUUAAAUUACUUGUAAAAAAAAACGAAGAAGAAGAAAAUUAAUCGGAAACACAAAAAAAGACUUCAAAAGUCCAGAAGUAAGUGGUCUAACUGAAACAAGCCCAAGAGAAGCGAAGCCGAGCCAAAUCUUCGAACUUUUUUUUUUUUCACAUCAAAAGCAAGCAGCCUCACUAUAAUUUUCGCAGAGCAAACGCUCUGUUUGAAGCUAGUUUUUAGUAGGGGAAAUGAUCUUCAGUGAAAGUAGAAUACAGCAUCAGGAUGAUGCAUUACCCUACUUAAUACGGGCUUAAGCAGCUGCUUCCUUCGGUUGAGGUGAGGUGGAUAUACUUGAUUGUGGAGUUUCCGAAUUCAAGACUGGCAAUUAUUUGUAGCUCAAAACAGGCAUGCUCUUCACCAAGCAUUCCUCGGUGGAUUUUACUUAAUCAUGCUGAUGAGUUGGCUAUGUCGUUGACCAAUUUCAGUCGAGUACUUAAUCAUGCUGAUGAGUUGGCUAUGUCGUUGACCAAUUUCAGUCGAGCCAGAAGUCUUUAGUAGAUAUUUGACUACCACCGAGGGUUGAGUUUCACGGGCCUGCCAACUGAUUUGAAAUAUCAAGGAAGGUUUGCAGGGUUGAGUUUCUCAGAGACCCACGUUUGACCGAGGACCUAAUGUGUUCUGACACGGCCAACCCGGAGAAUGGAGAGUUAAUUGUGAUAGUCCAAGUCCCCACGAAAAUCCUACUUCCUGCUAAAGAACAAAAAAAUAAGAAAAAAAAAGGAGACAUUUUACCAAGAGUUUUGAUUUGGAUAAUAGUCUUUGAAUCCGAAACAACAGGUUGCUUUAUCUUGUUGUCUCAUUGGAUCUUCUAUGCGAUGCAUUCAAAAUAAAAUCGGUGGGUAGUUCUUCGUUUGGAGGCCUUCGCCACAACGUUUAUAGUUAUUUACUCAGCACUCUUAUCAUCAAAUGAGAUGGAGUGAUUUCUUAUCCCAGAUCAGUUCAUUUAUCUAUGUACGUUGAUUUAAUGAAGUGUUCAGACCUCUUAGUGUAGAAGUUUGAGAAAAUUGUGAGGUAUGUUUCUUAUAUACUCGCAAAAGCUGCAUAAAAUGUUUCUUAUAUACUUCGCUCUUAGUUACAGGGUUAGUGGGUUACUAUAUUGUUUCAUUUUAUUUUUUUAUUAAAAUUAAUUUUUAUUUUUUUUAUUGUUAUUUGCUUUAUUUUAAUCUUUUUUCUAUUAUUAUUUUUUAAAAAUUUUGCUCUUCAUCACUUGGUUUCAUUUAAUUUUUAUAUUAAAUUUGAUUUUUAUUUUUUUAUUGUUGUUUUUAUUCUUUUUCUAAUUAAAUCUUGUUUUCAAUCCCAUCCAUCACCCUCUGAUUUCAAUUAUUUCUAUAUCAAAUUUAGUAUUUAAUUUUUUUAUAGCAAUUUCUUUGGUUUUAGAUGUAUUUUUUAUUGCUUUUUUUUUUCAAUUUUUCUCUUAACAUUUUAUUGAUUUAGAAUUUUGUUUAGUUAUAUUUUAUAUUUUGAUUUCUAUGGAGUUACUUUCAAGCUCAAAGUUAACACAGAUUUACUUUGGUUUUUUUUUUUAAAUUGUUUUAUUAAGAAUUAGUCUUAAUUUUUUUUUUCUUUGAAGUUAUUUAAAUCUUAUGAUCAUGAGGUUAAUAAAUUAAUUUGAGUUGACUUAGAUCUUUUAUUUUGUUAUUUUUUUUCAAUUUUUUUUUAAAGUUUCACCCUUCGUAUUAUUUGAUAAUUAAACUUUAUAAUUUUAUUCAAGAUUUGCUUUCAAUAAAGCUAUCUAAAUACAUACAGGCUAGGAGCAAUUUUUUUUUUUAUUUUUUUAUAUUGUUAUUUUUUUUAUGAGUUUAUUUAUUAUUAUUGUAUUUUUUAAAUUAACCUAACUUACUCCAUUCAAUUGAUACUAGUCUCGAUUUUUUUUUUUUUUUUUGCUUUGCCUUGGUAUUUUUUUCUAGGUUGAAAAAAAAAUUAGGUUGGCACAGCAUAGAGCUAAGCCUUUUAUCUAGUGUGCUCUAAGCAUCAAAUGGCUUCAGGGGUUCUACGAAAAGGUAGAAGAUGAAUACCCAUCAACAUAUCACUAGAAUCAAAGAAGCUUCUUUGCUUUGCGAAGCAUUCCCAGAUUAUGCAGUUGCUUCUUGCAGAAACCCCCUAUGAAUCAUCUGAUUCCAGUCCGAGUGCUGAUUCAUUCAACUGAUGAAGGCAUGUAAGAAAAAGUACUUCUCAAUAGUAUUCUCAAAUAUUGAGGAUGUAGUGCAAUGAUCAUAACUGUAAAAUGACAAUAUUCUGAUGCAUCCCAUCCCAAUUACAGGAAACUUAAAGGAUCAAUAGGUCUGAUUCCUUCCAAAAGUUUCUAAUUCACGAAUUUGCACCCCUUGGAAAUGAUGCAAAAGCUAACACAUCAAGUCAUUUUACUUGGAUCUUGUAUACCAACUCUCUAGGUCAAGUCCACACGCAAACAAGUCCACACCCAAACACAUUCAGGAAGUUAAAGUCACAUACAAAUGAUGCCGUUGAUGCUUACCAUGUGAAAACAUCAACUUGGAAUAACUUCAUCCCUGAACAAAACAGAGUCAAGACAUCUAUAGUUAAGGAACAAAAAGCAUUUCCUACAAUGAGUCAUAUAAACGUGUACUUUGGAAAGAAAUAACAGACACCCAACUGAAUUUCACAAACAGUCAUCGUGGUUACCAUACAGAAACCUCAGACUUCUUCAACUUUCAUGCACAACGCAGGAAAAAGCCCUGAAGAACAAGGAUGCAUUUAUGGAUAGCCACAAGAGGAAACCCCACACCUAGCAUCCUCCUUGCGGCCAGCACCAGUAUCCUAUGGCAAACGACUCAAAGAAUAUGUAUUAAUGAAUACGAGCAUUUUGCAUUAAAAAAAUCAGAUAAAAAACCUACCCGUAUAUCAUCAAAGAAUGCGGGCAUGCUAUCUAUGUCUCCCUAUUCCUAGCCAUAACGAGAAAAGGGAAGAAGGGGAGUUAAGGUAAAACAUAACAAGUAGUGAAACAGUACAAGACAUUUCAUGUAUUUCGGACAUGUACAAACUAGUAAGAAAGCAUUACAAGAUACCUCACACCACACAAGACAGGACAGGCCCACACAAGACAAUACACUACUGAGGGAACAAGCGGUAUCAGACAUGAGAACAAGCGGCUUCAACAUAAACAUCUAUCCUAUAACCUGUUCCCCAUUAUUCCCUCAGAAUUACUCCCUCGGAAUGGGUCGGCAACGGUAUCAGACACUCUCAGGUUACAAAGCAAAGCAUCACGCCCACUUAAAACUAUUUUGAAAAAGCCAUCUACUUCCUUAGCAAGAAAAUCUAGCACCUGAGAAAGUCUUUCUGCUCUCCUCCCCAAAUCCGAAAAAGAACUGCUGAAUGCUUCCACUUCAGUAGGUCCCAUACCAUCUUGGAUCAUGGGAUAUAAAUUAUUCACAACUGUCUCAACUUCAUCUAAUUCUUUCAAGAAAGUAAAUUUCCCACGAGAAAAUACUUCUCUAAUUUCUCCAUUUACUGUAGUUUGCAAAUCAGAAUAAGCUUGUGCCCACAAUAUUGUGUUGGGUACAUCCAAAUCUAUCAGAUUCUUUGAAUUAACUGAAAAUGCAGCGGCAAAAACACUACAUACAAAUACUGUCUGUACCUUAACUCCAUACAUGGCACGCAUCAACACCUUUCCUUUGGCCGAGUUCUUAACCUUAGGCAGAGUCAAGGAAUCCACAAGAUUCUCUAAGAUGGAUUUACAGUUUUCCAGUCUUGGGUUCUUGGAGCCAAUGUGCUGUCUCCAGCUAUCUAGGGAAGAACAUGCCUGCAUUAACUUCUCUGAAUUGUUGGACUCCAAUUUAUGCAGGGCGCAUUGAAGAAAAAGUUGACCUUGGUUCAGCCACGAGAGCUCAGAGCUAAAAGCAAUGCAAAUAUCAAGCAACUUCACAGUGAUGUCCAAGUACACAUCUAUCCACUUCUCAUCCCAUUCAGUCACAGGGAGCUCAAGUUCUGUGAUAAGUGUUUUUAUGACAGUAUGAGUCUCACAGAGUGACUCCAUUGCCAAUUUCAUCCACGUGAAGCUAAGAACAUCACCCUUGUCUUUAGGAUUAAGUUUCCGCAACCUCGCUGCCAAUGCCUCCUCAAAUGUAUUUAAUAAAGAAAGAAGCCUUGGAGACAACUGAGAACCCUUUGGAGAUAACAUCCUGAAAGGAUUUCCAAAUGGAAAGAAAGGGCGGUGUGGCUGUUGUGGUUGACUCAUUUCAACAAUUUACUGCAACAAGUUUGGAAAAAAAAAUCAUUAAUCUUGUUGCACACAACAUCAAAAGAGCACACACAAAAUCAACAAAAAACCACACCAAACAAAAGAUCUACAAUCAAUAGAUAGCGAUUAGGACCCACCCAAACUUAAGCAAGAUAAAUUGCAAAACUUAUCAUCACAAUGAAACAAUUCAUCAAGAAAACAGGAGAAAGAACCAUAUCUCCAACAAAGGUAUUUCUUUAAGCCUCCAUGCCUUCCUGAGAGAAAGUCGAGAAAAACUCUUCCCAAAUACUCAGAAAAACAAAUUCCAACCCCAUCAACCAAAUAAAAAACCUACACAGCAUAUAGACCUUAAAAAGGAACUCAAAACAAAAGCUAGACAAAAGAAGAUCUAUAAAGAACACAGUUAUGCAUAUCCAGUUAUUGGCCGCUCUACAUCUUUUCAAAAUCAAUAACCACAGCAAGAAAAAAGAGGCACAAAAUCAAUGCAUAUUUUCUCUUUAUCUCAUUCACACAAGAAUUUCAAGUUCAAACCAAUCAAAAUAAAAAUCAGUUAAAUUAAAUGAAAAAAAAAAUCAACUCUUUUCCUACCAAAUCGAAUCUAAAGUUUCGAUCUAUGAAUCUCUCAUUUCAAUUCAUGCCUUCUGUUCUUAAAAUUAAAACACAAUCAAACAAGCAUAUAAUUCAUACACAAAACAGUUCAAACUUUAUAACUCACCUAAAUACCAGAUCCUUAGAUCAGAAUAGCAAUCAAGUCAAGACGAAACAUAAGAAUCACUAAGAAAAUAUUGAAACCCUAACCCUAAUCAUUUUUACUAGAAAAAACAAUACUCUAAUCUAAGAUCUAGAAAAAAAAAAAAAAAAAAACAAAGAGAGAGACCUUUUUUUAGCUAUAGUUGUAAGAGAGAUAGUACCUGAAGGAGUUCUUGCAAGAGAUGAGAAAUUUCCAGAGAAAAGUGUCCAGACGCGGAGCUUUGUUGAAAGUUUCCGGUUAAUCUAGAGAGGUUAGGUGAGGUCUCUAUUUUGUAGCUUAAGUUGUGGGCAAAGGUGAAGUUAACUGGCUGUUAUAAAGUAAUUGGUGACAGAUGUGUACGUGGAAGGAUGUGAGUGGUGGGCUGUGGUAACGGAUAGAUAUUCAUUUGGAGAUUACUUACUGGCAUUUUUGUGAGCAGAAAUGGUGGGUCAGAGACAGGGAAGUAAAUUCAAGCUUGAUUUUACUUUAUAUUUAAUGCAUGUGACAUGUGAUCCAACGGACAAGAUCCUUGCUUCUAACUACACGAAAUUGCCCUGGUUGUCGUUGCUAUCUGGACCUCGUUCGCCGACCACAAUAUUAUAUAUGUGGAUACUUUCUUUCCCUGUGGGGGAAUGGAUCCAAGAAGAUUUCCUUGAGGUAGUCGCCAUAGGAAAAGGCUCGGCCCAGGUACAGAUGGCUAAUGCUAAAAUUGCAAAGGGCUCCCGAAUGGACUCGGCCGCCAAAGAACUCGAACCACACAGGAGCCAGCUAGAAAUUAAAGGGUGCUGCUACGCUCCUCUCUUUACACUACAGACCAGGCUCAUUCACUUGGAUUCUUGAGAGAAUCGAUACAAGCACGGGGUUCAUGCAUAUAUCAGAACAUUCUGACUGGUUACUGCAAUGAAUUCUAGUAUUUUUUUUAAAAAAUGAAUUUUAGAAAAAUAAAUUAUUUUUCAAUGUUUGGCAGUGUAAUAAAAAAUAAGUUGGAAAAUAUUUUCCAGUAUUUGGUUAUGUCAUGUAAAAUGAGCUGGAAAAUAACUUAUUUAUGUUUUAUUUUCUCAAGUUUAUUAAAAUAAUAAGGAACAAAUCUUACAAAUUAAAAAGUUGAAUGAGGAUGAAAUUGAAAAAAAAUAUAAUUUCAUAAAUUAUCUCAAAUAAAAUAAAUAAUAAUAGAAAUAAUAGAAAUCAAAUCUAAAAAAUAAAAUAAAAAUGAAAGAUGAAAGAUGAAAAAAUUAAAAUAAUAAUAAUUAACAUUUCAUAAAUUAUUUCAAAUAAAAUAAGUAACAAUCAAAAGAAUGAGGACCAAAUUUGAUAGAUAAAAAAUUUCAAUAAAAAAAAUGAUAAGGGAAAAGCAAAUAACAAUUAUAAAAAUGAGAACCAAAGUUAAUAUAAAAAUUAAAUUUUAAGAGAUGAAAUUGAAAAAUAAAUAUUCAACACAAAAUAUAUAUAGCAAUCAAAAGAUUGAGGACCAAAUUUGAUAUAAUCAGCAAAUAAUAUGACAUUUCUAAAUUUUUCACAAUUUCCGGAAAGUGUUUUCCGUCCAAAUUUUUCAGGAAAAUAAUUUCCUGGAAACCAAGCUAAAUUUUCCUUUGACUGGAAAGUGUUUUUCAUUAAUCAACUUUUCUAAUAGUAAAUAAAUACAUGAAAAUUUAGAAAAUAAUUUUUCAAAAAUUACUUUUCAGAAAACAAACAUACUCCUAAUACAUGCUGCUGUGAUAGAUGAUGAAUACCCAACGGCGCUGGAAAUUGGGCUCAAAACAUGAGUCUAGUCCACACAAGUCGAAUAAACUCCAUUGAACCGCCUGGUAUGCUAUGAAGAUGUUUCGUCCUUCAAGAUGGAGACUGGUGAUGGCCCUGUGGGAAAUGGCACAUCCUGUAAGCUCGUAUAUACACGAAGGAUGUAUUUAACUAAGGUUUUCCUCUUUUUAAUAAAAAAAAAAAGUGAGCAUGCACAGCAUAAAGUCAAUACAGAUAUUGAUAGCGCAGCGGUGCUGCCACAUGAUAUGUUUUCAAGUAAUCGAAGCUAGGGUUUAAGGAGCAACAUAAGUAGGUGCCAGUAGUCCUCUCCACCUUUGGAUUUGAAUAAUAAUGCUCAGGAUUAAUCAGCCUUGAACCCCUCUCAAUGCCUAACAACAUACCUGACAGUACACAGGCAUUCUAUUCUAGACUUGCCCCUUCAAAAGCUUCUGAACAAGAAUACUAUGGUCAAUGGGCUGGAAGAGUGAGAAUUGAGCAAGGUAUCGUGUAUCUUCACACCAUACAUUGCCCAUCUUGCACACAAAAGGCCAGAAAAAGAUUACGCACCUCUAAAAAGGUCUACUGAUCAUAUAUCGAAAUUCUGGAUUCAUGAAAUAUUUUAUGGCCAAAAGUAGUCCUACAAACUCUGCUCGUCCGCCAGUAAAGUGAUCAUGAACGCAGGCUUCUCAGCCCCACAAGAUACAAACAAAUGUUAAUUGUAUCAGGUCGCCUCCUACAAGUGAUAUGAAACCAUUUCUAGUACUGGCAUGAGAGAGACAAAUGAAGCUCCUGCCACGUGAAGGAUUCCGAAUUGACAUGGAGACCAGUAGCUCCUACGCCAAGCUAAAAACAUGCCCAAAAAAGUGUGGAAUCCCCAAGCUUGGCAUUUUUUUUUAUUUUUUUUUCUCCAGACUGGUCCUGCGUUAGAUCAUCACAGGACGAAUAAAUGCCUUCACCAAGUAUGAUCUUGCGCCAGUACAGAUUGCUUCGUUAGAAGUUUCAUAAAGACCAAGUCACGAACCCGAAAGCAAAGUGCAGCAAAGUGACAAAUGAACUCAUCAAAUACAUCCAAAACUAUUUACUUUAACAGGUAUUAUGCCAAGCUUCAUUGUUAGGCUACAAUGCAAAAGCAUGUACUCUGGCAACGACGGCUAAAUAAAUCACACGGCAUGACCCCAUUUCCAGACUAGAUGUUGGCUGCUUCCUAGCUAGCUGGUCCAACCCAAAACAAGGAAAGCACAUGAAUAAAAGAGUUGCAAGUACGUUUGCUACAGAAGAAAUAGCUGGUUACCGGGUCCAUUUCCCAUAAACAUCUGGUUUUUUUGGCUGGCAAUGAUGGUGACGAGUCACAAACAUCUGGUUAGAUAAAUAAUGCAUCCAUUGAAAGAAGAACUAGAAUGGGACAAUCAAACUACAUCCAUGAAAUCCUCAUAACUAAUCUAUAUCUAUGUAAUAGUAAAGCAAUAGCAUUCCGAUUUAAAUCAAUUUGCCGAUCAAUUGAAAUUAUGGGGUGACAACUGGACUGCUGACAUGGAUGUGUCUUGUAGUGCUUAAUGAGCGUGAUAGAUCCUAUCGGUAUAUUUUAACCAGGAAGCAUCCUUUCAUUGAUUGCCGCAGAAUUCCAAAGCAGAUAGGAGCCGUGCGUCGCUUUGCUUACAUAUUUUCCAUCUGGGAACACUAAUGUAGAAUUUCAAUAUCAUUUUGUUGAGUGAAUCCGCAUUCAAACAAACUCAGUAGUUACAGAGAGUAGAACAUGCUUGUAAAGUUUCAAUCAAUCUGAUUUAAUGAUCGGAUUAAAAAUUAUAUUAAAGUUUCAAGGUGUUGUUGUAUUGGUGUGCCUUGAGAUGGUUAGACUGUCCCUUGCAAUCCUCCUGUUGGUGAUACUAGAACAAUGAAUAAUGGAUUUAAUCAUGCUGUAAGGCCAUACAAUGAGGAAAUUCUGGCUGCAUAAGUGGAAGGUAAGUAAUAUUCCUAUUUGCAUAAUCUACUUCUUUGACAAUUCUUUCACGUUUACGAUCAUAACGAGUUCAUUUCACCUGCUGCAAAAUGAUCACACAGGGAGUUCACCUCAUGUAUUUAAUUUUGGUUCUGCGAGUUCUGAAUACACCAGUAAAUAAUAAUCAGCUGAACAACCUGGACAGCAACAAAAUGGACCACCCACGUGAGAACUGGGCGAUCAGCUAGUUUUGAAGUAUAAUAGAUACAAUGAGAAAGUCCAAAACUAAUUUUGAAUGACCAUGGAGCAUACAAACAUGUAACUUUGUUUUAUAAUUGAAACAAUAAAAUAUAUCAUUUUUCUAUAAGAAUAAUGAAUCAAUUACACAACUGCAUCCCCCACGGAGUAAGAUAUCCGAAAUGGUAUGAAAGCUAAGCUUAAAACAAAUGCAGAUUAUCGUUUACUUAUAUAGAAGAUACAACAAACACAAUAGAAUACCUACAGGGAAAAAAAUAAAUAAAAGAUUCAAUAACUUGGAGAGAUGUAAAAUUGUUAGUCACCUAAUCCUCCAAUGAUGUUAUCUCCAUCUAGUUGGCUGAUGAUGUUUCCUACCACUUUCACCUUCACUUGUGUCUGAAGUCCCUUCUCCCGAUUGCUUAUCAAUGAAUUUCAUAGCAGCAUGAUUCUCUUGUUCAUAAUCAUGCUGUGAAUGGGAAGGUUCUCUCCCAACUCGACGUUCCUGCAAAAUUUGCGCAAGAAUGGAUCAAUGAGCAGGAAACUGAACCAUUAAAAGAGAGAGAUAUUCUUUCUUUAGACACCACAGAUUAUAAUUCUUUGUUUGAAAGAAAUGAUGCAUACAUACAUCACGAAAUAGCAAGUCAUCAGCCUCAAGCAUGUGGAUCACGUGUCCCAUUUUGGGCCUCUUUGUAGCAUCAGGAUCGACACAUUUAAGAGCUACCAGGAGAGCACGUUUUAAUGCUUUUGAAGCAGGCAUCUCGGGUAACUUGGGAUCAACCACUUCUUCAGAUUUUCGGUUCCCAACCAUAGUUUUUAACCAUUCUACCAGAUUCACCUGCAAUCAUUUGGUUGUUUCCAAAAGUUAUAGUUACAGCAAUAGAUAAUAAAAGACAGAAAGGAGAAAUUUUCAGAAUUAUAUGUAAAAACUAACCUCUCCUUGUGGCCGACUAUAAUCAACAGGGCUUCUCCCAGAAAUUAUCUCCAUGAUAAGUAUACCGAAACUAUAAACAUCACUCUUCUCAUUCAGCAUUCCAGUGCAAGCAUAUUCUGGAGCAACAUAACUAGAAAACCCAACAAAAUAAGAUUUAGCUUUCCUGCUUAGGAGAAUUAAAAGUCAACCAACCAUUGUCUCAAUGAACUUUCAUAUAUAAUGUUUGCAUUGCAAAUGAUUUUUUUUACAACAGAGAAAUAAAACCGGAACUCAAAUCAAAGGAAACAAACUGACCCAAAUGUUCCCAUCACACGUGUUGUGACAUAACUUCUCUCAGAAUGUAAGAGCUUGGCAAGCCCAAAAUCAGAAACCUUAGAGUUCCAUUGGCGAUCCAGUAAUAUGUUACUAGAUUUUACAUCUCGAUGAACAACCUUUGGUUCAAGACCAUCAUGAAGGUAGGCCAAUCUGCAACAACAAUAGCAGCAAACAAAAUACGUUGAGUGAAAAAUAAGAACAAAUAAUUUCAGCAACAAUGCAUGCAUCCAUAUGGAUGAUGAGUUUACUUACAAUGGAAUUCAGAAUACUUACCCUUUUGCUGUUCCCAAAAUAAUGUUCCUACGAAUAUCCCACGUUAGCGGGCUGACUUCUCCAACAUCACCAUGUAGCCAUUGGUCCAGAUUACCAUUGUCAACAUACUCGUAUACAAGCAUUCUACAUAGCAAAAACAUGACCAAUUACAUUGAGACUGUUGACAACAUGAGGCACAAACUCAAUUUUAAAUUGGAAGAUAAUUAUACGCAUACCUGUAAGCACCCUCAACACAGUAUCCAAGCAAUCUGACAAGAUUCUUGUGCCGUACUCGUCCAAUUACUUCCACUUCUACUUUGAAUUCCCUCUCAGCUUGACCCCUGAGAAUUUUCAGUAUCAUGAGCUACUAACCUAUGCAUGCAUAAUUUUAGUAGAAAGGCAGUCAAGACGUAGAUGGAAGAUUGCUGUCUGCUGCAGCAACUUCUAUUCAUAUUCCAAAAUUAUCAAUUCAGGUUCAAUUAUGAUCAAAGGCAUUUGACAAGGAAAAGUAAGGAAUCCCACAAAAGCAUGUCACUUUACAGCACAUAUCCAACCACAUGCAAGACAAGAACCAAAAAAAGAAGACACCAAUCAUAACCACUCAAGCACAGCACAGUAAUUAAAACUUAGCAAUUUUCUUCUACCAUGGAGACUUAAAGCAUACAGUAAAAUAAGCAGAUAAAUUUCAAGUUUCCAUAGUAAUUCUAAACGUAAAACAUCUCAAACAAUCCCAAGUUCAAUCCAUAACAAAUAAGAUCCAAACUUUUACCACUUCUCUUCCCCAUAUCUUCCCCUAGCAAGUAGCAACAAAUCAAAGACAAACAUGCAAUUCAUUCCAUUUUUUUUUCUCAUUAUCUAAAAAAAAACACAUGAAAAUAAUAAUAAACCAACAAAGAAAACAAUUAAAAGAACAAACUUUACCUGUUAUUCAACAAAUUUUUAACAGCAACUUUAGUCCCGUCACUCAAAACCCCACGAUACACAAUCCCAUACCCACCUUCACCAAUAACAUUCUCUUCACACAACCCACCAGUAGCAGCCUCCAACUCUCUCAAAGUAUACCACCUACCCCACCCAAGAUGCGACACUUCAGGCCCCACACUUCCACUCCCAAACGACGCCGUCUCACCACCACUAGCAGUCCCUCUACUCUCCCCACUCGAAAACACCACUCUAUGCUCCACCUUCCCGAUCCCAACCUGGAUCUCCGGCACCUGAAUCGCAUGGUGAUUGUGAUCUUGCACGGGCAAGUGCACGAUUUCUUGAAUCUCUUUAGAGAUUGGAGGGGUAGUGUCUGUCUUUGUUAGCUUAAAUUGUCGGUUCUUGCGACGUGAAGUAACGCAAAGAGAGAGGAGAAAGAGGGCAAGAACUAUUAAUGAGCCCAAUAAGAUUCCUAUGACUACCCAUAAACGGAGACCAAAGAUUGAUGUAGGUUUUGAUAGCUCCGUGUUAACAAAUGCACCAUCGUAUACAGACAUUAUUGUUGUAGAAAACAAGAAAAGAAGAAAUGGGCUGUUGUUAGAUUUACUGGGAAUAGUUAUGGAAUUGAGUUUCUUGGCUCGGUUGCAUUUGGUUUCACCGGAAAAAAAGAGGCUCCCGGCGAUUAUGAUAGAUGAGGGAGCGAAUCAAAGAUAGGCGGAGAGAGAGAGAGGAAUCAAGUGGAUAGUAAAGGGUGGAUGGGAGGAAGGAAAGAGAGAGGGUUAGCGUGUGAAGAUGAGCUGUCACUUUGUCUGUGUAAGCUAAGUUGAACUGAGACUGGACUGGCUUAAGGUUAAAUGACGUGUUUGUCCUUCGGAUUUGUAUGUGGUGAUGGUUUUUUUUUUUUUCCUAUCUAAAUUUGGAUGAAGUUAAUAUGGUAAAACCAGCACUGACCGAUCUCCGCUCACUUUUUAGCAAGAACAACAAAUUUGUUAUCAAAUCCAAGUGGUGAAAUGUAAUGGCAAUAAGAAAGCAUAACCCUUUAAUGAUUGUGAAUAAAAUAUUUACCCUUUAAAAAUUUGUUCUUUAUGCUUUAAAACACUCACUUGCAUGCUAUGCCCACCCACAUCCAAGACCAUUAUCUUAUUAAAAGAAUGGAUAUGAUUUCUCUUUCGGAUUUUAAUUGUAUAAUCAUGAUAGCUUUUAGGAUUCUAAACUAAGUUUUUUUAUAUAUAUAAAAAAAAGAAAAAGGUUGAGCAGAAGGGUAUCUUUGUAAGUAAAUUAUUUUUUUACUCUUUUAAAAUUAAAAUCCUAAAUAUAAGGAGUGGUAAAAUUAAACUUAAUUUUAAUAUCAUGCCGGCCUACGAUGAUCAUGACAGGAAGCAUAAUUUUUCAAUAAUGAAGAUGGUGUUUGACAUGGUUUCUCUUUAUGCUUUUAGAUAUUUUUAAAGGUAAAUUUUUUUUAAAAGAAGUAUUAAAUUAAAAUUUUUUAUAAUGAUUUUGAUGUACUAUCUUUAAUAUAUUUUCAAGUAAAAAUAACUUCUAUUAUCUAUUAAAAUCUUAAUUAAUUGGAAAAUCAAUCUCGUUUCAUAUCUUACCUCUCUUGACUUAUAUAUUUCUUUUAAAAUAAAGUUUUUCUUUUUGCUAAUUUUCGUAGUUUCCAUUCAUAAAUCUACAUAUGAAAACUUGAGCUGUUAUUAUUCUGUAGCCGGAGUUUGCUUUUCACGCACGAAUUUUACAAAAAAUAAUAAAAAGAUUUGAUUCCAUAUCAUUUUUUCCUCUUGAUUGUCUCUUUCUCUCUCCGGCCGGCUGUAAAUAGCGGUAUUUUCUGCAGCUGCGCCAUAAUACUUCUCUCAGGCGUGAAUCUGGCAAGUUUUAAUAAGGGGAUCUACGUGGACAUAGCUACCGAGAAUUAAUUGAAAGAAAGAGAGGGAAGGUGACCGUUGAAGGUGAUUAUGAUGUUAGGACAGAGGGAUCUCUGUUCUAUGUUUUCCUUCGUCUGCUAGUUCUUACAUACGUGUAGCAAAGACUAAGGACUGAGCUUGUGUAUAAUUUCCACAUGGCAGUUGCGCCAUAUUCGUCAACGGGUCCCAUGCUCCCAUCAAUCGCUACAUGAUGCAUUCAUGUUAAGCCAGGUGUGGGCCCAAGUCGGGCCCACAGGGGAGACUUUCGUAAAUCACAGGAGUUUGGUGGACCGAAAUCAUGGUUUAGAUAAUACUUCGGUGGUAGUUAAGGGAAAAUACAUAUAUUAAUUGUCUAGUUCAUUCUGCAAGUGCAUUUUGAAAGCUGUAAGUAAUCUUUUUGGAUUCUUUUUUUAUUAUAAUCUAUUUAUGUCAGGACACAACAGGAAAAGCAUCUUGGUUGAUUAUAGAACACCAAGUGGUGGAAAGUCCUGUAAGAAUCGAGUGGACACCAACAUAACAAUAAUGGGCUGUGUGGAAUUUGACAAAAGAUUUCUUGGUUGGUUUCGUGCCCAAUGGCAGUAGUGCUUUUCUUGAAAUCUUUCGUUACGCAUCGCAUCGCAUCGCAUCUCAUGUUUCUUUAUUGUUCUUUUCUAGCUCAUAAUUUAUCUCCUUCUCAUCUGAUUGGAGCUGGCGCUGUCUGUGGAUUUGUCGAGAGGGGUGGAUUAUGGAUUGCUGCCCUCGAAACCAAACCCAGCAUUGAGUUUCUACUUGUACCGAAUUCCAAUACAAUUUUGUAUUCGAAAUGCAACACAGCGACUGUCAAUCCAUGUACAGAGGCGGCGUAUAAAGAACAGAAAAAGGAUCUUUUUAUAGCUCUAAGAAUGAAAUAAUGACGGAAUGGCAAUCCAUCCGGUGGUUAAGCACAGGCAACUCUGCAACCUUUUCAGUAGCCAGAAAUGAAGAUAGCUUUUAAAUCUAUCUGCAAUCGCAUGACGAGAUAUGCAUAACGAUCAAAACAGAGAGCGAGACUUGAGUUAACGAGUCAUUCCCAUUCAAAACCAACUGGACUGCUCCUAAUCUUGCGCCAUGCGAGGAAAUACUAAAUUUACCAGAAAUAAGUCGAGCUUUGUAGCUCUUUUGGUGGAUACAAAGGUUCAUUCCAAAAAAAAAAACACACUCCCCCAAAAUUUGCAAGCAUAUCACAGCAGACUCAAAACACAUGAUCAACAGGUCCUGUGAUCAUUAGCUCAUACAAACAAAAUAUAUAACUAAAAUUCCAAAGUUUCCUGUUAAUUUUCACCUGUUCCUUUCCUUCUAUCCCCCUCUUCUCUGACCUGGGAAUUGAGUUCUGACAUGAUAAGUUGUUCGUGAACAAAACAAGUGUUAAGCUUCAACAAAACUCAUGUAGGGUAAUAUUACAACUGCUGACUUGACUGUUCCAGUAUCCUGUUUGUUGCAAUGAAAAAAAUUUAAUUCUGGGGUAGCCAUCCACAGAUUGCCCUUGUUAGUCCGCCUUCUUAUCUGUUUCAUCAAUUGCUGCCAGUCUUUCAACAAGGGAAGGACGGGAUAUGGCUACAGAUUGCCCUUGUUAAUCAGCCUUCUUAUCCGAUUCAUCAAUUGCUGCGAGUCUUUCAACAAGGGGAGGAUGAGAGUAGUGAUAUGCUGAGUACCAAGGAUCUGUAUUCAUAGAUGACAAAUUUUCUUCCUGAAAAAAAUUGGCACACUGUUCAGUCAUGUGCAUUUCCUGAAAAUGGAUUAGAAAAGAAUACUUUGCCAAUGUAGAACUUAGAUCCCACAAAAAUCUGAAUGCAAGAAAUAUACAGGACUCCAUCUCCACUACUGAUGGUCUGUUAGAGGGAAAAAGUUAAAAGUUCAAUAGAUCACCUGUAGUUUCACAAGACCACCCCGAAGAGCAGAGCCAUAACCAAGCUUUUUAGCAAAAGCAUCCGCCUAAUCAAACAAUUACAGUAAGUGAGAUCAAGGACUUGAGACACACAGAAACAAGGAGAGAGGGUGUGAGAGGUUACCUGAAAUUCAAAAGAUCGGCUCACCAGAUUAAGGCCAAAGCUUACAAGGUGUUGGAGAGGUAUUACAGUAUGCUGCAAAUAAGCAACCAAGUCAGAUAAACCCAACCACAACCAACUUUUGUAUCAUAUAACCCCCCCCCCCAACACACACACUAAAAAUCCCAUAAGCAUUUCUUUUCCUUCACACAGCAAUUCUUUUCAUAUCAGCAAUACCUGAAAUAUGAUCAGACCGAUGAGCACUGGCUGUGUAUCAAAUCCAAAACUUCGGAAGAGAUCAGUUGAGUUCCUCACAAGAGUGUAUCCUCCAAAUUGUAAAAAUGUUAGAAUCUGCAGAACAUAAGAGCAUUAAAAAAAAAACAAUGAAUCAUACACCGGUUAUAAGCUCACAAAUAAAGUCAAAGGACACCUAUAGGAGGAUGGUUGGUAAAUUCUUAAACAAAACACUGAACUCUCCUACCAAAACACAAAUUGAGAUUCAAAAAUAUGUUUCAGGCUUUUAGCAUGUAUUAAAAUUUUCUUGUGCUUCAAUCCAAGAUGUUUUGGCACUAUUUUCUCAUCAGGCCCAUGAACAAAUCCUCUGAGGUUUGAAUCUCAAACCAAGGACUUACAGUCUCAAAGAACAAGAACAUUCGUGUCAAAGUUUUCUCCGAGCAUUUUCUUGAUGAUAGCUCUCAGAAGAUGCCUUUCAGAUGGUAUAUAUGGUAUUUCAAUAGCAUUUUAGUGCACAAAUAGGAGCAAAGUACAAAUCAAUUUGCAAGAAAACAAUUACUGCAUACCUGCACAGCAAUGAACGAGUACAUUGUAUGAUUGAGUUUCCAAUGUCCCAGUUCAUGGGCAAUAACAGCUACAAUUUCCUCAUCGUCUUUGCACUGCAAAGAAUCACAUAGAUGUAAAGACACUUUCACAAUUUAUGAAAAAGCAAAGCCAUAUUUCAACCAUAAAGUCUAAAUGAGGGCAAAGCCUAAAUGGUUCACACACAAAGUUGCCCAGGCUGUCAGGAAGAGUAGGAAAUUAAGAAACUGGUAAAUAGAUUGCACAAUUGCCUUAGUCCUUACAUAAAUCACAUUGAAAAUGCUUCUAUGGAUGGAUUGUAAGUUACAUCAAACAGGUCCUCCCCAGUUGGAUAGCUACUGUGUAUUUGUUAAAAAAUGCAAAACUAUAUUUCUUCAAGACUACAUGGAUAUCAGUAUCAAAAAAAUUUAAGCAGGCAAAGAGCCUACGAGACAGCCCCUUGGAACUUCUAAAAAGAGAAAUCCAAGGCAAACACUGCAAUUCUAUCCAUUUGAAUUAGCCAGGGAGAAUGUCUUCCAACAUAAGAACUGACAAGGAUCUAAAUGGAGGCAGUACAACCAAAAAUGGCCACAGUCAGUAACCCACACCCAUCAGGUUUAUAAUCUGGCUAGCAGCCAGUAUUUCACUUCCCAUAAAUAGCAAAAUCCAACCUUUAAUUCUUAGGUUCUAGGUUAAUAAUGUUGGAGGAUAAGUAUCAGAUCGGAGUUAGAAAAUCUGGUGCAAGAUUUGAUCAAAUCCAGCACCUCAAGAUCAGGAAUGGAGGACUUCCAAGGACUGAUUUCAGUGGAGAAGGCUCGUUAAAAGAUUAGAUGAAACUAAGAUCAUGAAAGAAACCUAACAAGUGAGGAAGAUGGGAAAACCUAACACCAGACUACAGUUCAGAAGGAAUCACUUACUAUAAACCCUUAGGAACACACCUAAAAAAGAACGCAUGAGACAUGCAAUUUAGCAUGACAUCCCAACACAUGCAAGAAAAAAAGAAGGCUGAAAAUUUUUAUUUCCUUCCCCCCAAAAUAAAAUUUUACAGGGCAAUACAUAGCCCAUUUGGGAAGAUAUUUCCUAGAAAAAUUAUUCAUAAUUAAGCAACUAAGGGGGGUUCCUUGAGGAGACAUACACGAGGAAGUUAUCUAAAGAGGUUGCUUCCAAGUUGCUGGGCACCUAAGGCGCACAGGAGGGGAGUCCUUUUAAGGACAAGCCGUCUACUCAGUAAAGAGGCUAUAGAUUCAGCAGCUUGACCAGAAGCCACUAACUGGCAUCAUACUGUUCAUACUUCUAGUAUGUUGGGCAAGAUUACAACAGAACCAUUAUCCCUAAAUACAACACUGUUUCCUCAAGCUGUUGAGUGAACCCAGCAACUAUGUUGAAUGAAUAUCCAAACAUUUUCAUCAUUCUGUAUGCGUUUUAACUUCCAAGAAGGCAACCAACAUCAUGAUUGAAGUUAACAACUGUACUCGGUGCAUGACACGACUAGGACAACAUUAGUAUUUUUAAUAUAAUGCUAUUUCGACAAUAAAAACACUAGUGGUGCCUAUAUUUCACACAUCUUGCUUUAAACAAAAUAAGGUUAUCAAUAAAAAAUGGACAGAAAAAAUUUGUAGUUUUCAUGAGAAUACACUUCAGUUUGAUAAGAUAGAAAAAAAUCCAGAAAGAAAGGCUUCCUCACCUGCUGAAUCAAUGUGUCAUAAAGUACAAUUCGCUUGUUCUUAAAGAAUCCAUACAUAUAGGCCUGCACAUUGUUGAUAGAAUAUGAAUUUGAUCUACAACAGACUAGUAAAGCACAAUUUUAUUGUGAAAGUACAGAUGACUUGACGAUAGAGAAAGCGCCUGCAACCAUGUAUGAUAACACUACGAGAAAUGAGAGCUGGCCACAUGUAAUGCACCUAUCUAAUGCAUUUUUUUUCUUCACUCUACAAAACAAAUAACUCGUCAAGGUGGCCUGCAAACACAUCUUAAACCCAACCCCAACCACCCAAAAAAAGAAAGAAAAAAGAAAAAACACAGAUAGCCUGAGCUUUUGGUACAAGUUCCCCUGCAAUUUUUCUGUGAGUAAUACCAUUAGUUUACCACAGUUUGGCCAAGAAAAAUAGAUAUUUCUUUUCAUUACAAAGCAAGGAACGUGGUAGACAUAAAUAGGGAGGAGAAGCAUUGGUUAACUUCAUGUUGCAGAAACAGAAGGGAUACAAACAAAACAAAACACUGUAUAAUCGAAGAAAAGGUUGCAGGUAAUGCUGAGAAACCUUGAUAAACAUAUUAAAAUAAGAAUACUCACAUUGCUAUGGCUUGACCUUGUGGAUCCAUCUACAACGAACAACUUCUUUAAAGGAAACUUGAGGGAGGAAGCAAGUUUCUCAAUUUUCUCUCUGAGCUCUCCUUCUGGAAGCUAUUUGUCACAUCAAAAGUAGGGGGGAAAAGAUUACUAAUUGAGCAUGACACAGGUCUGAAUGAAUUUCACAUUUUCAAUACUCACAGGGGUGAACUUGUUGAAGAGUGGGGCAAUUAAAACUGGGUAGAGUGUCAUCAUGACAAGAGAAAGAACAAACAUGAAUGCCCAUAGAUAAAUGGCCAGGUAAGGACCUCCUUUCUGCAACCAUGCAAAUGAAAAUUCAACAGUGUGGGAAGACUUGUUCAUUCACAAAAGCAGGUAACAGAGCUGUAACUUGUAAGAGCAUUUUUAGAAUAAAAGCUGCCACUUAUUCCAAAUCAGUAUCAUUAAUUCAGGAAUAAAAAUGACCAACUACUGUCAACAGACAGUGAUUAAAUGCUGCAAAUAACUGGCCACUUCAUCAACACUGGCAGAUAAAAGUACCUGUACUAUUAAAAUAAUUGCUGAAACAAUUGGGGGGCCAAGUAGAAUGGCAAGGCAAAUUCCUUUGAAUAAGUCCCUAAAGAACAGCCAUAUUGUUUGCUGUACAGAUGGAAAAUAAAUUAGAAUCACACGAGAGAUAAGAUAUAAAACGGAUUGGAAAUCAAACAACUAUAAAUUUUAUACCAGUGCACGUACAAGUAAAAGGAAUGUAGAUCCACCAACAAAGAAUUAGUAUUCUAACAAGUAACAAGAUGUGUGAAAAUCACAAGAUGUGAGAGUGAAUGCAAACCUUGUUGAAGCCAUGGCGGGCCUCAAUCACAAAAGUUGAAUAGAGAGAGAAUGGCAAAUCUGUAAUCUGCAUAAACAUAUUUCAAAACAAUCAAUCAAAUAGUAUCGAUGGAGAAACUUAAAAAAUUGUACUUAUUUGCAUGCAUUUGCUUACAAGGGUGCCACAAUCCAAACAGGAUUCCAAAAAAUGCAAAAGACUGAUAAUCACCAGCGAAAAUGGAAUAAAAUUGAUUUCUUUGCUUAAAAAAAUGAAUAACAGAAUUACUGUGUUAUUAAUUAUAUAAGCAAACCCAAUUAUAAUAUCCACACAAUCAAAAAGCAAAGCAAUAUGCAUGAUGAAAGGAUACUGGUUUAGACCUUAUAGAACACCCUUCUGAAGAGGUAAAAACUCAAAUAUUAUAAACCAGAUAUUAUUUAUAUUAAAAAAAAGUCUUGUCUGUGACAUAUACUAUUACAUCAGAAUUAUUAGCUCGGUCUACAAACAGUGUCAUCAACCAGGGAGUCUCUGCUACAGAGACUGACAACACUCCGCCAGCUCACCUCUUUCAAGAUGUAGAUUCGGAAUUGGAAAUUGUUGAUGUCAAUGUGCAUGCUCUGAAUCUACACACCACAACUAUUACACAAAAUAACCCAGCCUCACCUGUGUAUAUUCUUGCUUAAUAAUCUUAAAAAUAGCUGUGAACAUUGAGUGCUCAAUUCAAAUGUGAAAAAUAGCACCUAACUAAUUGUGCGAGAAAAAAGAAAAGUAAAAAUAACUGAAAUCACAGACCAUAAAUCUUAAACUGUUGUAUAAAAGGCAGGCAGCAUAAAUACGGUGGUUAUUAUCAGCUACAGUAAUUAGAAAUCAUGUGCAAACCUGUGACCAUAUCAUAACACCAGCCAAAAAAGCAAGGGUGUGGAGUAUUUCAUUCUCCUCAUUGAAACCAGCCAAAACCACAAAGCUUCCUGAUUUCUGCAGAUACAAAAAGAAUUGGAUGGUGACAAUACAACCACAGAGUAGCUCCACUAACAUUGCAGCAAAGUACUUACCUUCCAAAACCAAGGCAAUAUCCCAUAGAACAAAAUAGCAGAGUCCAGAAGUAUAGUAACAAAUUCAUGAACAAAAUUGAAGUGGCUGAAAGUUAAGAGAUUCUUAGUGAGAAUCAAAGAAAACAUGCACUAAGAAUCAGAUUAGGAAAAGCUAAAAGAAUCAAUGCUAGCUAGUUGCAAUAAAGAAAAAACCUUUUAUCAAGACUAUAAGCUCGAGAUUUUUCAAACUUCUCCUGGCUGAUUACUCCUACCAGAGUUUUUGGGAGAAUUGGCAGUUUCAAAGCAGCACGUUGUCGCAAAUCCAAAUAGGUCUCAAAGAAAUACACGAGAAUCAUAAAACCUGAAAAAUCAGGACAAACCAAAGCAGUUGUUAGAAUCUCCAUAACAUAAAGCAUCCAACCACUGAUCCAAAUGUCAAAAAGAUUCAAAUAAAGUGUGACAAAGAAGCAUCAAAUUGCAACUAACACAACUGAUGUGUAUCUUAAUAGCCUCUAACUGUCGCAUUGUCAGCUGAUAAAUAUCAAAGAUACUAACAACAAAAGCGGAUGCAAAUGUUCAUUAGCAGCUCCUGCUAUUGGAGCAGGUGUGUUACCACAGUUGCACCUAUGGUGCAUCCUCAAUCAUCUAGCCCUAAAUUUGGUAGCCCUAAGAAACUCAGAAAAAUAAAAUCUCGAAAGUUGUCUCUAACUUUAGUUUCUUAGAAAUGAGAAAGCCUCAAACGAGCAUUAAGAAACAGUAAAACAAAAUGUUUUUUUCUUUUGUUGACCCAAGAUAUUAAAAAAAAAAAAAAAAACUUUUACCAUUCAACCUAAAUUUCUUCUUUUUCACUGAUUUUUUUCCCUCAGGAACCAAGAAAAGAUUUGUCUUCAUAAAUAAACUCCGGUACUUAAAAAAAAAAAAAAAAAAACCAAUAUCCAUGUUAAGAACCUCGAAUAAGCAUCGCCGUAACAGAAAUGUAUAAAAGGAAAAACAAGAUAAAAUCAAGAAAUGAAUAAAAAUUUAACGCAAGCUAAACCCUAAUAGAUGGCAAUCGCAAAAUAAUCGAAAAUUUUGUAGAAGAAUAAACGAAGCGUUAAGAGAAAGAUAAUGAGCUAAGAAUUAUUUUUUGAGUUGGGAGAUAAAGAUUAAAGAGAGAACAUAUACCAACUACAGCUUCCAUGUAAGGAAACGCCAUGGUCGAUACUCGAGGAAUCUGAGAGCUGCAGAGAGAAACAAAAAGGAGAGGUUUCUGCCUUAGCUUUCUUCAAGUGACGGUCAUGUUUGUGUUUUAUGAAAUUUUGGGUGUAAAGUAUUAAAUUAGAUAUCCGGUCGACCCGAAUGUUUUUUUUUUGGACUAGGAUUGACCCAUAUUUAUAACCCGCGUACGUGGGCUUAUACGAAAAGAAUUUUCUGGAGCUAGCAUGAAGAUAGCCCGUUUUGCUUGCAGUGGCACGUGCGUUUCACGUCAAAAAAAAAAACUAAAGAAUUCUUGUUGUUUUAAUAAUUUUUAAAAUUUAAAAAUAAUAGUAAAGGAAGGUUCAAUGGGUUUCAGGCUAGAAGAUGAGAAGAAAUUAUUCUCAUCCCUAAAUUCCAUUCACCUUUUUUUCAAGUUAGAAUAUAAAAAUUUUAGAUAAAAAUCUCAACUCUUAACCGUUAGGUUACAGGGCUGUUUUCUUAAUUUAUUUAUCAACUUAUUAACGAAAAUAAUGCACAAAAAAUCGUUUUAAACAAGGAUGGUGUGACUUUAAUUGGCAUUUCUCUUUAUUUUAAUAGUUGGAUUAAAUCUAAAGACACUACAUUUUCGUUAACAUGUGCUUAAAAAACACUAAAUUUUCAUAGAGUUUUGUACGGAAUAGUGAUAUCGUGCAGAAUUUUGAUCAAAGUUAAAAGAGCUUUAAAUUUAAAAAAUAAUGAUAUUUAUUUAUAAAUUUUAAAUGAUUUAAUACUCUAAAAUCUAUAUAAAUUUAUAUAAUAGACACUUUUAUACGAAAAUGCACCAGGACCAUAUGAUUUCAUAAUGGUACGGAUUUAGGCAAAGGACAUUAUUAACUCUUUUCAAAUAUACUCACCUAGAUUGGUUUUUAUUUCCCAUAAAAGCUUGCAUAGCACCAAUAAGAUAGCAUAGGCUUACAAAUCUCUAAGAGAAAAACCAUGAGGAGCCUCUACUUAGAAAAAAAAUUUAAGAGGUGGAGAAAUCUAUAAAGAAUGAACAUGUACUUAGAAAUAUUUCUAGGUGGUUGAGGGGAACUAUAGAAAAAACCAUUUCAAGGACUCUUAUCUUCGAACUCAUUGGAGAACUCUCACUAGAGGAACUCUUUUUAAAGGAACUCUCAUCUUCAAACUCAUUGGAGGAACUCAUUCCAUUGUAGGUUGUACUUAAAAAAUUUCUAGAUGGCUAGGGGAAACCCAGUGAGAGUGAGCCUGUACUUCAAAAAUUAUUUAAUAGGAUAAAAGGAACCCAUGAAGGUAGUGUUAUUGUAUUAAGGAGACCUCAUAUCAAUCUCUUAAAGAGUGUGUUAUUGCACUAGGAAGACCUCCAUACCAAUCCUAUAUGUUAUUGUACUAGGGGGAUCAAGUCAAUCAUUUAUUUGGUAAUUGUAGGGCUAUUGCCUUAGAAAGACCAGGUUAAUCCCUUCCUUGGUAAUUGUAGGGCUAUUUUUCUAGGGAGACUAAGUUAAUCCCCUUCAAGGAGAGUGAUGUUAUUACAAUAAGGACACCUUAUACCAAUCGCAUAGAGAGUGAUGUUAUUGCACUGAGAAGAACAAGUCAAUCCAUUUCUUUAAUAAUUGUGGGGUUAUUGCUCUGGGAAGACCAAGUUUAAUCUCUUCAUUGGUAAUUUUACCCUGUUAGUAUUAAUAAGAAAUAAAUAUCUCUUACACAAGCAUUAAUAAGAGAAAAUAUGGUCUUGAGGGAUUUUUUAUACACCAAAAGGUAUGAUCUAUAAUGCAAUUGAGCCCAUGGGAGUAGAGCUCUUCCUCUAGACUGGCCCAUAAAAGUUAGGCUCUUCGUCUAGAUUAAACCUAUGGGUUUUUAGGCUUUCAUGAGUUUUUUUAAGUCUGUUAAAUUUGGGUUCAUCAAUUAACUACUUUAAUUCACCAUAUGUUUUUUCAGAGCUUCUUAUGCGAUAAUGUGAAUGGAUACAACGAAUACUGACUUAUAAGUGAUGUAGAGAGAUGGAGAGGCAUAAGGAAGGAAAUGGUGGUGGUAGCAGCAAUAGUAGUAGUUAUUAACGUUUUUAUCCCUAAUGAUAGAUAGAUAGAUAAAUAGAUAUAAUGAAGAAAAGAGUCACGGCGGUGAAACAGAUUUAUGUGGGUCCCACUUCGGGUUUGAGAGUUAAUUUAUCAAUGUCAGUUAAUUAUCGAAUUCCUUAUCUCCUUCCUCCUGAUUGCAAUCUGAAGUUUCACUAACCAUAUUAAUUUUGGUUAUUAUGAUGUAUUAAUCCCAACGCUCCUUUCCAUUAAUGGGUAGAACUAGCCUCGAUGUCCACCUUUUCUCGUGGGGCUAAAAAUGUUUAUCCAUAAAAAACAUGUUCAAGUGCUGUAAGUGAGUUCGAAAAAAAAAAGAAUAUGUGAUUUAGACUACAUACGAUAAUUAAAAAAAAAAAGCAAUUACAGCAUAUGAAUAAAAAAUAAAAAAUGAUCACGAAAACUUGAGGAAAAAAUAUAUAUUUUUAAGUGGGACAAAUGAUAACUCAAUUCACAACUCAUUAAAUACAUGAAGACAAAAUAGGGUAAAAAAACCUAAAAACAUCAGCUCUUAUCAACCUAAAUUAACAUGACAAACAUGUAAUUUUGAUAAUUAGGGUCGAAUCAACUCGGGAUAUUCCGUCAAAUUGACGACCCAAAUCAUUAGAUCGAAAUAUCCCGAUUGAAAAAAACAAAAAAAAACUAUAAAACUCAUUUAAAAAAAAAUUAUCAACCAGUGUUAAUUUUUCAAAAUUGUAACCCUAUUUAAAAAAAAAUCAUGAAGCCUAAUUUCUAAUCAAUCAAAUAUUGAAGGUUGAAAUUGAAAAAAGAAUUUCAAUUGUACAAAAGGAUUUGAAACAAAAAAAAAACAAUUAAAAGAAUGAGUAUCAAAAUUGGAAUGUAAAAUAAAUUUUAUAUUUGAUUGAAGGGCGAAAUUAAAAAGAAAGAUCAAUUUAGUAUAAAGACCCAAAAAAUCAAAAAGAUGAUGAUCAAAAUUGACAUAACAAAUAAAAACAAAUUUUUUAUUGAAUGGUGAAAUUGAAAAGAAAAAUAACUUUAACAAAAGGAAAAGAAAAAAAAUGAGAACCAAAUUGGUAAAAAUAAUAUAACAUAAAUUUAGAUUGAAUAAUGAAAUUGCAAACAAAUAAAACUUUCACAAAAGGAUAAGAAAAAAAUCAAGACAAUAGGAACCAAAUUGAAAGAAAAAAAUACCAUAAAUUUGGAUUGAAGAAUGAAAUUGAAAACUAAUAAAACUUUUUCAAAAGUGCAAAGAAAAAAAAUUAGAAAUCAAAAUAAUAAAGACUGAAAUUUAAAUACCAACAACAAAAAAGAUCAAACUGUAAUUUUUUAAAGGAUGAGAGAGAAAAUAAAAAAAUUUCACCAACAACAAACAACUCCACCACCGUUGACACGAGCCACACGGAUGUGGUAGUGCUUUCAACAACACAAAGAAAAGAUGUUUUUUACUACAAAGAGGUGCUGCACAUACCUCUUAAAGUGCACAAGUGUCUUUCACACGUCGACGAGUGCUUCACAGCACCGAUAACUUUUUAUUUUUUAUUAUAUUUCUUUCUUUAUUGAAAGACCUAAUUGUUACUCAGCUGACUUGAUAAUAAUAAAAAAAAUCAUUGUGAAAAGAUAAAAAAACCUCUUGGAACUAGUUUUAAAUUUUUAGCUUCCAAUAGUAUCUUGGUGAUUUCACUAUAUGUUUUGUUCUUUUUUUUUUAUUAUUUUAUAUGUCUAGUUAAAUAUUAAAUUGCCCCUCAUAUAACAUUAUAACAUUAUGAAUUAUGUUAAAAACAUUGUAAAAAUACAAAAUUGUCUUAUAAUUCUAGUUUUAAUUUUUUUUUAUUCAAAUGGUAUUUUGAUUGUUUUAAUGUGCAAUUAAAAUAAAAUAAUGUAUUUAUCUCUAAUUAAUUUAAUAAUUACUAACACACCUUGUAAAAAGAUCUCAAUGCCCUCAACAACCAAUGUUUUUUUUUUUUUAAUAUGAGAGGCAAAACUAUCAUUACAUUCAUCUAAAUGAAGAAUAAAGUUUUUCCAAAGAGAUUUAGCUUCUGUUAAUGCAUGUUUUUAAUGUAUUUGCCCCCCUCCCCCUCCCCCUCCCCCUCGUGGAAACUGGAAACUAACCAAAAAAUAAAAGAAUUCCAACCAGCAAUGCUAGCUGUUAUUUGGUGUAUACUCGCCGCUUCGCUAACCAAUAUUCCCGUCAGUAGUGAGUAGAGAAUGCAUGCUUGAACACCAAAAGUUGGUUGACGUAUUCAGCCAUCAACAACCUUGACAAAAUUGCUUCUCAGAAUUCCCGCAAUUUCACAAGGCGUGAUGCAGUAGCAUAUGAGUCAUGCAAUGCAUGUAGCCAAGCAUGCUCAAUAAUCACAUGUCUUUGACACCAAUAUGCAGUCUGAAUAAUGGACAUUUGAAGAACGACACGUUGCGUUGCAAAAUAUUACAUUGAUCUUCCUUUGAUUUUUUAUGAACUCGUUCUCCAAAAUAGAUUUUGAGGGAAACAGAUUAGAUAAAUCUUUCGUCUGUUGCAUCAAAUUUGGGAUCCAACAAAUACUGCAUGGAAAUGGUUGAGACUUGGAUGGGGAUAAUAACUCUUAUAAUCAUCGCCUACUCCUUUCCUUCGAUUUUGAAUCAGAGUGGUGCGCCUUCGAUUUCUUCUUGCGAGGCUGAACGGCACCACCACCUUCUAUAAAUGGCAUACCCAUGAGAGACAAGAGUCUCUGCGCUUCUUGAUCGGUGUUGGCUGUGGUUGUAAUGCAAACAUCCAUUCCCCUGUGUUUACCAACUGCAUCAAAAUCAAUCUCUGGGAACACACUCUGGUCGCUAAUUCCAAUGCUGUAGUUGCCUUGUCGAUUAAAGCUGUUUGGGGUCCCACCUUGGAAAUCCCUUGUUCUAGGCAGCCCCAAGUUAACAAGUCGAUCUAAGAACGAGUACAUCAUCUGUAAUAUAUAAUCAAGGAUCCAAGUUACAAAAUUUCCAUGUAAAAUUAAAAAGAAUGCAACCAGCAAAAUGCACCAGGAUACAAAUUUGGUAAUGAGAUGAACCUGUUAUGAUCUGAUCUGAUCUAAACAGCAAGUAAAACCAGGACACGAGCAACAAGAUCAAUUGCUGACAAAUUACAUGAUGUGUUGAUUCAAGAUCAAAGUGGCAUGGGAGUGUGUACAAGUAUAAGAAUGCCCUACUCGGAAGCACAGACCAUUGUGAUAAAAGACAGAAGACUGAAAACAAGCUCUAGCAUAGAGCUGAAAAGGAACAAAUCUCCCACAGUAGAGUAUUGGUGAUCAUCUUGAUACUCUACCUAUGGACCAUAGCCAUCAUAUCUACCGUGUUUCUUCUAAAAUCUCUUUGAGGAGCAUUGCCAUCAUUGAAGUGAAUGGUCAUACUCAAAGAAUCCAUCAUCUUGAGCAAUCACUAUAUCUCCCUCGUGCAGAAGUGAAAACCAAAAUAAAAAAAAAAUUCAUACACUAUCAUUCAAAACUUGACAGUAAGCCUCAAAUCCUGUUUAGAAUCGGAGUUUAAAAGCAUUUUUUCUGAGGAUCAAACGAGAGAAAUCCCAUCAUCUAAUCAAAGUGAGAAGCUCAAUUCCAAAAAUCAAUAACUUUUCCUUCCCUAAUAGCCAGUAUCAUCGGCUAAGCUAAAUGCCCCUACCAUUGAUCUACAUGCUACUAAAAGCACACAUCGUCGAAUCAGCCAUGAAAAUAAUUAUCACAAAAUUAUGCAUCCUGGCAUUUCUUCUCUAUCUAUAAGGAAGCUCCAGAUAUGCAGCAUCAUUCACCCUUGCACCUGUAACUUCAACUAUACCCAAGCAGCUUCUCCCAACAGAUCCAUCUUUAAAAUCAUUUUCCUCAAAGCCCCCUCAAAAACUACAACACCCUUCCAAAACACAAAAGAAGAAAUCUUGCGCUAUGAUGUCCAGAUAACAUGUAGCCUCUAGAGUUUAGACUCCUAGCUAACUUUAUCAUGAAAUGUGUAGCCACAGCCAUGAACAUAAACAAGAAAAUUCGAUAAAGAGAAAAAACAAAAAUGCUCACAUUUCCUCUGAGUGUAACAUAAAUACCAAGUGGUCGGGCUUCCCUACUCUUGAAGGCAUUAACCGCAUUCUCGGCCCCCGUCUUUACGGGUCUUUGGCCUGUGAUAAGAGCCAAAUCAUUUAUCGCUGCCUCCACCUCCUUAGAACUCUGCGCGGCAUCUCCAAUCCCACAACUCACCACAACCUUCUGAAUUCUUGGAACCUAAAGAAAUGAGAAAUCCAGAUUUUAGCAAAUUGCUAAUUAGAAUAACUUUAUCAGUAAAUUGGAAAAUUUUUAAAGAGUUACCUGGUCAAUGUUGGUGUAACUGAACUCUUGUAACAGCAAAGGGACGAUUGUUUCAAGGUAUGUGGUUUUGAGCCGAAUGCUUUUGUCUGCUUCUGAUUUGUCCACCAAGACAAAUUCUGCAGUGGUUCUCACUGAUAUCACCCCAUUCUGGGUUCCGUACGGUGCUCGUGCGGUUAAGCGCGAUGGGAGAGUGGGGAAUCGGCCGUGAAACGACGCCGCCAAGGAGCGUAAGAGCGAAUGAGUGGCCAUUUUUCUGGUUUGAAGGGAGGGGGUUGGACUCCGAGAUUCUGUUGGUAGGGUUUAGUGUGCGGGGUUGUGAAAUGGGUUCGAAGGUUGAACUUAUUUACGCAAGUGCCAUUUAGGUUGAUGCUGGCGUGGGUGUGUUGUAAAUUUUGGGAAUUGUUUUGUCAUGGUGAGAGGAUAAGAGGGAUGGCAAAUUACGAUUUUGCCUUUUUCUUCAUGGGAAAACAAUAAAUGUUGUGGUGAUAAAAAAAAGUUAUUCUCAGUCCGUGCUAUCCCUCUUGUGAGCGAGAGGAAAAAAUCAAAAAAUUGAUUAAAUUGAAAAAAUUAAAAAAAAUAAUUGAAAAAACUAAAUAAUGAAAAAAAACUGAUUAAACCGAUUAAAAUUUAAAAAAAAACUGGCCGGUUCUGUUUGGUUCUGGUUUUAUAAGCCUGAAACCGAAAAAACCGAACCGAACCGAACUCAAACCGAAAAACAGGAAAAAACUGAGCCAAACCAGAAAAACCGAGUCAGAAUCAGAAAAAACAGAGAAAACCGGUUAGAACCGGUUUUUGUUCUAAAAAACCGAACUGAAACCGGUCGGUUUGAACCGGUUUCGGUUCGGUUUUAGUUUUUUUUAAAAAAAAUUCAGUUUGGUUAUUUUUUUAAUAAAAACUGAACCGAACCGAAAAUCAUCAUCCUUAUUUUUAACUGUGGUAGCUGUAGUUUUGUUUUUUAUUAUUAAUAUGGGUAUUUAAACCAAUUUUUGUAUAUUUUAAUUAAUUUUAUAAAUUUUAAAAUUAAUAAAUAUUUUAAUAAUAUAAAAAACUCGAAUUCAUGAUGAUUAAAAAAACAAACUCAAUAACUGUUACCCCUCAGAAUUGCAAUUGCAGUUCUUACAUUGCGAAACAUCAUGUAGUAGAUUUUUUCUCCAGCACUUAUUAGAAGCAAGAAAUAAGUGUGGAAGGAGAAUAUAAUAUACAGAAUAAUUUUGCAAGUUAAAAGGAAUCUUUGCUAGAGUGGUUGCUUUGUAUUGUUCAAUAGUCAAAGCAAUAAUUAUUAUAUUUAUAUUAAAAGAAAAUGGUGUUUUCAUGUAUAAAUAACAUAAUUAUAAAUUUUAUAAUUUUUUUAUUAUAGCAAUAAUAAAAUUAUAAUUUUUUGUUUUUUUAAUAGGAAGCAAGCUUUUUUUAUAUAUUUUUUUCUCUUUUUAUAUUUAGUAUUUUUAUCAUUUUAUACUUGGCCUAUUUAUCAUUAUUUUUUUCUUAUCUUUAUUUUUUUAGUUUUUUCUUUUUUUUCUUUACAAUUUUUUUCAAAAAAAUAAAUAUUAGUUUUAACACUUUGAAUAUUUAUCCCUCUACACUUGGCUUAUUUAUUUCAUUUUUUUGUUCUCAUAUUUAUUAUUUUGUAUUUUUUUAAUUUUUUUUCUUUACAUUUUUUUUAAAAAAAUUAUUAUACAAAGACUAAGAAAAUUGUUUUUUAUUGUAGCAAUUGCAACAUAAUUUUUUUUUCUGCUACGUUAAAAAUUAGAUUGAGAUCUUAUAUGUUUUUAUUAACGCAUAUGAUAUUCACUAUAUUUUAUUAUAUAUAAGCAUUAACUUUUUAUUCACAGUUAUAUUUUUUAUCCGAAGUAAAAAAAAAACAUGUUAACAAUACAUACACAUUAAUUUUUUUGCAAAAAAAAAUAUUCAACCUGCAGCGAGGCGAGUUAAAUAGACGCAUUAACACUUUGUUUUUUAUAUUUAUUGACACCGAUAAUUUUUGAUGUAUUUAAUUAAAUAUACGCGUAGACUUUUUAAUUUUAAAUUAGUCUUAUAAAAAACACAUUUAGAAAAUUUACAUAUUUUUUUAUCAAAAAAAUAAAAUUAUUCAACUGAGGAAGCAGGUCAAAUAACUAGUGUGACUAAUUCAUGCUAAGAGCGCAUGACAUUUGAUUAUUUGGAGAAAUUUGGCUCGGCAUUUGAUUGGUUUGAGAUAUUUUUACAGAUAGUAGGAGUAACAGCUUUUUGUUUUUUCAAAAUUUAAUAAAUAAUGACGUGAAAUUUUAGUGUGAUGGGUGAAAUUUUAGUGUGUUGUGACUCUAAUCAGUAUAGGUGUUUUUAAAUUGAAAAUUUAUUAAAAUAAUAUUUUUUAACACAUUAAAAUAUUUAAAAAAAUAUUCAUUCAAAGUUUUUCAAGUAUAAAAUAAUUUGACAAAAAAGUUCAAUCAUAAAAAUAAACACUCCCUAAAAUUAGGCUGUUAGGAGAGAUAAUUUCUAAGAAAUUUCUUAAGUUUUUACAAGUUUAAGGUAUUUUUGAAACAUUAUGAAAAAAUUAUGAAAAAUUAAAGGAAGAAGGCAUGGCCACCCUAGUUGACUCUGAAAUUGUUUUAGAUUCCGUUUAGUACUGUGAUAGUAAUUAUUUUUUAAAAUAUUUUUUAUUUGAAAAUAUAUUAAAAUAAUAUUAUUAUUUUUUUAAAAUUUGAAAACAUGAAAAAAAAAUUAAAAUGUAUAAACAAACAAAAAAUAAUAAUAGUUAUGCAUGAAGUUUGAGUUUGUGAUGACAUUGACACCAAAGGUGAUUGCCGUGGGAAUAUAAUGAUAAUAAUGAUAGAGAAAGUACAUGGAAUUGAUAAUUAGGUGAUGGUAAUGAAUAUAAGUUAUUGCCAUGAAGUUGGUGGUAAAAUAAUGAUAACGGUGGUAUUAUGAUAGAUAAAUUAGAUAAUUGGCAUAUAAAAUAAAAGGAAAUAGUGAAUUAAUAUAACAAUAAUUUUUUUUUUGGUGAAAUAACAUAUUUUUUUUUUUAGAUAUUAUGGUUUUAAAAUAUAAUGAUGGAUUAAAAGUAGUGUUUUUUUGUUGUCAUAGUCACAUCAAUUAAACUUCAUGAUUGUCUGAUCAACCGUUCCAUAAUAGUCAGUUAAGUUAGCCGAUCGGCUAACACUAAAAAACAGAGAUAAACUUCUAUGUGAACACUAUUUUUUUUUUUAAUUGAUGUAUUUUUUUUAGCCUCUAAGUUUGGCAAACAUGUAUAUUUUGACUCAUAAGAUAUAUUUAAAAGAAAAAAAUUCAUAAAAUCUUAGUUUUUGUGUGAACCAGUCGACCGGUUUAUAUAGCUGGAUCAAUCGACUGAUCGGUUAAGCCAGACGAUUGGUAGUGAGGCUACUAACCCAUAUAAAUUUAAUAAAAAAAUAGUUUUUUAUGAGAUUUAUUAUUUAAUUUAUUAAUCUGACAUUUAAUUUAGUCAAUGAUUUUAUAGAGUUAAAAAUUUUAUAAUUUUAACAAAAUUUUGGUAAAGUUUCUCCUGUACAGGAACUAUACUCAAAAUUUUAUCCUGUUUAAAAAAAACCCGCAGAAAACAACAAUAAUCAAGCUCAACAAAUUUUCACAUUUUAUAAUCACAAGUAAACCUAGAAAUGCAAAUAAGAAAACAUAUAUACAUGCUAGAUGAAUCUAAAAUACUUAAAUAAUACAACAUUCAAGUAAUCAAAAUCCCAAAAUAUAUAAACAUAACUCAUCUAUCUAUCUAUCUAUAUCCACAUAGUCUACUGGAUGAUUCGGGCUUAUCAGUUUAACGACUAGAUCCAACUCUUACACCUACUUAAAUGGCUCCACUCUUUGCCAUGGCGUCAUCAAGAAUUAACCUCUCUCCAAAGAUUUCAAGUCCAAUACGAUAAAUAUUGAAUCACCAUGAUGCAAAGGUGCAACUUUCAUUUUUUUUUUUGUCAAAAUUAUGAAGCAUGAAUGUAGUCUAUUGACCAUCUCAUAGCAUGAAGUCAGCCUAGUAUUAAUAAAAUAUUAAUAUUAAAUUACAAAAUCAAUAUGUAAAACUCAAUGUUUAGCAUAUAUUAAUUAUUUAAAAAUUAUAUUACUUAUAAUAUUUUGAAUUUGUUAUGCAUGUUGCUUAUACUGCAUGUAUCCAGGUGAAGAAACUUGCUUCAAAUUCAAAGUAAUGACUUGACAAGUGAUGUUCAUGUACCAAAUCAAAUACUUCUCAUUUGUAACCACAAGAUGCAUCUCUGUAAAUAUUUUAUUCCCCAUCCAUUUCAUUUUGAUACAUAAACUUCAUGACAACUUAACUAGACAUAAUUAUUAUUUUUAUCCUUACAAGUUAUGACUUGCAAAAUAUUAUACGUAUCGAUGUCAACCAUAAUAUAUUAUAUGUAACCGAAUUAAUAUAUUACCCGAUCUAGAUAAUAUAGCUCAAUCAUUUUAAAAAAUAUUAGCGUAACUACUAAUAUCCAUGUGUAUCUCAAUAAUGCACAAGUCAGAACAACAACUAAUUUUCCAUUAAAAUAAAGCGUUCAAAUGAGAAAAUGCACAUUUCCUUGCAAUAUAUAUAUAUAUAUAUAUUUUUUUUAGUUUAACGUGGGUAUCCGGACCAGCUUGCGCGCACCUCGACUAAUCCCACGGGCCCUGAAGUUAACGACCAUGUAAGCCUCCAGUGGCCAUUAUAUGAGCAACCACAGGACUCGAACAUGAAACCACAGAGGAAGCAAACCUCUUGAUCCCAAGUUCUUACCAACAUGUACCCAUUUUAGCUGUCGAUGCAGAUUAAAACUUAAGAAUAUCAAUUCUACCCGAGAAAAAAAAAAAAAAAAAACCUGCGAAGAUUGCUGGAACCAUUACGCACCCAUUAUUCCAGCCUUUUACUUUCUUUCAAUCAAAUAUUCAAACUUUAAUUUUUGUCAUUCAAGUACGUUGGCAUUUCUGUCAUAUUCAAAUAUUCAAAUUUCGUCUUUCUUUUUUCACUCUCUAUUGAUGUGGUAGUUGACCUUGACCCACUAACUUCAAAUCUUUUUAGCUAUAGUCACGCUAUGAAAGGGAAAAAAUUUCACUUUCUAUGGAAAAAUCCUUCAAAACUUCCAUUACAAAUUAGGUUCGAUCUAAAGUAUUUUAAAAAUCACCUUUAGUUACUAUUUAUUCACAUAUUUUUCUCCACACUGUGCUAAAAUUUUAUUUUUUUUUAAUUUUAUCAUCAAGCAAAAGGAUCACGUAAAGAACAUAAAUAAUUAAUAAUUUUAUUUAUUGAAUUUAACAUGAUAAUCCAGUUAAAAAAUAAAAAUUAUUCAAUAAUACAAAUUUUGCAAAAAAUACCUUGGGUGUAUAAUUAAGAUUACUCUGAUAAUUAGACGAUAGAUUAAGAAUAUAUCCUAUAUAUAAUAUUUGCAUUUCUUAAUAAUGUUAAUUAACAUAAAACUUAAAAGAGAUCAGUAAUACAUUACAUUGCGGACAAUUCACCAUGAUUCAAGCAGUGAAUACCACUGAUUUUCUUCAAUGAGUAUCAUUCUCUCCACUCCUCACACUUUUGUUGCGUUGGCUCGUAUUCUUUGCAUCUCCCCUUAGUUUCUGGUCAUUUGCUAUUGUUUUUUUUUUUUGUUUUUUUGGUCAAGAGAAUCAAAUACUUUUAGGGGUGUUUGAUAUUGAGAUUAAACCUAAUUUUUUAAAAAAUCUUGAAUUUUUUUGCUUCAAAUUGAAAAAGAAAAGCGAUUCAGCGCUAAACCAGAUGGAAUCACCAUGCACGUGCCAUAAAGGGAGAAAAAGAAUGCGAAGACGAAUCAAAUGAUGCGGCAUUAACACUGCCUUGACCACUAGAGUUAGUUGCAUGCUCCUUCUAAAAGCGAUACAAAGGCGUUGCAUGAGUCAACAAGUUUUUUUUUUUUUUGACAAAUAAGAUAUGUCCCUGGGAUUAAGUGAUAAUAACAAAAAACAUCAUUAUGAAAUAAAAGGUCCUGUAAUCAAGGGUAAAAAAUUUUGAUGGCAAGAGAGAUUGAGUCAUUACAAUGAUCAUAGUAAAAUGAAAUUCCUAUAAAGCUCAGAUACCUAAUGUUAAUAUAUUUUAACUUUUAAGGGCAGUACAAUUAUUUUACCGUUAUAGGAAAAUGGAAAAGACAUUGUUGCUCCCGAACAAAAUAAAGAGCGACAAAUUAAUCUCAUGAAAAGAUCAUUUUACCCCUCAAGUCUAGUCCGUCUAAUUUUCCUUGUUAAGGGAAAAAAACUAUAAUAUUACCGUUAUAAUCCAUAGUAAAUCCACAGUAAAACCAUAUAAAGAUUUUUCCACGCCAUUUACGUUUUUAUAACUAGAUUGUUGGCCCAUGCCAUGCUGAGGCCCGAACAAUUGUUUUUAACAUAAAAAGAUUUACCUAAAUAUUGCUAACAUUUUUCUAAUAGAAUUUUUUAUUUUGAAACCAUGUGAGGGUUGUCUUGAUAUAACUCGAUUGAGUUGACAUGUUAAAAAACAACCCAGAUAAAUAGUAAAAUUAUAGUUUGAUUAAAAAAAAUCAAAAUGAUGUUUUUUUUAAUAUUGAAACGACAAUUUAUUUGAUUGAUCUAAUUUGCUAAAUCCACAACUCAUAUCAUGAAACCAUGAUAAUUCCAUAUAAAGUGAAUCAAAACAUAUUAUGAAACUCAAUCUCCAAAACCCAAUAUUGAAUGAUUAAAUUGAAAAAAAUAACCUAAGUCAAUUUAAGUUAACCUGCCAAGUUCAUGACCUUGAUCAUGAGACUAAAAUAACCUUAUAAAAAGUAAAUCAAAACAAAUUAUGAAACCUAAUUCCCAGCCAAUCUAUUAUUAAAAGAUGAAAUUGAAAAAAAUAAAUAAAAAGGGGCAUAAAAAUGACCUGAGUCAAUCUGCUAAACUCAUGACCCAGGUCAUUAAGUUGGGAUAACCUCAUAGAAAAUAAACAAAAAAAUAACUUCAGACAACAUGCCAAACUUGUAUCUAGAUCAUGAAAUUAUGAUAACCUUAUAAAAAACAAAUUGAAAAAAUUAUAAAACCCAAUUUAUAAUGAGUCCAUUUGAUGAAAUGGAAAAUAUUUAAUCUAAAAAAAUGAUACAAUAAAAUGACCUAAUGCUUCUCUCGCUAAUUCGUAGUACCCGUGUUCCAGGUCAUGAGAUUGAAAUAACUUCAUAGAAAGCAAAUCAAGACAAAUUAUAAAACAUCAUUCCUAAUAAACCAAAUGUUGAAGGAUUAAGUUAGAAUAAAAAACUCAAUUAAAAAAAGAUUUUUUUUAGUCAAUUAAGUUAAUCUGUUAAACCUAUAACAUUGAUUACGAGAUCAAGAUAAUAUAAUAAAAAUAAAAUAUGACAAAUUAUAAAGUUUAAUUUCAAAUAAAUAAAAUGUUAAAUAAAAAAAUAAAAAAUAUAUAUUAUUAUAAUAUAUAGUGUUUUGUAAAUAGUGCAGCAUAAAAGCACCACCUCUAAAAUUUAAUUACUAAUCAAUCUAAUGAGUUUCGAGACUUAGACAGCACUAAAAAAAAUAAAUCGUAAUAAAUGAUUAACCUCAAUCUUCAUUAAUUAAAAUGUUAAAUAAUAAUAAAAAUGUAUUUUUUUUUAAAAAAUUGCAAUGAUUAAUAUUUUAUAAGGUAAUUACCGCUUCUUUUAGUUUUUGUUAAUUAAUAAUAAUAAUAAUAAUAAUAAACAGGAGCUCAAAAUACACGCACUAAGUUAGCGCGUAUGAUUAUCCAACAAACACCAUUUUUUUUUGGUAGUAGUUGUUUUAUUAAAACUCUCUCUUCUUGCCAACCUUAGCUUGUAUAUUGUGAAUAGCGUCAUUUCUGCAACUCUUUGCCGUGUGCAACUCCCAAUCUCUCUCUCAAAAAGAAAAGAAAAGAAAAGAAAAGAAAUAGCUCCAAGCUCCCCGAUCCAAUGGAAAGUAUCGGAGCUUGAAACCCUGAUUUUCACCUCCCUCUCUGUCGCGCUCUUUCUCUCUGCUUCUCCUUCGAUCCAGGUAGCUCAUUCCUCGACAAAAACCCUAGUUUUGGAGCUCCAUUUAUUAGCUAAAAUGAAAACCUAGGAUUUAGAAUUUGUCUAAUUCGAUCUAAACUUGAACUUCUUUAUCUUAGGAAUUUUUAUAAUCAAGCGUUUUUUUAGACGGUUUAGGGUUCAAGAUUUCAAGUUCUUGAUCUUAAAAAGAAAGAAAGAACGAAUGAUUAGUGAUUUUUUGUACAUACGUGAAAUUCGAGCUUCAUUUUUGUGCCAAGUAAGGUUUUGUCCGUGUCUCUUGUGAAUUUAAUUGUGGAUGGAGCUGGAUCAGAUAAUGGUUUUAGCGUGAUAUUAGCUUGUAUUUGGCCAUUUCUUGGUUGGUACUGAAUUCGAUGUCUUGAAUCUGAUUGGAUAUGUGUUGAUGGGUUUUGGAUUAGCGAGAUAGACGAAUUUCUGGUCGUGAAUUAGCAAAUUUUGUUAGCGAACUUUACUGGGUUAUAUCGAGGAAUAGUUUUUGACAUAUAUAGUUGGUGAAAGCAGAGAGAUGGUGAUAGGAAAUAUGGGUAUUGCUUAGCGGAUGCGGGAUUUUGUAAAUUUGAGCUCACAUGUAGUGAUUAGUGGAUUAGAGAACGGGAGUGACUGAAUUGUGAUCGGCUGUCAAUAUAAUCAAGUUUUAGCAGAAUGAGUUUACAAAGUGGAGAUCUACCUGGACCGAAUCAGCACGUGGAAACGAGCAAUGAAUCACGAAAGUAAUGACAUUUCUUUCUCAUGUUUUCUGUUUUUGUGGCGUUGUUCUUUUUAAUUUUGAUGGGGUUUUUAGCAAGUGAUAUUGGUUGUUUGAAUGGUACAGGAAGCUAAAAAUUUCAUAUACAAGAGAAUUUCUACUAUCCUUGAGUGAAUUGGAUGUUUGCAAAAAAUUACCAAGUGGAUUUGAUCAAUCACUUCUAAGGUAAGUUGUAGGUUACGUGGUCAAGCCUUGUCUGUAGAAUCCUUAUCCCUUCAAAAUUUGAAUAAAAUGGUGUCCCUGAUAGUUGGUACUGCUAUUGCUUUCUUCAUGUGUUGUGAAACUAAUUCCCAUUUUCUUCCCUCUAACAGUGAACUCGGGGACACUUCACAGGAUCGAUAUAGAAUUCCUGGCAGUGCAUCAUCACAAAGUUUUAGACGUAAUGAUUAUAGCUCAUCCCCACCCACUAGAGGGGAUUCAAGUAAUUUUUCUCGGGGUAUUCAUGGAAGGUGGGAUAGCCGUUCCUCUGGAAGGAGUGACCGGGACAGUGACUCACAAUCUGAUUGGGAUUCAGGUAAGGCUUGACAUAAUUUUGCUAUUCUGUUGAUCUUUCUGUCAUAGGGACUAGUUGCAUUUUUGGGUCCUGGUAAUAGUUAAACAGUGUCGUGUUUUACUUGCAAGAAUUAUAUCAAUGCCAAUGCUAUGGUUAAUUUUUCACUUUUGUUAUGAUAAGCUAAAUGGAAAAGGUGUUAAGCUGUGAACAUCUGAUUACUAUACCAAGAGUGGGCAAGAAUCCCCUUCCUCUGUCAGCUUGAUGGGCUAGUAUUUAGAAAAUCGGUGUUUCAUCUUCAUGAGGUGCAUCUGAAAGUAAUAUCUUGAACAUUUUGUAAUUUAAGCUGUUUAUUAGUACUGAUCUUAACUCAUAUUUGAUGAGUUUGUUAAGUGAUAUGCUGUUUCAAAAUAUGAUAUUUUCAAAUGGCUCUUUCAACAACUACUGGGACAGUGUUUGAGUUUUCGUUGUUAUCCUUCCUGGCCAACCCUGAUUAGAUGCAAACCAUUUUUUCAACAUGUUCGAGAGAAAUCCCAGGCUGAUGUGUGUGGAUGUAGCCCAAAUGUGAAAUUGCUCACCCCUGACAGCCAAGAGAAUCGAACUCAUGUUGUGUGUUGAAACUACAUAACUUGAGUAAACUCUAAAUCAUCAGUUCAACUCUGCCAUUUCAAAUAAUAAUUAGUUUUUAAAUAGUAAACAGCUAUUAUGCGACUCAGGUAACCCUCCUUUCUUCUCUUUUUACAAAGAAAUGAGAAGCUGAUUAAGCUGGCCUUUUAGUAACGGAAAACUAUGAAUCACAAGGAAUAAACUCACUUAUUUUUCCAGAAAAAUACUGAAUCACAGGCAUGUGAUAUUUAGAGACUUUUGAAUAGACACAUGCAUUUUCCCAGGAAAAAAAUGGUGUUUCAUAGGAACAAUCUAUUGACAGGAUCUUUAAUGUGGGCAAAACAAAAAAAAAUUGGCCGAUGAUGACUGGAAUACUUGAACAAGUUUUGUCAAACCUUAAAGCUGGCUACUAUUUCGAUGCAAGUUGGUUUAUCAUAUCAUGGCUUAACCUGCUCAUGAAAUUUAAAAGCAUGUUUUAGUUGCUUGCAGUUAAUUUCUAGCCAACACCACACAGGAAAUGUGGGUGCAUACAUAUCUUUACUCUUUUGGGCUUUUCAAGGAAAGCAAGCCAAUACAUUUGUACCUUUCUUUUGAACUCUAGGAAAUUAGUAGAAGUUAGCAGUAUGAUAUAUACCAAUUCCGUGUUAUUCCAGCUUCUCCUACCAUGAAUGAUAUUGUUAUAAAAUGACUUGGGUUUGAGAAGUUUAUGGCUGAUUUGAGUUUGGUACAUACUUCCUCCAAAGCUUGGCAGCAGGAGAUAGGAUGCAGUUUGUAGUUCAUGCAUAGUACCAGUAUGUACCCUGACAUCUUUAGAGAGGUGAAUUGGAAUUUUUAGCAUUCAUUUUUCUUUUCUGUCAUGCCAGAUGACUGGGACAAAAGAGUAGAUUGAUGAAUGUUCCGUGUUUGCAUCUGUCAUGCGCUACCAAUGAGUUGAAUUCAGUUGGCUUCUCAUAUAAUGCUCUUGGGAGCAACAAAAGGAGUCUCAAUGUGUCUUUUACUGCUGUCAUAUACUGCUCAAUUCUGCGGCUACAAUUUGAUAUAUGUUGUCACUGAGAUUUCAGUUACUGUUGAUCUGUGAUGCAACUAUCUGAAUUACAAAUCCUGUAACAUAGUUAUUGACCGGAUGAAUGAUGUGUAUAUGUCUAGACGCUGGAAGGCGUUAUGGCAACCAAUCCCGGCGAUCUGGGCAAGUUCCUGAGCAUGAUGGACUUCUUGGAAGUGGUUCUUUUCCUAGACCGUCUGGAUAUGGUGCAGGGCUGUCAGCUCCAAAGUUUCGAUCUAAUGAUCAAUUCCAGCUCAAUAAGAGUAAUGAGCUGUAUCAACCACCUCGUCCUUAUAGGGUUAGGCCUAUUCUUUUUGUCUUUUGUUAGUAUGAUUCUGCUUGCAAAUUUUAAUCAGACAUAUAAUGUCUAUUGAGUGGGUUUGGUGGUAUGUGUAGCUUUUAAUAAGCACUCUAGUCCUUAUCCAGGAAGUCUCCUCUUGAAGUUUGUUUUUAACUCUUCCCUGUAAUAUUUCAGGCCAUGCCUCAUUUGCGUAGGGAAACUGACUCUCUUAAUGAUGAAACAUUUGGUUCUUCUGAAUACACGAGUGACGAUAGGGCAGAGGAGGAAAGAAAGAGAAGAGGUAAUGUCUCUGUUUUGAUGGGAUUUAUAUGGAAGAGCAAGUAAAUAUACUUUGCUUCUAGUUUAGUGAUAAGUUUCCUUCAGCGAAUGCAAGUUUAACAUAUCAUGUCCUUUCAGCUUCUUUUGAAUCAAUGAGGAAAGAACAACAUAAAGCUUUUCAAGAAAAGCAGAAACUGAAUCCAGAAAAGUCUAAAGAUGCAUCUGAUGUUACUGAGUUACUGGAGGACUCAAAAGAUAAUAAAAGACUUCUGAAUGGAAGCAAUGAAUUGGACAAGACAGUGAUCCAGCCUAUGCCAGUUAAUGAUCCUGAUAAGCCUCUAUACCCCUUACAAGCUCCUGUAUCUAGACCUCUUGUGCCCCCAGGAUUUUCAAGCGCCAUAGUAGAGAAGCAUGCUGGAGCAAAAUCUUUAACCAAUUCUGAUCCCUCAGAGGUGAUUCUCUUAUAUUUUCUCAAAUACAUAUGCAGUGAAAAGUUGGCAGGCAGAAUACUGUUUGUUUAUAUCUUUUUCCUCGAGAUUAUUUUUGACUAGCAAGCCUCAGGAUCCUUCUGGUUAAUGGAGUAACAAUGUUUUAUUUGCGGAGAAAUAUUCUACUUUCACACCUCAUCAGCAAUCAGCAGUGCUUGAGAGAUCACCUAACAUACCAUAAACAUGCAAGUGCCUAUCAUAUGGAAUUGCAUUGUCAAUCCGUGUAUCAUCAUAGUCUUGCUGUGCUGUCACAGUAUCAUCUACUAAUCCAAUUAAGCACAAUAAUAUGGAAUUGCUAGUAUAUCUCUUGAAUGAAUAUGUGAUUGCCUUGUUUGUGCUGCCUGUGAAAAUUGUCCGGAAGUCUCUUGGCUGAGGUUGAAAACACUUGCAUUUUCAAAGGUUGCUUGAUUGUCUCCUUUUCCUUUUUAGCUUUUUGUUUGUUAUAUGAUAUAUUGCCAUUUACUUGUUCUUCACACACCAAUUUCGGUUUAGAUCUUAUUUAUAUAGUUUAGCUUGCAAAAUAAUAUUUGGUACUGAUCAAGUUGAAACACAGUGUAAAAAUCAACAGAUUGAUCAUAUGUUUGUGAAAGUAUUAUGUUGCCCUGAUUUUUCUAUGUUUUGAGAUUCAUUCUCCAAUUAUGAUUGUUUGUGAUGUUUGAGUCUAAUUAUUUGUUAAUAAAUCAUCACCUUUUAUGAACUGGUCUCUUAUUGAUUUGCUAUAGGUUGACAUUGAACUUGAGGGAAGCCUUUUGCAAAAAAAAGGUACUCAUGUUUUAGAUGAGACUUCAAAUAAUCAAGAUGGAAAACAAUUUUCGGAGGAAAUGGAUUUGAAUGCGCAGCAUUCUAGAAGCCCAAGUGCUUGUGUUUCUGUUGAUAACAAGAGCGAAAAUAUUCUGAAUUUAGCAGCAGCUUUGGAUGUUUCAAGUAAAAGAAUUGGUUCUAAGACUUCUAAUCUUCCAGAAGCCUUUAUAGAUUCUGAGAACAGUGAAGCAAUAGAUCUUGGUGCUGAGAAUGUGCCAGGGAAUAAAAAUGUGGGUGAAUCUGGAUCCCAUUCAACCUCAAUUCUGGACAAGCUUUUUGGCAGUGCUUUAACACUAAAUGGUACUGGUUCCUCCAGUUUCAUCGAGGUAACCGAACUCUCUUUCUCAAUGCACACAUUCCUAAUCACUUCUUUUUAAAAUUCUAUUUUGCUGAAUUCCUCAGCUGGUGCUAAUUUUAAGUGAUGUACCUGAAUUAAUUUUGUUCAAUUUCAGAAUCUUUAGAUGUCUUCACAUAUAUUUGUGUAUAUGUAAAUGCAAGCUGGUAUCUGUUAUAAUUUUUCCCUAACCAUAGAUAACUGAACUCCUGUCUUCCACGUUUCUGGGUUUAUGUUCACCAGAGUUUUGGACAAGUUUUCAAAAGGUUUAUCAAGAAUACAUCAUAUUUUAGCAUGGUUUGUAGACGCUUAUAGUAGUAAAAUGAAAAGUUAUGACGGAGUUGCCAUGAAGAUUGUGUCAUACAAGUCUCAUGAAAAAUUUGCGGUGCAAAAAGUAAAAUUCCAGCCUCCAGCCUCUCCAAAAUAAGAAAAUAAGAAAACUCUGUAAUUUUGCUAUCUGUAUUGGUAUUCGUCACUUUAAUCCCCAUAAAAAGGUAUGAAGUUGAAUGCUAUCAACUUGGUUGGAUGAACUUCACCAAUCCAAAUGAAUUUUCUCCUUCAGUUGGUACUGCAUGGAUUCACACCCUGCUAAUUUUCUUCUUUCCAGUAAAUGAAUUUGUUGCCUGCAUCAUAAUUGGAACAAGUGCCUUUUGCAGUAGUAUUUUGUGUCAAAGCUUAAAGCAUGAAAUGGCACUCUUUUAAAUAUAUUUUGUUGUUUUUUCAGCAUCAUGAUGUUAAAGCAGAUGACCCACGGAGCCCUCAGACCGGUCAAUCUUCCAAGUUUGCUCAGUGGUUUAGUGAAGAAGGUUUAUGGACCAAUUCAUUCAUUGUUGUUUCUUUUGUUGGAUGCUGUCCACCAUUCACAAUUGCUCAUAGAGUUAAACUUGUUUUACUGAAUUCUAAUUCUUUCAUCCUCUUCUUUACUGAAACAGAAAAGAAACCUGUUGACAAUCUCGCAUCUGGCAGGCCAAAUGAUUUGCUCUCACUAAUUGUUGGUGGUGAAAAGGGUGGAUCCCAGGUUAAAACUACUGAUCACAUGCUGCCAACCUUUCCCUUCCAAAGCUUUGAACUUGCAGACAGGCAUUUGACAUCAAAUCAAAAGUCUGUCAGCGUUGAAAAUAAUGAGGAAUUGUCCAUCACUGGUAAACUAGAUGCAGCUCCAGCUGUACUUACAUGUGAAGACCUUGAACAAUCUAUUCUUUCAGAAAUUACAGAAAAUGGUUCGGCUUUGCCGCCACCUGUGUAUGGCUGGGGAGGUGGUGAUGUUAAGGCUGAGCAGCAGAAAGCUGAUGUUCAUGCAUCCCAGCACCUUCUUUCCUUGUUACAGAAGGGGACAGGCCUGAAUAAUUUAGCACCAUCUGCCAAUCUAGGGAUCAGUGCUACAGACAGACAACAAAAUAGUGGGGUGGCAAAUCCAAGCAAGGCAGCUCACAAGCCAAGACAUGCAGAUGCUGAAAACAUUCCCAAUUCAGGCAAGGCUUUGACACUUGAAACACUUUUUGGAACUGCUUUCAUGAAGGAACUGCAAUCAGUAGGAGCACCUAUUUCCAGCCAAAGGGACUUGAUUGGAUAUGCUAGAGAUGAUGCUUCAGAGUCUCAUGGGUUACCCCUUCCUGUAAUAGAUGAUGGUCUCCUUCCUCCAACAGUUGAAAUUCCGUCGAGCAUGUCUAGUCAUGGAAGUGGUGUCUUAGCAUCAAAGCAAAGACAGCAAAUUGUGUUGGAUAGGACUGAAGAGCAUUUGUUAGGCUUUGAUCCUCAAAAUAAAGUGGACUCUUCACAUCUUCGAACUGAAAUGAGCUCUAAGCUAGGUGGCUUUGAUGGGUCUUAUGAAAUUCAACUUCCUGAAGAGGAUAGCUUGAUUGCAGUCAGUGACCCUUUGAAUCUCCGAAACUUUCUACUUGCUAGGAAUUCAACUAAAUCUGAGUUAAUGCCGAUUCCAGGGACAUCAGUUGACAUUGCUGAGAAACUUGCAGCUUUGAAUUCUGGAUUCAGGGACGAAAGGCCUAUUGUAGGUCACAAAGGUCCACCUUUUCUUCGUGGUCCUUAUGAUAUGAGGGAGCCUGAUGUUCAUUAUCAUAAUCUCCAUGUCCAGCCAUCUUCUCCCCAGCUUCAGCCUCAGUUGAAUCGUCCAGGGCCAAUGUUCCAUCCAUUAGACUCUCAUCCUGCUAAUAUGAAUGCUCAGAUGAAAUUGGUGGCCCCAGAGAACAUUCGCCAUGAUACUCCUAAUCAUCAAUUCCCAGAAAAUAUGCUUCGUCCCCCUUUCCAUCACCCUAGCAGUGCACUGACUGGAUUUGAUCCUACUACGCGUGAUUCUAUGUUACAUCAAUUGCAUAUGCGUGGCAAUUUUCCUUCUCCACUCCUACGACGUGAAAUGCCCAGGGGUGCGAUUCCGCUUCCACAUCCCAACAAUCAGGUGACUGGUUUUAUGCAGGAAUCAAGUCCAAUGCAAGGUUUCCCUAUUGGUCAAAGGCAGCCCUACUUUGGUGCCCUUGGAAUUCCACCUCAAGGUAUAGCACUCAACAAGUAGUUGGUUCCUUUCUGCCUUCUAACUAUUAAACAGCUUGCCUUUUUAUUUAACUUCAAAGUCCCUCCUUUUCUGUGGGUUCCUCACUCUAAUAUUGUUCAAUGAUUUUUCAUUGCACAAAUCUUUCUUACAAUUUCAUUUAGUGUGGUAAUUGUUGCUAUAAUUACUUUGUCGUUCAAAUUGAUUGAUUCAGGUUAUGUUUGGUAUGGUUUUUUGUAAAUUGAUUUAAGUUGUUUUUACUCAUGGAAAAGUCAUAAAUGUAUUUGGUUACAAACCUAAAUAAAAAGUUGCUACAAAAUUGAUCAACGCUUUGAUUUAAUCAAAAGUCAUUUCAACUUUUCACUUAAUUUUAACUCAUACCAUCUUCCUUAUUCGAAAAAGUUGUCUUUGAGUCAUUUUUUUUCCACUAAACACACUCGCAACCAAACCCAUUUUUUUCCUUUUAAGUUAUUUAUAAAAAUUAACUUUUGAAUUAUGAGUCAAAGUCAAAAGUUAUAAAUCGAAUGCAUGUUUGUUUUCCCAUAUGGAGUCAGAGAAAGUCACGCACACAGGCGAUGGCUCUAUAAUUCUGUCCUUAAAUUAGAUUUGAUAUAAUGUAUACUCCUGCUCAUGCACCCUGUAAUAUCGCCAUGCAUUUGUGGUAGUGAUCAAGGUACACGUUUCUUUGUUGUCAUGUUGGCACUUCUGCCAUUACUUUAAUCUGAUUCUUGUUCUCAAUGAAUGUGCAGCUAACGAUGGUGGUGGUGAAAGCAAUCAACCGGAGGCACUCCAAAGGCUGAUCGAGAUGGAACUCAGGUCAAACUCUAAGCAAAUUCACCCCUUCGCCACUCCAGGCCAUGGUCCAGGGAUAUAUGGACACGAGUUAGACAUGAGUUUUGGAUAUAGAUAGUGGAUUUCGUGUUGUGUGUGGCGAUGCAUUCAUGAUAUCAUGCUUGGAUCCACAUGGCAUGGUAAAUGGGUUUGAUAUGCUUCUUCGGAAGGGAUUGCCAGUGGUUGGAUGUAAUUAAAUGGUAUUGACUGCAAAAUUGGCAUCUAUUUGGGACCUUUGCCUUGCUUUUUUCAUAUUUGAAAACACCUCCCAUCUUCCUUCCUUAGAAUUGUUUUUUUAAACAACGGUAUCCAAGAUUUUUAAGCAGCUCCUGUUCGACCAUGGUCGAGGUCAUAAAUCAUAUCACCCUGGAGAGUUAAGAUCUGCAAUGAGAAGAAAUCCUCCUUCGACCCUAAUCAUACGAUAUCAAAUGCAUGUACCAAGUCAUGGCUAAAAUACAAUUGCUUCACUAUAGAGUGCUAUUAUAAAUUGUAAGUGUCAUCAUAUCACUCUAGCAGUUUUAUUCCAACAUGUUGUGUUCCAACUUACCAAGAGAUCAUUUGAUUCAGUUUGAACUCGAAAACCGUGGCAUUGUCUCCGCGGUAGAAAGACGAGGCUGCAGUCAAGUGAAGAAAGAAGGUAGACUCUGCUGCGUUUUUCUAGUAGCACUCCGGUCACCCACAGAAAUCAAUGGACAGUCCUAUAAAUGAACUAUAAAAAACUCCAUAACAGCACACACUUGAACCAAAAAACAUGCCACCACAUGGACAGACGACUUUAGUCAAGCUAAUGUCAGGUAAUACAAGAGUAAGGGCUUAGUUUGUUCACGAUUCGUUCUUUGUAUUAUUUGUACAAGGUUUCCCCUUCACAUUGAUUGCUCAAUACACAUUAUACAGCUCCUAAAUACUGCUCCCGCAAACAAAAACCUCAAGAAACCUAAAAGAACACAAAAGUAAAAGCACUCAGCUCUAUACAAGAUUUGCCCUUGGGCCAUAAAGUGGAGGAUAAAACUGUCCUAGAUUCCUGGAAAGCAAUGAGAACAUGUAUAUGUACACACAAGACACUACAGAUUGACAGACCUAGGAAGAGCAUGUUCUAUAUUAUAUAAGACAUACAUAUAUACAGAUCAACUUCUAGACACUUUCACUCAUUAACGAUGCCAUCCACGUAGCCUUCUCUUCCAGGAUUGGCGUUUUACGGUUUGUGUCCACAAUACAGGAAGUUCAAUGAAUUUUCAUUUCCACUGUUCAAAUAGCUGGAAUAGGGUUUCCCAACCUAUCAACAGUGGUAUUUCUGUACGCACCACCCUCAUUCACCUUCUCAGAGUCAACAUCAUAAGACGCAAGCAACCUUCUCUGCAUGGAUUUCAUUGGAGUUGACAAAUGAGUGACGGCAUGAUGACUAAAAACCAUUCUACUUAUGUCACGGAAAAGUUUAAAAAGAGUGGUGAUAAAAGUCGUAGCAGAUAUACAGAGAUUGCAACAGGAAAUCUAGGGACCAAAUUGGUUAUAUCAUUUCAUAAAGUUACUGGUUGAGAACCAAAAUGACCUUCAAGAAAGCGGGGAAAAUUGUCAAUCAAUGAAAGAGUAAAAUAUCCAUACCUAUGCAAGGAAUAAAUAGAGAACUCUUUUGAGACAUAAGUUUUCCAAUAUUGUAAAUCCAUAAUUUUAAACAAUCGAGAAUAGCCAAAACUUUAUGAGGCAUCCUUGGAAUGGUGAUGAAUGAACAGAACCAAUUGCGGCAUGCAGUAGAGAAAAUAAGAAUUAAAUAACAUCAUGCACAUAAAUUAUACAUGAACAGCAGGUAAGUAUGAAUAAUGAGUCCCAUUUAAUGCAAACUGGCUCCAUGAUUCAGAUUUUGGUGCAUCACAGGUGAAUAUCACAAAACACAACAAGGUUAAAGAAAGUAAAAUGCGUAACUAGUGUUAAAAAUGCUUACAUGAUCCUCAAAUUCUGGACUUGUCAAAUUGAUAGAGAGGUUCCUCAUCAACAACAAAACCUGAGAAAAGCCAAAUAAAAUCUCUCGAGUCAAUUUGUGUUUUCCAGGUGACAAGGAAAACCAAAACCUGCAAUUUCUUCAGAGGAAUAAAGGCAAAACCAAUGAUUUUUAUAUACAAGAACGAUAUAUUUUCAUGAAAAGACUGAAGAGAAAAGGGUGAGGCAGAAUGCAAAGUUGCUUCCACCCUCUUCACACGAAACAUGAUUUUUAAUAACUAUGCUCAAUCUACUCUACACCCCAACCGACCUACUGAAUGCAACACACAUUGUGAGGAAUCAUGAAGGCAUAAAAGAUAGAAAAGAUGAAAAAACAACUCACUGUUUCCAAAUUUAUUGGGUCCAUCUGCUUCAAUCUCUGCAAGUGAUCACUGCCAUUGGGGUCAAAGACAUUUCCAAUGAAGCUGUACACUUGAGCAAAGUCCGGCAUAACUGCAUUUGGAACAGUAUGAACUCAUCAUGCAUAGGAUAGAAGAAGAUUUACCAGCAGAUGAUAGACGAUGCACACAAUUCACAACACUAUCUACAAGUCCAGUUGUGUAUAAUGAAAAAGAGAGGUUCAGAUCCACAAGGCAGAAAGAGCCUUAAAUGCCAGCAACAAGAAAGGGUAUCAUCCAAGGCACCAGGGAAGCUUGGCGUGAUGGACAUGAAUCUAUUCGACAGAGGUAAUAUCCAUACAUGCUUUAUGAUGUAAAAUGAAAGCUAAUUGUCAGUUUGAUGCAGCAUGAGCAUCAUUAUAAUUGUUGAACUACAAGAUGUUAAGAAGCAGCAAAAAAAUAAAGGAUGAUACAGAAAAGGUCGCUAGCAACAAUGACUGAAAAGAGAGAGACUUGCAGAACAUAACCCUUUUCCUUCAAUAGGAAAGAGAAACCAUUUUUUGCGCCUGAAAUUACCAAACCAUCAACAAAUCCCAAAUGCAACUUCCUUUUCGCUGCACUAAAACACAGCUAGAAUGCUAUCAACACUGACUUGAUGACCAAGACACGUCAUUAGAAUAUCACUAGAAGUCUGAAAGAGGAGAGAAGAAGUCCAGUGUUCAUGUGGAACAGACACAAAAGCAUGAUUAAAGCUUAAAUGCACUUGGUUCGUGAGUUGUGCUUUGGAAAGCCAAAAGGUUUUAAGAAGGAAAAAAGCCCAUCAUUUUUCAGCUACAUCUGUAUCUCAACUUCAAAUAAGAAGCAUGAUACUGACCUCUUUCUGGCUUGCCCUGAGCCCGUUUAUCAAUUAUUUUGCCAGUUUGCCAAGUCCUCGAGGCGCUUUCAUUACUGCUACUGUAGCAACAUUUAUUUGCAAUUGUUGGCCCAGCCAAUCCCGCAUCAUCUGAGAAUACACACAUAAUUUACUAUAAUAACUGUAGCUCUUGAAGAAGAAAAGAAAAGAAAAGAGGAGGAGGGGAGCUUAGAAGAAAAAAAAGAUACCAUUAGUCAUCUGUGACAUGCUGACUGGUGGUACAGAGUUAAAACUCCAGGUAGAUAAAGCUCCACUUGUAAUUGGAUUUCCAAGAACUGAUGUUGAAUCAGGCCUGUAGAGAUAUCCAGGUUCAAGCAAAGCAGAUGAAGAUUGAAAUGACCCAGUCACUUGGGAUGCAACUGCAGCUGUUAGAGAUACACAAACAAACAAAGAUUAAUCCAGAAUUAGAAGAAUUCAAUCCACAUCCUCCUCUCGCCUUCUCAAAAUAUUAACACAAAGUUUGAACAUACUAACCACUUUUAGGAGCCUUUUGAGGGUAAGGAUGAGCUGCCUUUCUCUUUGGCCGAGGUGGAGGUACAUGUUCGCUUGUUCCACUCUUCUGAACCUUCAGAAAGUACUUCUGCGCAUGGCUCCGUAUCUGCCAACAUCCAUUAAAUUUUACAUGCAAAAACAUUUUGAUGGUGGACAUGUGGUUCACGAAUAGCUGCGAGUCUGUGACUGAAUUGAAAUACACCCAGACAGACACACAAAAGCACGAGAAAACACCUGACAUAUGCCCAGGAGGCCAAAACUCCCUCAAAAUGUUUGAGUUUAUGGUCUUGGGAGUAGUGAAUCAAUAUACCACAUCACAAGGAAAUCUCUAAAUUACUCUCAUAAAUAGGUGGUUUCAUCAUUUCUUUGAUCAACUGUAAUCAUUACAACGAAAAUAUAUUUACCGUUUCAGAGCUUUAACCUGUACGCAAUAGAUAGGUGUUAUGCCUUUCACUAACAAAUUUGUUCAAGUGAUCAAGUCUGACUAUGCAAUGUAACCUCAUAAGCAUAUAUAACAAAAUAUAUCAGAUGGAAAAUGAAGAUAGGAUGGAAGAACAUCAAACCCAAAGAGUGAUUUAACCUGCCACUUAAAGAAGAUAGAUUUGACUAUUUAAGAUACCUGUAUGACAGUCUUUGACCCAACAAAUGCUUCAAUCUUCUUCCAAUCACGAUCAAAUCUGUAACCAAAAGAAUUUUAGGUUAGGACGCAUGGUUUGUUAACAGACAAAUCAGAAAGCGUGAAUUAUAGUGACAUAGAUAAUCUCAUAGAAAGUUUUAUCACAUAGUCACCUAACUGACUAUAACAAUAUUCAAGUUAUUAAGACCGAAACAAAAGUUUAGAAGCUUUCAAUGUUAGGUUUUUCUGGUCAGAGCUUGAUGAACGUGAUAAAUUGAAUUGUUUUUAUUAUCAGAACAUAAAAUAACAUUUUUACCAAAACAAGUAGUAAGAUUCAAAAUCUUUCUCUCUCCGUAUUUCUUCAGCAAUCAACAAUCUUCCCACUUCUGCAUCAAAGACUAAAGCUCCCAUUUCAAAAACUAAAUUAAUAUUAAAAUUUUAUAUAUAUAUAUAUAUAAGAUUUCACUAACACAAGUUUACAUCAGAAAGCAAACUCAUUAGUAACCCCAAGUUCAGGUACCUUUAAUUCCCUCAGUUUGUUAUUCAAAUUCUCUCGUUUAAUUAAUCACUGAAGUCUCAAAUUCAAAAUCCAAACUAUAAUUAAAAUACAAAAAAAUAAUAAUUAAUAAUUAAAACCCCGAAUUGCCAUGCCAAUCAUCAAUGCCAAAUUGAAAAAACCUUUAUAAUUUUUUAUUCAAUUUCUCUCAUUUAGCUGACCAAUUAGGUGAAACUAAAUACAAAUUCUCUUUUCUUGCAACCAAGCAAAACAUAUAAACUAAAAACCACCACCCAAUAAUAAAAAUUAAGAAAAAGAAAAGAAAAGAAAGAAGAUGUACACUAAUACUUACAAUUGGAGAGCUUCUAGAAACUUGUCGUGCUCUUGUUCAGUCCAGCUCUCUCUAGAUUUGGUAAUAGUAUAAGGUUUCCGAAUCUUCUUAUUCGGAUCCUCCGAGAACGACACCAGCUUAUGAUUAUUAUUAUUAGUAGUAGUAGUAGUAUUAGCCGCUGAAACUGUAUCAUUACAAGUAUCGGUAGCAGUAUUAGUAUUAGUUGGUGGCAGAAAGUUGACACCGGGUAACUCCAUAUGACUACUAUUAUUCAUAGGAUCGAAGAAAUAAAACCCUAGAGCCGGGUUCGGGUUAACCGACACCAUUAAAAGAGAACAAACCGACUCUGUUUUUCUGCCUGUUUAGGUUCCUCUGGGUGGUCUUGUUGUUAUGUUAAGGUUUUUGUACCGCGUGUUCUGUGCUGCAAGGAAGAAAGACAACAAAGGAGGAGAAGCGUGUUGGGUGAGUCUUUUCAGUUAAGGUUUUUGUGCUGAGCGUUGUGUCUUGCAAGAAGGAAAUAAAGUGAGAAGAGAAGAUGUCCAGAGUAGAUGUGUGGUUUAUAAAUGAUUGAUUGAUGGUUUUAUAAAUAAUAGAUUAGAGAGAGAGUGUGUGUGGGAGUUGUGAUGGUGGUGUUAGUGGGCUUGGAAAUGAUCGUACACGUGGCAGUGUUGUUGUCUCGAUCGAGAGUUAGGUAACCCGUGGACUCGGCAAACGGCAAUUUUUGUUACAGUUACGUGGGUUUCCUCGUUUUUUUUUAAAUAAGGUUGGGGAAGUGACCUUUGGGCACGAAUUUUUUCGAAAAAUAGCAGUUCGGUAAGAAUCUUAGAAGAAUGAUACAGGUGAAAAAUAUAUUUGAAAAAUAGUGCAGUUUAAAUAUAAACAUGUUUUUAAAUAUUAUUUUUAUACAUGUAUGUUAUUUUUAAUAGUAGUUAUUUAAUCAUGUUUUUAAAUAUAUUAUUUUGCAAAUUAAUUAAUUUAAACUUGACUAAAAUAUAAUAUUCAAGAUCCAAUGCACAAGAAAAAAAAAAUAAUGUAAUGUGAUAGGAGAGAGAAAUGAAAGAGAAAAAAAAAUAAAUCAUUAGAAACACACUAGAGCUCUAUUUUUUAUACAUCCGAUAUUGUUCAAAAAAAUCUCGACAAAAUAAUUCUAACAACUUCCAAACAAGAUCGUAAUCAACCCUAAAUUAACCCCGAACAAAACUUCUAACCAAUUACAACCUUAUUUAGUGGUCUUCAAUCAUCUCGUCGAAAUCUUUUUAACGAUAAUAGAUAUGUUGAAAAUGAAGCCUAGUGUAUCUUUGGUAACCUUUUUUAUUAUUAUUCUCUUAUUCUUUCUCAUGCAAUGUCUGCUUAUCUAUUUUUUUAAAAAAAAUUUAUUAGAUCUUAAAUUAUAGUAUUUACAUAUAAUUUUGGGUUUAUUUUUGUACUUAUUUUAUUGAGAAAUAACUUUUGAAACAAGAUGUUAUUCCCUAUAAUAAUUUCUCUAAUACUUUUCUAAUUUGUAUCAUUAUUUUUCAAAAUUUUUAUCAAAUUACGUUAGAAUGAUAAAAUAUCCUUUGGUACUGCAAGUCAAAAUUUGGUUGGUACCUGAACUAACAGCCAAUAAUUAAAAACUUCGUUGGCUUAUAUUUUCAUAGUUCGAAUCCAAAACCUUUUUUUUUUGUUUUGUUUUAACCAAGGUGAGAUUAACGUGACCUUUGGGUAGAGAAGUGAGAUUGAUAAUGCCGCGUGUGACUCUCAGCAGAGGUAGCUCUUGCACCCUUCCUAGAAGACACCGAAGAAGGAUGAAUUACGACAGUUUCGUUCGAGAGAGACACAUGGGGGCUUGUGAUCAUCAGCUUUAUCUGUUUUAAGUAGCUUGCCUUUGCGUUUAGCUAACAUCUACUCAUUAUUAUAUUGUGAAAAUGCUGAUUAUGCGUAUCAAAACUCGGAAUUAGCAAAAACAUUAUGGUUGAAAAGGAAGUUGAACCAGUGUAACCAAUUAUUCAGUGACAGCGACCGAGAAAUUGCUUACUUUGUUGAUCCCUGUAUUGAUUAAAGUCCCCAACAGAAUUUCCUGAGCAGAUACUCUCGUAACAUCGGGCAACGAUGUAUCCAAGACAACGUGCUGUAUAUUUAGCAAUAAAAAACAUCAGUAAAUGCAUUUGCUCUCUAGGCCAUCCGAUUCAAAUAAAUUUUUUUUCGUAAAUAUAGUAGUUGCAGUAUGGAUGCUUCGUUCGGAAACCUGAGAAUAUUUGUGAGCUGUUUUGUAUAAUUGAACACAGGCCUCCGAUAGAAAAUAAAGAGUGACAACAAGAAUGACCCUUCAGAUCGCAAAACGAAGGUAGAAUUCGAACUUCAGAUUUGUCCCCACCUCCUCUCCAGCUUCGGAAGAAGAUCGAAUAUUAUUAGCUGAUAUACUUUGGUCGAUAUCAAGCAGUAUUGAUUAAGACUAGAGAUCCGAAACACGAGUAUGAAAUUUUAAGCAAUUAUUUUGAUCAUGUAAAUGGUCGGUGCGAGAUCAGCUGAUAUUGAUUGGAGGUGUUGAAGCAUUAUGUAUGUAUAUACGAAUGGCGAUUGCAAAAGCUUUCCUGUCCCCCAUAGUUUCCCCCUCUCUCAAGCCAAGUUGUGGGCUCCAAAAAACCAUGUGAACUUUCCUUUGCAAACUGCAGCAAUGGGACAUUCUUGCUUUAUUAGAUUAAGGACCUGCUGGAUCUAGCGUUACCUUUACGGCUUUAUCAUUCCAAAACUGAAAUCUUGCAGAUCACUAGGGAAGAAUUAGCGCAGCCUCACCGCCCAAGGCCACCAAGCUUGAUACUUACAGGCAAAAAAAACCAUUAGCAUCUCUGUUUUUAUGUAUACUGACCCUGAAAGAAAAUUUGGUGUGCUUACUGCAAAUAGACAUUAGCUUAAUACACGAGUGCAUUUAAUUAUUAAGACAGCAUUAUCAAAGAAAGUGAAGCAGAAAAUCUUGCUCAACCACCUGUACUAUGAUCUUGUUUAAAAAUUCUGACUUCUCUCCCGUCAAGGAUUUUUGGAAUCAUUGAAGGAUGAAAUGCCUUGUGAACUUAUUCAGUGAUUCAAAGCACGCCCACCUUAGCGAAUUUAGAAGUUCUGUUAUUGAUCAGCAGUUACUUCACAAGCCCAGACGCUAGCGCAGCUACAAUAAAAGGUAGAGAUGAUGAUAAAGCAGUGGUUGACAACCAUCUACUAGCUUCGACAACAACAAAAUGGACACUGCAAUGGAAUUUCAUUAAUUCAUUGAGGUAGAAACAACGAUCCAUUUGACGAAAAAAUGGACAGUUCUCAUAAAUUAUGAAGUACAUUCAUUUCUGCAAGAGGGCCAUACAUCCCGCGGGUAAUGGAUGCAUAUAUAACUGAUAACUUACAAAACCAGAAGGAAAAAAAAAAGGAAACAGAAAAGAAUGCUUUUUACAAAUUGUUUCGAGGAAACAACAAACUUAAGGAGAAAACAAAAUGAGUAGCUGAGAAGAAUUGUGAGAUGGGCAAAAAAAUAAGUUUAGGUUUCUCAAAUCUUGCUAUCACAAUCUAAUCUAGCCAACGAGUAACACCAUCAUCUUCCGCUAUGGCGGCCAGAAUCUCGACACGUGCAUCCAAAAUAGCCUGCAAUUUUUUGCACAAAUUAAGGCAAUUCAAAGGAGAGAGGACAGGUAAAUAGGAAUUGGAUUUCCUCUGUGCAAGUGCAGGGUGGAAGGCAGGUAGCUAGUUAAGAAUGAUGGAUUUAUCAAAAUUCCAUGCACUGCUUCAUGUGUGUUGAUGCCCUACUGAAAAAUUAAUCUUAGUAACCAUCUAAGCACCACUAUUUUUUAGCUAGAGGGACUAUAAUUAACCAUUACAGAUCUCUGUUUAUUGGAGCUCAAGUGAGUUUAAGACAGUUGGAGGAAAAUUAUCAUGCAGCAUAAUACAAAGAGGAGAGAAAUGUACCAAAGGAUUUCUACAGUUAACCAGCCUGCAUUCAUCCAAAGAACCUUCCAACAUCCAACUCUCCCAAACAUCAAAACUGUGACUGGUGAAAACAAAUUCCAUUCUCCUGUUAAUCUGCGAUUUUCAAAAUAGAACUCGACCUUAAUCCCAAGCAACCAAAUAAUUACAUCAAGAUACCUGAAUUUUAGCAAGUUAGGCAUUUACCAUUCAAUCAUGCUGGAAAAUGAAUGACAGGACAUAGAUCAUAGAUGCAGAUUCUCUAAGCACAAUUUUCAUUUUGCUUUCCAAAUGAAGAGCAUAAUUGAGAACAAAAAGAGCGCCUGAUUAAACAAUAAUAAGCUUCUAUCUUCUUUGAAAACAUGCAACCCUCAAAAUAAUCAAUCCAAAGUCUGAUUUCACACAGCAAAUGUCUACUUCCCUAAACCAAUGCACUGUAAAGCAGCAAUACAUAAAAACAUUCUAUGCUCCACAAACAGAUACGAAGAUUAAGUAUGCCCCAGUUAUAAACAUGUUCCGAGAACUCAAAGUGUGUAAAGAAGGCCCUAUCAGCAAAAGAAAAGGAACAGUGCUAGUUGUAGAAGCACGACCAUAUCACACUAGUACACCAUGAGAACUUGAGCAGAUAUUAGUGCCCAUAAACAGUAACUUCUUAUCAUACCAGUACAGCAGCACUCUCCAACUACUUAAUCUUACAAGAUAUAAAGUACCUGCAAUAACUUUCCACCAGCAGCAAAAGAGCGCAACCCAAUUGUGUCCUGCAAAAAAAUGCAUCCACAAAAACACAUUAGCGAACUCAACAGUUAACCUAUCCAAUUAUGCUAGCAACCGUAAUAUGAUGAAUUGGUUGGAAAAUGUGGUAAAGGCAUGAAUGAUUCCUGCCAAACAAACCUUGUUUCUGAAAACAACAAGGAACUGGGCUGCAGGAUCUCUUUUUGUUACAUUUGACAGAGCAUCCAGGAACCAACCACCUCCUUUAGCUCUUUGCCUGGAAACAUGGAGUGCAGGGCGAUCUCUUGCAUAUAAAGCUAUAAUGUGCCCAUCUUUGAGCAGCUCAUCAGACUUUCCACUGAGCCUCUUGCCUGAUCUUGAAAGCUGGCCUGAACUUGAUUCUUGCAUUAAUUCUAUUGGUGUUUUCCUACUCCUUGAGUCUUCAGGGGAAGCAAACCGAGAACUGGAGACUUGAUCACUGCCACUCAUAGCAGUAUCAUCUUCUUGAUGUGAAGUACUUUCUUUCUCUAAUUGAGAAGGAUUGUCUGAUUUCUGUCGAGGUUUUUGACGGCCAUGUCUUUUUUUUGCCUUCUUGCCUGAUCGGCUGCGUCUUUCAUCAGAUCUUGUGGUUGUAUUUUGAGACAUGCCAGAACCCUGAGCUUGGCUGGUAGAUUCUAUUGAUUGACCACUGACUUUUUUGCGAGAGGUUUCUGGAGUUAGCUGAAUAUCAUCGGUCAAUUGCUCACCAACAGAAUCCUGCAGAGUACUUUCUUUGUCUUGCCUGUGAAAUUGUUCACUUUCAUCACCUAUUUCACUUUCUUCCCCUUCCUCAUCAGAAACAGCAUUCUUUGGUACGAUCCCAUCAAAGAAGAAUGACUGCAGAAUAGAGAUAGCUUUUUCCCUUAUCUCCAUCCACACUUCUUCACUGUAAUCUGCACUGCGUGGAAGUAUCAAUACAUUGGGCAUCUCUUUUACCUGAAGCAAAAGUUUGGGAUGGAUCACUCAGUCAGAGGUGCUAUAUUCUGAGUUAAAUAUCAUACAACAUUCACAUAAAAUCUUAGUCUACAGCACACAUUUUUCCAAACAUUACCAAAAAUCAAAGACCAUGCUCAGUGCUUUGAGACCUCAACCCUUACCGCUCACCAUACUAAAAUCUAAACAGGAAGUGUAACGAUAAGGGCCUUUACCAUCUAAAACUACAAAAAAAAAAAAAAGAAUUUGAUUUUGUUCCAAUCCAUACUCUAGCAAUGGAAAGUUUGACGAGGAUAGAGUUUUUUCCUGAGGAACAUGUAUAUUCAGAAAAGCAAUGGUUGAUUUAGGCCAAAACGAAUCAAGACAUUUGCUUUAAGCAGCAAUGCCACAUGAGCAUUCGAUCGCAGUUGAACAUUGUAGGCUACUGGUAUAAAUAAAAAAAAUACAAAUUGACUAACAGGGGAAAAGGGUGAUUAAAUAGGGCAACAGGCAAUAUAAAUCAUACAGGCCCACAACUUUUUUGAAUUAAACUGGAAGGAGCAUGUUUUAUAGCGCUCGGCAUUUUAGUUACCACUGAAAUGAUACUAAACAGAGACAACUAGGGGUGUCCAUCAACCUACCCAACCCAACUUGCUAAGUUAUUUAGAAGGGGGAGAGUAUGUUAUUAAUUUUUUUAUGAAGUAACUGAUAUUUCAAAUUGGCCAUGAAACGUUAUAGAUUCCAAGAAAUAACAUACUCCAUUUAAACUUUUUGUAUAUAUCCUAAAAAUAACAUCAUAAUCCAAUUCAUAAAUCAUACAUACCCAUGCUUCCAUCCACUGUGGCCCUUCAGCACCAUCCAGGGCACAACCGGCCAAGGUCCCAUCAAUCAGAAGUUGCUUCAAAGCACAAUCAUCCAGCAGCUGACUGCUGCCCGUAUUCACAAGAAAUGCCCCUAUAAGAAAGCAAAGAGGUUCCUUCCACAUAAAUAUCAACAGGAAGUAAAUCAUUGCAAACUUCUCAAAAUGAGUAAGGAGAGUAAUAUGCCUGGCUUUAUAUGUUGCAAGCACUCUUCAUUGAUAAUCUGAACAGUUUCAUUAGUUAAAGCACAGUGAAGUGAAAUAAGAUCACUUGCAGCCAGUAAAUCAUUAAGAGUAUCCAUUCUUCGAGCAGCUAAAGGAAAUGUAAUAGAAGACCUGGUUAAUUUUCCUGGCCCCUGCAUUAUUUAAUUUAGGCAAAAACGUGAAUGGAGAGCAAAUGCAAAUGCAAAUAACUUGAGCACCGGAAAAUAAAAGCAAAAGAGCGCACAACAAGUCAAUGCAUUAAAUUAGAGAGUAGCAACACUUCAAAAAACAUCAAAUCCCACAACUAAUCAACUUCUAAAAGAAUGUUUCUCAAUCAUACCCAAAUUGCAUCUUCCAAAUGCCAAGCUUAUCAAAUAUAACAGGGUAUGCUAAACCAAGAUUUUAUUUUCUUUCAUUACAAAGAUAAGAAAACAACUUGUGCCUUAUAACCAACUAAUUUGGAAAUAUUUACAGACACGAAAUGUAUUAUCUCCACAUAAACCCCAUAAAACAUCACAAUGAAGAUCAUUUCUGAUCUGCCCAUAAAUCAACUGCAUCCACAAAACAAAAAAAUUCUUUUAACUUCAAAUGGCUCUACUAACCCAUCAGCCAAUCCUAUUAAAAAAAUCUAACAAUUUUCUCCUAUUUAAUUCACAAGCAACAAAAAAAUUCUAAAAACGACAUUGUUUGGCAUCAAAAUCAACACUUAUCUAAGCAACUUGAAUAACUGAAAAUUCUAAAGUGCGUGAAUAAGUACCUCGUGUACAUCAAAAUACAGCACACUCAUUUUAAAAGCUAAGCUUCUAGUAGCCAAAGAUCUAGCUGAUGCAGAUCUACCAACAAUGCCCAAUACCAAACCUCUACACCUCCUCAUUCCUCUACAAAGCGGCUGCAGCGAGCCAAGCCAACCGGAAGCUGAUAAGGCAUGUCUUGACAACAAAUGCGUCCGGCGCAGCAAGCCUAGAAACAAAGCCAUAACCGUAUCAGCGAUCUCCUCGGCUCGAGAAGUAUCCACGUGUACAAGCCGGAGACCUAAAUCGGCAGCGAGAGCGGAGUCGACAGCUCGGUCAGCCGACCCCAGGCAUAGGAUGAGCUGGUAAGGACGGAGACGGCGUUGGGCGGCGCGUGGGAGGUAAGCGAGUGAAUGGAGGAGGACGGCAGCGGCAGAUUCGAUCUUGCCAUCGGAGAGGCGGCCGAGAGGGACGUGUUCAAUUAAAGCGACGCCGGAUAAGGAGUCUUGUUCGAUGGCAAAAUCUUCGAUGCAGUUGAGAGUGACAACAAGAGGGAGACGUUGUUGUUGUUGUUGUUGCUGUUGCUGUUGCUGUGGAGGAGGAGGAGUGUUAGUGUUACGGCGGUGUGACAUUGUCGCUAAAGAUCUGGUAGUCGUGGCGCUCAUUUACAAUUUUUGUACUAGUUAGGGUUUAACGUGAGGAAUUUGGCCAUUUUUUGGGUGGGUACAAUGGAGGAGGAGGGAAAAGAGCUUCUUUUUUAUUUACUUAUUUGUGAACUGAAAUGUGAGAGAAAGAGGCUGAUGGAGUGUCGUUUUUUCUGUUGGUUUGUUUUUGCUUCCUAUGGUUUGGAUGGGAGGGAGAUGGUGAAAAGUCCCUUCCCCUACCCUACCCUUGCUUGUCUAGAGCAGUAGACUAUUUCUGACCCCUCGUCCUUGGGGUUUUGAAAAGCUGCAGUAAUGCUUCGAUGACUUCGAGUCCCUCACUUCAUUUUAUUUUUUUUUUAUUAAUGAAAAUAAGUAAAGUGUUUAUGUUUUCAUAAUUAGGCUUAGUGUUUUUUUAAGACCAUCAUUACCCAUUAGAGAUUUAUUCUCAGUAAGGAUACCCACGUGGAAGGGAAAAAAAAACUGUAACCAUGACCAGGGUUUUGCCAGUCGCUACCAACAACAUAGGUCGCUAAUUAGAGACGGUGAAGUAUUGCUAUUACCCUGUUUGGGCGGCUUUCUUUAAACCACUAGCAGUUUUUCUUUCUUACAAGAGGAGGAAGUGAAAAUUUGAAAAACCACUGUCAGAAGAAUUUACCUUCCCCGCCCUGUCGGUUGUCAUUUCACCACUGGUGAAAGCAGGUUUCGAAGGCCUUUCACAUAAAAAGAAAGUGCACUUGGGGGGAGAAUACUCGAGUGCAUAAAAAGAAAAACUAGCAUUUCAUAUGGGUUUAGCCCGGGUGUAAAUGGAAAUAAAUACCUGGUUCAAUGCUUCUACGUUCCUCCAAAGAUAGCAAAAAUCAGAUCACAGAAAUAACAGCACUCCGAUAUGAGAUGUCGUCAAAACACUUCCCCAUUAUUUCAGAAAUGCAACAAGCAGCUUUAAACAAAUUAAUUAAAUGCAAAAAUGAGACGCAGUAGUUUGAGUUUGAAACAAGAGAAAAUAAACCUGUUACACUUACAUUAGAGAGAGAGCUACACAAAUACACUACAGGACCCAGAAAACUAUAUGCAUUUUUAUAGAGGCACACUGGCACCACCAAAAACCCAUGCAGGCCUGCAUAUCUCUUGCAGGUUCUUCGGAAGAUCGAGGCUGUCAUUCCCUCCAGAGUCUACUCCCAAGCUCUGCUAGUCCAAAUAUUUAAGCAAAUUUGCAUUAUAUCCGACUUCCAUUUGGACCACCACAAGUCAUGAUCUUAUACGCAACUAGAGGAAUGAGAUGACGAACUUUAAGCUGGUCUCCUUGUCAAGAUAUAUAGAUCUUACAACUACCAAACAAAAAUACUGUACAAGUUCCGUAUCAUUUACCGAAACUCACACUUAACAGAUCAAGCCUGCCUUAUAUGUUCCCCAUCUCCUUCGACUUCGUCUGUUGAGCAAUAUUACAGAUGUACUUCUACAUUCUGAAAUAUUUCCAGCUGUUUUUGUUCAUCCACAGUAACAAGCUAUUAGACAGAAUAUCCGGUUCAUAAAAACCUCCUAAAAUUCCUCGUAGUUGCUUGAUAUGAACGCAUGAGCAGUCCAACACCAAUGCCAGCACCAAGACACAUCCCAAGGCCAAUUCCAACACCAACUCUCACACCAGCAUUAAACCAUGAGAGUUGUCCAUCCUCACCAUAAUACAUGUCUUCUGAGUAGUAUUGGCUUCCAAUUUUCUCAUCUGAUUCAUAGCCAUCAUCAUCUUCAGCUUCAGUAAUCUGCACAAGAGCCCAAUGUUGAUGAGACAAUUGAAAUAGCACAAACUGCUGACGAAGGGAUGCUGUUCCAAGUAAACUGAGGUGUCAACAACCUUUCUAAAACACAUAAUCAGAAAAUCACUCAAUAUAUAUUGAAUCAUGCUCAUGUUUGUCCUUGUAUUCAACCUAAGCAGCUAUGCACAUCAUGGAUUCACAUUGAUUAACACAUGAAAAAAAGAUGUCCACAAUAUAUCAGAAAAUUUUCCAAUUUGUCCUGUGCAAGAGUUUGUUAAGCUUCUUAAAGCUGAUCUACAGUUGAAUAUCUAGAAGACCGUAAUUGCUUCCUUUGAGGAACACGUAUUUGCAUGAUUUAUUUCAAGAAGACAGGAGCACAUUAUCCAACAAAUCAUUUGUGACCAACUCCAAGCUGCACCACAAUGUAAUCAAUUGAUAGACUUGUACAGGUAGUUAUAAUUUCAAGGGAGACACUCAUGUUACAUGGAAGCUGCCUUCCUCUCUCUCGCCAAAUAAACAAGUGGUUCAAGAGGCUGCACCUACUUCUCAUGAAAUAAAAAAUGUGGGUACCGUAGAUAGAUUCAGGGGAAAAAAAUCGUCAUACAAUUACAUUCACUGGACACAGUUUAGAACAAGGACCAGCAAACCUAAUGCUCCAGUGCUCAGACACAUUGCAGAACUACAACUUAAAACAACACAAUCAACAUCAAAAUCCACAUUACCUGCAUUAUACAAAACUUAAAUUAAAUCAUAAUCAGAAUUAACUCAACUCACGUAGCUUCAAUCCAACUUGAGACACGAUAAGGCAAUCAAACAAAAAGCCUACAACAUUCACAACCGCACUUCCCUACAACAUAACAACCAAUACACAACAAAAGACUUGCAUUUCCUCGAUUAACUUCUCUAAAACAAAACUAUUAAAUUUCCCAUCAUUCUAUUUCUGAUUAAAAAUCCAAACAAAGAGAGAUGCAUUAAUGACAACAGGAUUAAUUUACCUGAACUUUGCGUUGUCUAACCAACCCAUUACUAAUAACACCGUUUUGCUUCCUAUUAUCCAACUCCUCAUCCUCUGGAAUCGCAUCGAGCAUCGCAUACCUGGACGGUUUCUUCAUGGGACCAACCAAAAUGGUCUUCGUCAAAAUCACCGGCACACCUCCACAGCAACCAGCAAUAUAGACCUCGAUCACCGGCGCCGAAACCCCCAAUUUAAACACCGAGUUCCCUUCAAAAACACCAGCCGCCACACAGCAUUCUAAACUCCACCCUGUCUUCGCAUCAUUCUCCAACCCCCCUACACCCCCAUUAUUCCCCCACGAUGUCGUUUCGAUCCUCUCCAACGACCCACACAAAACCAUGUCCUUGUUAUCUAAUACUUCAAAUUCAACCCCGCGGGUGACGCGCACGCUGUCCGUGCUAACAUACGUGACCUCCGAUGAUUCCUUGUUGAGGCGGUCGCGACGGAGGGUUAAGGAGGCGGAAUCAGAGGAGGGGAUUUUAGAGCCGUUUAUUUCGAGUGGAGUGCUGAUUGAACGACGGAGAUGGCGGAUGGUCAGGUGGUCGGGUACGCUUUCGAUAACGCAAGGAGUUACUCUUACGUAGAAUAAUCGGAUUUCGAGCCAUGAAGAUGAUUUGUUUGUUAUUAGAUAUUUGUAGGAAUUUGAUUCGAUGUGGUUUCGAUCCAUUGAACCCUAGUAUAGUUCCUUCAAAUUGGAAUCAAAAUAAGCUGAAAUUAGGGAUUCUUGGAUUUGGAUUUUGAUCUUUUAUCAAAUCCUGGGAAUCAUAGGAGGAGGUUUUCUAUAAUUUUGGCGGUGUUAGGAGAUUAGGAGCAAUGUUUGUUGGAGAGGGUAUAAAAUGGAGGAGAUUUUUUAGUUUCUAUUUUUUGCAUUGGAGAGGAAAAAAGGGUUUUGAAUUUUUAUCCGUGAUUAGGGUUUUUGAAAGUGAUUUUCUGAGUGUCAAGAGUUGUUGCGGAUGUAAAGGACGCGGUGGACCUGGUCAAAAACUUCGGACAGGAAAUAGGAAGGACGAGGACGACGAAACCGUGAGCUGUGAUUAACACGUGUCGUCUUCAGUUGUUCUUGCUGGAGGUUGACGGUAAGGUUUUUGCUAUUAUUAUUAUCAUUAUUAUUACGUGAAAACUGCGGAUUAGCCCCCAGCCAAUGAUGCACUUCGCGUAUAAGUCUCCAACCUUCAAAACUUUAUUAAAUAUGGCUCAAAACUUUAUUAAAUAUUAUCAGGAGUUUAUGCAUCCAGGCUGGGUCCUAGAUUACAUAGAUUAAUUUACAUUAACUUAAAAAAUAAUAUUUAAAGUUUUAAUAUCAUAUAUUAAAAAAUUAGAAACAAUUUAUAUAAAAAUAGAUUAUAUUUGUUGUAAAUAAUAAAUUUAAAAAGAUUAUUUCAAAGUAUUUUUCAUCUCAAAUUAAAUAUAAAAAAAUUUAUUUUAUAUUAAAAAAACACAAUUUUUUUUAAUUAACGUAUAGUAUAUAUACCGAUGAAUUUUAUAUUCUAUAUUAAAAAAUUAAAAAAAAUUAAUAUGAAUUUUAAUAUGAGCUAAUAACUAAUAAAAAAAUUAAUAAUCAGUGUGCAUGUACAAGGUUAAGACCAACAUAAAAAAAAUCUUCGAUUGACCCUGAAUAUGCACGAAGGAGCACUUAUGCAUUUUAAACCUUUUGUUUUUGUUCCUCAUUUAACUAAAACCACUAUUUUUUUUAUUCUCUCCCUCCUCUGUCUAAACAACUACUCCUUCAAUAUUAUUUUUUUAUUGAUGGCCUUUUUGUUUUGAAGAAACCCGAGAAUAUUUGUUCCGCGUAGAAAUAUUCAUGGACAUGCUAUAAAAAAAUGUGGACCUGAGCUACCUAGCUAUCUAUUGAUUUGAAUUUUCAAUUUAUUGAAAAAACAAUGACAUGAAAAAAAAUAAAAAAAAAACAGGUUUUAUUGCGUCACUCAAAUUACAGGCUGUCCUAACAAGUCCUACAAAAAUAACCAGGCCAAUUGUUGGUCCAGGUUUUGCCUACAUCAUAUUUAUCGUGCAUGACAUCAAAGUAUUGGUAUGCAAGCAUACAACAUGCCAUCGAGCAGGAUGGAUUUGGGUUUCUUGGAUUUUUUUUAAUGGUAAAAUUUAAAAAACAAUUGUUACUGUAUAGCACGAAUUCAAUUUUUAAAAUUAUGUAAAAUAAUCAUGGUUGAUUUAAAAUAAAACCGAUGAAGAAUGAAUGACAAGAAAUGAGUUUUUGUUAGUUUUGCAUUUUUGCAAUAAAGGAUUGCAAGAUAAAACAAUAAACUUAGGUUGUAGUGGGAAUUAUUUUUCAAAGUGUUUUUUAUAUGGAAAUGCAUUAAAAUGAUAUUUUUUUAUUUUUAAAAAAUUAUUUUUGAUAUCAGUAUAUCAAAAUGAUCAGAAAACACUAAAAAAUUAUUAAUUUAAAGCAAAAAAAAAUAAAAUUUAAAUUUUUUCUAAAAUAUUUUUAUUGGAAUCUACAACAAUCUACAACACAUGCAUAGAAAUGACAAUACGAAAUCAGAGGAAUCCCAGCAGCCUACAGAAACACUACUGUCCACAGCACCCUAUAAAUCAUUCUAUUUCUAUUCUGCAGUCUUCAUAUAUAUAUAUAUAUAUAUAUAUAUAUAUAUAUAUAUAUGAUUAACAGGUUAUUAAUUAGUUAGUUAUAACCGUUAGUUAUGUUCGAAUAUGUGUAUAUAUUCAUUCAUUCAAUAUAUAAAAGAAAUAUAAAGGUAGAUGAAAUAAACUCUGCAUGCAGAUAAUCUAGUCGUAAAACAACUCUUCUUUUUGUUUCAAGAAUUCAUUCUCCUCUUUUGUUGAAUCUUUAUCUGCAUGUUUUACAUUUUUCACGUAGGAAUUUCACAGUUUUUGAAACUAAAAAAAAACAAAGAAAAAAAAGAAACUGUAACAGCGAGAGAAUGACUAUAUUUACUAAAUAAAGAGAGUUGAUUAUUAUUAUUAUUUUACUUUACUCUAGCAAAUUAUACUCAUUAUUAUUUUUUAAUUUCCUCCCAGCUAUUUUAAAUUCAAGCACGUGCUUCCCCGAUGAGACCUGUUGGGUAAUAUGGUGGUGGACCCAUCGGCUAGGGCGUUCCAACAUUGAGCUAUAUUUAGCAAAGAUUAGAAGGUCGGGGGCUGAUUUGUAGUUGUCCCCCCUCUUUUGGUACUUAGGUUAACGGGAAGUUAAGCGGCGUGAAAAAGUUCACGCUGUGAAUGGGUCUGGGCUUCGAGGUCUUUUAUAAAAGGGGCCCACACCUCGAUUUUGAGAAUCGGGAAUAUACUGAAAGCCCAGGCUUAUGAAUUGAGUUGGGCCAGGGCUAUUAUUGGUGGCUAAGAAACUUUUGAGGCCACAGGCAAUAGUCAAACAGGGGCCCUCACAGCAGCUCUGAUGUGAAUAUAUGUGAUAGUGGAGAAAAGGCCGGCAAGAAUACCCUUUACUUCUUGGUUCAGCAAAAGAUUCACGUAUCAAUUCAGUGGUCACCGUGAAAGCAGGAAAAUGAAAAACAACAUGGAUGAGUCAGGCGUGUUUGCCCGAGCGCCAAACACUUCGAGAAGCCCGGGCAGUAUUUUAAGAGGCCAAAAAUGCCUUUUUAUUAUUUUAAUGGAAGAAUUGCCACGUCAUUUUUUUUAAAGAUGGAUGGUGGUGGUAGUGGGAUGAUUUAUCAACAUUUUUUCUUCUCUCAAACAAAUCAUAGCUUCAUCCUUUUGAUGUUGAUUUUUCAACUUUAAUUUUUAUUUUUUUGUUUUAUAAUUUUUAUUAUUGGCUUUUUUGUCUAUAUUUCAUUUGUUUUCAAUUUCAUUUUUUAAUCCUAAUUUGUUAUAUAUUAUUUUUUUAAUUUGAUUCUUAUUUUUUUGAUUUUGUUUUUUCAACUUUUAUUAAAUUUUAUUUUAUUUUCAAUUUCACUCUUAAAUAAAAAAUUUGUUUGUAUUUCUUACUUCAAUCUUGUUCAUUUUUCUUUUGAAUUUUGAAUUUUUUUUAUUUUUCUUUUUAUUUUCACCCCUCAAUCAAAGAUAAUUUUUUAUAUAUAUUUUAAUUUUUAUCAUCGUUCUUUUAUUGUUAUUUUUUUAAUUUCAUCAUUCAAUAUUUAAUUGAAUGAGAAUUGUGUUUCAUGUUUUUUUCAAAUAGAAUACUUCUGGCCUAAUGACUUGGAUCAUAUGUUUGAAAAGUUAAUGUGAGUCGACAUUGUUUUUUUUUAAAAAAAAAUCUUUGUGAUUUUCAUCAUUUUACUUUCUACCAUGUUGUCUCGAUCUCAUGACAUUAGACGCGGGAUAAUCCGGGUUGGCUUGAUCUUGAUUAACGAGAUUACAGGUUUGUCAUGUUAACUUAGGUUGACUCGGACUGAUUUUUUUAAUUUUUUUAAUCUAGUUUUAUUCUUUGUAUUCAAUAAAAUGAUAAUUGAGUUAUAUUAUUUGUUUUUUUUAUAAAAAUAUUUUUUUCACAAGUUAUUAUGAUCAUUCUUUUUAAUGAAAAUAAAAAUUCAAGCACGCAAUGUAGCAAGAUCUACUGUUAAUAGCAUACCACAACACAAAUUUAUAUUUCAAACAUUUGAAAAAUAUCAUAGCUUUUUAAAAUUAAAUGCUUCGAACAUCAUAUUCUACACGGAGUAGUUUCACCAUCCGUUACAUGGUUCUUGCAUCGAAUGUUCAAAAUCAGGAAACUAAUUUGUUGUUCCAGCAAAACAUAUUUUAAGGCCACUACUUUGUGUUUCUCCAACCAUACCCGAGGAGUCCUUGUCGGAAUCGCAUCACGAAGCAUAUUGUAAAUUUUAUAAUUAUAAUUGAAAUGUUUCAAUUCGAAAUGAUCACCAUAUCUUAACAAAAACUGACAGGCUUGAUGUCGUGGCACGUAAAACAGGAGCACCCUCGAGGCUGUUUUUUUUUCCUUCUUUUUACCCGCUUGGAUGUGGUCACAGAAAGUUCCGGCUGGCGUUGAGGCAACGCUACAGCCUACAUGCCUGUGCUCAGCAAACUAGAAUGGCUGCUUUCUAAAUCUUACAGCUUGAAAAAUGUGACGCCGCCGGUGACUGUCAAAACUCGCAAAUGAGAAUUCUAUGAUUGACUAGUGGGGUCCGCACUUUCCUCUGAAGCCAAAAAUGACGGCUCUUGUUUGACUCAGAUAACCUCAAUUACACUGGUUGUUAUUGACGCGCCACCACCUGCAUGGCAAAAUAAACCGUUUGUUUUUCUAAUUAAUUGUAGGAGUAUUGUUAUAUUACGUGCACGGUGAUGCUCCAAAUUGAAAAUAAAAAAUGGUUGGGGAUUUAACUAUGUAAACAACAAAACGAGGGGUCGUUUCUUUUGUUGCUCGUGUUUCUUCUUGUAUUAAGGAUCGACCAAGUAUAUUUUAGUAGUUUCAUAAAUUAAAAAUAUUUUUUUAAUAAAUAAUUUAAGUUUAUAAGUUAUUUAAAUAUAAAUAUAUAUCUUACAAUUUACCACCUUUUCAAAUAUUUUACGCAACAUGAAAAACAUUUUCCAUGAAAAAUAUACCAAGUUGAGAUGCCAAUACCCUCCUCCUCCUCCUCCUCCUCCUCCUCAGGAUGUUUCACUAGUUUAGAAUUGCAUUUCCAACUAUUAAUAAAUCGAGAUUGAUCCUUUUUAAUUAGCAAUGUCAAAUUAGACAAGGUGUUACAAGCAGAUGAUUUUUACAUAUGCUAGAUUUAAUUCUAUUCAUAUUUUUUUUAAUUAAAUAUAAUGAAUUUAAAUUCAUUAAAAUGAAAAUAAAUAACACCUGAAAUCAACUAAAAUACAAGAGGAUUAUUUUAAUAUAGAGAAUGAAAAAAGGUUUACAAGCACAUUAAGAGCCCCUAAUUAAAAAACAUGCAGUAAAAAUCUUAAUUAGAGAUCAAAGAUUUAUAAUUCAACCCCAAAUUAUAAAAAACUACUUUACAAGUGGAUAUUGAACAACCGACACUCUUUUUUGCAAUCCAUUGAUUGCCAUGUUACUUUAACUUAUCAUUUGAUACUCUUUCCGUGGACAGGAAAUAUGAAGAUUGAUUUAUUAUCAAUUUGUAUAAUUUUUUUAUUGCGAUACAAAUAUUCAUGAGAUGGCAAAAUAACACAAGAAACAAGAAAAAAAUAAUUAAACAGUCAUGAAAUUAAGAAAAUACAUUAGAAAAAUUGGACAAAAGCAAUAAAAAACAUAAAGUUUUAUAAUAAAAAUAUUAGAAAAAAGGAAAAAAAAUUACUGUCGUGAUUUGUUUUAUUUCACUGAUAACAACUCAUUAAAAAAUUUAAAUUAUUUUGUCAGAUCUCGAAAUGUAAUAUAUAUUAUUUUUUGACAUAAUCCUUUAAGAAAAGCUUCAUGAGUUUGAAACUUGCACAAAUUCAUAUCACUCCGUGUUUAAUUUUAUCAAAUAGAACAAGGGUGGUAAGAUUUAAAAUCCUGAUUAUUUUUUCAACAAGACUGUGAUAUCAUGAUAAAAAACCAUCUCAACUCCAAAUCUCAAGCUAUUAUAUGAAGUAAUUAUAUAUUAUUUUUUAACAAAUAUAACAUAAUACACGCAAUCAAGAUAAUUAAAGAACAACAUAAUUAAAUCCUAAUGAUGAAUUUAUUGUUGUGUAAAAUUAGCAAAUAAAAUUAGACAAGCAAAAAAAAUAUGUCCAGUUUAUAGACAUCAAGCAAAUAAGUAUAUGCCUACUUAUAAUCAUAAGAAAAAAACUAGAAUGCACACUAAUAUACAAAGAUAAAAAAAAAAACUAAAAUGGUACUUGCUUAUUCAAACACUUUAAAAUUAAUCUCACUUUGUUCUUGUCGAUGAUUAAUUAUUUAUUCUUAAAAUUUCACUGCUCAUCAUUUGGUGUAAUAAAAUCUUUUUCAAUAAAACUCUUAGAAUUCCAACACCACCACCUUAUUUAGGAGCAUUACUAAAUAAAAUCUAACAAGCUAAAAAAUAAUACUCAAUUAUUUAUCUUCUAAAUUAAAAGGAAUUUUGAGAUAAAACAAAGAUUUAAAAUUAAUAUUAAAAAAUAGAGUAAAGAAAAGUGUUUAAAAAAAUAUAGAAUUAAUCACCCAGACACUCUCUUUCAACCUUGUUUUUUCUUUUUCCCCGGUAAAAUUCUCUACCUAACAAUUUUGUUUACUCAUGACAAAAACAGGAUUAAACCUGAAUUUUUCUUUAUUUAAAUGAGGUGAUUUUUAAAUGAAAAAACUGUUUAUGCACUAUUGACAGAGUUCUGAGAAAACCCGAUAAUUUUUUUUCUUCCAUGGACCGUACGAGUAUUCCAAAACGUAGUUCAUUUCAACACGUGGUCAAGCGUGGUUCUUAAUCCUCUCUCAUUCGCGUAGACAUACAUGGAAAACGAUGGCGCUUUUACUUCUUCCUGUUAGUUCGAGGUUAGAGACUAGAGAGCUCGAGGCUUGGGACUGAUGGAUCAUAUAGAUUUCCGCACUUCUUCAACAUUCAUGCACUCAACUUACUCUCUCUCUCUCUCACUCUCUACUUUAUUUUUCUUCCUCUCUCCUACUCUGCAUUUCUUGUUUUCUUUCGUUUUUUUUUUUUGUUUGGUGUCCAUAAUCGUACUUCUGACCUCUCUCUCUCUCUCGACAAAGAGUGAUUUGAUUCCUUCUUCUCUUCUAUUUCUUUUCAACAUUCAUCUGUUCUUAUCCCUCAUUCCUUCACUCUCUCUCUGUCUCUCUAUUUUUUUCCACAUUCUCCCAUCUCUAGUUUUGAUCUUCGCAUCAAAUGAAGGUUUGGUUCUCUCUCUUGGAAUCUUUAUUUGUUUAUGUAUUCCCUUUAUAAUUCUUUAUACGGUUUUCAUUCUUUAAAAGGUCGGAUGCUUUCUAAAAGGAAUUUAAGACAUUUUGGUUUAUGGGUUCAUUUGAUUCCUGGUAACAUAGUUGUUUGGAUGGGUCCAUGAGUAUCAGGGGUCUCUUUCUGGGACUGGUUUAAAGGAAGAAUUAGUAUUUUCAGUGCUCUUUUUAAGAACAGAGUCUUUUGAGUGCCAAAAGCUCAGGUUCAGAUUUUGUACAUUAGUCAAGUUCUGGUCUUUUUACAGACAACUGAUCAUUAAAAGUUUGUUGAUUCUGUGUUGGUGCCGUGCAUCUGUAACGUUUUGAUUUUCGGUAUCUAUAGGAGCGAAGACAAUUUGAUGUUUUAGCCAUUUUUUUAUAAAAUAAAAUUGGUUUUGGUCACUUUGAUUAAGAAGUUUGAUGUAAAAUGAUUAAUGAAUAUGUGGAGGUAGUUGAAUUGAAGCUCUGAGUUAGAUCUAUUUGAUUUAUGCCUGCAGAAGUUUGUGUUGAAGGUGGACUUGCACGAUGACAAAGCCAAGCAAAAGGCUAUGAAGACAGUCUCUACUCUUACAGGUACCAAGUUCAAUUUAUUUUUUGGAUUUCCAUUGAAGUUUGUUUUUUCUUACGUGUAAUUUGGGUUUUUUAGAUUUCAGACAGGAGGGUAGUUAGUUGAAAAAUCACUCUCUAAUGUUUGGUUACAAGGGUGGGGUAGGUGAAGGGAAGCAAAUUGCUUAAAAUUGCAUCUGUAACUUUUUUUGUUUUUUUCCCCCCUCCCUUUCCGUAAUGAUGCUCUCUCUAAUUUCUUACAAAAAGGUUUUUUCAUUUUUGGUUGGUACUUCUUUCUCUGCUUUAAUUAUUUCUAUCUAGAUGUAAGGUGAUAUGAAUGUCCAUACCAACCAAAUCAGUCACGACACGCAAACUAGCAAUGAAAAAUUUGGUGUAGGAGGGAAUACCGAUUUUAUCAAAUAUUUUCGUGAAAUUGUUUCAUGAAAAAUCAACCAUGUAUCGAGUGAGCAGAUCCCGUGAUUGAAUUCUUUCGGAAAAUGAUCUUGGGAAGAAUAUUACUUUUUGUAAGAUUAGCGUUAUUCUUGAUGUAAUAGCGUGCUAGUGUUUGUUUUGUACUCUGCACAAUUACUAGUGCACUAUCAAUACUCUGAAAGAUCAGAUUUUGUGAGAAAAUUCAGUAGGCAGCUUCUGUAGGCCAUUCAGUGUACCUCCUAAUCACGAAAAGGCACGCGAAUGGAUUUCAAACUUUCAUGUGAUGCGAGACAGGGUUGCGUAUAAUGAAUGAUUCCUCCAAAAAAAAAUCAAUUUCUUUCUUUAAGACGUGGAAAGGCUGAGUAAGCCUCUCGUGGGCAGAAAUUGAAAAUGAUGGGUGUAUCAAUCUGCAGAUGUUUGCGCUACAAGCUGUUAGCGCGCGGGACAAUAUUGUUGUUGUGGAAAAUUGACGUGCAGUUAUUUUAGAAAAUAACUGUGAAGCGAUUUUUUAAUCUCAUUUUGCAAUUUUAUAGGAAUUGAUUCCAUGGCCAUCGACAUGAAGGAAAAGAAAUUAACCGUGAUCGGAACGGUUGAUCCUGUAAAUGCAGUCAGCAAACUGAGAAAAUAUUGGCCAGCAGACAUUAUCACAGUAGGGCCAGCAAAAGAGCCUGAGAAGAAAGAGGAGGCUAAGAAGGAGGAACCCAAGAAAGAGGAGGCAAAGAAAGAAGAACCUAAGAAGGAAGAAGCGAAGCCAGAGGAAGCCAAGAAGGAAGAACCCAAAAAAGAGGAGGAGAAGAAGGGGGAAGAGAAGAAGGAGGAGAAGAAGGGGGAAGAGAAGGGGGAAGAGAAGAAGGAGGAAGAGAAGAAGAAAGAGCAAGCACCACCGCCAGACCCAGUUAUGGAGCUUGUCAAGGCCUACAGAGCUUACAAUCCUCAAAUGACCACAUAUUACUAUGUCCAGAGCAUGGAAGAGAAUCCAAAUGCAUGUGUAAUUUGUUGAGUUUUGGGCUAUUAUAAAUUAAAUAUGAAAGCUUUUCCGGCCGGUAGAUGAUGGUUUUUAAUCUCAUCACCGUGUGGUUAUCCCUGUAUAUAGGUGGUGAUGUAUGUGCCUCUUUCAUCUAUAUUCAGACAUAAGCAAUUUGUAGAAAAGAAUAAAUGGAAUGUCGCUACUGGCACACUGUUUUCUGUAUACAAUCUGUACAAUAAUGUUAAUUUCGUUACGUUCUUGACAAAUCUUCAUGCAGCACGAAGAUUAAAGAAAAGCUAAAAAGCAAUCGUGAUUGAUUUGAAGAUUUAUGAGAAUUCCGGGUGGGUCACACAACUCAUGCUAGAUUUUGUUUUUCUUACAUCUCUCCCACCGUCUUUCUCUGUGCAUGUGUCAUACGUCGAGGAACAAGUGAGUCUGUGGGUCGCGUUGAUCUUAACUUGUUGUCUCUUCCUUUCGGCUUUCUUUCAUGUCAUCUAAAGUGCCGUGGUAUAAUUUCAAGGAUAUACGUUACCUGAUUAGAUUUUGAAUUAAAUUUUUAGAUAUUAUUAAUUAAAUUUUAGAAUUACUGAGGCUUAUAUAUAUAAUUAUUAAUUUUAAAAUUUUAUAUAAUUAAUUAAAAUACGUGUAAGAGGUGAUUGAAUCACUAGAAUUGAAAAAAAAAAAAAAUUUACAAUUUGUCGGUGCCGUGAUGCCAUGGUGAUUUCAAAGGAUCCGACUCUCUUCUUGACAAGUAGCAUGCCACUGUUUUUAGUUACAUUUCUGGCUAACUAUUUCUUUUCACCUUAAAAUGCAUUUAUUCUUUGAAAUUAACUCGUCCUAUCGGGGCUUGCUGAAAUGAAAGAAUCUCCGAAUGACAUGACAUAACACCCUUGGAUUUAAGUUUAAUCACUGCUACUUUCAAAUUUCACGCUGUAAUACUGACGUCAUCUUCUGUACUAUAAAAGUUGAGAUUUAAAGGGAAUCUAGAAAGGAAUUGGAAGACAUCUUGGUUGUUGGGCGGUGUUUAUUUCGCGGUGGUAUUGUUUUUUUUUUUAAAAAAAAUAUUUUAAAUUAAUUUUUUAUUGUUUUGAUAUAAGGUUAAAAAUAAAAUAUAAAAAAUAUUAUUUUAAUAUAUUUUUAAAAAUAACCAUUACUAUUCACUACAUUUCCUAGCUUAGCUUGUGAAGAGAGGAGAAUGUCUGAAUAAUGACUAGAUUUUCAAACUAGCUUAUUACAAGCCGGGUUGAAAUAAUUAAGAUAGGAAAAUUACUAAAAAUAGUAUAUUCUGAUUAUUCAACAACAUAAAAACACAAGUCAUUCGAGAAGAAUUAAGCAAGAAAUAAAAUAAAAAUCGUAUAAAAUGAAGCCAGAAAAAUUAUCAAGAAUGGUAAAAUUAAGGCCCCGUUUGUUUGCUGGAAAGUAGUUUCUUUUUGGAAAGUGAAUUCCGGGGAAAGUGAAUUUCAGGAAAGUGAAUUCCGGGAAAGUAUUUUCCGAUGUUUGGUAGUGUAAUGGAAAAUAAGUUGAAAAACACUUUCCAGUGUUUGGUUAUGUCAUGGAAAAUGAACUGUAAAAUAAUUUAUUAAUGUUUUAUUUUUCUCAAGUUUAUUAAAAUAAUGAGGAACAAAUCUUACAAAUUAAAAAGUUGAAUGAGAAUGAAAUUGAAAAAAAAUAUAAUUUCAUAAAUUAUCUCAAAUAAAAUAAAUAAUAAUCAAAAUAAUAGAGAUCAAAUCUAAAAAAUUAAAAAAAAAUAAAAGGUGAAUAAAUUAAAAUAAUAAUAAUUAACAUUUCAUAAAUUAUUUCAAAUAAAAUAAGUAACAAUCAAAAGAAUAAGGACCAAAUUUGAUAGAUAAAAAAUUUCAAUAAAAAAAUGAUAAGGAAAAAGCAAAUAGCAAUUAUAAAAAUAAGGACCAAAAUUAAUAUAAAAAUUAAAUUUUAAGAGAUGGAAUUGAAAAAUAAAUAUACAAAACAAAUUAUAUAUAACAAUCAAAAGUUUGAGGAUCAAAUUUAAUAUAAUCAGCAAAUAAUGACAUUUCUAAAUUUUUCACAACUUCCGGAAAGUGUUUUCCGCCCAAAUUUUCCAGGAAAACACUUUCCUGAAAACCAAGCCAAAUUUUCCUUUGACUGGAAAGUGUUUUCCGUUGACCAACUUUUCUAAUGGCAAACAAACACAGGAAAGUUUGGAAAAUGGUUUCCCGGAAACCACUUUCCGGAAAACAAACACAACCAAAGGGAAAACACUUUCCUGGAAACUAAACCAAAUUUUUCUUUGACUGGAAAGUGUUUUUCGUUGACCGGAAAGUGUUCUUCAUUGACUGGAAAGUGUUCUCCGUUGACCGGAAAGUGUUCUCCGUUGACCGGAAAGUGUUUUUCGUUGACCAACUUUUCUAAUGGCAAACAAACACAGAAAAAUUUGGAAAAUGAUUUCCCGGAAAGUGAAUUCCAGGAAACAAACAUGACUAAGAACACAAGUAAUGAUCAGGAUAUUGAAAAAAAAAGAAAACAAGUAUAGGACAACAGGAAACAAAACGAUGAGAUUUAGGGCUCGAAUCGACCUCUAGCAAGCGUAGCUGGUUUCUCACAACGAGCGUCAUUUGCAUCAUUUAAAUACUAGUAAACAAAGUAAUGAUCAAGAUAUUGAACGGUCAGCAAAGGGUCCCACACCAAACCUGAAAUCGCUGUCUCUGCCAUCCUUGAGCUGAUCUACCCUGUCAAGAUAGUCAAACGCCAUCAAUUUUAUUCCUGACAGCUCAGCUCCAAUAGAAUCUGAUGAUGUGUCAAACACUCAUCAACAUUUUCUUGAUUUUUCUAUUUUAUCCUUUGACGAAGUGAUAUAAUAAAAUAUGUAUGUAUGUACGUACGUACGUAUUUGUGUAUUGUCCAGUCACCCUUGAAUCCCAGUUGCAAUACGUAUACACACACACACACACACACACACACACACAAAGCUGAGGGCAGGGAUUGGAUAAGGUGUGAGAGAGAAUAACCUAAAAUUAAUGAAGGCUCUCUCUAUUCCAUGCAUCAUUAAUGAAGGCUUUUAUGCUCGAUAUUUCGUGUCUAAUUAAUCGACAUGUAUCAUAUUACUUGUACGAAUUUAAACAGGAUUGUAGCAUCAUCAUACUACUUUGAAAAAAAUCAAAAAGAUUAUUUAGAAAAAGUGGGCAAAACAAUCAAUACUAGUUAACCAACUUAACAUAUUAAACUUCAUCAUGAAAUUAUAAUAAAUUUAUAGAAAAUAAAUCAAAAAAAAUUACGAAGCUCCACUUCUAACAUAUCUAAUAUUAAAAAUUAAAAUUAAAAAAAAAAACUAAAUUUAUAAGACCAACAUAUAACCUAAUAUAAUAUAUAUAUAUAUAUAUAUAUAAAACACACUAACUUAACUAAUAUUGAAAGAUGAAAUUAAGAAAAAAACUGAAUUAUCAAAUGGAAAUAAUAAUAAUAAUAAUAAUAAUAAUGUUGUCAUUCAAGACUUAAUCAUGAUUAUAAUACCUAAUUUGAAGGUUAAUUCAACCCAAAAUCUAUGUUAUAGGUUAAGAAGAUUAUCCCAGUGAACUUAAUUUUUAAGUUUUUAUUUUUUUAAAAAUAAUAAUAUUUAGAUUAAAAAUAUGAGUUCUAUCCCAACCAAAUCCUGGUUUGUCAAGCCACUAAAUUAACUAGCCAGACUAAAUAAUGAUAUUGAUAUUUUUUAACACGGCAUAACUGAAAAAGAAAAAGAAAACUUAAGACAACAUGUGAAAAGUAAAAAUGGGAUUGAUUGUUAUGAGAGGUAAUUAGAGGGUGUCUAAGAGUGUGAUAAUGAUUAUAUUUUAAAGUAUUUUUUGCUCAGAAAUAUAUUAAAAAAUAUAUAUAUAUAUUUUUUAAAAAAAUCAUUAUUGAUAUCAACAUAUUAAAAUGAUCUGAAAAUAUAAAAAAUAUAUUAAUUUAAAACUAAAAAAAAUUAAUUUUUUUUCAAAAAUAUUCUUAAAACAUAAAAACAGGCCAUCAAUAAUCAUGCUAUACAUCUCAAUUCUCUUAAGAACUUUUUGCAAAGAGUGUUCGAAUUGAAUUGUCCCAUUAAGUUGAGGAUAAAACAAAUUUUUUCCCGAAAAUUGACACCCUCUUGUCUAACCUAUUACUCGCAUGAAAACUAUAGACUCCAUUAAUUGUUCCUCACUCACCACCGCCCAUGCAAUCACGAAUGACGAAAGGCCAUCCAUAGUGUCAAGAUUCGGACAGCGACAACCUUCGAGCAAAAUGAGGCGCACAACAAUCUGUUGCCACAGUUUUUUAUAUUCUACAGCACGUUGCUUUUUGAAUACAACACUUGAAAAUCUCGUGCUAAGACUAAAACGAUUGAUUCAAUAGCAAAUCAAUGCACGCUUUGUUUUACUGUCUUUAAAUAUAAUAAGUCAACCAACUUCUCCUAAUCCUUUAUAACAAACAAUCUUAGUCUAAGGGUUAGUUCUAUCUUACAGGAAAAUAUUUUCCUGUUUCAAUGUAAAACAAAUACUAGAAAAUAAAUAAACAAAAAAAACACCAUUUUAUUAUUAAUGUAAUCUUCAUCUUAUCACCAUCUCACCGUAACCAUUUAAUAUCAUCAUCACACCAGCCAUUUCAUCCACCACCAUCACUAGAUUAUCAAUAUAAUUAUAGCUUCUUUAUUAUUUUUAUUAUUACUCCAACAUCGUAAAUACUAUAACAAUCAUUACCGUUACUCGCAAUCACCAAUAUCAUCAUAUUAUUAUUAAAAUAUCUAUAAUAAUAACUUUUAUUAUUAUCGUUAUUAUCAUUAUCAUAAUAACCAUCCUAUAAUCACUAUUUAUCUUCACAUUAUAAUCAUCAUCACCAUCACCACAAAAACAACAUAACAAUUAUUAUUUUCACAAUCAUAACCUCUAUCAUUAAUUCUCAUCUUUAUUAUCAUCAUUCAAAAAAUACAAAUGCAGAUUAAUUUAUUAUACUAGAAAAUAUUUUCUUUUUAAUGCAUUCAAACAAUGAAAAAUAACUUUUUUUAAAAAAUACUUUUCACAUGAACAUUUUUUUGCAAACCUAAUGGAUCCUUAGCUUGCCGUGUUUGGUCGUUUUCUUCCCCCCCCCCCCCCCCCCCCGGGAAUGAAGCUUCCCAUGCUUCUGUUUCACAUUAUCUCAAGGUUGUUAUAAAUGCAGGCAGCAUGAAUCAAUCAAACCAAUGGGCUGAAAUAAUGAAGCUUCAAGAAACCGCGAUCUGACAUGGCCAACAGGUGAACCAUGCAGGAAAUAAUGUAUUUGUGAACAUUCCAUGCCCUUAGCUUGAAAGGGGAUGAUGCCUAGGAAAAAAAGAAAAGAAGGCGGCCAUGCUUUUCUGCACUAUAAAGGGUGAUGUAUUAAUCUCGCUGUGCCAAAAAGAUUCAUUACUGUUCCAAGUUCAAGAUUCAUGCUUCCAUCAACAUAAGCCAGGAGAGUUCAUACAUGACUUUCCUCGUCUGGCUAGCCAGGAAUUUCAACGAGAAUGGCAGUAUUCAAUUUGCUCGAGCAAAUAGCCGCCCAAGUUGAACUUACACUAGAUAAAAUUUACCUCAUGUACCAACAUGGUCAUAUGCAUAAAUGAGAUCGCAACCAAAAUCAUAUAAUAAUACUGAUAACAACCCAAAAAGAUACGCACUCGUAAAGAAUCAUGUAAAACGCUGAAAAAAUGGGAGAAAAAUUUUAUUUUAUUUUUAUCUCUACCACCAGUUAACCUUGGUGAUGUGACUUUUUUUUUUUAAUUACUUUUCCUUCAUUUUUUGGGAAAAAAAGUAUAUAUCAUACGUGCUUCGCUUCACAGGUUGGAUAAAAAAAAUAGUAAAGUUUAGCCAUUAGCGAUGUAAUUUUUGUAGCAGCAAGAAAUAUUUUUAUUACAAGUAACGUAUAUGAUAAACAAAUGGAAGAUCAAAGACAUCAAUAGCAUUAAGAAAUUUUUUUUAAUGAUAACAAAAUAUUAAACCGAGAAGUUAAGAGGCCUCAACCAAAUUCUUAUUUAAUUUAAAUUUAAAAUUAAAUCGAAUUAGAGCUGAUAUGAUGUAAACUCAUUAAAAUCCAAUUUGAUAUCAACAAAAAAAUAUUCAUAGACAUUAUUGUUUUAAGUUUUUUCUUAUAUAAUAAGACAAUUAUAUUUUUUAUAAACUCGAAUUAACUUAAAUUAAUUCUUAGACCUUCAAACUAGACAGUAAGCUUGGAUUGGAUGGGUUUAAUAAUUUAAUUGUUUUGAAUUUUUUUUUUCUAACUAUACAACAAUAAAAGUUGACAAGCAAAGAAAAUUCAUGGAAUAAAAUUUAAGAAAAGAAAACUAGCUAUAAAAGAAGAGCACCCCCUAAUGUUACAAAAAUCAUGCCAUAAACUUUCUAAAGAAAACAAAAGAUUGAAUGGUAUUCAAUCAAAUUAAUAAUAUAUAAAAAAAAGUGGCAAUUAAAUAAAAUUAAAAAAAAAUAACAUUAUAAAAAGUUAUACAAAAAGAGCGCUCACUAAUAUAAUAAUAAAAAGAACUAUGAUCUCACCUAAAAAAAAAUUGCAAUUUCAAUGAUAUUCAAUAAAAAGAAUUUCAAAUUAAUGGAAUGAAGUGCAAAAUAUAAGGAAACAAAGAAAAAAAGAAAAACAAGCCAUACAAUCAUGUGAGCUUGACACGCGUACCACCUCAAUUUUUUUAUAUAUUAAAAAGUGAACAUGUUAUUUGUCUUUUAAAUUUUUUUAUAAAAAACAAACGUGUACAAUAUAUCAUUUGCAAAUUAAUCAAGAAAUUCAGCAAUAAAAAGAGUAAAGAAUACCCUAAAAACCUUGAUAAACUUGUUUAAGGCCUCAAACAACCUAAAAUUUAGUAUAUAUAUAUAUAUAUACACACACAAAAAUCAUGCCAUAAACUUUCUUAAAAAAAAGAAAAGACUGAAUGGUAUUUAAUCAAAUAAUACAAAAAAAAAGUGGCAAUCAAAUAAAAUUAAAAAGAAAUAAUAUUAUAAAAAGUUUUAUAAAAAAAAGUGCUCGCUGGUAUAAUAAUAAUAAUAAAAAGCUAUGAUCUCACCCAAAAAAAUUGCAAUUUCAAUGAUAUCCAAUAAAAAAAAUUUCAAAUUAAUGGAUCAAAGUGCAAAAUAUGGGGAAACAAAGAAAAAAAAAACAAGCCAUGCAAUCAUGUGAGCUUGACACGUGUAUCACCUCAAUUUUUCUAUAUAUUAAAAAGUGAAUGACAUGUUAUUUAUCUUUUAAUUUUUUUAAAAAAACAAACAUUUACAAUGCAAAAUCCGCAAAUUAAUCAAGAAAUUCAACAAUAAAAAGAGCAAAGAACACUCUAAAAACCUUGAUGAACUUAUUUAUGACCUCAAAUAACCUUAAAAUCAAUCUAAAUAUCUAAAAUUAAUCUAAAUUCAAAAACUUUCUUAGUGCUAAGAUCUACACUCUCAAGCAAUGGAAAUAGCAAAGAAUAUCACAAUAAAAUUUAUUUCAUUAAAUUAAACUUGUUGAAUUUUAGUGGUCACAAUUGACAUCAACGGAGUUUUUUUCUCUGCAACUAGAAUUCAGCAACUCUAACUUUUAUCAAUACAGUGACAAAACAAAAUAAGUUUUAUAAUGAAAUUGAAAUUUUGAAAGGCAAAGGGACUGGAAAGUAACAAAUCCAAGAGUUGGGCAACUAAAUUAACCUUUUCCCUCCACUUUUGAAAUUGACACCUAUUUUCCUGUCUUUUCCAUUUUGCUUCUCUUUCUUUUAAUCUUUUUCUUUCUUAGAAAAUUAGAAAUAAUUGGCCAUCAAUUUGACUUUAAAAGGUUGAAAAUGAAAAGUAAAAAAAGAUCAAGCACCAAAAUGGGAAAAAUAUGCAAUGAUCCGGUCCAAAAUGAUUUAUGAAAAGUUGCACGGUAAAAACUACACAUUUUAGUUUUUUUUUUAUGUUAAUUGUUAAUGUAACCGGUGUCAGUAUUUUGUACAUUUCAAUUUUAUAUAUAUAUAUAUAUAUAUAUAUAUAUAGGAUUUUUGAGCUUGCAAUCUCCCGGUUGAACGUUGAACUGCAUUUAGAAUCAUGAGAAAAAUGACCCCAUGCCUUCCUAGUAAAAAAAUUCUUUUUCCUCAACACGGCAUUUAAGAAACCAAGAAAAUAAGAGAAAAGAUCUUACAACAGCCAUCCAAAAAAAAAAAAAUUAUCCUCUUUCAUAUCAAAACUCAUAAAUACUGGCCUCGUAAUGUUUAUGCUUUGUACCAACAAAUUUCCAAAUGGAAACCAUCUCAUCAGUAGUAAUCUACCCAAAAAGUUACUGAUUGCGCGAGACUGAAAAGCACAGCAACCACUUUGCCCCUUGGUUAAAUUAUGAAUAAUGCCUGGGGUAAGAGGAAGAAAAUCAUACAAGUAUAAUUGAGUGGAAAGAAGGUAUUACUGUUUCAUUUCCUUCUAAACAUCCCAAAAGCAUAGCUGAGACAUUACACAUACUAAAGGGCACACCUUUGAUUACUGACUGGCCCUCCCAAAGAAGUGUUCUAUCUGUAAACAGCCUUGAGAUUGCAAACUGCUUGUUUUAGCUCCAUACUUGCACUUCUUGGCAGAUACAGAAUUUUCCUUGCCAUCCUGCAUAAAAAGGUCACAGUUAGAAGUCAAGCAAUCAGUUUCAUAACGAGGUUGUAAUAUGGAGAUAUGUGAUUCUAGAUACAACGUGGAUGACAAAAAAAAUAGCUGCAAGAAAACCAAAGCCAAGUUGAAUGGAUAUGAACAGAAAACUAAUUGAUACUCUAUAACAAAAUGUAAGUAGAAGCAUGAUUGCGUGACAGGUAUUGAAGUAAGCAACUAACGCGGGCAGCUACAAGUUGCGAAGACAAAGAUGUUUCAAACCAAAAUGUGUCAAACUAAUAAUUAAAUAAUUGUAUACAUGCAUUACCUACCAACAAGGAUUGAUUCAUAGAUCUCAGCACUUUAACUCUACCACCUCGCCCAUCAGAUCCAACAGCAAUUAAAUCCCUGCUACUUGCACUUGUACCUUGCAUGGCCAAUGACCCGUUGCUUUGACCACGCUUACACCAUCUCCCCAAGUACCGGUUUGUUCCAUCAGGACCCAUCAAUCCACUAGAGAAACAUAUAUCCCCUGGAGGUUUAGUAUCAUAAUAAACAACUAAUGUCAGAUUCUGAACAAUUAAUAUUCCAAAAUAUGUAUUUUACAGAGGGCAAAAGUGUGCUCAUGCAUGUAGUUAUAUCACAAAGUUUGGCUCAAGCCACUCCUUGAAACCAAUUACAUCAAACUCAAAUUAUACCAAUAGUAAUGUGUGUUUGGGAUUGUGGUGGCGGUUCAAAAUGCUUUUCGCUUAGAAAUGCAUCAAAAUGAUUUUUUUUAUUUUUUAAAAAUUAUUUUUUACAUCAGCAUAUCAAAACGAUUUGAUAACAUAAAAAACAAUUUCAUUUUAAGCAAAAAAAAAUCAAAAUUUAAGGAAACACGGUUUGCGCCGCGCCCUAAGAAGUCUUUUCUAAUGUUGAGAAUGGGUUGACCUUCUCUGGUGUCAUCAAGAGACACAAUAACUUCCUCGUCUGUAGCAGAAUCAAGAGCAUUGCCCUUACCAUUGUUGAUUCUUAUGCCAAAAGGUCCAGAUGGGUUCACUGUUUUGUGCACUUUGGCUUCACUGUGAAUAUCAGAAACUGCUUCUGACUUUGCAAGAGCAGAUUCACCCUCUCUGGUCUGAUGUUUUGAAUCAGGGUCUAGAGUUACAUGCACAGCUGUAGGAAGAUUCAAAGCUGCUUCAUCUCUUGCAUAAUAAGCAUUUCCCUGUUUGUUAAGAGCAGUGAUUCUAGUACAUUCUUUGGAUGAAUUGGCACCCUUAUCACCCAUGAAACUAAAAUUUUCUCGAUCACUGGUCGAGCUUCCUGUUAGAUCCACAGAUACACAAUGCUGUUCCUUUUGACCAGCACAUGAAGUACUUGUGGCCAAAGCAUUAGAACUGUCCUUGAUAUCUUCUGCAACAAGCCCUUUGCAAUUUGCCUUCUUUGAAGCUUUUAAAGCCCUCAAACUUUCGUUAUCUUUUACUUCAACAACCAUCUCUAGUUCUUUGACCCUUGUCUGAUGAUGGCAACAAAACAAUCAUUUCAGCCAAACCAGAGACUAAGCCAUUCCCCGGAUGAGCUUUUAUUGGAGAAUUUUAAACAAAGUCCUCACAGACUUACCUUUAAUUUAUUGAUCUUUUCUUUUGCCUUCUCAAGUCUUUUACAAGAACGAGCCUCACCCUGUCCAAGUUGGUUACACUUAGCCAUCAAUUCUUUGUAAGUCCUGUUAGAAGCAAUGUGGAACAACAAAUUAUAUUAGAUAUCAAAACCCUGAAAAAAAUAAGAGAUGCGGGUAAAUAUAAGGAAAAACCAUUGAUAACAUUUUGCAAAAAAUAGCUAAAUAAAAAUGCAGUGAGAAUAAAUCAGGUAAAUUAUCAACAUGGUUAUUCUUCAGUGGAAAAAUCAGGGUAAAAUCUAGCAUUAGCAAAAGCAACUAUCAGAUAAAGAUAGUGCAUGUAAACAUUGUAAAGUGUAAACACUGAUCAUUACAGAUAGGUAUCAAGCAAAAAAGCUCACCGCUGUCAUAACACAAUCCUUGAUGAUGAAUCAACAGCUCUCAUCAUUUUGGAAUUAAGAAGGAGCAUUAAAAUUCAAUUGAAUGUCAAAACUCAAAAUAAUUUUCUCCAUCCAUAAAUACAUUUAAUUACUAUAACUGAAAAAUAGACAGCUUACUUAUUGCGAAUGACCAAAGACUUUCUCAGGAUGUCUACGGUAUCUUUGUUAUUGGCUUCGUUACCAAAAGAGGCAAGCUUUAAAACCUCAUCUUCCUCCAGAUUCACAUCCGAUACCCUAAAUUACAAACCGUAUAAGUACAAGAGUUCAUAACAAGAAACCAAAUAAUAAAAGUCUAUUUGAACCUAGCACAGCUGCACUUACAGCUUGAGUGCUACAAGCUCUUUGGCAAGUGCCAUAUUCCUAUCUUGCAGCCUGAUGCGCUCCAACUUCAGUGCAUCAAGCUCCUACAACACAGUUGACCAAAAUCUCUUAGAAAAAUUCAGUUAAUUGGCACCACCAACGACAUGAAAAGGGGAAUAAUCUAGAACAACUGUGAAGACGAUAGUACACCUCAGAUUUCGAUCGAAGCAGGUGCUGAAUCGAUGCUUUUUGUUCCAUUGCAUGAGUCCUCAAUUUAACUUCUUUCUUCAACUCAUCUUUACAAAGAUACAACUGAAACAAAAAUAGCUUCAUAAGACCCGGAGAAGAACAAAAAUAAUCGGUUUGCUUCAAAUACUUCAUUGAUAUAGCCAUAGAUUCGGUCAAUUACAGCUACAAAGAUAACUGCACGCCAGGUGUUCUGCAAAAUUUUCACAGACAAAAACAACCAAACAAAUCAUAAGAGAAAUCAAUCUUACUUCCUCAUUGAGAUGCUUCAUUUCCUUCACUUGACUCUCCAAAAUGGUAUUGAGACCCGACAAUUUUCCUUCCAAUCUCUUCACUUCUCCACGCAACAACUUAGGAUCCUCCUCACACUCCCCCGCCUUCCGAUCCCCGAACGGUUCGGUUUGGUCCCCGACCGACUGAAAAUAAAGGCGACCGGCAUUUUGCGCCGAGCAAUUCUGCUUGCAAACUGGACAGCUACGCUUCUUUUCAUUCGAACAAUAUUCAAACCACUGCUGCAGGCUAGGGUUUCAAACAUUAACCACGGAAACCUUAACAAACUAGUUUCCAGGUUUGCAGAGAGAAAUUGAAAAAUUAAGCACAUGCGAAAUCGUUUCCGUACCAGAGUUCGUGAAAGACGUGGCCACAAAUGGAGAUUGAUUGGAGAUCUUCGACAAUGGGCUUGAGAUCUUCAUAGCAGAUGGAGCAGAUUGUCUUCGCGAAAGAGUUGUUAGGGUUUGUGACCAUCGCUCGGUCGCUGUGGGUCUGGGACUCCUUUUUUGCGUUUCGUUGCUGUCGUUUUGGUGUUUUUCAAUUUUCCUGUCUCUCAUUGUUGUGAAUGAGAGCGAAAUUUAAAAUGAUGAGGGAAAGCUGUAAAUUUUAUUUGGCGGGACAUAGAGGGAAAAUGGAGAAUUGGGUCAGGUGCCGCGUGCAUGCCACGGAGACUAAUGUAAACGGUGAGGCAGACAGUUUUUUUUGGGAAAUCUCACUUUAGCACCUAAUAUGUUAUUCAAUUAUCAAUUAAGUACUAAAUCUUUUGAUUUCAUUAAUUUCCUUUUCUUCUAUUUUCUUUCUAAAUGACCUGUAAUGCAAAUAAAAGCAUUGAAUCGACCGAAAGAAGUGCCCCUUCCUUUACUUUUAUUUUAGAAUAUAUUAAAAAAAUUAAAAAUUUAUUUUUGAUAUUAACACGUAAAAAUAAUCUAAAAUCAUACAAAAUAUAUUUAAAACAAAAAAAUUCAAAACAUUUCAAAAACAUUGUUAAACCUAAAACAAAUACACUUUAAAACAAGUUUCAAUCUCUCUUGAAAAUAACUUUAACAUCAAAUCGUAAUAAGAUUUUAUUGACUUUGUUUAAAAGUGAUAAUAAGAUUUUCUUGACUUUGUUUAAAAGUGAAAUUAUCAUAUUUGGGCAUUAAGAUUAGCCUUUAUAACAUAUUCAGCUUUUUUUGCUUUUUUUAAAAGAAAAUAUGGUAUACAGUGGAUGGGUAAAGGGUGAUCUUUUCUGGUGCACGUCGUGUUUGGGUAAAAAUUAUAUAACCAGAAGAUUUAUUAGGUCCAAAUUGGUUAUGAGUGAUACAUUAGGGGCUAAAUUGAGAUUUUACUGUUUGAUUUGUAUUUUUUUCUUUGAUGAUAAUAAUAAAGGUAUUUUGAUUUUUUUAUUGUUAUUGCGACUAAAUUACUUUUCUAGUGGAAUUGAUUGUUCUUCACAUCUUCGUUGCUAUGUUGGGAGAAUUGAUUGUGAUCCUUACUUGUUUUAUAAGAGUCAAUGAUUUAAAAUCUUUAUUACUGACACAUUAACACGAUUUAUAUAGAAAUUUAGUAUAAAAAUGUUUUUUAUAAAUUCAUUAUUCAAAUAAAUAAUACUUUAAAAAGCGUGUUUUCAUUUAUAAUAUCGAUCAAGAUUGGAUGAUAGUAUCUAUUUAAGAGUGUAAUUACGAUUGUUUUUUGAAAAUAUUUUUCACUCAGAAAUAUAUCAAAAUAAUAUUUUUUUUAUUUUUUAAAAAUUAUUUUUUAUAUCAACGCAUUUUAAAAACACCAAAAACAUAUUAAUUUGAAGUAAAUAAAAAAAAUUAAAUUUUUUUAAAAUAUAAAAAUAAACAAAAUCACGUUGUUUAUUCUUUGUUAAUGGAUUCUUAGGUAAAAUUUGGAGGUAUAAUUUUUACAUGCUCUGAUUUCUUGGUUUUUCCAUGUUCUGCCAAAUGAGAAUGAUAACACAACAUCAACACAACAAAAAUUGAAAGGCUAUUUCCAUAAGAUUACAAUCAACACAACAUCAAAGAAUUAAAUUGAAAAAAAAAAAAAUAACACAAUAAAAAAAGAAGAAGAAGGGAACACUAUGUGAAUCCAGGAUGACCCCUUUCCGAUGUUAGAGUGAAAGGCUAUUGCCUUUUAUUUAUUUUCUUAUCUAAAAAAAUAAAAGUCUCAAAUCAUUUUCCAUCAAAUUUGCAUCCAAAUAUCUCAACUAAUUAGCCAUAAGAUUACACGAACAUGACAAUGUUUGCUUCACUGUAAAGUAAUGUGCUGCAAUGAUUUGGUUUGUGAGUGGUUGUUUUUGUAUUAUAAUUUGUUUUUUAAAUUAUUUUUAUUUUAAAAAAUAUUAAAUUAAUUUUUUUUAUAUGUUUUUUUUAUUGUUUUUAUGUCUUGACAUAAAAAAAAAUAAAAAAUAAAAUUUUACUUCAAUUAAAAAAUACAAUACACCAUGUAACAAAAUAAAUCAAUAGCCGAGGGAACAUGUAACAAAGCACAAAUUUGCCAGUUUAUACAAUAAUUAAUAAAAAAAUAUUUUAUAAAGGUAUUCUUUUUUUUUUUUCAAAAUAUCAAAGUCAAUAUACGUGUCAUCUAUUGUGAUUAUACAGACAGUAUAUAACUAUUGAAUUAUGAAUUAAUAUUAUUCUAUAUAUUUGUUUGACCAAAACAAGUUCCCGUCCGUAGGUAGUUUUGUCAAAUAUAAGCUAUGGAUCCAUCAUAUUUUAUAAUAAACUGAAAUUUUAUUUGUCAUGUACUUGACUAAUAUACCCCCAUGAAUAUUAAGUUUAACAAAAACAUUAAUAAAACCAACACGUGACAUCACAAAUGAUAAAACUAAACUCAAUGUCUUUUCAUGUCAAGGAUGUAAAGAAAUCAACCAUCUAGGUGGUGGUCAAUGGUAAAAGCUUGUGAUCAAGAAGUUUGUUUCUUAUGUGGUCUCAGGUUCGAGCCCUGUGGUUGCUCAUAUAAUAGCCACUGGAAGCUUACAUGGUCGUUAACUUCAGGACCCGUGGGAUUAGUCGAGAUGCGCGCAAACUGACCCAGACACCCAUGUUAAACUAAAAAGAAGAUGUAAAGAAAUCAACAUCAAAGUUGUUGGGUGAUGGACAAAUCAUAAAGAACAUCAUGCAAAACGAUACAAAAUAUGAAGUUGAAAACGAUAAUUAUCUCCUGUUGUCUUUAUUGCAAAUAAAAUCAAUUUAUUUCAAAUGCCAAAUAAAACCUAACACACAAAUUAUGCUUUAAUACUAUAAAAUUAUACAGGGAAAAGUUAGCAGACACUUAAAUAUACAAGUAAAUAAUAAAUACUAAAAACAAAUUUUAAUGAAUUAAUUUAAAAUAUAAACAAGUUGCAAAAAAAAAAUGUGUGGGUUUACUGUCUUUAUGAAGUGAAACUUGACAAAAAAAAAAUGAUAAAUGAAAGUUGAUACAGUUAACAAAUGUUGGUCGAUCGUUGGCGGGUUGAGGGCUGGAUUUACAUGAGGGUUGCCGGAAUUUGAAGAGAUUCGAAGAAGGGGCUGUUGUUGUGCUUUUUAGCAAAUGAAAAAUAAGAAACAGGGGAAGAGAGAACCAUCAGGUUUUUAUUCAUUUAAAAUCACUGAUGGAUUCCGUCAGCAUUCAUGUUAUGUCAAAUUUUUAACGAAACUACUAACAGAGUUUUAAUUAAUUUUUUUAUAUUCUCUUGCUACCAAAAAUAUCCAACCAUAAUUUUAUUUUUAUUUUUUUUUGUUAAAAAUUACCAAUAAAAUAUUUUUUUUGUCUUUUUUUUUUUUGGAAUUACGAAGGAACAAUAGAGGUGAAAAUAUCUUAUUAAGGGUGUAUUUGGCUUGGAGGUGUGGUGGCUUUUUGUCUAAGGCACAAUACCUUUUAAGCACAAACUACACCUCUAAAAGCUAUAAAAACAUGCUUUUUACUCAAAAAAGCACAAGUUAUCUCACAUUCAAACACCCUCUAAGUAAAAUACUAAACCGCGUAGGUUUUUUGUUAUAGCCCAUCCACGAAGAAAUGUGUUAAGGGCUACACUGAAAUUUUUUUAUCAUUUUUUAUUUGUUUUGAGACAACACUGUCUUUUUAUUUUUUUAAUAACAAUGCAAUUAUUGUAUUGCCCUUAAAGAGUAAAUAACCAGAACCUUUAGUCCAGGGGCCAUGUGGUAAAUUCAAAUUUGUCAUGAACAGUUGAAUUACCUUUAUUAUGCAAAUUUGUUAGUUUUGCCUUUGCAGGCUUGAUUGUCAUUCCCUAGAGUUUCUUUGUUGUUGUUAUUUAGUCUUGAGAGUAUUUUUGGGUUUUUAUUUUUAAUAUUUAUGAACAAUUGAAUUAUUCCACUAUUCUUUUCCAUUCAACUUUUUAGCACUGACUUUAAGGAUUUUGUUGUAAUUUUAUAAGGGUUUUUUGUUAUUGUUGUUUAGUUAUGAGGGUAUUUUUAAUUUUGUGCACAUAAAAAAAAGCUGCUAACACGUGCGGUUGACAACGAUGGUUGAAGUCAAGCUUCCUCCAUGUCAUUUGAUGUGUCCUAGCAUCCUCUUUCUCUUUUAGUGGCACGUGUAUAGUAGCGAGGCAUAAUUCAACAUCGAUUGACUUUUCUUUUCUUUUUCUUUUUUUUCUCGGAUUGCGUGCUGGUUAUAUAAAAAAUACACCAGCCUUUCAAUAUAUUUUUUUUCUUUUGAUUCGGUCUUUUUUCUCUUAAUUGUAAUUAUUUUUUUUACAUUGAUUUUUUUUAUUUUGAUUUUAUUUUUGAUUUCAUCCCUGAUUUUUUUAUUUUGUUAUUUUUUUUUAAUCAAAUAUGGUCCUCAUUGUUUUAAUUUUUUUUGUUUUCAAUCAUUUUCUUGAUUUAUUUGUUUUUCUUCUAUUGAAUCCCUAAGCAUUUAUUUUUAUUGAAUUUUUAUGUCAAGUUUGGUGCCAAUUCUUAUAAUUGUUAUUUUUUAAUUUUUUUUUAAUUGAUUUGUUUUUUUUAAUUCAAUCCCUAAACAUUUAAUUUCAUUUAAAUUUUCCAUUAACAUUUAAUUUUAGUUGGUUUUUAUGUUGAAUUUAGUCCCGAUUCUUUUAAUUGCUAUUUGUUUUGUUUUGCAUUGUUUUUUUAUUGACCUUUUCCCCCUCAAUUUCAUCCCUCAAUAUUUGUUUGGUUAAGAAUAUUGCUUCUUUAUUUUUUUAGGUUUGCCUUCAACGAGGCCAUUCUAGUCUCGUGACCUGGGUCAUAGAUCUAAAAAAUUAGCUCAGGUCGACUUUGAUUGUUUUAAAAGCAUUUUUUUAAAAAAAUUUCCUGAUAUUUUUUCAUUUUUUUUAACAUAGAUAUUUUGAUUUAUUUAACUAGAUGAUUGCAUACACUUUUCAAAUGACACUUUUAAUUUUUCAUGUAAAAAAACACACUAGAGCAACUUACAUACAUGAUAUAUAUAUUUUUUAAAUAAACAAAUUAUAACAUGCAUGCCAAUUUCAUGAUUUUAAUGUUUUAACUUUUUUUUCUUUAUACUCUUUUUGGAAAAAAUAUUAUUUAUACUUUGUUUAUUUAUACCAUUAUUUUUUUCAUUUUCUUUUACUCUUUUGUAAUAUUUUUUUUGAUGUUUUUUCUUUACACUUUUGUUGCUGUAAACUUAUUCAACACAAACUAAGAAAAUAAAGUUUUACUGUAACAAUUACAAUAUUUUUUUAUUUUUUAGUUACAUUAAAAAUUAAUUUGAGAUCUUAUUAUAUUUUAUUACAUGUAAGCGUUGAUUUUGUAAUUCAUGGUUAUAUUUGUUACUUGAUGUAAAAAAAGACUCUAGUAAUACUUACACAUUAAUUCUCAUGUGUUGGAAAAAAAAUUAUUCGACCUACUACCAGACGAAUUGAAUAAACGUGUUAACACUUUGUUUUUUUAUAUUUAUUGAUACAAAUAAUUUUUAUAGAUGUUUUGAUUUAUUAUUAUUAUUAUUUUUUAAAUAAAUUUAAAAAAUUAACAUAUUUUUUUUUUACUGAAAAAAUUUAUUCAAUCCGCACGGCAGCGCGACCCCAUGACCAGGUGAAACUAAAACGUACAGGGUUCCUGAACUUACUCUGGGUCUCGUGACUUCAUUAUUGUUUUUUUUAUCAUUAUAAAAUGAGGACAGGCUACUUCAUUGCAUAACUCUAGGUCUAAUUUGACCUUUCAAUACACCGUAAAAGAAAUUUAAUUUUCAAAAUAUUUUCUUAAAACAAUUCACAAAAUAACAUAGAAGCGAAAAAACAGGAAAAACAAAUUAGGCGGUGAACAAUCCGUGUCUAUAUAUACACAAAGCAGAAAGAGCGUUCUAACUUCUAACCUCUCAGCAUUCCAUUCACGCGCUCUCGCUCUGUCUCUUCUCCAUCCCUAAAAAUUCACGUCUAGCUGGGAAAAAAAACCACAAAUUUCUAGACAAGAUGAUUUCAACCGAUCUUGAAGUUCCUGGACUGGAAGGAAAGACCCUAAAACUAACCAUCAAUCCUGUUGAAACAAGCGAAGCAGCAAACACCACCUGGGAUUGCAAGACCCCAACUGGAGAGGAACACAAAAUACCUAUCCAGCACGAGUGCCCUCCAGCUCCAGGUCCAAAGUGGCUUCUGGAUUCUCUCUGUGUGAAGAAGAAGGCGUCGAAGAAGAAGUCUAGGUGCCAGCCAAAGGUAAUAAUGUUGCAACCUUUUAACGUAUCUUAUUCCAAGCGAAUCACUCUGGCGCCUGGGAUGCUGCCUGAGGAUGUUAGAGCUUCUGAUGAUGCCUUAGAGGAUCACAUUGUAAGAAAUUUGAAGUGGCCAGUCGAAGAGAUGAGAAGACUGCAAUAUCGUUCACCAAGAGAAAAGAAACACAGGGUAUAAUUUCUCCUUCAUUGAAGGUUGCUGGGAGAAGGUCAUGAAACUCAAUGGGUUUUAGAUUAUUACAUCAAGACAGUACUUAAUUAUGCGUUGUGAUAUGAUCACCACCUUGGUUAGGUUUCUCAUUGUUAAUUAAAAACGAAAUUAUGUUUUAUUUCGGAUCCCUUUUUAUAAUUUUCUAGAGUAAUUAAUGUUUUGUCUGCAUCUUAAUUUAUUCACCUUUUCUUUCAUAACCAUAGAAAUUAAGAAGAUGGCAAUUGGCAUUACCCUUUUAAGCGACGAUAAGAAGGAUGUAAUCACCAGGUAUAAGGAGCUAAUUAUCAUGCGCAGAGCCCACUGGUCAAACCGACCUUUUUUUUUUACAGUGCAGGCUGUUUAUAUGAUGGUUAUUUAUUUAACUUUUUAGAUUCAAACCCGGAUUAUCAAUUAGAAAAAAAAAAUUAAAAUUUUCUAAAUAUAUCAAGCUAUUUUUUUUAAAUACAUUAAGCUGACAUGGGAGUGUACUUUUAAAGUCAUUUAGAAGGAGAUUGAUUCCAAUUAAUGUAUAAGUUGGUCUUAAAAAGAAAGAAAGAAAUUGACUUUUCUUUUUUAAUAUAAUUAUUCAACAUAAUUAUUCUUUUAGAUUUUUACAUGCCUUGAAAUAAAUUUUUAAUUAUUUAAUUUUUCAUAUAUCCAUGUUUCAUGUCCUUUAAAAAAUAAAAUAUAUAUUAUUAUGAUGUAUUUUUGAAUAAAAAAUACUUUUAAAAAUAAUUAUUUCUGAAUAAAAAAUAUUUUACAUUAAAUAUAAAAUUUGGAUGUAGUUUGAUAAUUAUUUAAGAUAAUUUGACUUUUAGAAUCCAAAUUCAAUAUUUUUCAAGCAAAUAUAAACAUGAUGUUAUCCUUUUCGUUUAAUUACAAUUGCAAUAUUAAAAAGACUAUAUGUUAUUAUUGGUGUAUUGAUAAUUUAAGUGCCAUUUUUUUUUUAAAAAAACUUUUAUGUUGUAUAUAAAAUAUUUUUAAAAGUAAUCUAUUCCUCGUGUAUUGCAUUUUGAUGUUCAAGAAUGGUCUUAUUAUCAUGUAUCGGUAUAUCAUCUCGUGUUAUUUUAGGUACGAGUUCAUGAUCCUGUAUAAAUUAAUUUAUACGAAUAACAAGUUGCUCAAAAUUCUUGUUAUAAUCACACAGACUAUUAGUUAUUAUAUAAAUUAUCUUAUUAUAGUAUCAUAAUCUAGUUUCCUUCUCAGUCCAUAAUUAUAUACAUGAAAGAAUAGUUUUAUUAUUGUUUUUGGAUUGAUUACUGUAUCCUUAUAUUUUCAAUGAACGUAAAUCAUAUCAUAUAACUUCAGUAAAUUAAAUAAUCUUAAUUAUAUAUAAUCAUAAUAAGCGUCUUAAGAAGAUUAAUCAUAACUAGAUUCUUUAUUUAUUUAUUUUUGAUAACACGAGAAAAAAUCUGGUCAUCAAUUUUCAAAACAGUAAGAUUAUAUGUUUUGUAUUUUUAACUAUCAAUACUGGUCAUCAAUUCAUGUAAGCAAUUACCUUGUAUUUUGAAAAGGUUAUUUUCAAAUCACAUGACAUAUAUUUUUUUAGUUCUUUAAAUAAAAUACCUUAACAAAUUUAAUUUAAAUCUAUAUAAUAAAAUAUUUUAUUAAUACAUGGAUAUACACAUGAGCUGGCAUGUACUAUUCGGCUCUAAGAAAUUUAAAACCGAAAUUAAAAAGAAAAAAACUAGAAAAGGAAGUGUUUUUAUAGGGUUGAAGUCUACUAAGACACCUUUUGAUACUGAGGUACAAGUAUUUCUAAAAAAAAAUUAAAUUAAUAAUUUUUAAACAAUUUUGAUGUGAAAAAUAAAUUUUAAAAAAUAAAAAAAUAUUAUUUUAAUAUAUAUUCUUUUAAAAAAAUCUAUCUCGGUCCAAAUUCUAAUAAGCAAUAAGUGGUAACAGUGAUUCCAAUAAAUCCUGCCUAAUUUCAUACGCUCUAUUGCUUCUCUUUUCUAUUCCCGACCCUAACCUUUUUUCCUAAACUCAAUUCACCAGAAGAAAAAGAAAAGAAAAGAAAAUUACAGAAUCGAAGAUCAUAUGAUGAUACCAAGCUUGGAAAGGGAAACCCUAAAGGUAAAUACUAGUCCAGUUAACAAAGACGAAGAAACAGAGAUGACAAUGGAUUGUAAAACCCCAACCGGGCUGAGACAUAAAAUAGCAGAGACGACAUGGGAUUGCAAGACCCCGACUGGGGAGGAACACAAAAUACCUAUCCUGAACACUUGCCCUCCAGCUCCAGGUCCAAGGUGGCUUCUGGAUUCUCUCUCGGAGAAAAAGAAGGCGUCGAAGAUGAACUCUGAUGCCGAGCCAAAGGUAAUAAUGUUACAACCUUUUAAGGCAUCCAAUUCCUAAGAGAAAUAGCGGGUCUCCGAUGCGCGCUGAGGGUUAUGUUAGAACUUUGAAUAGUCCAGUUAGAGAAAUUAGAAUAUUGCAACAUUCUUUUCAGAAAGAUAGAUACAGGGUAUGAUUUUUCUCGGGUUGCAAGUAGAAGGUCAUGAAACUUAUGCUGAUUAAAAGGACAAGAUUGAUAGGUUUUGGAAUUUCACAACGAGGUAGUAAUUAUGCUUUGAGACAUAGUCAACAGCGUAAUUAGAAACUGGAUUAUAAUCUUAAUUUGGAUCUUUUCUUUUAUUUUUUUAACGUAAUGUUGUUGUUUUAAUCAGCAUCUUUAUUGAAUUGUUUUUAUAACCAUAAGAAAUUAAGAAGAUUGGUAGAAGUUCUGGGCAUACAAAACUUUGCUUGCUAUGCUGUGUACAUGCGUGUGUAAACGUAGAAUCCAAUUAUCACUGGUAUUUCUUUUGAUUAUUAUAAUCUUCUGGGAAAGUUUGUUUUUAUUUUAUGAAAAACUUUUGGGGAAGCUGUUGCGUGGCAUUUUCCAUUUUCUUUCCGAGAAUCACCAUCAUCCAGCCCUCUUCCCUUCAAGUCAUGCCUAGUUUGGCUUGUAUUAGAUGUCUGGAAAUUAUUUGUUAAUUUUCUCAUCUUCUCGGAGGAGCACUGACAAGUGACAACCCAGUUUCUUAAAUUGCUGGUUUGGCCGCUGACAAAAUAACCUUCGAUGUUUUAUACUUUAUGGCACUUGCAAACAUUAGAAGUUUACUGAGGAGGCAUGAAGAUGCAGCUGGUAAUCUUCUGCCUGUGGAUUUUGUCUCCUUGCGGUUAUAUUUAAUGACCAGGUUGAUUCUUACUCCUUUUGAUUUUUGUGGUGAUUAUGGAGGAUCAUAAAAUGACGUUAAAUCGGAAUUUCAGUGAUUUUUGUUAAUAUUUUCUGUAGAAAAUGAUUACUUAGUCCAACAUCGUUUCAUUUGUGCGUACUAUGAAGUUCAAUUGAAUCGAGGUGUGCGGAGUAUGACAAGUCGAGGUACUGUUUUAUUUUCACGAGAAUCAAGAGAUCUAGUGUUAUAAAGUUAGAUUGUAUUUGCCUUAUGUUUUAAAAUUGUGUUUAAUAUAAAAAAAUAUGAAAUUAAUAUUUUUUUUAUGUUUUUUUAAAUAUUUUAAUGCAAAAAAAUAAAAAUAAAAUCUGAAAAAAAUAUUUUUAUAAAUUUUCAUAUAAAAAAUAUUAACGACUAUAAAUAAAUGACAAGCAAAUGAAUAAAAAGGCAAACUUGUCAACUUCAAGCUUCAUACAUGUUGGGUUUUAUUUUAAAUGGAGGUUGAUCUGGUGGAAGAUAUGAUCAAAUAAAAUCCAAUGACUAUUUGUUUUUAUUUUUAUCUAAAAUGAUAUCCUUUUAUUUUAAAAGAACCAAAAUAGCUUUGUUUUAUUUUAAAUUGACCGGAUAAACUCACAACCAAACCGAGUCUAAUAACAGAUUGAGUCUAAUAACAAGGAGCAACAGUGUUGCAGCGAAGACCUAUAGAAUGCAGAAAGCAUCACCAGGCAUGAAGAACAAACGGUGGCAGACAGGAUACAGAGUUGUUUUCAGAUUACAUCCAUGCUAUCAGAUGACUGACACGGUUGACUUCUUGUUUGUCAGGGGUUCUGCACAGUGAUUUGAACCUCUUCUUGUGUGGGUGAAUUUAAAUCAUUGAAGAGCUGCUUCAGCUUUGCUCUUGAAUUUAGAAUACCUCUGCAUUUCCAAGGAGCAGCGGCUAGAGUUUUUAGCCACUUGAUUGUGUAUCAUGAAUCUGAUGAGCUAGUUGUGUUUUUAUUGGUGGAGCUUAUUUCUAAAGCUUCAGUAAUCCUGUGUAGCUCCACCUCCUUUGAGUUAAUUUUUCCAGUGGGGCUUGGAAAAAUACAGAUGAAUUUUCCAGCACCAUUGUGAAUAACUCUCGUGAAGUCCGCAGCAUAAGGCUUUCCGAUAGAUGAUCCGUCCACGUUCUACUUCAGGCUGUUGGCACUUGGAAGUGACCAAACCAAACUCCAUACAAUCAGAACAAGGGAAUCUUGUUUUCUUGCUUUGAUAUAUUAAUCUGGUUUCUCAUGGAACCAUCGAAACAAGGGAGCUUGAAACUUAUCAUGCAAGCUGGAAAGGUGCGAUAAUUCAUGGAACAACUCCGUGCAAUUAAUCUUUUCAGUGCUUCAACUUUUCAACGCUCGAUCUCGCAUGUAGAAGCAGCAGGAAUCAUUUCCAUAUCUCCCAUCACACACGCACACAGUAGUGUUACACAUGGCUGUAAAACUUGAUCUUGGAUGUAGAUGCACGAAUGUCUCAACCGAUUAAGUUUUGAAUUUAAUAUUUAAUGAUCAUGAGUUCGAGUCCUCCCAUAAUUAAUAAAGGUUUAUAUUAUAAUUAAUUUCAGAAUUCAUAAGAUUAGUUGAGGUGCGCGUAAGCUGGUUUGAACACCUACAUUAAUAAAAAAAACUUGAUUAUAAAUAAAAUCCUGGUCACAAAUUAACCCUAAUCUUUUUAAAAAAAUUAAAAUAAUAAUAAUAUAUAUUUUUUAAAAAAUUAACAAGAGUCGAGCUUUGACCGGAUUAAUUAAUUUUAUUUAAUUUUUUUUUAAUCUAAACCGUUCGAAGCUCUGGAUUAACAAGGUUCUAAAUAUUCAAAUUAAUUUUAUUUUAUAUUUAAAACAAAAGAGAAAUGUAUUCUAAUUAAAAAAGAAUAUAUAGCACCAGUAAAAUAACAAAUCAUUAUUCUAUGGAGAUAAUUGGGAUAUUAAUUUAUCAAAACAACAUUUUCGUUCGCUUUUUUGACCCCUCCCCUGCCUGCCUUUCUGAAGCAUGAAAACAAACACAGCAACAAAAAGCAAGGAAAAACAAAUCAGCUUUGAAUUCUGUUUGAAAGAGUGGUGGUAUUGUGUUUUAAAGUGUUUAUUUUAUUUAGAAUUAUAUUAAAACUAUAUAUAUAUAUAUAUAUAUAUAUUUUAUUUUUUAAAUUUUAUUUUUUAAAUUUUAUUUUAAAUAUCAAUAAAAAAAUUAAUUUAAUAACCUCGCAUCCUAAUUCCCCAAUCUACCCCUACCCACCAUCACGAUUGCCUCUGAGAACACCGCCAGGGGCAAAAGCGUAACUAUAUUAAAUACAAAAAUAAUUUCAUUGUAGUUUUCGUUGAUGAACAGUCUGUUUUCUUGUCUUUCCCUCUUUGUUUCUCAUCAAAAGCUCGAUCUACCGAACCAAAAUCUUCGAAAUUAAGACCCAAAUCCUGUUUCUGGAAAUCGUCUCUGCGUUCCGCUCCUUCUCAUUCAAUCACUAACAAGGUAAUCUUUUUACCAUUUCUAAUUCAUGAUCUGUAAACUGCACGCGCUUUGGUUUUCAUUGAAUUUUCUCAGAUUUAAUGGAGGAGUGUUACAGUGAUCUUGUGAUAGUUUUGAUCGAUUGAGUAUUUUUUAAUGUAUUUAUCUGUGAUUAAUUGCUGGAUAGGAAGCCGGAUUAGUUUUUCCUUUUUGUUUGGUUGAUGAGAAAAUUGAAGAAAACGAGAGAUAAAUUUGGAUUAAAUUCUGUACUUUUUUUGUUAUUUAGGUUUAUCUGAAAUGAAAUUUCCAGCUUAGAACUUGCUCAAAACAAAAAUCAGCUCACUUAAGAUAAAUCUUUUUGGCACACUUACUAUUUUGCUCCUCAUUUGAUGAUUAUGAAGUUUUGGUUAGGUUUCUGAAAAAUCGACACCAUAAUUAUCAAUUUUCUUGAAAUUUUAACUUAUGGUGAUGAUUAACGAUGAUAUGGAUAAUGAGAAGCAGAUGAAACAGAGCAGAGAUGGAAUCUGGAGUGAUAGAAAUUCAAAAUCUUCAUCAGUUGCCUCCGUUCCCCUCAUUCUCGAUAUAGAUGAUUUUAAGGUAAGGAAUAGAUAGUGGAGUUUUUACGAGGAAAACUUGGUAUCAUACCUCAUUUAGGAUCUAUUUUCUUUUUACUUAAUUAAUGUUAAAAUUUAUAUUCCAAAUUCAUUUUGUAGGGUGAUUUUUCAUUUGAUGCGUUAUUUGGCAACCUGGUAAAUGAUCUGCUCCCAUCUUUCCAAGAUGAAGAAGCAGAUUCAGCUGAAGGUAAUAUAGGUGGGAGUGAUAUGUUAGCAAAUGGGGAUGUAAGAGCCCCAUCUGACGCAGCAAAAUUGGCGCAAGGGUUGUCUUCUCCCUUAUUUCCUGAAGUGGAUAGUCUUUUGUCUUUGUUUAGGGAUUCUUGUACGGAGUUGAUAGACCUCCGAAAACAGGUAGAUUGUUGGGAGUAUGUGAUGAAAUUUCUGAGGUCAUAAUUUUUUUUUCUGCUGACAUUUUGUUUUUGGAUUGAAGAUUGAUGGAAGGCUCUACAAUCUCAAGAAGGAGGUUUCUGUCCAAGAUUCUAAGCACCGUAAAACACUUGCUGAGGUGAGUUUUUGGGUGUUUGGGUGCAUGUGUUUUGAAUCAUUGUAAAAACUAUACUGGAGAAGACGAAUCAAUAAAUAAAUGAAAAACUGAUUUUUAUUUUGAAGUAAACUGCAAAAGCUUCUUUAUUUUUAAUCCUAGAUUAGAUCUCUACAGCAGACACGCGUGCACACGCGUCCAUGUGUGUGUAAGUUAAUUCCAUUUCCUUUAGUUGGGUGAUAUUAUAUAGUAAUUACUUGCCAUUUGAUUUUUAGUGGUUAAUGUUAUAUAUUGAUUAGAUUAAAAGUAAAGCAGAAUAGAAGUUGGACAAUCAAAAGAAUGUAUUCUUUUUGAAAUAAAAAGAAAUAGAAAGAAAAGUAAAGUUGAGAGGUUUAUGCAAUAUGUAGAAUCCAGAAAUUUGAGAAUGAAAGGUGUGUGGUUUCUUUCAUUUUUGGCAAGAGGUUUUUAGGUCUCAAGGGGAAUUUGGUUGGUUUGGCUCCUCUAAGAUACAAUCAUUUUGUUUCUCUUUGUUCUGUUUCCGAGAUCCAUCUAACAUAGUUACCAUUUGCUAUGUAUUUUAUCUUUUCAGCUGGAACAGGGUGUAGAUGGCUUGUUUGAUAGUUUCGCUAGGCUUGACUCACGUAUUUCAAGUGUUGGACAGACUGCUGCCAAAAUAGGAGACCAUUUGCAGGUAAAAUUUUUCCCAUGCUCGAUUAUAAUUUGCUAAGCAUUCAGUCUAUAGUUAUUUCACGCUUUUUAUUAUGAUCUUAUCAGAGUGCAGAUGCUCAAAGGGAAACUGCUAGUCUAACAAUAGAACUCAUAAAGGUACUGUCUGUCAACUUAUUUUUAUGCUUUCCUUAGCUCAAAAUGCAUUAACACCUUGUUUACAUAAUUUUUGCAGUAUUUGAUGGAAUUCAAUGGCAGCCCAGGUGACCUAAUGGAACUUUCACCUCUGUUUUCAGAUGACAGCCGUGUUGCUGAGGCUGCUUCAAUUGCACAGAAAUUACGUAAGAUGACAUUAUGUUCUUACAAGCUUUGAAAUUGCAUAAUUCUGCAACCUCAAGUUCUUGUUAUGCUGCACGAGCCUUUUGGACUAACUUAAUUGUUUUUCUAUAUCAGUCAUGCAUUCUUCUUCUUUUUGUUUUUUCUUUGAGACAGUAGCGAGUACCCUUGCAGCUUAGCUGUAGCUUUCCAUCUCCUUUAAUUAGUCUGCUUUACUUCAGUCCUAAUCCUAACUUUAUACAUUGAAUCAUUUAAAUCCACUGCCGCUCCCUCCCUCCCCUCUUUUCUGUGAUAAUAUCUUCUUGUUUUAGUACAUGCUUCUAAACUCAUCCAAUACUAUUGUCACACCAGAUUAAGUGAUAUCCUUUCAUCCGACUUGAUUGCUAGAAGUUUUAUUCAUCUAUAUUGUCAUUUGGAUUUUCAUUGAAAUCUUCUCUUAAAGUGUUCCUGGUAUUUUGGUUGGAUCUAUUCUGAUGAAAUACAAAAUUUUUAGUAGAUUUGGAAUGUUGUAGCUUUUCCAUAAAUUAAGGAAAAUCAAUUUGACCCAUUCCUUUGGAUAAUAGUAAGGCAUUAGAGUGCUGAAUUCACAGUGAAAUUUGUUUUAAACUAUGUGAUUUAUUUAAAUAAGCACAAGUAGAAAAAACAAACAAAUAAUUUGUGAAUUGUGAAAUUCUUCAAUAACAAAGAAUCCUUUUAAAGAUUUUUGCAAUAGCUCUUGUUUGCUUUUCACAGCCAUGUGAGUUUUUUGGUACUUUUGUGUUUUUUAGGGUCAUUUGCUGAGGAAGAUCUUGGAAGACAAGGCUUAUCCGUACCAUCUGUUAUGGGAAAUGCAACCGCAAGCAGAGGAUUAGAAGUUGCAGUUGCUAAUCUUCAGGAUUACUGCAACGGUAUGGGUUCAGCAUAUUGUUCUUUUUGAUUAUUGAUAUUACUGCCACAGGAAGUUCAUAUAUGGUGCAUCAAACAAUACAAUGAUUUAGUGGGUACUGAAAAAUAGUAACAAACUAGGUCCAAAUAACAGACAGUAUGGUUUAAUAAUUAUUAAUAGUUAUACCAUAUAUGCUCAAACAUCAUCAGGUUUGAAGAAAAGGACUAGCUUGUGGUAUCAUGAGAAAGAAUUUACAAAUACCCAUUUCCAUAUGGCCUAAUCUCCUAUUAUUUGUGUUAUUUUCCAUCAUAAUGAAGAAUCUUGGAGUGAUUUCUUUCUGCAUAGCCUUGUAGCUUGGGAUAUGUUUCAAAGAUUGUUUGCAAUUUAGUAGUGAGUCUUGGGUGAUCCUGAGGACAGUAGAAGAAGCAGUGUUGGAUUCUUCUGGGGGUUUUUAUGGAGGAAUGUUUUAGUUCUUUAUGGAGAAAUGCUGUAUGUGCAUUUUGAUGGAGAGGAGUGAAGGGUUUUUCUCUCAUCACUUCACAGAGAGUCGGUUGUUGUGGAAUAUAGGAUAGUCUUCUGGGCUUUGAAUUCUCACAUCAGCAGGAUUCUUUAGGGGCACUUCCCAAUAAAUGGAUUGGAGCGCUAUGUUAUUUUCAUUUAGAUGGUUGUCUACUUGCCUUUUCAAAAGAUGUUUCUUUCUACAAUUUUUACCAUGCAAUUCCUUUAUUCUAAUAAUACUUUCUCCUUUUACCCUAAAAAAACUCAUUUCCAUAUUGGCAAAGCAGGAAGAAAAGCUAUGCAGAUCAUGAUGCUUCGAAGAAAAAUCAUUACUGGCUUUUACGCAUCUCCUUUGAAUCCAAAUUUUGAAUGUUGGGUUUCAAAGGAUAUUUUGAUAAAAGCAAUUAUCACCAUGAAUUCAUUGCCUGGAGAUUUCCUUGUUCAGAAUUCUGAGAAUUUUGUGAUCCUGUUGUAUUUUUUAGUCUGUUGAUUACCAGUAGGCAUUAAAGCCAUGUGGUCAUGGAAGGUCGUAGCCCAUCCCUCAUGUCCAUUCCCCUCCCAAAAUAAAAUAAAAUAAAAAUAAACAUAAGUGAAUUGUAAAGGUGUUCAUGAUUGGUGGAUUUGUUUCUUUUGUUUAUCAUAACGUUGCAGAGAUGAUUUUUUCCUCUUAAUAUUUUUCAUGCAGAACUGGAGAAUAGAUUGUUGGCUCGGUUUGAUGCAGCAUCACAGAAAAGAGAAUUAUCGACCAUGGCAGAAUGUGCUAAAAUUUUAUCUCAGGUGAAUUUUUUAUAACAUGUGACCGGAAAGGAUACUUUUGUUGCCAAACACCUUGACUGGGGAUCACCUGAACAUGUCUACAUUAUACUGGGUGUGGGGGAGUCCUAUUGUUUACCAUAUGGGGUUGAACUGACUGAUUCGACAUAAUCUUUCCUACUUUCCUCUUUGAACUGAAGUCUUCAAGUCCAAAUUGCAUCAGAAUAAGUGAUGAUUGGAAAAUAAGCAGAAAAGUCCUCCAGACUUGCAGGAAUUGGUCCAGAAUGCCAACAAAUUUGCUAUUCCUUUCUGCCCUUUUUGGUGAAAAAACGGGAGGGAGAUUGUUUAAGCCAUAAAUUUUAGUUAUUUUUGUUUCCUUUUGAUUCUUUUUCAUCCUUGUUUGAAAUAAGAUGGAUCUUCCAUUUAUAAGGGGAUCUUGCAAAUCUGUUGAAAUGUUUUCUUUUUCCUGUUUAACUCUUGGGUUUCCUUUUGCAUUACAGUUCAACAGGGGCACAAGUGCCAUGCAACAUUACGUGGCAACACGUCCAAUGUUCAUUGAUGUGGAAGUCAUGAAUGCAGACACUAGAUUGGUUCUUGGUGAUCACGGUUCUCAUGCUAGUCCAAGCAAUGUUGCUCGUGGACUUUCUUCCUUGUUCAAAGAAAUCACAGGUUUGGAAAAUAGCCAUUUAUCUCAAGCAAAGAUCACAUUCUUCCAAGGAUUGUUAAAAAUCUUCAAUUCUCUCCUGCAGACACUGUCCGUAAAGAAGCUGCUACUAUUAUGGCAGUAUUCCCUUCUCCUAAUGAUGUCAUGUCAAUUUUAGUUCAGGUAUCUGGGCAGGAUUUGUUUUUUACCAUACCUCAUGUUUUACGCCGUCUUAUUCAAAUUGCACAAGGCAUAUGAUAUUUUUUUGUUGUGAAUUCAUAUUUUUGAUGUUUUCCAUACACGUGCAGAGAGUUUUAGAGCAGCGAGUUACAGCUCUUUUGGAUAAAUUGUUAGUGAAACCAUCUCUUGUGAAUUUACCUCCCAUGGAAGAAGGUGGACUUUUAUUGGUAUGUAGAAUUGCUUGGUCCAAACUGUUUAUAGUUCCUUAGUUUCAGUCUGAAGCAACAAUCAGAUCUUAACUUUUUUUGUGUUUGACUUGAGGCUUCAGUAUCUUAGAAUGCUAGCAGUGGCAUAUGAGAAGACUCAGGAACUGGCUAGAGAUCUACGAGCCAUGGGAUGUGGUGACUUAGAUGUUGAGGGUAAUUAAUUAACUUUCUUGAUUCUUGGUAAUUUUGUGAAUAUUAGAUGUGUAAUCAUCAGCAAUAUGGAAGUGUAGAACAUCAUCAAUUGAUGAAGAAAGAUGAACUGGGCCUGUCUUUCUCUAUAUUUGAAUAUUGUGGAAAGCUAAUGAUGUCAUGUUGCAAGGGGUAGUCUUUUCUCUAUGUGAUCCCAGGUAAUACCAGGGCUGCAGGGUAGUGGGAUCAUUCCUACCACCCCAUCCUCCACACUCCUGCUCAACCAAAAUGAAAAAAGAAAUAGAAAAACAGAGAUAAUCAUGUUGGAUGAUUCCUGGUGACUUAUUCCCAGUUGUUUGGGAGCUAAGUUGUUGAUUCUGUCUCUGAUGACUUCAAAUAUAUGGAUAUUCUAUAAUAACUUCAACUAGCAUUACCUUCUACAAUCAUAGUAUUAGCUCUUCCAAGUAGUGUAUGACAAAUUCUGGAAAUUUUAGUCUUUUUUGCCUUUUAUUGUAGAAUACGAGUUUGAAUGGUGUAGAAAUGAAUUAAAAUAAAUUUUCGAGCUUCUAUGAAAAGUUUGGGCAUAUUUUAAUGAACUUGUGGAUUUCUUCAAUUCAGAAAAUUUCUCUUUUCUUGGUAGCAGAGAUUGCCACUGAGAUUUGAUGUAUUUAAAUAUGUUACUGCAAAUCAUAGUUGACAAUGUGACUGAUUUCCCGAAUAAAAGUGUUAACAUGACUUGAUGAAUGUGUAUAUCAACCAAUACUUGUAACAUUUGUCCAACAUCUUGCAGAAUUUUUCCUCUUUUAUUUCUGUGUCUUAGUGACUUUCUUUGUUGAUACAGGCCUCACAGAGUCUCUGUUCUCUUCCCACAAGGAUGAAUAUCCUGAACAUGAGCAGGCCUCUCUUAGACAGCUAUAUCAAGCAAAGGUUCAUGUGAUUUUUUUUAAUAUAUAUCAAAUUUCCAGAACACAUUUUUCUUUGGUGACAAUAGACUGUACCAUGAUAUGCAGAUGGAAGAACUGCAUGCUGAGAGCCAGCAUCUUUCUGAAUCAACUGGGACUAUUGGGCGCUCAAAAGGGGCUUCUGUAGCAUCUUCCCACCAGCAGAUAUCUGUAACAGUUGUGACAGAAUUUGUGCGGUGGAAUGAGGAAGCAAUAUCAAGAUGUGCUUUGUUUUCAUCUCUGGUAAUAUUCGAUUCUGCGAUCAAAUAUACCUUGUCUAAUACUGAGAGCUCUUGUAUAGCUGUUCUAUAUAUCAUGGGAUUUAAUGUAAAAUGCUUGAGUACUCUUUUUCAGUUAUCUAAAGGGUAAUUAAGCAGUAGCUAUCUCUAUUUUUGAAUGAUUAAAUGUUCCUUUUUGGUCAAGUCAUCUGGGAAUCCUGUGCCCUUGUCUGAAAUUCUUUUUCUUAUAGAUAACCUUUUUCUUUCUUUCCUCCAGUAAAGUAAGGUUAACAAACAUUCAUGAAAUUGUAGCUAUAUUGGAAGAUGCAUAGAUUUACAUGAGGCUACUUUGAUUAUUUGUCCUGGUACAUGGAUAAGAUUGUCAAAUUGUCCUUUGUUUUAUCUUCUAAUGGACAUGUGAUUAAAAUGUAUAUUUGCAGAUGACAUUUGAAAUAGUCUCUUUUGGAUGCUUGGAAUUGUCUUUACCACCUUCAGUUGUGGAUUGUCUUGGCCUUCUUGUGGGUGUUAAGGCUUCCAUCCACUUAUAGUUUGAUAUGGUUUAUGUUAUCCGGCCCUAUGUCUAAGACAAUGAAUCAAAUGGUAUCAAAUAACACAUAAUCAAAAGAAUGGAUGGUUAGAAUUUAGAAGAAUUAUACAUGUUUUAAGCAGAAUGUUGAGUUAGAAAAAAUGAAAUGAAAUGAGGAUUAGCCAUUUUGGGUCUGAUGGAACUUUUAUUUCUAUUCUUCUCUCUGAAAAAGAAAAUAUGAAUGUGUUAUUUUUCUUUAUUUAUAAAAGCUACAAAUAUUUCACUGGUAUUUUAUUGAUUGAUUCCAAACAUGCUUUUCUGCAGCCUGCUACGCUUGCAGCCAAUGUGAAAGCAGUGUUCACUUGCUUGCUAGAUCAAGUAAGUUGCUUACUAAAUCCAGUUCUUUGUUAAUUUAUGCCAUGGUUAUCUCAGAUUUUAAUUUUCAACAAUAAAAUGUAGGUAGGGCAAUAUAUAACAGAAGGUCUUGAACGGGCUAGAGAUGGCCUCACUGAAGCUGCAGCUCUAAGGGAACGAUUUGUGCUGGGAACGAGUGUUAGUAGAAGGGUUGCUGCUGCAGCUGCCUCUGCUGUAAGUACCUGAUCAUAUACCUUUGCUUGCUCUAUCAUUACCCCUUCUUUAUGAGAUAUACCUAUCAUGUAGUUUCAUAUAAAGGCGAUGUACAUGUACUCAGAAUAGUGUGCUUAAGUGAGAUUGAUGUUGAGAUGCAGGCAGAAGCUGCUGCUGCUGCUGGUGAGAGCAGUUUCAGAUCUUUCAUGGUUGCUGUACAACGUUGUGGAAGUAGUGUGGCUAUAGUGCAGCAGGUAUGUUGGAUUGCAUUGACACUAAACUUUUUGUUAAAUUGGCUAAAAGGAGAAUCCUGUGAUAUAUAGAGAACUUAAAAUGGCUUUAACUUUCAUCUUCAGUAUUUUGCAAAUUCCAUAUCUCGCCUCUUACUACCUGUGGAUGGUGCACAUGCUGCUUCAUGUGAAGAAAUGGCAACAGCCAUGUCCAGUGCAGAGGCUGCAGCUUAUAAGGGGCUUCAACAAUGCAUUGAAACUGUUAUGGCUGAGGUUUGUUCUUGACCCCUAGUCUUUUACUUUAGCAAUGCAUGGAUUCUGAUGGAAACUUGCAGGUCUUUAAUUCUUCGCCAUUUGUAUUUGUUGCGUUAAUGCUUCAUUCUAUUUUCUCUAGUCAUAUUUUCAUAUCCAGAGGGAAAUGCACUCGAUCUAUUCAUGGAUAUGCUUUCAUUGUCCCAUGUCUUGCUAAUCUGUUCCCUGCUCAUUUUUUAAGUUCUCAUUUGUAUAAUUUUCUUUGGGAAACUCCUACACAGGUAGAGCGAUUGCUAUCAGCUGAACAAAAGGCAACAGAUUAUCGGUCACCUGAUGAUGGAAUGGCUCCUGAUCAUCGUCCAACAAAUGCCUGCACAAGGUAAAUUCAGCUCGAUAUACUUGGGACUUGCGUUUUGAACUAAAAGCAUGUUUGUUGGGUUUCUGAGAAAUAAGUGAUACGAAGUCAAUCCAUUUUAUUUUUUGGAUUCUUAGAAAUUUAUUCAUUUGUGUUUUCUUGUCGCACUUGGUGAGUGGGGGUUUCUCUUUGACAACACAAAGUGCCUACUAGUUUAAUUCCCCAAGGUCCCAAGCCUCAAACCAAGUUCAGUCAUACACCUACUAAUAGUAUGAAUCUAUGAGUGUUUGUUUUUGAGGUAGUUUUUGUAGUUUUGGUUUUAAAAAAAUAAGUUUUAAAAAAAUGUGGUUAAGUGUGGUUAGUUGGAUUUAGAUACGUGUUUGGUAAAAAUUAUGGUUGAGGUUUAUGUGUAGCAAAAAACAUAUAUAAAAUGUUUGGUAGUUGUGUUUGGAAGUGUGGUUGCGAUUGCUUUUCAAAGUGUUUUUUACUUGGAAAUGCAUCAAAAUAUUUUUUUUAUUUUUUAAAAAUUAUUUUUGAUAUAAGCGCAUCAAAAUGAUCUGAAAACACAAAAAAAAUAUUAAUUUGAAGUAAAAAAAAAUAAACAAUUUUAAAUUUUUUCAAAAGCGCUUUUGAAACACAAAAAUAAACAGGGUUUUACAAAACUCAGUUAAAAAAACAUGUAAAAACUGCUUCACAAAAACUGCGUUUCAAACUCAAUUUUUUAGUAGGCCCCGCAGUACAAAACAGAGUUUGGUUUGUUACAAAACACUUUGCUGCGUUUGUUGCACCGCUAACGCAAAAGCAGUUGCAAAACAAACGCAGCCUAUGACAAUCGAAUCAAUUCAUUUCUUUUCUGUCAUGUUUCUGCUUCAAAUAGCAUAUCUCUAAUCAAAAGAAUACAUUAUUUCAGUCAUUAUUAAUAGUAGCUGCUUUAUUUCUCUUGACCAGGGUUGUGGCAUAUCUUGCACGUGUGCUCGAGGCUGCAUUCACUGCAUUGGAAGGUCUUAACAAGCAAGCAUUCCUGACUGAAUUGGUUAGUCUAUCUCUGGGAUUCUUUUGACUCUUCUGUUUGCAAUUGUUUGUCCAGUUUGCCCUUCACUUAUCAGUCAUGACUGCUCAUGCAUCUGCAAAUAAAGGAGUUUUAUGUGCACUGUUGAAGAAAGAAUGGCAUGUGUGCUUUCAGGUUGUCUUUUUAUUAUUUCAGACACGAGUGUCAUGGUGCAUUGGAGGGGAUAUUGCUUUAACAAGACUGUUUUGAGCAUUCCAUUUACUAUUAUUGCUUCAAUGAUUUUGUUCUCAUUGAUCUUUGUUCUUUUCCUUUUUUUGGCACAAGUAACAAUCAUUGCCUCUGAGCUUUAAAUGAAAAUAGGUGUACAUUUAUAUCAAAAUAAACCUUAUAUAUGGUGUAGGGGUUUCAUUGUAACUAAAAACACAGUUUACAGUGGAUUGCUGAAGUGAAAUUACCAUUUUACUCUUGGGUGGGAAAAAUGAGAGGCUUUGUUAUGAGGGUAGUUCAGUGUUUUUCAAUUUUUUUUGCACAGUAAAAAUACGUUUUUACCCCUAAAGUCAACAAAUCUAGAACUAUUGACCAAAGGUUAUUUAGUCUUUUCAAAAACUUUUAAAAUGUCAAAAUACUUAUUUACCCUGUAGGUAAAAAAAAAAAAAAUAGAGUUGUUGACCAAGAGGUUUUUUGGUUUUUCACUUAUUAGAGUACAAUAAAAAUGUUUUUACCCCCAGAAAAGACAAAAAUCAAGGCAUGAGUCUGGGGGCAUUUAUGUCCUUUCACGAUGGUUUUUUUGUAUUUCUCAGGUUCAUGGAGGGAAUUUUAGUAUUUUAUAUUUGGGAAAAUAUUUUUUUAUUUGAAAAGGUUGUUGGCGCGUGAUGAAGACGCACCAACAUAUGGGUGGCGUACCCACUCUUUGGGUGGGACGUGCAACGUCAUAUGUUGUCAAACAUAUUCUUUUGCCGUGUCCUUAGAAGCUCCACCGUGUCCUCUUCCUUAUGAGGCAGUGCGUGGAAGCGGAUGGUGAGUGGUUUUUCGCUGGCGGUUGUUCUUUUCUCCUUUUUUCUCUCUUCCAGAGAAAGUGCACGCUUGUCCUCUUUCUUUAGAUUUUUCAAUUUCAGUCCCUAUGUUUUUGAUUGCUUAUUUUCUUCCUUGGUCCUUUUUAUAAAAGUUUUUUAUGUUUUUAAUUUAGCUCUCAUUCUUUUGAUUUUUUUUUUCCUUUUGUUAAAGUUUUUUUCUUUUCAAUUUAACUCUCCCAUUUAAAUUUUUUUGAUGCCUUAUAAUCUAUUUUUUAUUUUGAUUUUAACCCUCAUUCUUUUAAUCAUAAUUUUUUGUGUGAUUGAUUUUUUUCAAGUUUUAUCCUUCUGCGUUUGAUUUGUUGGGGAAUGAGCUUCAUAGUUUCUUCAUUGUUGUGUUUUUGAUCUAAUGACAUGGGUAACGAGUUUGGAAAGUUCAUGCAGUCCGGGAUCCUUUUUUCUCAUUUUCUUUUAUGAUUUUAUCAUUUGAAAAAUUUGCGAGUUUGAAAAAUCUAUAACCUGUGGCGAAGUGUGGUAGCUAGUUCAAACUAUCAGGUGAACUCUUUCAGCUCUUUGAGGACACUGCUUUGGCAAGGCUAUAGCUGAUGAUGAACUUUUUUUAAACAAAUCAUAAUUCCAUCAAACUGAUGAGCAUUCCCAAGAUUAUAACCAGUGCCAUUUCUAACACAUGACUCAACUGAAAAGCUUAUCUCUUACACCAUCAUUCUUGGCAUUUGGAUCAAAUUCGACCUCUUCCCUCCCAUACUAGAAGCAUUCCUGGAAUAUACCGUGACAAGGGAGAUCAUUAUGAUUUCCAGAAAUAUGAUCUGAGACACCUGUAAUUUCACUUAAUGCAGUGGUAAACUGACAGUCUGUGCUCUUGCUUGGGGAAGGGAGGUAGCGUGGGAUAGUGAUUUACAUGCAGACGCUUUUUUUCUCUUUUCAGUUUAUACAUAACUGAAGGGAACAUUUUAGUAUUUUGAAGAAAGAGUGCUUACGGAGAAACUUAACACUUAACAUGGACACAUUUAUUAUAUCAGGGAAUUCGCUUGCACAAGGGGCUGCUUAAUCAUUGGCAGAAAUUCACUUUUAAUCCCAGGUAAUUUGCCUUGCCCAGAUGCUUCAUGCAUGAAAUUACCUGACAUUUAUACUCAGUAGUUUGGUGAAACUUUGGUUGGCAUUUAUAGUUAUGGUUGGUGUUAUUUGUAAAGAGAAGCAUGUUUCAAUUGGUGACUGCAUGUGACAGGGUUGGAAUUAUUUGCAGUCCAUUAAGAGUAUGUGAGUUUCUUAUCCAAUAAAGAAAUGUUGAGAUCUUUGAAGAAAGCAUUUUAACCUUUCAUGACAUAUGAUAACAUCCGGAAAAGGGGAAACGCUGGAUCUGGAAUUUAUGUUGUCUUUACUUGGUUUUGGAGCUUUCUCAUGAGCAUAGAAGUUGCUCAUAAUUCAUGAUUGGGUUUCCCCUGCAUUUGAGGAUCAUGUUUUGGUGGUUGAGAGUUUGCAGUGACCCAUGUUCUAGUGGGAUUCUGGAAGUUGGGAGUGAUUCUUCUAGAUGCUCUAUAUGUGCUUUUCUUUGUUUGAAUUUGCCAGUUUAAUUACUUCAAUAAUUCAGUUUUGUUGAUUCUCUUCCAAAGUUGAUUAACCUAUCUAUUGCGUCAACUGUGCACUAAUCUUGUGAUUUCUGUUUGGAUUUAUCUCUUAGUUUCUGAGUUUGAAUAUUUGUUGUGUAUGGCACCAACAAGUUAUUUUGCAUAAUUGUUCUAUUUUUGGUUCUCCUCUGCAGUGGAGGAUUGCGGUUGAAACGUGAUAUAACUGAGUAUGGAGAAUUUGUGCGUAGUUUUAAUGCUCCUUCUGUUGAUGAGAAGUUUGAGUUGUUGGGCAUGUAAGUUGCAAGACAUUGACAAGAUUUCAGUACUGAUAUAGAAUUCCUUAUCUAAUUUUACUGAGGGAAAUUUUUGUCUCCAGAAUGGCCAAUGUCUUCAUUGUUGCUCCUGAAAGCCUUUCCACUUUGUUUGAGGGUACCCCCAGUAUACGCAAAGAUGCACAAAGGUAUCGUGUAUAUUUUUAUAGAAUUGACUUGAAUUGCUUUACAGUUAGUACUGAUAGUCUGAUACAGUGGAUACAAUAUUUAAGACAACUAAAAGUAGGUUUUAAUUUUAAACUAGUUGACUUGGCUACAAAAAUCUAUUCCUUUCUGUUCUUCAUAAAGCAAAGAAUUUGUCUCCUACACAUGCACUCUUUAGGACUGCAUGGAACAUCAAGUGUUUGUUUUUUUAAAGAAUUAUGAAUCCAUAUCCCACGCAAUGGAUGUGGUUUAGAGAUACCUCAAAAUCUUUCUAGCUUCAGUCAAAACUCUAGGGUUAAAGUUCUGUCUUAUCAUUUAAGGAUUUUCUUUAUUGUGGAUCCGCCCCCUCUCUGGUUUUUUAUUUUUUAUUUAUUUCUCUGAUGACUGAACUUUGAUUGCCUGCCAAUUCAGGUUUAUUCAGCUUAGAGAGGACUACAAGAGUGCUAAACUUGCAUCAAGACUUAGUUCCUUGUGGACAAGCUCUAGUUGAUAAAGCAUCUGAUGUAUAUAUUAUUUUCCAUAUUUCUUGGAUGUCUUGCAUGAAAUGGUGGAUACUUCGCACGGAGCACUUUCUCUGGUGGGCAACAGUCACCUCUAACUGGAUCGCUUGUGGCUCUGAGACCAAGUUGUUGAGCAGUUUGGAAAUAAACUUUAUUCCCCCGUCUAUUCAGCUCAGCUUGGUCAGGAAUCCGGUACAGUAGAGUUUUCUUUGAAUUUUUUUCUUUUCCAUUUUGCUUGUAUAUUUUAUUGACACAUAGUUGGUAAGAUGCGGGUCGAUUUUUAUUUUCAACUGUCAUUUUACAUAUUAGAUUCACAGUUUUGCUUUGAUGAUUCAGAGAAGGAUUAUGCUGUCCGUUGUGUCCUUGUAAAUGAUUCUCUUAGGGAUGAAAAUGGCACUUUAGGGGUGAUUUUUUUUUUUUUUUUUUUUUUUUGAUCUCCAAGUCGUUAUACUCGUAAUCUUGUUUUACAAUGCAUGUCUGUUUUCCAAGUUCCAAGUCAGUUUCGAGUUGAUUUCUUUUUGUGUUUAAAGUUGAGAUUUCUGAAUAUGAGGUUUCAAGAGGAAAUACAGAGGAGUAAUGUCAAAAAAAAAAAAAAAAAUGAUAAAAGGAAAUAAGGAUUAUGUUUUCAUGUUACAACGUUCGAGGACUGAAGGAUUGACAUCGCGUCGUGUAAUCGUUGGGUAGGGAGAAAACAAGGAAACAAACUAAGACCCUAAAGUAUUUUAUUCCUUCUCGUUAAGCCUGCAAACCGGAGGUGUUUAAUUAUUAACUAGGACUGAAGGACGGCCAUCACGUCGUGUAAUUCGGCCUCGGCUGAUUUUUGUAAUGGUAGAAUCUCGGGUUUCUAUCUUGUAAAGUUCUCGGAGUAUAGAGUGCUCGUUCGUUCCAUUUCGAAGUUCCAAGUGGCUUCCAUACAAGAAGACUGCCAUAAACAUUCACUGCAAUUGCCAAUGUCUUAACACAAGAAAGGCCACGAUAGCCUAUAAUGAUGGCGACGACACAAAUGAAGGCCUCUAAUUCUUUGCAAGCACAGCCUCUACCUUCACUGCCUCGUUCAUGAAUGGCACACAAACGGGAGAAAAAAAGUGGAGGUAGCGAUUGUGACACCUGGUACUGCCUCUAUGUGUGGUGAUGAGGUGCGUCCAUUUUUUCUAGUGUGAUGCAUACCUCCCACUAUAAAGUGCUCCCUCUGUCAGUUUAUCUCAUGACAACGGAUAGAAAGAGAGAGGACAUUGAUUGAUGAAGUACGUUUGGUGGGUGGUUAAGUUGCUUAUGGAUGGUUAUCUUCUUUGAUAGCAAAGGCAUCUAUCUAUGUGAAACAUUUCCUUCGUGCCAAUCUCAUGACAAAUUGACAUUUCCCUUCCCUCUCUUAAAAAAGUAAAUCAAAGAUGUGCUAAGACCCCACAAAUCACUGCUGUAGCACCGUGGUCAAUCGAUUGUGUGCCAUCAAAAACUCCUUUCAAGUCUCUAUCUAAUCUCCAAGUAACCAAACAAGUGUUAUUGAGAUCUGAAGUCUUGUUCAAUCCGCAUGCCUAACUAGAUAUACGUAGACUUCGAAGAGGCAUUUCCGAGUAUAAAUGUUUGACCAAGCCAAUGGGGACUCUACCAAAGCCCAAAAACAUGCUCUACCUAUAUAGGAUGGGAUAACGAAUGAGAAAGAAAUAUGAAGCCAGCAAAACCCAUCCUCCACCAAAGUCUCAUACCAAGUGCUUCCCAACUAUGUCAAUAUCACAUAAUAAAUUGGAAAAGUGUAAAGAGGAAAAAAGGAGUGCCUAUGCCGGUUUUUGUCAUGGGUAGUGGUGGUGGACCAAUUCUGAAAAUGCUCUCUCUCUCUCUUCAAUAGUACCAUCAUCACCACUUGAGUAACUCAUACUUCUUCUUCUUCUUCUUUUUGACUAGUUUUUUUUCUCCAUUAUAAGUUUGAAGAUUUUAAGGAUCCAUCACUUGAUGGAUUUGGCCUUGCUGGUUCCACACCCAUCUGGAAACUGAACAGGAGAUUUGGGUUACUGAAUUGGCAAUGAAGGAGCUCACGCCAUAUAAACCAGGAAGGCGCCGAUCGAAGACAUGAUUAUAUUUUGUUGUGAAGAUAUCUUCGUUUGGUAAGUCUUUAUGGGUUCUUUUACCAUGCACGUACCUGUGCACACAAAAGAUUUAUAUACAAUUAAAGAAAUUAUAUUGAACCUGAAAAAUUAAUAAUUAGAUUAAUAGACCUAUAUAUCAUCGUGUAUAUAAACACAUUUCUAACCACUAUCGACAUUCUGAAUUCGCCACUGAUCAUAUCACACGUGACUCGGGUUUAUUUAAAGCUUUAAAUUAACAUGUCUAUGAUCCCUUAUGAAAGUAUUUUGCAAGGUUUACAUAUAUUGUUGCUUGACAUCAAUGUUUGGGGGAUCUGCAUGGACUUUACUUGCAUAUGGACGUGCUCACAAAAAAAAUAUGUAAUAGAAAAGGCUACUUUCUGUAUGUUGUUGGGCUGUACAAAAUAUGUGAACUAAUCUCUGGAUAAAUCGAGAUUUAAAAUUGUCGAUUAAAAUUAAGUUCAUUUUAAUAACGAAAAGGUUGAUUAGCACUAACCCCUUUUCUUAAUGAGAACUUCUCUCUCUAAUUCACGUGUCGUCUUCUCUGAUUCUUUAGGAACUAAAAAACAACAAAAUCGAAAAGGAUGGGGAAAAAAAACUUUGUACGCAAACGAAAAUAAUCUUACAAUGAAAUGUAGUUUGGAACAUUAAAAACAUGUUCCUCAAAUAUUUAAAAGCAAAAAAAAAUAAAAAAAUUUCAAAUAUUUUUAAAACACAAACAUAUUCAUGAGCAUUUUAAAACAUGUUCCACUAGUAUCAAGGAUUCAAAUCAUGUACUUGAGGGUUUAGUUCAGUGGUCAACAUGUGAGGCUUGUCUUGCUCCCGUCUCGAGUUCGACCCUUCAUAUACAUGUCUGUCAUCCCCGCGGUACCUUACCUGUCUACUGGGCUUGCAAGAUGUUCAGUAGACUCGGGGAAUAGUUGUGGUGCACGCAAGCUGGUCCGAAUACCCCGGGUUAUAAAAAAAAAAAUUCAAAUCAUAUUCGUUCCAGAGGAGGCCUAGCUUGCUCCUUGCCGCUAGACCCAACCCUAGGUGGUAACGCUUCCUUUUUUAUUGACCUUUAAAUUGACUUAUUGAAAAUCUGACUAAUCUCAAGGAAAUAUCAAGCCCACUCGAUGAGAAAGAUAUGGUUUGGUCAAAACAAAUGAAUUAUUAUUAUUACCCAUGAAGUCAUAUGGACCCCACACGUUUGCAAUUCAAUGCCCUCGUGCCACCCACGUCUUUAGGAUACAAAAUGUUUCGUCCCUCCAAUGUACGUCAUUAGCCCCUCUCGUCGCAUCAUCUGCCGUCACAAAAAAUAAAUUAUAUGCAAAGACUAAUCCAUGUGAGCGAGAUUUUAACAUUUUCCUUUUACAUUUUAGUGGCCACGAGAGUUUUUUUUUUUUUUUUUUUUUUUUUUUUUUCUGGUUUUACAAAUACAAAAUAAUAAAUAAAUAUAUGAACCAUUAAAUGGAUAGAAUCCAUCGGUAACUUCGACAUUUAACUUUUUUUUUAAUAAAAAAAAGAAUUAAUUUCAAUUUAAACCGAGACGAAUCCAAAUUCUCUUCCUUAAUUGGGUUUUUAUUGUUUUAUUGUCUUCUUUAAAAUUUUAAACGAUUAUCAAUAUUCUCUUUUAGGUUAUUCAAAUAAAAAAUAAAAUUUUUCUUGUUCUUGAAUUUUUAAAAUUUGAUCAAAUAAAAAAAAUAUUUUAAAAUAAUUUAAAGAGAUUAGAUCUUCUAUUCUUGUUAAAAAAAAAUUAAUGAUACCAUGUACAUUAUUUAUAUUUAAAAAUAAAGAAAUAAAAAUGCUUGGUAUUAAAAGAAAACCGACUUCUAAACUUUUAUAUCUCUAUGAUGGUAUAAUCAUCAGCUAAUAAUGUAACAAUAUAUUUAAUAAAACUGAUUAAUAUUGACAAUCAAAUGUCAUGAGUGCUUGACCCGUGAUAGAAUAGAAUAUUUAUUUAUUAAUUUAUUAAUGGGUUCCGUGGUUUAAACUUUAUCUCUGCAUAUAAUUUUCAGCUUGGUAUAUAUAUUAUUUUAUUUAUUUAUGUUUUUAAUUAUAAAUGAUUUGCAUUUGCCUCGAACCCCGUGAGAGUAAAUUGAAAUUAACUCUUAAGAAUAGGUUUACAAGUAGGCUAAUCACAUAAAUAUUACACUUUAAUUUCACAUACAUACAUUUAAUUAAAAUGUAUCUCCAGCAAAUUCAUAUCGAAAUCAAGAUUUAAGAUAUUUUUGUAAAAUCACGAAAUCAUGCUAUUUAACUAGUGAAGUCACUAAAGCAUUAGGGAAACAUCACUGUCAUUUUAUGCGAGGAUUAAAAAUUAAUAUUUUAGCCAGUUAAUUUUUUUAUUUAAAUUAAUAUUUUUUGAUACGUGGAUUAAAAAUUAAAAUCUUGUAAUUGUUUUUAUCUUUUACAUAAUACUUUAAUUACAUAAAGCGAGGAUUAGCGUGUCUUUUGUAAGCCAAGAAAACAAGUAAAAUCACUACGAUGAUUAGCGAAAAACAAAUCCUGACCGCCAGAUCCUGUAUCAUAGGAUUCGUUAGAAAGGGAAAGCUCGGUACGCUUUGAAUCACGAGGCACCGGUAACGGCUAUGACUUUUCUACAAAGCUGUGGGCCCAGGAAAAUCUUCUAGCUGUCAGCCCACCCCCCGUCGGUGUAUGUAUUUUUCCUUUCCCAUUCUUGGUCACUUCCUUCCAGUUAUAUAUUCAUCUCGGAAAGAGAAUAUUGUACUGUAGCAGACGGAAUGGGAUUUGGAGUGGAAAAUAUAUAUAUAUAUAUAUAUAAACAAUACUACCGUGUGUUUCCGAAAGCAAGUAGUUUGGCACGUGCGAAGAAAGUGAGCAGCAGAAUCUGGAAAGAAACCACAGCCGCUGAUCAUGGGCAGGCAUCUGUGCAAGAAAUUGACGGUCCGAACUAAAGUUUCAAAACAUCCUCUUUUCAUGCUGGUGAUCUGGCCGUUGCUUCAGGACACCAUAUUCCGAGAAUAAUAGUUAGCAUAAUCCUUUCAUUUGCCUACGAUAUUUCCUUUUUAUUCAGAGAAGAACACUUGAUCAUUGUAUUCCAGUUCCAGGUGCUUCAUUAUUAUUUACAAUACUGUAACUGAUUUAAACUAUACACAAUAAAUAAAACUAAAAUCAAGUCUUUUAAAAGGAUUAUCUCAUCUUAUACUAAAAGAACACUUUUGUUUUUAAUGAAGGGCAUGGCACCAAUAUUUUAAACACGGUAAAAAACAGCAACCAAAAAAAAAAUAAAGUCAGCACAACAAGCAACGUUAAUUUGAAUGUUUGUGGUAAUUUUUGUUUUUAGAUAUACUUGAAAAGUAUAUUUUAUUUAAAACAUAUUGAUGCUUUUUAAAGAAUUUUAUUUAUUGGUGUCAAAAAUAAAAUAAAAUUUUAAUUUUUUUAAUAUAUUUUUAAACAAAAAAUAUUUUUAAAAAAUAUCAUUCAACACGUAAUAAUCGCACAUCAGAUUUGUUAAUUAGAGAAAGAAAAAAGAGCCCACAACAUUUCUCUUAAAGGGAAAAGUAAAUUCCUCCACGGAGUGAUGAGAAAAACUGAAAUUGGAGCACUCGCCCAAUAACUGGCUUCCACUUUAUUUUCUAUUUUGUCGGUAAUUCACAAACCUCCAUUUAAAUACACAACCGUGUGGACUUUCCAACACUCAUCAAAAGGCGGAGCCACCCAAGUCAUAACCCAGCCCAACCCAGUCCAAUCCAACCCAACCAAACCCCACGUAACCCUUUGACAUUUACCAAGUCAACCCCAAAAAACCAAAACUGGUUUUCAGCUUGUCUAAAGAGAAAAAAAAAGAAAGGAAAGGACAAGAUAAACAUUGAGAUGCCAAAUUGCCAUACUCUCUCUCUCUUUCGCUAUAUAUUAUUGUUUCCCUACUCAUUACAGCCCCUAACCUCUCUCUCUUUCUCUUAAAAAGUCAGCGCCUUCUUUUGUCUCCUCCCUAUAACAUCAGUUGCAGAAGGAAGGUACAGAUUCACAGACCUUGUCUCUGUAGCCAUGGAGGAUAUUGAUUGGGAUCUUCAUGCUGUGGUCCGAGGCUGCACCACCUCCACCUCCACCACUUCUACCACCACCACCACCAUCAACAGCAACAGCAACAGCACUGCUAGUGGCUAUAGAUCAGAUUAUUAUCCUCAAUAUUCUUGCUUUUCUGGUUUUGGAAGUGAGCAAGUUGGCCAUCUUUUCUCUCAUCCAGAUCCCUUUGAAACAAGAAAUGCUAUUGGAGAAUUGCAUGAGCUUUACAAGCCAUUCUUUCCCAAAUCUCAGCAGCCCAUUUAUUCUCCACAAGCCUGCACACCCCUCUCUUCUUUUUCUUCUUUUACCAGUUUUACCAAGGAACAGCCACAGCAACAACAAAAACAGUCACAGCCUAAGCAGUCUCAAACUGGUUCUGUGACUAGUAGUGCAAAUUCUCAUACACCUCGAUCCAAAAGAAGGUAAAUCUGCUAACUUCUCACUUACAGCAAGGAAAAGAAUUUGAUUUGGUAGAUAAUCAUCAAAGAAAGACAAACUCUUUCGCUAAUAAAUACUUCAUUUGUGUUUUUUUGUUUUGUCACAGAAAGAACCAGUUAAAGAAAGUAUGCCAAGUUCCAGCUGAGGCUCUCUCUUCAGAUGUGUGGGCAUGGCGAAAAUAUGGGCAGAAGCCUAUCAAAGGCUCUCCUUAUCCAAGGUAACAACAUAUUAUGCAUCCAUCUUGAAUUUAAUCAAAGCCCGCCUUUUAUUUUGGUAUUCUCGGUUUGGUAUCAAGUCAAAACUUGUAAAUUUUCUCUUUCUAAUUGAUUAAACUCUGGUUUGUUCAAUGAAUAACAGGGGCUAUUACAGAUGCAGCAGCUCAAAAGGGUGUUUGGCCCGGAAACAAGUGGAAAGAAACAGAUCCGACCCAGGAAUGUUCAUAGUGACCUACACAGCAGAGCACAACCACCCUGCUCCUACUCACAGAAACUCUCUAGCAGGCAGCACCCGUCAGAAGACCUCAACACCUCAAACUGGCAAAGCUAAUGAUUCUAGCAAACCAUCAUCACCAGCCAAACCCACUUGCUCAUCUCCAGCAACUUCUCUGGAAGAUGAGCUAUUAGCUCGAAGUACUUCAAACACGGAAUUAAGCAGAGAAGAGAAAGAUAUAACGGAAGAUGAUGAUGAAGAUGAGAUUGGUGGGUUCUCAGAUAUAGCUGUUAGUGACGAUUUCUUUGCGGGUUUAGAGGAGUUUGUUGGUCCUGCCACCGGAGAUUACUUCCCUGAUCAUUUUCCAGCAAGUUUUGGUCAGCCCUGGCUUGCUAACAAUGCUGCCACGGCAGCCGAAAGUAUUUGACAUUAGUUGAGAAUGGCAUCUCUGACAUCGGUCUUAUGCUUUUCUUUUAUUUUCUUUGCUUUUUUUCUUUUCGGUUACUUGUAUCAUUUUGCUAGAAGUAGAAUCUCAAAGGCAUCAAUGCCUUGUGCCUGUGAAGUGAAUGCUGCGGGUGAAAAGUAAAGAGUUUAUUCCUUUUGUUGAUCUUUAGACUGUUAGUAAAUUAGUCUAUUCAUUUAUCCGCCUUUUGCUUUUGCUAUGUCAAGGCAUUUAAUUAUUUACGAGGGUGAGAAAUUUGUUGGAGAUGAAUUCUUGUUAAUUGUCGGGUUAUUACUGGCAAAUCUCAUGUUUGGAAGAGAUAAAGAUAAAGAUAUCCGUGGCCUCUGGGUGUCUUACCCUAGCCCCAUGGCAUAUUGCCUCUUCAAUUGAAUCAGGCAGCAUCCACAAUACGUGUACGGCAGCCUCGAGGACUUGGACAUACACAGUUGACAUCUGUUUGGUUUCUCAGGGAGAUCCAAAUCAUGGCCAUAAAAAGUAAAAUGAGUACUAAAAUUUCUCGAUGAGGUGGUUAUUUUGACAACUUUCCAACCGACAGAUUUUCGCAGAGUCGGGCCAAACGAGAAAAACAAAUAAAUGACAGUUAAUUGGAUUAAAACAUUGUGCUUAACUGAAAAGUUGGACAUACCAUUGGUCUUGGAGUUCAACUGGCUUAUAGGAUGUCAUAAGAUUCAUGAUCCUCUUCCAUCUCAUUAUUUUCCAAUGGAUUCGUUCACGCCACUAGCUCACUCGGCUCCUAAACAGAAGCCAGCCCUUCUCCGGUUGCUAACACAGGUCAAGAUCAUAAAAAGAUUAAAAAAUCUCCUUUCAGACAUGUUUCACCAGAUGACUGUCCGGCAAAACAGUUCAACCAUGCAAAUCACUUACCCUGGCAAGACAUACUAAGCUAUGCUAAGCUUAUUAUAAUUUUAGAAUCAAUUUUAGCACGAAAUUCAACCCUUUGUCUAGAGAUUCAACAGUGGAUGACUUUCAGCAAGCAAAUAUCAAAAUGCAAUUUAACUGUGACAAGCAUCGCAAUUAUACCAAUCUCCCCUUUCCCAUUGUUCAAAAUGAGAGGAAGGAAUCCACCAUCAAUUGGAUGGUGUUGUGGGACUAGCACGCUCGUAUUGAUACACCUCAGGAGAAUGUGGUUCUCUAGAACAAGUCCGGCUAGAAGCCCCAACAAAUAGAGCAACAUGGAGAGAGAAACCAUUACAGACAGAAAACUGGACUCUCCUAAACAUUGCUAACUUAUCGGGACAGCACACAUGUUUUCAGGAAUCACGACCUAGAAGAAGCCUUUUGUGCAGUGGAACUAGAAACCUCACAUCCCGCAACAAAUUUUUUCAACCUCUCUAUUUCACCAACUGCAGAGAGCCACUCUGUGAGGAUCUCCAUGGUUAUAUAAUCAGGAUUACAAGCAUGCUCGAUCAUUCUAUCCAUGAAUUCAAAGACUUUUUCCAAAUCUUUCUCGUCUCUAAGGCCUUUGAAUAUAGCAUUGUAUGUGGUGGUAUUUGGCGUCACCCCCCAAAUUUUCAUAUCUUCCAUCAAGGAAACAGCAGAUUUCACUUUAUUAUUCUUGCACAAAGAGUUGAUUAGGAUGUUGUAUAUCACAGUGUUUGGUGGAACCUUCGAUGCAGCUUUCAUGUCUUUGAAAAUCUCCAUGGCUUCAUUUCCAUUUCCAUUUAAGCAAUAUGCAUUUAUUACAGCACCAUAUGUAGCAACAGUGGGCACCACACCGGCCUUGAUCAUCUUUCUCAUCACUUUCUGAGCAAACUUUAAAUCCCCAUUUUUGCUGGCAUAAGCAAUCAAAGUGUUAUAUGUGAUAGUAUCGGGUUUCAAUCCAGCUUCCUCCAUUUCCUUGAGCAUCUCAAAAACUCUAUGAAACUUGUUCGUCCUACAAAACCCACCAAUCAAAGUAUUAUAGCACACUGUAUCAGGGCGGAUCCCAAGCUUUUUCAACUCUGCCAAGACAAAACUGGCAUCAGCCAUCCUUCCAGCUUGGCUAAAACCAGAGAUCAAGGUGUAGUAGACAAUUGCAUCUGGAGAGCAUCCACUUUUCAACAUUUCAUUGAAGAGUUCCAUUGCCUUCUCAAAAUUGUUCACAUUACAGAAAGCAUUGAUCAAAGCUGUAUACGUAACAGCAUCACCUUUCAUACCUCUCCUUUGCGCCUCAACAAAGAAGUUAACUGCACUACUGACUCUCCCAGUUCUACACAUGCCACCAACCAAAGUAUUAACCGUGACGACAUUUGGUGCAACACCCUCUUUAUUCAUCUCAUCAAACAGCUCCUUUCCCUUCUCUAUCUCACCAGCUUUACAAAACCCAUCGAUCAAGCAAUUGUAUGUAAUGGUAUCAGGAGCGCACCCCUUCUGUGAUCUCAUUCUUUCCAUCAAACCCAAUCCUUCUUGUUGCCUUCCAACUUUACAAAGUCCAUCAAUCAACGUAUUAUAAAUAACAACAUCCGGUUCAACCGAAACACUUAUGCCACCACUCUCUUUACCACCACUCAUCUUUUCAAGAACCUCCAACGCAUCAUCGACUCUCCUAAACUUGCACAUAUGAUUAAUAAGAAUCCCAAAAGUAACAACAUUCGGCUGAAUAUCCAUUUCCACCAUCUUUUCCAUUAGUUCAUUCAUUCUAUUAAAAUUGCCCUCUCUUGCUAAUCCUGUCAAUAAUGAAUUGCAAGCAGCAGAUUCCAAAACAGCCCCUAGUUUUAUCAUUUCAGUAAAAAGAUCCCAACCUCUAUUAGUCUUCCGAUUCCGACACAGCCUGGUAAUCAAUCGACCCAUCCAAAACGAACUAAUAAGAACCCCAUGCUCGCCGAACUUCAACACCAGAUUAACAAUCUCAUCUUCACUCAAAAGUUCUUCAUUUCUUUCUCUCUUCAACAAAAACGAAAACAGAAUAUCCCCUGUAGCAUCGUUGGGACGACAAUUAGAGUCGUCAUUUGACUCAAACAUUUCAUCGAUCACCUUCAAUGCAUCUUUAACACGCCCGGACCUCAACAAAAUACUGAGCCAAACAUUACGAAGAUAGGUGUUUUUAACAGAUGGGUCAAGAUCAUUGAAGAGAAUGAGAGAUUCCUCCACCAACUCACUCCUUCCAGAGGCGCGAAGGAGAAACGACGCAGCAUUGACGGUGAGAGGAAUAUUCAACUCUUUCGAGGUUUUGUAAAGCCGGGAUAGGUUAGCAUUUGAAUCGGGUUCACAAAAAGCGAGCUCGAAAAUGGCCUGGAAAGUAUAGGAGAGUAGAGAUUGGGUGUCUGGUGAAGAAGGGGAGUUAUUUUGGAGGUAAUUGAGGAACUUGAGGGCUUGAGAAGAGGAAGGUAAGCGGCGGGUGAUUUGAUAGAAAAGGCGAGGAGAAGAGGAGGAAGGAGGGGAGUCGGUGAAGAGGAGUUGAUUGAGUUGAGUGGUGUUCCAUUCAUUUCCUGGUAUUUGAAGGAGUUGUAGGGCUUCGGUUAUGAUUGAGUUAUGGUUGCUAGUUUUUGGUUGUGGCGGUGGUUGUGGUUCUGGAGGUUCGGUGGAAAGGCGGCGGAGGAAAGUGUGGGAUGUGAGGAGGCGGAGGAUGUUUGAGUGCUUUGAUGCUGAAACUGUUAUGGUGCUCAUUUUGAGAUGGGGAAGAAGUAGUGAUUUUAUUUUUAGGAGGGGCUUGGGGGUUUUCCUUGCGUAGUUUCAAGGUCUUUCAGGAGGGAAGGCAAAAGGCCGUUAUGUACUUUCUGGAAGACGGAUAGAAAUUACCUUUUAAAGUUUUUGUUUUUAAAAAUAUAUUAAAACAAUAUUUUUUAUUAUUUUUAAAAGUUAUUUUUAAUGUUCAUAUAAUUUAAAAGUAUAUAGAAAAUAAUUUAAAAUUAAAAUUUUUAAAAUACAUUUUAAAAAAUAUAGUUGAACAAUUAUUGCAAACAGAACCUUAACCCAAAGUCCGUAGAUCAUGAUAUAAGAUGAUGCUCUUUUGAUCAAACAAUACUGGUUUUUCUUGCACGUAUAUGCUUUUUUUUUUUUAAUGAUAAAAUAUAUAUUUUUAAAUCUUAUUAUACCUUAAUCGAUACAAAAUAUUUUAUGAAACAAUUUUAAAUAUAUCUUUAUCAUCAGCUUGAUACAUUUAAAACUUUUUUAUUAAAUUUUACUAAAUGUUUACUCUAAAAUUUAAACUCAAGAAAUUAAAAAAAAAAACAUCCUUUUCUAAUGUUACUUUUGAUACGCCACCGUUCGAAAUUUAUAUAUAUAUAUAUAUAUAUAUAUAUUAUUUUAAUAUACUGAUAUUAAAAAUAUUUUUUUAAAAAUAUAAAAAAUAUUUUAAAAAACUAAACAAUCAUAGUAUUAUUAUUACUGCUCAUAAUAUUACUAUUACUGCGGAUUAUGAUUUAGACACGUCUUCAUCUUUAUUGACAAAAUAGCAUGAGUUUCACCACAACUUUUCCAAAAAAAAAAAAUAACAAACAUAAUUGAAACAAUUGUAAUUUUGUUUAAGUUUUUGGUCAUUUAUGUAUGAGUGUUCAGUAAAUAAUCUUUGACUGUCUCAAAAUUUUAAUUUUUUUAUAUUUUCAAAAAUAAAAUUUUAAAAAUAAAACAAAUAUUAUUUUAAUAUAUUUUUAAAUAAAACACAAUUUAAAUCUCAUCAGACAAUCCCGAAGAUUCAUUGGUAUCCCUGCAAACGAGUCCGCUACGCACACACGAAACUGCUAAUAUUCCUGCUAUCUAGCUAUUAAUACGGAGCUAUGCAUAGCCACACCAGAGGGUUGCCAGAUAUCCAGAUAUAUAUAUAUAUAUAUAUAUAUAUUGAGAUUUCUAUCCUUCCAACCAGUUCGGUUAAAUCACGUGACACUUUUAAAAAAUAGCUCCGAAUCCAAUUUCAAGAUAUAUUUUAAUUUCUAUUGAUUUUUUAGGCGAGAAAAAAAAAGGAAAAACAUAUGCAAUUAUUUCUACCACAACAAUUUUCCUUCAAAAUGUAUCUCGAUUUCGAAUGUCGAGAACUGAUGCAAUUUCUGGCUUAGCUUUCAAAGAUGCACCACCAAACUGGUCUUCCGUUAUUUUCACUCUUCUUUCUGGUCACAAAAGGGGUGGAGGCCGAGUAAGGAACACAUCUGCCGGAUUAACCAGUAUUCAAUCAUUUGCUGGACCAUUACUUGAUACAGACAUUUUAAUUUUCUCAGCUGCUGCAGCUGUUGAAGCGGCUGCCUUGUCCAAACCUAACUUUUGCAAUUCGCUCAUGAAACCAUUUAUCUCAGUUUCACUAAUUUUAUAUGGACUGUGGGCAGGACCAGGGAACGAACCAUUUGCCACUUCUUCCUUGUAUUCAACUAGAGCUUUGUUGAUGACAUCUCCAACAUGAGCAUACUGCUUACAGAACUUUGGAGUAACCUAUAGCAGGUAAAACAAUCCCUAUCUCAGCAUACAGAACGUUAGCUAUGCGAAUGAAAUCAACAAACCAGCGUGGCAAUUAUGGGAUUAACCUUGGCAUGAUGUGGAUGUUGCAUCAUUCCCAAUAGAUCAUGGUAAACUAGCACCUGCAUGAACGACGAUUAGAUACACAUCAUGCUACAAUCCAAAGGAAAGAUUGAAUAAGAAAAUUCAGACUCUAAUGUAAUUGUCUUUACUGUCUAGUUUUACACUAUCAAGCAUAACUUUUGAUAUGACCAUUGGAUUAAGCUGAAAUUUUACCAGUAAUUGCUAGACAUAUUGUUCUAUAUUGAAUUAAAAUUUCAGGUCAAUCAAAGUUCGAUAAGGUCUGGCAAUAAAGGUCAGCAAAUACAAUACGAAUUUUGUUAUUUGUUAUUUUUUGGAGAUGAUUCUUUUCCUCGUAAUAUAAGGAUAUUCAGCAACUUAUUUUUAAGAAUUUCCUAGUUCUACAAGGAUCUUUAAUGGGCAACAACAUAGUUUUCAAAUGGGAUAAAAAUUCCUUGUGUUCCAAAAUCCUUCUUUUACAAAAAUUUCUAAUUUAUCCUAGUUAUACAAGGAAAUGAGAGUUGAAGUAUUUAAUGAUAGAUUAUUUUUAGGCUGAUUUUUUUUUGUAUUGAUCUAAAUUAUUUUAAGGUUUUGUUUGUUGUUUUAUUUUAUUAUUUGGAUAUUUGAAUUUGAUUUAGGGCUUAUGUUUUAGUGUAAGUUUGCUUUGGCUCAAAAAUGACUUGUGUUAGCUGAUUAUUAGCUUGGAUUCGUUAGUUUGCACCUAAUAAUAGUCCGUUAGAAUUAUUUAGGACUAUAUAUAUAUAUUUUUUUUGCAGCAAAAUUCAGCCGCUGUGAUAUUUUGAAUAAACUUGUGUUUUGCAUGAUGCAACACACAAGUUUAUUCCAAUUUUGACUUAUCAAGGUAUAAUUAAUCUUAUGGCAUCUUCACAUACUUCGGAUUCUUGAUUCUCUAUAAUCAACGAGUACAAGUUUAAUUUUCAAUGCAUUUGAUUAUGAGGUUCAUGGUUAUUUUUAGAUCAAGGAUUCGAUCUAAACCUGAAUUUUAGCUUCUUGGGUUGUUUAUCUACUUUGUUGUGAGUUUCAGGAUUACUAUCCUAGGGGUUCACAUCACAUCAUGGAUAGAAACGUUCACUUUUGAGAAAAAUUAAGACUACAAGCUUUCAAGUUUCCUGAAAAAGAGACAAAUUGCAGAGCUAUUUCUAGUUACUCAUGGGUACUUGAAAAUGAUAAUUAAAUGAUUGUAUCUGGCAAUGGUCAUAAGUAAGAGAUUCCCAAGAGCUGAUAGAUAGUAAAGUAUAAUCAAGUUGACGGUAAAGUUCUUUUUGAUAGCGAGACGUCACAGAAGGGUGGGUAUUCUAUCUGUUGCUUGUCUAUACACACGAACUUUCACUCACAUCGUAAGUUUUAGAACUCUUGUUCAUGUAAUGCCAUUGAAAAUAUCUUCUCUAGCGUCAUCAGAGACAACCAGGACAUGAAAAAAGGCCUGUGCCCUGUUUAACAAGAUUGAAAUCCUAGAACCAAGCACUUUUGGGCCUUUGGCAUUGGAGUAUAAAACCCAAUGAAAUCUUCACAUUCCUAUAUUAAUGAUCAAAACUAACUAGCACUACUUGGGAAAACCAUAGCUCAUAAGCUUUCUAGUAUGACAUAUUUAUCAUCACCCAAACCUCUUCUUUUUUAAGUGUAAUAUGCUAAUAUUGCUUCUGGUCAACAUAGAAGGUAGCAUGCUUUAAAUGCUGGAGUUCAAAAUUGCACUGCCUCGCUUACCUCCUCUAGACAAGCAACAGUGUAGGAAAUUCACAAAGAUAAUCAAAUUCUUUGAUCAUAAGAAUAAACUUAUAGUGAUGAUCACCCCCAUUCUGCAGUCUAAUUUGAAACAUAACAUGCAAACAUCUUUAUCAAAGGAUCAAACAAAGAAACCAAGAGUCUAUAUGAUAAACCUGGCCACUGCAAAAAGGUCCUGCCCCAAUGCCAAUGGUUGGGAUUUUAAGAGCAGAAGUUGCUGCAGCUGCCACGGGAGCAGGCACGCAUUCUAAAACUACCGAGAAACAUCCUGCUUCUUGCAAAGCCAGUGCAGUUUCUACAACCUGUGCAACAUAAACAAAUUCAACACAACAUAAAACAAACAGUCUCGUAAACAAAACACAUAAUCAACAUACCUUUACAGCACUGGCAAUGUUUUUCCCUUGAGGCCUGAAUCCUCCAAGAACACUAAUAGCCUGAGGAGUAAGUCCUACAUGUCCCAUAACAGCAAUUCCAGCCUCAACAAUUGCUUUAGCAGCAGUAAUUCUCGAUGGCGACCCUCCUUCCAAUUUAAUCGCAUCCAUCCCUCCUUCCUUCAAAAUCCUAACUGCCGUAUCAACCGCCUGCUCAUAAUCCAAUCUCACUCAACAUCACCAACCAAUUCCUCACUUCAAAAUAUUCACAUUCAAGACAACACAAAAUCCUCUCCCCCACAAUGAACCCCCAAGAAAACUUCAUACAUAAACAUUCUACUAUUUCAUAACUUUUAAAAUAUAAAAUUUACAAUUAAGAUAAACAACAAUAGAGCAACAUUUUAGCUUGAGAAAUCUAAUGGGCACCUGGUUAGAACUAGACUCGUAAGUCCCAAAGGGCAAGUCACCUACGAGAAGCGGCCUUUUGGCGCCACGAGCAACAGCACGGCAAUGAACAAGCAUCUCGUCAAGAGAGAUAGGGAGAGUGGUGUCAUGGCCGUGAACAACCAUGGAAGCGGAGUCACCAACUAAACAAACAUCGAUACCUGCUGUGUCUAAGUGGACCGCAGAAGGGUAGUCAUAGGCAGUCACAACAGUUAUCGGAUCACCCUUUUUGUGUUUUUGCUUUAAAUGGGUUAGUGUUACUCUUUGGUGUGGGUUUUGUGGCUUCGGUCCGCCGUAGACGGUGUUUUCAGGGACGUUGCUCAUGAAGCGGAGGUGGCGGAGAAGAGUUGUGGGUUUGAGAGUGGAAGAGGAUUUGGUGAGGUAAGUGAGUAAACCCAUUUUUUGAGUGAUAGGGAGUGAGAGGUAGCGAGAGAUGGGAUGUGUGAAUGACGAGAAAUUUUGAUUGAAUUUGUAGGUUUAUUUAUGGAGGGAGGAGUUAGUGGGGGAGGGUGGUGCAUUUUGGCUGCGCCACCUGCACCGAGUUGAUAGAGGAGUCCGAUUUUGAGUUGCUUUCUUCCAAGUUUGGCAUUGUUAUCCACACGUGCCUUUCAGCGCUCGUGAAGGCCACUCUCUUUUGGUAUAGUAUAUACUGGCAUGUCAUAAAAGAAUAAAGAGAACCUAGGAGCAUAGCAUCUGCUAGGAAAUUCGAAUUAGGUUUUGGAAAAUAUUUAUUUGUGGGUGGAUGAUGGUAAGGUUAAAUUCGAGAGAGAACCCAGGUUUAACAUGAAUAUGGGUACAAUUGAGGAUUUUUUUUUCUUCUUUUAUUCAACUAUGAAAUGUAUCUUUAGAUCACUUUAUGCUGAGUUUGUCGAUUUUAUUAUUGUUGGUGUUAUUUUUUUUAUUAUUAGAAUUAUAAAUUUUAGUUUCAAAGUAUUUUAGCAUUCUGUUUUAGAAUUUUAACUAUACAUACAUACAUACAUACAUACAUACAUAUAUAUAUAUAUAUAUAUAUAAAUAUAUAUAUAUAAUUCAAAAUAUUGAUUAAACAUACAUGAUUCAAGUUUAAAUUUAAAAAUAAAUUAACUUUGUAUUAUACAAUACAAACAUAAUAUUAUUCAUCUAAAUAUAUUUUUAAAAUUUAAAAUAUUACUAAAUAGUUAAGAGUCGGAAUCGAAUAUAAAUUUAACUUGAAGUAAUUCAACACAAACAAAAUGCUAAAAUAUUACAAAAAUUAAAAAGUUUUAACAUAAAAUUAGUAUAAAUCAAACAUCAUAUUCAUCAUCACAUGUAAAAAUAAAAAUUUUGAUUUUACAGUGGCACAUGAGAAAGUUAUGAACUAGAUAUUUCAAUUGAUGAUUAUUUCCAUCAAGCUCAUCCUCGACAUUAGAAUGCCUAUUUUUAUCAUCUAAAAUCAGAGUACACAAAGGUGUCUCAAUAGUCUUAUAACUUAAAUCAUGUCAGUCAGGGCUGAGUUCUUCACAUAUCCAUUCAUCUAAUAAGUUAAUGCUAUAAAAGUUAAUGAGAUCUAAAAUUUUCCUUGUUCAACUCAAAUCCACAUAAAAUACAAAUAUGAAAAAAAAACAUGAAUAUAAAUCAUAUACAUCAAUGAUAUUUUUUUGUUAAGCAAUACAAAUGUUAAUAAAAAAAAAUAAUUAUUAUUUUCAAUAUUAAAAAUUGAUAAAAUCAGGGAUUUAAAAUUUUUUCCUUGGACAGAGUCUCUCUACUAGAUAAUAGAAUUAUGUUUUAGUUUUGUCAAACUUUUAUCUGGGACAAAAUAAUCAAAGUAAAUUCAAAAUAUUUCGACAUGAAUUUGGACGAGAAAUCUAAAAUAACCAAAGAUUUUGAGUAAGAUGAGAUUUGUUUUAGUUUGAUUUAUAUUUUAAAAUGAUACAAGAUAUACCAUAUAUUCGGAAAGGAAAAGAUCUAGAUUGAUAACCUUGCUUUAUGUGUUAUUUAAUAUUCAAGAUUAUUUUUUUCUAAAAAAGAUAAAAAAAAUCCUUUUAGGUAUAUUCAUAAAAAUAAAUUCCUUUCUAUAUUAAUUUUGAUUUUAAACUUAAAAGAGAUCAAGUAAGAAAGUAGACCUUUUAUAUCAUUUAAUUUACCCUCGAGAUUCGAUAAAAAAACCUAUCAAGGACUUGAUCAACGAGAAAUUUAAUCAGGAUCGGUAAAAGUUGGCUCGGAAAUAUACAUACCAUGUAUUUACCUCGCCAAUAUAAUUACUAGUAGUUAAAAAAUCGAUCAUGUUAAGAAAAUAAAUACAUUGCUAACAGUCGGUUGCCUUCUUUUUCCCUAGUGGUAAUAAUAUAAAUUCUUGCAUAUAAGUAGUUUUAAGGUUAACAGAGUUCCAUGUCUGGUUUUCAGUUUUCGUGAAAGAGAUAAAAUAGAGACAGGGUAGGCAACUCCCUAGGCGAAGUCUCUACUCUGGUAAGGACCAAGUGACUUCAUUAGCGUGGAGCUAGGCAUGGUAAGCAUAGAGUAGCGGUAGCGGUACCAAAAAAAAAAACACCGGCACUUAAACAUACAGCAACGCAAUCGAUACAUUCUCGUAGAGCGUGUAUUGCACGCGCAUAUGUAACGUUGGCACGACAUUUUAAAACAUUCAAUCGGACCCGCAUAUCCAUACAGUUUCAUCGAACAGAUGACGUUUUGACUCUCGCUUGAAACUCUCUCCAUCCAACGUCUCAGAUCAACCAAAAUAUCUCUUUGACUCCCUUCAACUCAAUCAUAGCUCAUAUUGUCACACGUGUCCUUACACAACAAAUCACCUCCGAUGCACUCCUGCAAAAUGCUGUUCAAUUACGCGCCACCCUCGUUGAUAAAACCAGUACUCCAUUUCACUUCCUCCUUUGCCUUAUCUCCUCGUGCUGUUCCUCAUCCAGUCAAUAAAAUUCCCCUUUUCCACUCUCUCCGGAUCUUCCGUACUUUCGCUGCCAUGUCUGAAACUAACUCCGCCUCCGAUUCUACGCCGGAUCACAUAUCCGGAACGUGGUACUCGGUGCCGGGCCUCCGCCUUCGGGACCACCGAUUCACUGUCCCUCUCGAUUAUUCCAUCGAUCGCAAUGCUUCUCCUAAAAUCUCCGUUUUCGCUCGCGAAGUCGUUUCCGGUACCUAAAGACUAAUCUCAAUUAGAAUAAUUAUUAAAAUUAAACUUAUCGUAAUUAGAUUUAUUUGAGAUGUAUCUAUAAUUUAUACAAGUUUACAAAUCCUGAAGUGCUAAAGCACUGAAGUCAACUAAACCAUACACUACUUGUACUGGAUUGGAAAAUAUGAUCAUGUUGCUUGCAUUUUUUUCUGGAAGAAAACAAUAAUGAAAAUAUUUUGUUAAAAUGAAUGGUAUUGUCGUAGUUUGUAUGCUUAAAUUCAGUCUCACUUGCAUCUUUUUGUGGGAAAAUCUGGAUAUCCUUGCUGCCAGUUUCAAUUGCAAAAUUGAUCUUUGGAUCAGAUAUCCAGGUGUUCAAUAAUGGAAAUUCUUAUUGUUAGACGCGUGCAAGAAUACAUGAGACUAUUUAGAAACACUACAUCACUGCAAAUCUCCUGCCAUGACACCGUUUCUUGAUAGGCAAGCUGUGUGGUCUCUAGUUAUAGUAGAUAUUGUCCAUGCAAUUUUUGUUUUUUAUGUUCCGUGCAAUUCAUUAACUCAACAAAAAUUUGGUUGUUGAACUGCACGGGUUAAUAUGUAAUAAUCAUUUACGAUUUGCAUUUAUCUUAGAUUAGAUUAUCUACUUUUUUGUUUUCAUUUUAGUACAUGUACUAUUACUUUCACUUAUGCAUUCAGAAUGUUUGCUCUAGUUGGGAAAGAAGAACACCUACUGCCAUACCUAUUAUAUCUACAAGGGGGGCCGGGCUUUGAGUGCCCACGGCCAACUGAAGCCAGUGGAUGGAUACAUAAAGCUUGUGAAGAAUUUCGUGUUAUUUUGAUGGACCAGGCAUGAAUUCUUGGACAUUCCUGUACUUUUACUGCCGUUUCACUACCUGUAUUCAUCCUCUCAUACACGCUGCUGUGUAUUUUUCAUGCAGCGAGGAACAGGCUUAUCAGUUCCUUUGACACCAUCAUCCAUGUCGCAAUUGGAUUCUGCGGAGGAGGUUGCUGAAUACUUGAAAUACUUUAGAGCUGACAAUAUAGUGAAUGAUGCAGAGUUUAUCCGAGUUUGUCUUGUUCCUGAAGCUGGACCUUGGACGGUUUUGGGUCAGGUAUGAAGAUUAUUAAUCUUUAUUGGUUUCCCAUUUCUUGUUCUGUGGACUUGACCAUCUUUUGUUCUGGCUUUUUGUUUCACGAGAACACCCUGAUUUCAGUCUUUUUACUUUAAAGUUCCAUUUACCUUGUGGAAACUAAAGUGACUUGAAUUGCUGACUUCUUGUUCAUUUUUUGGUUUAGAGCUAUGGUGGUUUUUGUUCAGUAACCUAUUUGAGCUUUGCGCCACAAGGGUUAAAACAGGUCCUUCUAACUGGAGGAAUCCCUCCAAUAGGAAAUGGAUGCACUGCAGAUUCUGUCUAUAGAGCAUGCUACGCUCAGGUUAUUCACCAGAAUGAAAAGUACUACAAGAGGUUUCCUCAGGAUGUUGAAAUUGUUCAUGAAGUUGUGAAGUAUUUGGCAGAAUCUGAAGGAGGCGGGGUGAUGAUCUAGCACAUGCAAUUUUUAUACUUUGGUUCAUGAAAAGAAAAAAAAUGUUGAUCAUGCCGUGAUUCUUCCUCGUCUCUCUUUUCCUAUCUGUACAGGUGCUUCUUCCAUCAGGGGGGCUCUUAACCCCAAGAGGACUGCAAACUCUUGGUCUCUCUGGUUUAGGAUCCAGUUCAGGUUUCGAGCGUGUCUGCACUAUAUGUAAGGCAUAUAUAUAUUGAGAAGGAUGUGUAAACACUAUUUUAUCCCAAAUGAACUUGCAACUUUGUAUUCUUCAGGUUUCCCCUCCCGCUUUCUUCUACCUUUAUUUAUCAUAUUUCCUUGUUUGUCUCCACAACCUGCAGGUUUGAGAGGGUUUGGGAUCCUGUAAUAGUUCCAGGAUUUCGUAAGCAAAUAAGCUACCACUUCUUAAAUGCUGUGAGAACAUUGCUGAUCUUCUAUUGAUCACUAAUCCGUGGAUUUUUUUUAGAAUCAACCUAAGUUAUUUCUAUUUGCAGUUUGAGAAUUGGUUGGAUUUUGAUACAAACUCACUCUAUGCUCUCCUGCACGAGUCCAUCUAUUGUCAGGUAGAUUUUCCCAUUCCUCUUUUAGCAGUUUCUUUUUAUUGUAGGUAAAUUUUACUGUACUUUUGCAUGAUUAUAGUGGAACAGCCAUAAUGAUGGAACAAGCUGUGCAAUGUCAAAAGCGCAAAUCAGUUAAUGCUUCUUUGCUGGGUAGAUUUCCACUUUCAAAAGUGCACAAGAUGCACCCAUGCAUAGUUUGUUUAUUUAAGAUUUUCCAUCAAGUUUCUAAAUCCUCCUUUUCUUUUGGUUCAAGGGUGAUUCAUCGCGGUGGUCUGCUCAGAGAAUACGGACUGAGAAUGGCGGUAAAUUUGAUGCAAUCAGGGCUGUCAAAGAAGGUCGCCCUGUAUUCUUCACAGGGGAGGUGUGAAGAAAUUAUAAUAUUGUGCUUUAAAGAUAACAAACUUUUACAGUUUUUACAAUCGCUUAUUGAGCCUUUUUAGAAUAUUAAGUGCAUGAUCUUUUGGGGUAAGAUAAAUUCCCCCCCCCCCCCCCCCCAAUGAUAACCUCAUUUACAUAUUUGUAAGAGGCCAUGCUCGUUUCUUUUUUUUUGGUCCUGUCCCUUAGAAACAUAUAUUUGCAUUUGCAUGCCUUUUAUGAAUCAAAUGCUUGAUCUGUAUAAAAAUAUACUGUGAUUUCUUAGUUUACUGAUAUCGAAUAGAACCAGCAUCUUUUGCUGUUUUGCUUACAUUGUUUUAAGGAAUUCUUCUGCAGAUGGUGUUCCCAUGGAUGUUUGAAGAAGUUCAUCCCUUAAGGAAAUUUAAAGAUGCUGCUCAUUUAUUGGCUGAGAAGAAGGAUUGGCCACCCCUAUAUGACAUUGCAGUGCUGAAUAAUAACAAGGUGCCGGUUAAUCUUCCAUAUAAUUAUUGAUUCAUUAUAAGCCUGCAAUGCAUACACGUUAUACUGAGCUCAAAUGAGAAGAUUUCAAUCUUCGAGAUAUAGCUUUCGCUUUUAGUCUGUUUUUUUAAUAGAAAUUAGCUUCAGUUUUAUUGCUCGGAGGGGCUGCUAAUUUUUUAAAUGCUGGCAGGUACCUGUUGCAGCUGCUGUUUAUUAUGAAGAUAUGUAUGCUAAUUUCAAGUUGGCGAUGGAGACAGCUUCUCAGAUAGCUGGAAUUAGGCUAUGGAUAACCAACGAAUACAUGCAUUCUGGCCUGAGAGAUGGAGGAGGGCAGGUUCUUGAUCACUUGUUGGGAAUGUUAAAUGGAAGAAAGCCGUUGUUCUGAUAACCAUUGUAAUUCGUACUCACUUGUUUCUCUCUUAUUUGUACAUCUACUCCUCCUCUUUUUUUUUGAACUUGCAAUUUAGAAUUAGUAAUAAUGUGCUUUCAUUGAUGGCUCCAAAGCAGUCAUUUCCUGGAAAGUAUUGUAGAUUUUGAACAAGGCGUGUACGUAAUCAUGUAAAUUUUCUUUACAGGGAGAAAUUUGCCACUUCCAGUUUAUACUGACACCUGAGUGCUAGUUGUCUUUGUCCCGGCAAACAUGGAUCCGGUUAAGCAGGGAAGCACCUCUCGAGGAAGUUCUUCACGAUACCGUCGUACUUGGAUUUGAAUCACUGUUAAUGUUUGUAGUAGUCUAUUUUGAAUUCUUUUAAAUUUACUACAAUAGAUAGAAUUAGACGCCGUGGAUCCGUAUUAUUAUUAUUAUUAUUUAAAUGAUGAUUAGGUGUAAACUUACCAUAACGUCAUUAAGGUUAAAAGAUUAAGAAAACUUAAUAGAAACAAAAUUAUGAAAUUAAUUUUUAUUUAAAAAAAUAUUGAAAAAUAAAACUGAUAAAAAAUAAAUAAAUAAAAGAUAUUAAUUUGUUAACUUUUCAAAUAUAUGAUUCAAGUUAUUAGAUCAGAAACAUCAUACAUGAUAAAAUCAUGAAACUCAAUUCUCAACAAAUCAAACGGCUAAAUGAUAAAUCAUGAAGAAAAAAAAAGUAACCACAAAAAAGGAUUUAAAAUAAAAAAAAACAAUUAAAAGAAUAAAAUAAAAUAAAUAAAUAAAUUAGAAAGUAAUUAUAAAUUUUUAAUUGGAGGGUUAAACUGAAAAUUAAAAAUAACUUCAAUAAAAAGACCAAAAAAAUUAAAAAGAAUGAGGAUUAAAAUGGAAAAAACAAUAUACCAUAAAUUUGGAUUGAAUAAUGAAAUUGAAAAUUAAUUAAACUUUUACAAAAUGAUCAAGGAAAAAAAUAUAAACUAAAAGAAUAAGGACUAAAUUGAAAAACAAUAAUAUAUGAUAAAUUGAGAAUAAAGGAUGAAAAUGAAAACAAAUUAAUAAGACUUUUACAAAAUGGCUGAAGUUAAAAUAUCAACAUCGAAGAGGACCAACUUGUAAUUUUCAAUAGAGGAGAGAAAAGAAGAAAAAAAAAAGCUUUAUUGUCGAUAAAACUGCCCCACCACUGCUAACACGUGCAACACCAACAGAAAAAGGAUGCAGCGAAGCUUCCAACAACACGGUGAAAUGAUAUUUUUUGCCACUGGGAGAUGCCACAACUUUUUAAAUUAAAAUAUUAAGUAAUCCCUAUUAAAAAAUUAAAUUUCCCUUGAUGAACUUGAUAAUAAUAAUUAAAAAAAAACUAGAGUGAAAAGACCAAAAAGCUCUUGAAUACAAGAUUUAAUUUUGUUGACUUGAAAAGUAAACUUGUCAUUUUAUUAUAUUUUAAAAAAUAAAAAGAUAUAUAUACUCUCGUGUGCUAGUUUUAAAAGCUUUGAAUGUGAGGGUAAUUAGAUCAUUUUAAUAUAUUUAAAAAAAAUAAAAGAAACUCUUAUAUCUUUGGUCAAUCCUUUAAUAACUAAGAAGUCUUGUGAAAAGAACGAAAUACCUCAACACCAAGUCUUUUAAAUUUACCUUAUGUUAUAGUAUUUUUGUUAUAUAGUAUUGUGGUUUUAAAAUCCUAUAAAAAUAGCAAAAGAAUUACAUUCUCAAAUGGUUGAUAACCUAGAAGUACGAUUUUCACGUGGAAGAAAAAUAAACAAAACUCUUGGGUUCACCAACCUAUAUAUGGAGUGUGGAAUGAUUUGUAAGUUUUAUUCAUUAAUUAUUGUUUUUAUAUAUAUUAUGUAUAUUGUUUAGCUCAUUAAUUAUAAUUGAUUCUUAUUGUUGCAAUUUAGAAUUUUAUUUUUUAUUGUCAACAUUAUUAUUAUUUCUUGCAAGCGUAAUAAUGAAUUGUAGGCUUUCCAAACAGCUUCCAUUUAAUAUUUAAUUACUAUUGAUGAGAUUGAAACGAGUAAAGAAGCUAACUAAGUUAGUGGUUUGCAACGACUUGAAAAUAAUAGGAGUUCACUUUAAAUUAAUUUGCAGUUUAAUAAAAAUAUAUGAGCAACUUAUUUGGUUCUUAAGAACAUUAUUUCAGAUGGAUCUAACUAUUCUCAAUAUAGUGAUGCAAUCAAGUUGCUAAUGUCAUUUAAUUUUUCAAUCAUCUUACAUAUAGUGAAGAAUGUUAUGAGAAUUACCGAUGUGUUUUAACAAGACUUUGUAAAAACAAUUCGGUAAUAGAUGAGUAUUACUAUCGAGUUUAUAUAUUUACAGCUACCAUUGAUCAAUAAUUGCAGAACAAAAUAAUAGAUUCGGUGAGCACAUAACCAAACUUUUUAUGUUGAACGUCACUUUGAAUCCUAAAAAUACCUACAAAUUAUUUAGUGUUGAAGAUAUAUGCAUGUUUAUUGAUAAGUUAUAUCUCAAAGAUUUUUCUAGCCAAGAAAAUAUUCCUUCUAGUUGCAGUAUUAUAAGCUUUAUACACCUAAUCAUCCGGUGUUAAGGAAUUUGUCAUCGAUUGUUGAUUGGUUGAAAAGUUUCAUUGGCACGUUACUUGUAUGUUGACAAUAGGUAUAAUCUUUAAGGUACUUUUGCUUCUAAAAUGUUUUGUUUUGUUCAUAGGCAUGCUUGUCCUUCUUCAAAUACUUGAUGUUGUUGGUGUACAAAAGCAUGCAUGUCUUGCUCAGAGUUUUGGGAAAAAGGUAGGCUUGUUUUUUCACGGUCUAUAUCCUCUGCUUGGGUUGCACCAAUGAUUCUGGCGUAAGGUUUUUAUGUUCUUAUACUCUUAACAUGACACAGAAAAUUGCCAGUUUCAGCUUGAAUAUUGGCAUUGAUACAGCAGACUAGCUCAUUUGAAUACCCUUCUGUGGAACUAAAAGAAAUUCCUAGCGUUUUAGAUGGCUCCGGUGUUCUAAGUUUUUGGUGUUUUUUCUUGGAUUUUAAAUGCCAUCUAUUCUCAGCAUGGAUACUGCCCUGCUAUUCUGCAACAAGAGCUCUUUAUGUAUCAUGUGUUGGUCCACUUUUCGAGAGUGAUUUUCUCUUUAUGAAGAACACACACUUAACUCUUGAAUGGAUAUGUAUUGGUUUUACCAGUCAAUAAGAUAGUUGGCGAGUCCUUGCUAGGUGAACUAAUCAGGACUAAUUACAAGUGUUUUCUUUUAUACAGGACUAAUUAAGAAUGUUAAGCAUGUAGGCUUCGGGAGUCAAAUAUAUUUAUUUGUUGAAUGGGCUGAGCCACAGCAAAUGGGUUGUAUACUUUGCAUAUCAUCAUAUAACAAUGAGUCACGGCAAGAGGGACCUCGGAUAUGCAAAAUUCCUGAGGUUACCUCCCACAGUCCAUCUGACGAAACCAGAAAAGAGACCUCCAAAUUCUUCCUUCUUAAUUAUUCUAGAGAAACUUCAGAGUUAAACAAAGAAUAGUCUCCCAUCCAUUAUAAAAUAACCUGAUGUUUGAUUUUUAUUAAGGGCUAAACACCCACUAGGCAAGUCUUAAUAUAAUCCAACUGGGGCAAUCAAAUAGGCCCUGUUGUUUUAUCUUGUCUACUAGCAAAAGCUGAAAUGGAAUAUAUAUAUAUAUAUAUUUCUGUUCGCGGCACUAAGAAAUUGCAGGUGCAAACCAGUACCAAUUCAAAAAAUGCGUUGAAGAUUGGUUGGUAAGCAGUGCCGUAUCCAUUAACUUGGAGGGAAAUUUCAACAUGUGUCUCAAAUGAGGUAUUUUGAUUUGGUUAAUGAUACAUAGGUACGUAGCAGUCCAUGUAUAUAUAUCAUGCAUGCUAGCUAUAUUGCUUUGGAGAUAACGAUAUGCAUAAGUUGGGCACGUCUCCCCUUUUACUUGAGGGCAGUUGAACAGAAGUAGGUGAGCUGCAGUUGGCUUUACCCAUGGCUACAAGAGAUGGAAUUGAGACUGAGACGGACUCUCCUUUCAAAACCUAGCAAACCAUCUUCAUCUCUCUAUUUGUAGGUCUGUCCAACCUCUUCUCACCUUCCCAGGUUUCCACUACCUUUAUCUUGACCCCUUAUAUAUAUUCAAUCUUACGUACAUCCUCAGUUCUUCUCUAAUCAUUAUCUCUGUAGCCCCACAAUGGAAGGCCAAGAAGCCCCACCACCACCACCACCAUCACUACCACAAUUUCCAUCCCAAAACCCUCCCUAUCUCUUCACGCCCUCACUGCUCCUAUCCUCCUCAUUGCACCCUUCUGUAAUUGAGCCUCAAAGCCUUCCAGAUAUUGAUUGGGUUGGCCUUCUCUCUGGCCAAUCCGGGCUCGGCGAGAAUAGGCCUUUCAUGGACAGUGCUUCUAUGGUAGCUGAAAAUGGAGCUGAGGAAGAAAAGGAUAAGAAGAAAGGUGGAAGAAUGAAAAAGACAACCCGGCCAAGAUUUGCUUUUCAAACUAGAAGUGCAGACGAUGUUCUUGAUGAUGGAUAUCGGUGGAGGAAAUAUGGGCAAAAGGCAGUGAAGAACAGCAAAUACCCCAGGUUUGCUUGUAAUUAACUUAAUUAAACUUCUAAUAAUCAUUCUAAAACAACAAAAAAAAAAACAAAAAAUCCUUGCAUCAUCUAACGUUGCAUGGUGUGCAUUUUUAGAUGUUAUACGUAUACCCAAUUACAAAUUAGUCCGAAACUCCGAAUUUAUAUUUUUGAUGAGCGAUGUCAUUGGAAUUUCAUCUUUCUUUUCUUUCCUUCUUUUUUUUUAAAAAAAAAAUAUAAAAAUAAAUAAGAGUUGAUAGUUUGUUGAUUGCCUAAUUAAUAGUCGUAGGCGACUAGAGCCUAGACAUCCUUCUCUUUUUUCAGCUAGUUAAAACUAUAUGCAUCCUUCUCGAGAAUUCACCUGUAAUCAACACGAUUAAAUAAUUAAAAUCAUAUAUAAAUUACUGUAUUUAUAUUUAAUGUAUCUAUAUAUGUAGAUUUAUAAGGGGUUUCUUUUCUUAUGUUUUGCCAUAAAAAUCUAGCUAAGGGUUAGGAAUAUUCGGAAAGAAAAGCAACCACGAUCGGCAGCGAGAAGGAUCUGUAACAUCAUAUAUAAAUUACUGUAUUUAAUAUUGUCGCGAAUUGUGAAUCACAUGAUAUAUAUCUGUGAAUUACUAUAUAUGUUUUAUUGUUCAUUUUUCCAAUAACAUCAUAUAGCUAUACGCAUGCGCAUCCUAUUGCUUUUCGGAUCUUUAUCUUUCCAUGCACGAUAUUUUGAUUAAUUUCUUUGUAGGAGGAUUUAAUUAUGAGCUACAAACUUCGAUGAGAAGAACAGAGAUUUAAAUGUGGACAGUAAUAUUUUAGUUAAUUGAUACUAUUACUCUCAAGAUUAUAACAGAUGAACAUUAGAUUUAUAAUUGAAGCAAAGAAACAAAAAAAAAAGUAUUUUGCUUAAUUAAUUAAUGAGACUACUGCAACCUAUAUAUAUUUACAACUAUAUAUAUAUUUCUUUGAAAUAUAAAAAUCCAAACGAGUCACUCCGUGUGCUUUUAUCUGUUUAGUAAUUAGUUGUUUUGGUAAUUGAGGAGGUGCAUAUACUCCUUCUUUGAAGUUCUAUAUAAGUUUGAAUCUCGGGACCCAUAUCCAGGAGAAUUUAAUAAAUUCUACAAAAAAAAAAAAAAAACAUUGUUUGAUAUGGGGAUACAUCCUUAAAAUCAUUCAAUUUUUUUUUAAAAUUCGACUAACGUAUAACUAUUUGAAAAUAUCAACCAUUUAUCUCGAAUUGAAAAAAAAAUUAUACCAUGGCGAAGUCAUGUGGACCAAAAUAUUUUGAAUGAUUAAUGCGUGAAUAUUCCCAUUAUUACUAUAUAUUGAAUGUAUAUUACAAUUAUUAUAGAUUUAUUUAAUGUAGCAAGUGGUUUUAUCUUAUGGUCUUGCACUAUUCAUUUUACAAAUCUUGGGCAUAAUGUAGAGUGCAUAAUUAAUUUUUGUCCCUCCUUCAACUAUUAUUUUUUUGCGAAAUAAUUCUUACCCCGGCACUUUGAUUUCAUUUUGCGCAAAGGAGUUACUAUCGGUGUACACAUCAUACAUGCAACGUGAAGAAACAAGUGCAAAGGUUAUCCAAGGACACGAGCAUAGUCGUCACGACUUAUGAAGGAAUUCAUAAUCAUCCAUGUGAGAAAAUGAUGGAAACCCUAACUCCUCUUCUCAAGCAGAUGCAGUUCCUUGCUAGGUUUUAACUUCUUCAGCUUUUCUACACUUUCAAGAACAAAUCAAGCAGACCUCCUGUUCUUGACCAUCUUAUAUAUAGUAGUAUACUUGUUGUACUUAUGCAUGUUUUCGAGGUUGACUUUGUGUGAAUAGACCAAAAUCAGUGUUUAUAUCUAAUGUAAAACUAAUAAACUAUAUUGUGUGUUAAUUUCUUUUUUCAUUUUAAUUUUAUAAUUAGAUCAAGUUAGUUACCGAGCAAGUUUUUAUACAUCAAGUUUAAGUCUACUUUUCUGUAUAUUUAUAUAUAUAUAAUAAACGCUAUUCUUAUCAAAAUAAAACAUUUAUAAAAGUUUUGGUUCAUUUAAGAUGUAGAUAAUUAAAAAGAAAUCGAGUAUAUUUUCUUAACGUAAAAUAAGCUCGAUAAUAUUAAGAUGUGUUAAAGAACUAAUUCAACACAAUAAUUUAAGCUGUUAGGUAAAGUUUCCAGAUAUGAUUUAUAUUAUUCUUUAAUAAGAUGUAACUCAACUCUAUGGCAUCGAUGCUUUUAUUUUCUCAAAAGAUCUGAAGUCUGAAUUUAUUCUUUAUGUGUGUAUAUAAAUUAAGCUUUAUAAGCUUUGAGGUAUUUGAAAUUGUGAUGUAUGAUAUUUUUAAAAUCUAAAGGGGUGAAAAAAACACUUUAGCAAUCCAAUAUAAAAUUAUAUUUUUGCUUUUUUAAAAACAAACUAAAUAGAUAUAGCUAUUAAAUGUAAUAUAGUCUUUUCACGGGGUCCAUAAGUUAUUACCAUAUUUAUAAGGGAUGCAUCGAUCUUUUUGCAUUUUUUAUGCACAAUAAAAUGACUAGAUUGUCUUUGAAAUAAAAAAAAAUUAAAACUAAUGUCCGAGGGUGUUUUUGCAUUUUUAGUUUUAUGCAUACUAAAAUGACUAAAUUGCCUUUAAAAAGUAAAAUUUUAUUCACUUAUGGUCAAGGGUGUUUUGAUAUUUUCACUAUUUGUUUUUACUUCAAACUUGUUCUCAUUUUUUUAUUGCUAUUUGUUUUGUUUGAAAUAAUUUCUGUAAUUGAUUUUUUACGUUCAUCUUCCAAUUUUUUUCCUAUCAAAUUUUUUUCCUUAUUUUUUUAUUUUUUUUUUACUUUGAAAAUUUUUUUAAGUUGAUAUUUUUUUUCUGGUUUUAUCCUCCAACAUUUAAUUGGUUGAGAUUUGAUCUUUUUGAUUAAGCUAAAAAAUUUAUUUGAUCCACGGUGAAGUAUAGGUAAAAUUUGUUAGUAUAUGCUAAAUAAUUUGGAUGAUUAACAUUGAUACUAUUUUUUUUUCUAUAGAAACAUAAUCAAUACUAGCUUUUAACAACACUUAGAUGUACCAAAAAGGAACGGAUAGAGAGACUCAUUCAUUUGAAUAAGGUUAUAUAAACAAACAAGAAAAAUGACAUAAAAAAUCAUUCGGUACGAUAAGUGACAGUACCAUAUGAUAUCCUUCCUCGUCUGUCAAAUAAGUUUUUAAGGUAAGCCGGUGAGCUUCCACUUCUAUAAUCUGUACUGCCCUUUCUUGUUGUAAGCCGGUGAGCUUCCACUUCUGUACUGACCUUUCUUUUUCAUCAUUACCCAACACAUGUAAAAAAUCAUGUGAUACUUUCUUACCUUAACACGCUUCAUCAUUUAUUCUGUCCGUAUAGACCUUGAAUAAUAUAAUUAGGACCUUAGAUUGGACCGACCAAGUCACCUAGAGUUGCACCCACAUAUUGUAAGAACUUGGAAGCCUUUGAAAUCGCCGGAAGAAUAGCAAAAAGGGAGGUUUACUUUCAGUUUCUAAAAGGAUCGAGUUAUUAAUUAACCAUCGUUGAUUCAUUUACAAGUAAACCGGAGAGCUUCCUCUUUCUUUCUCCUUGCCGAAAUCGAGAGGUGUUGCAACAUUUACUAAAGAAGGCUCGUUAUGCUUUCCUUAAAGUUUCUUCACGUUAGCUAGCGUUGCCUAUUCUUUUCAGUUUUUUUUUCUUUUUUUUUUUUGAAAAAAUCGAAGCAUGGUGAAGGCUUUUAGUUAUGGCUCAAAGAUUCUAAUUAGGACAUAUGAUGCCGUCACUUGAUUUGGAAUGGAAUCACGCAUUACCUUUUAGAACACAACGGACGUGAUACUGGUUAUAUGUUACGGUGUCGUUCUCAGAAAAUGUUUGGAAUGUGGUUGAUAGUGUUUUUUUAAAUUUUAAAAUUAAAUUUUUUUAAAAUUAAAUUUUUUAUAUUUUAUAUCGUUUUAAUGACUAAUAUUAAAAAUAAUUUUUAAAAAAUAAAUAAAUAUAUUAUUUUAAUACAUUUAAAAAAAAACACUUUAAAUUAUAAUCACUAUUUAAAAAAAAAUUAUAAUAUUGUCCGAGUUUGGAAUUCAAACGGGUUGAGUAAUAAAUUUUUUCUGCUUUGAAAAGUAUCUCUAACUAAAACCUCCCACGUUAUUUUUAGAAUAAUUAAUUACUAGACAAUGCAUCCCCCCACUAAGUUUAGAAUUCCAAGUUAAUUUUGAACAUAUAUAUAUAUAUAUAUAUAUAUAUAUAUAUAUAUAUAUAUAUAAUUGUAUUUUUUGAUAUCAUGAAAUUUGUUUAUUGAAAAAUGAAAAAAAAUAAUAUUUGUAUUUUAUACAAUAAAUUAAGAUGUAUUAAUUAUUAAACCCAAAAAUAUAUAUGAAUGCUAAUUAAACACUAAAGUUGAAAGUUAACUUUUCAAGCAAUAGAUACAAAUAUAAAUAUUUUAAUUCUGUAAUUCUUUUCAUUUUAUAUAAUACCUUGAAAGUUUACUAUCGUUGCUAGGUAUAUUAUUAUUGUUCUUAUAAAUAUAUAAUAUUUAUAUAACUAAUAUAUCUUAAAUUUAACAUGAAAAAUAAAUAAAUUACAAUAAUCAAUUGAAAGUAUAAUCCAAAAUACUUAUUACGAUUUAAAAAUAUAUAAACCACACAAUUUAAAAAAUGAGAAAUGAUAUUUAUUAUUAUUUAAAUAAGAGAGUGGAUAUUAAUUAAAAAUCAAUUUAAAAAAUAAUAAAAAUUUAAAAAAAAAAAAAAAAGGUGGGAGAGCAAGGGAUGCCUGGAAGGCUAGGCUCAUGCACAUGAUUCUCUCUUUGUUUUGUAUUUUUUAUUGAAUGGGCAAAAGACACAUGGUCGCCUAUUGUGUUUUUUUUUUUAUUGCAAUUGAUCGGACAACACUACAUUUGCCAAUGUCGAUAUUGUGUCAUCCAUGCAUUGUCAUCCUUUUCCGUCACCAGAAGUGGGUUACAAGUUUUUUGACCUUAAAAAAUCAAUUUUUAAAUUAUUGUUCACCAAAAAAACACUCUAAAAUUUCUUGAACUUCAAUAAAUCAAUUUCAAAUCUUAAAACACUCUUUAAUCACUUUAAAAGCAAGAAAAAUAUUAGAAUAAAAAAAAAUUAGAGGCCCUAGUCUAUUUUUUUUUCAACAUUUUCGUCAUCUUUAUUAAAUUUCAUUUUUCAAGAUGAAUCUAUUAACAUAAAUAUUGAUUUUUUUUUUGUAGUUAGAAUUUGGAUGAAUAAAUCUUUUUUCCUUGUUGUUCUCAAUGGCUUUCUCUCUCAUUUCUCAACUACAAGUAACUAAAAUAUAAAUAAAAUAAAAUUUAGAAUUGAAAAGUAUAAUCAUAAGAGAAUAUAGACCAAAUUUGCAAUAAAAAAAAUAAAUGGACCAAACUGUAAUUUUUUUGCUUCUUCUAAAUUGUAUAGAUGAAAAGGGGCUCUAUUUAAUUUUAUUUAUGUUAAUUUUGAUCUUUAUUUUUCUUAAUAUUUUUAACAAUAACCUAGAAUUUUAUUUGGUAAAACUAAUUUUUCAUUUAACAUCGAUAUUUUAUGUGACAUCUCGCAUAUUAGAGAGUACGUAAUUUGAAACAAAUUUCAAAAUAUAAAACUAUAUAUGACAAAAUAAUUUUUGAAGGCCAAAUUAAGAUAAAAUAAAGUUCAAUGACUAAAAGGGAAGGAACCAAAAAAUUGAGGGACAAAGAAAAGGAAAAAAUUACACAAUAAUAAGUGAUAUAAAUAAUAAAAUGAGAGGGGAUGAACAAUGCACUACGUCCGACUUGUUUGUUUUGAUAUAUUAAGUGAUAAGCCUAUUGAAUAUAAUAUGGCAUUGCUUAAUGCAUAAAAAAUGUCUACAUGUAACAUAUUUAUUUGUUCCAUAUUUGAGGGGGCCGUUCAACGCAUCUUGUAUAUAUAUCCAUACAUGGGAUGAAUAAGCUAUAUUUUAAUAGCAUUAAUUUAGUUACUGUUUUAAAAUAAAAAAUUGAGAAUAGUUGAAAUUAAUAUAUAGAAAUAAUAUUUUAUAUUUGUCAAUAUAUUUAGAGAUUAUCGGGAAAACAAAUGUAUUUCUAUAUAUAUUAUUUUUUUCAUUCCUAAUUAAACAUAUUUCUACCCAUUCUAUAUUUAUCCUUUCUCUGCCUGUGACGAUGUCCAAACGACAUGAUUCACAUGCACAUCCUGCAAAUUCUCUGCAUUAAAGUUAUGGCCAUUCUUAAUUGAGAUCCAAACAAAAUGCUGAGCGAACCCUCAAUUUAGUCCCUAAAAUAUACCCAUUCUUAAUUGAGAUCCAAACAACACCUUGGAUUAGUUAGGUCAUUUUCUUAGGGCUUAGUAAUAUUUUUAUAAAAGGUGUCUUAAAAAGAAGAGUUCUGAUAUAAAAUUAGUGAGAAUACACGGAAUGACCCAAUCGGGAAUUUUAAAAGGGUCUUGGAUGUGAUUGAUGAAUUGUUUUGUUUUAGAACUCAAAUGAUUAUUUAAGUAAUAUGUCAAAGGCUAAUUCGAGGCUUCUCCUAAAAUCCUCGUAUAAGGAAAAGGCAAGCACAGAUCUGGACACACGGGGAUACCCACUAGCUACACACGUGGCCUCACCCAUGUCGCCGACGAGACACGCAGCAACCACGUCGAGAUAAGCAUUUCCUACUAUAUAAACGCAAGAGAGAAGCAAGGGAAGGGAAAAUCAUCAUUUCAUACGAAAACGAGGAAAUAAACAAAAGCUCUUAACUAAUCAAUCGUAUUCUCAGUUUUCUUGCAAUCACAAAAAUGUCGGAGUUGCUAUGCAAGGCCAAGCAGUUUUUGGUAGAGAAGGUGGCUAAUGUCAAGACCCCGGAGGCUACCGUCACCGACGUGGAUCUUGAAGGCGUGCACCGUGACAGCAUAGACUACGGUGCAAAGGUGUCUGUCGAUAACCCUUAUGAAGCUGCGAUCCCUAUUUGCGAGAUUUCUUACGUUCUCAAAAGUGAUGGCAGGUCCGUAAUUUCAAAUGUUUCGUUGCAUGGUCCCAACAGAUUUAUCCUUUCAUUGAAAAAGUACUGUAAUUUAGUUUUGUUUUUCAACUGACAGUUUAAGCUUCUGCGUAAUUCUUGAUAUAUUUUUUUCAUCUUGGAUUACUUUUUAUCUAAAAUGAGUGCAAUAUUGUUCAAAGAUCGAUCAUGUGAGAGAUCUGUACAAAACUAUUGGAUUGCGUAAUUUGUUGAAUAUCGGGUUGAGAUUAAUUACUCAUUGCCAAAUGUUCAGUGUCGUUAAUAUAUUAACUCAAGAAGAUGCAUGAUGAUGCGGAAUAGCUCUUAAUCAUUGAAAUUACUUACAUUUUUCAAAAGGAAGUGCGAUUCUUAUAUAUAUAUAAAAAAAAAAAAAGGCAAGAAAGAAAGAAAGGCAAGGGAGACAUGAUUUCUAUCUUCUUACAAUGCAUGGAAGGGCAUCUAAUUUUAAAUACAUGGGUAAAUCUCGAAAAAUCCUUUGAUUAUGAAGAAUUCCCCUACUGGAUGAUAUUCCCAAGAAAAUUGAGUGGCUUUUAAAUUGAUGUAUAAUUUUCUUGUGUGAAUGGUUAUUUAUCUAAUAAAAAUGUGUUUGAGAAUGUGUUACGUAAUAGUUAUGAUUUAAAGUAUUUUUUAUUUAAAAAUAUAUUAAAUAAUAUUUUUUUAUUUUUUAAAAAUUAUUUUUAAUAUUAAUACAUCAGAACAAUCUAAAAAUAUAGAAAAAAAAUUAUUUUUUUUAUGAAAUAUAAUUUUAACCACGUUACUGAACACAUCCUAAAUUAUCGUACUGCAUGUAUGAAAAAUUUAUAAAUGUGGAUUUUUAUUUUAUUUUUACAUGAUUUGUCCAUUUGAAUGUUUGGAUCAGGGUGAUCGCAUCAGGGACAAUACCAGACCCUGGCUCGCUGAAAGCUAAAGACACAACAAUCUUAGAUGUGCCAGUGAAGGUGCCACACAGUGUACUGGUGAGCUUGGUGAAGGACAUUGGUAGAGACUGGGACAUAGACUACGAGUUGGAAAUAGGUCUCACAAUUGACCUCCCUAUCGUCGGCAAUUUCACCAUUCCUCUCUCCUGGAAGGGUGAAGUCAAGCUGCCUACCCUCUCCGAUCUGUUCUAAUUCUCUCCUUUAUGUUGGGUCUCGAUCUGUUUUACGACUAUAUAUGCUAAAACAAAAAUAAAAGGAAAUGUGUUUUAAUUUGUUUCGUUCAGGUCCAUGAUUUUUCUUUCCGUGCUAACUGUUAGAAAUUAUUUACUUUCAACUCAUCUCUUGAGAUUCGAAUAUCAUCGACCAUAACAUAAGAAGCCGACUCAAUUGAAGUGGAUAUCGAGUCCGUUUGUUAACAAGGUUUUGUUUGUGUUUUAUUUAAAACGGAGAUGCAAUCUGUUUGGUUAAUAAUAAAACACAGUUUGUUGUCUGUGGAUCUCACAUAAAUUUACGUUCGAAACGCAAGAAAAAAAAACAGCAAAAUGUUGCUUCUUGUACACUGUUCAUGCUAAUUAAUUAGCAUGAACAGUGUAGCAUACUCUAUUCACGCAGUGUAGCCUAGCUACAUUGUUUCGGUCCGAUCGGUUCCGGUUCAAAACUUUAAAUGCAUUGAACCAGGUCCGACCCAGUAAAAUAAAAAAUAAAAAUUAUUUUUUAUUUUUUAAUUGUGUUUUAUUUAAAAAACUAGUAUUUAACAUUAUUCAAUGACCCAUUGUCAGAUGCAUUUCAUACGUGAUGGAAUUGUAGAUAGUUUAAUGGAACAAUAAAAAAUAUUUUAUAUAAAAUAUUAUUUAUUUCAUGAUGUAAUAAUAAUAUUUAAAUUAAAAACCAUCAAUAUUAAUAUAUAUUUUUUAAAAUUAUUUUAUAACCUCAAUUUCAAAAGCAUUAUUAACCAAACACAUUAAACUACUUUUUGUUCAAAUUCAAUUUCAACCACAGUUUUAACCAAAACACCUAUUUUUUCAAACCAACCUCAACUAAAAGUACUUUUUAUAAAACAACUUUUUUCAAACCACAACCACAACAGCUACCGCAAUACCAAACACAUUCGAAGACGAAAAUGCGUUCGAAGUUGUGGAUGCCUCUCGACCGUAUUUGUCACAAUUAUCGUCUUCACUGUUUUCCGUGUCGAGGAGUCGAGAACCUACGCUAUCAUCUAAUAUAACUGAUUAUAACUAUCUAGUAGGUAUCAGUGAUAAGAGAUUGAAAUUAAGAGACUUGUUUUUUUUUAUUUCAAAUUCAAACCCUAUAGUUACCAAUAUAAUGGUCACUAGAGGCUUAUAUGGUCGUUAAUUUUAGAACCCAUGAGAUUAGUUGAAGUGCGUACAUGCUGGCUCAGACAUCCACGUUAAUAAAUAUAUAUAUAUAUAUAUAUAUAUAUAUAUAUAUAUAUAUAUAUAUAUAUAUAUAUAUAUAUAUAUAUAUAUAUAUAUCUGACUUAGAUACUAAACUAGAGCAAGUCAACGGUACCAAUCCUAAGCCAGGCCGGGUCCCUGAUUGCUGAUUUGCCAGUUAAAACUUAAAAGUCCCUGAGCAGCAUAAAUCAAGUAUAGUAACAGUACUAGAUAUAUUGUCCGGCAACACUAUCAACUAUUUUUAUUUAAAAUAUACUUGUUUUUGUUUUUUUAAAUAUUCAAAUAACAAUAUCAACUAAAUAACCUAGGAAAUUGAAUUUGUUUUGUGAAGAUUUAAUCCGGGAUGUUUUUUAAACACUUAGAGAAACCCUUGCAAAGUUAAAACAAUCAAAUCACUAACCUUAACCUUUAAUUAACUAAAUUUAUAAGGGAUGAAUUGAGAAAAAAAAACAGUUACCGGAAAAAAAAGACUGAAAAAAAGAAAAAAUAAAGUUAAUCACUAUUUCCAUCCAGAGUGUUUGAAGAAACAAUGCACAGUGAAAAUGGCAUGGGAAUCAUUUUUUUUUUUUUUUUUUUGCAAUUGCAAUUGUAGUCUCCACGACCCUCUACUAUGUGUCCCAAUGGUUGUUGAACUAGAAAUGGACCUGGCUAUGCUAGCCAGGGCCCAACGAACCAUGCGGUUGAAUGAUACUGUGGAUAUCAUCUCAGAAGAUCUCUUCAUAGUGAUCAAUCAGUGUUGUAUGCCUAUUGUGACACCGGAAGCGAGCGCGAAUGGGAUUCAAACUGCAUCAGAAUUUAGAAACUGGGUGGUUACUUUUUCUUUCUUUUGGUGAAAUUGGUUGUUUACUUUAAUUUUAGCCAUGAUCAUUAGCCCAUGGUCUAUGAGAACUUCCUCUCGAUAACUUGCCAUGCAGAGGAGUAUUUAAGAAGUACUUUUAAGCCCAGCAAUACGCUCGCCAGGCUAAAAUGGGUCCAUAAUUGACCUAUUAAAAAAAAAGAUUGCAAAUGCUCAGCCCAAACACUUACACCAAGAGUAAAAUUAUUACGGAUUACAAUAGUAUAAUAUUUUCAUAACUCCAAAUUAUUAUGUAAACAUCCCUUAUUGGCUACGCCCUUUCAACCUAUAGCCAUAUGGGCGAACGCGAGCAGGUAAGGCCACUAGCCCCGGCUGCGGACCGCCAGAGCAGCGACGAAGAAGGAGCUUCUCGACACCAUAAGAAACGAAGUAGAAAAUGCUGUGUAUUCAUCGCGGCCAUAUUUGUUAUACUAGUCGUAGCGAUCGUUGUUAUGCGUUUCACUGCCUUUCGUGUCAACGACCCGAUCAUCAAAAUGAACGGUGUUACGGUCACUCAGCUAGAGCUAACCAGUGGCACAAUUCCUAAGCCAGGUUUGAACAUGUCCCUAAUUGCAGAAUAUGUAUCAGUAUAAAAAAUCCCAACCUAGCAUCAUUCAAGUACAGUAACACUACCACAACUCUAUUACCAUGGCCAGAUGGUUGGUGAGGCUAGAAACGGACCGGACCAUGCCAGGGCCCGACGGACCAUGAGAAUGAAUGUUACCGUGGACAUCAUCCCAGACAGGAUCAUUUGAGACCCAAAUUUGAAUGCUGAUUUUAUCUCUGGGCUAUUGUCCAUGACCACCUACACAAGAGUUCCAGGAAGGAUGAAAAUAGUGACUGCCAAGAGGAAUAUUGUUGUGAAGAAUGAUUGCUUCUUUCUUUAUACAUAGCGUAGAUGUUUGAUUGUAGGAGACAUAGUGGAUUGUGAUCCAUCCAUAUUUAUCUUCCUAUAUGUGAAAUAUGAUCUCAAUUUUUUUUUUGUUCGUUUCCUUUUCUCCAACCUGUGAUUCAAUCGAUUGGAAUUGAAGUGAUUUUUGAGCUCUUUGAUAUUGAACUGUCUACUCCCGGGGUGAAACUUACAACUAAUAAACAUGGAAUUUUUAAAAAAAUUGCUUCAGUUUAAUCGCGUUAGUUAGUUCCUUAAUGAUGCCGGUUCUUAAGAAAUGAGAAAUGGAAGUGUUGUUGUUUUUCGAGUAAAUUAUAAUUUAGUCUUUAUAUUUUUCUUUUUAAUUUUGUAUGCUAGGUCUCAUGAUUAGAAACAAAGGAUACCUAGAAGAAAAAAAACAAUUACAUUGCCAAGAAAAAACAAUAAAAAAAACUAGAUUCCAAAUAAAUAUGAAAAUAUAAGAAUUGGGAUUGAUUUUUUAAAAAAAUCAAAGGAAUUAAGUAUUAUUUCAUUAAAAAUAUAGAUCAAAUUAAUAAUAACUUACUCUAUUUUUCUUACCAGAGUUAUAAAAUAAUUUCUUGAUUUCGUUGACUUGGCUACUCAAAUAGUGGCAAGGUGUUGUUCUUCUUUCCUUUUGUUUUCGUGGGAAGAACAAGCCAGGCACAUGACCUGUGUUAGGACAAUUUUUCGUGGAGGUAAUUUGAAAGAGCGCAAGAGGCACCGGAAAAUUCCAAUCACUAUAUAAACUAAGUUAAUAAUCCAUUUACCUUAUUGGACAACAGAGCUGCAAAAGCAGUGGCGAGACCUCUUGCCAUUAAUCCAUGUUACUCAUUUUGUUCUUGAAAGAGGGCAAAGGGCGCUAAAAAUGUUAAUUGAAUAUGUUACUCUUUUUAAUUGUUUUUAUGCGUUUUGGAUACUGAGCUAACUCAAGGACCAGCUUGAAAAAAAAAAUUAUAUAAUGGAACAAAAUGCAAAAUUAUUUUGGUUAUUGGAGACUGACAGGUCCAAUUUAUUAACAGACCAUGACAAAUUAUAGACAAGUUGGGGGGUCUAUAGUUAGUGUGAACGCUUGAAUGCUAGUUUAAGCAUGCAAAGUUUGAAAACAAUACGCUGCAAGGAACGUGGAAGCAAUAAUUUUGCAAUAUAAAAAGAAUUAUAUUAAUUUAAUUCAAUAACUUAAAUUUUUAGAUUUGAUAAUUUUGUAAUAUGAUGCCAGAGUCUUAUUAAUUAAAUAAUCAUGAAUUUAAAUUUUAUUUUAUUUAAUAAAAAUUAAAUAUAAAAUAACGUGAGUAUGUAAAUUUUAAAUAAAAAAAUCUUUCACUUAAUAAGAUAAUAUAUUAGAAAAUAUUAUAAACUAUAUAUUAUGAAAUUACUAUAUUCUUGUUAAUUAAAUAAUUACAAGUUUAAAUUUUAUCUAUUUUAUUUGAUAAAAAUUAAAUAUAAUAUAAUAUAAAUUUAUAAGAUAAUAUAUUAAAAAAUAUUAUAAAUUAUAUAUUAAGAACUUACUGAUAAUUUAAGCUAUUGAUUCAGAAAAAUAUGUCCAUUUUCCUAUGACCCAUCAAAUUUGUUGGCUUGUUAAACUAUCAAAUCACGUAAUGAAUGAGUGCAGCAACGGCAAAAAUAUUCCAUUUCAUGUCAUUUAAGAAGUGGACCAUUUUGCGAUGAUGACAAUGGAAAUAAUAGUACCCCCCAAGUAAAAUCGGAGGCUAUCUUGUAGACCAGUACUCGACGAGUUAGUUUUUUAACCUUAGUAUUAUAUUUUGUUUUUGUAUUUUAAAUUAUUUUUUAUAUUUUAAAGUUAUUUUAAAAUAUUAAUAUUUUCAAAAAAUAAAAAAUAUAUUAUUAUUAUUAUAUAUUUAUAAAUAAAAAAAUACUUUAAAAAAAAAAACUACAAAUUUCCUCCGCAAACAUCAGUUCGUCCUUGGAGUGUCUGCUCCCGUUAAACUACGACGGAUCUGACUUCUCUUUCUAGGGCUUAGCCCCCCCUUUGUAGUGGGGGUGAGAUAAAAGUAAAAGCAUUUGCAUGGAAUUCAAAAGUUUAUCUAGCGAUUAAAUCAGAAAUUCUUGUCUUAACAAUAUGUGAUUAGUACUGUUAAUAGGUUAUCUGUUAAUUAUAAUGUCAGAUCUAAUAAUAAAAAAUGGGUGCUAUAUUUUUAAAAUCUUGAGAUCAGACCUUAAUUUUUUUUUUUAAAUAUAUUAAACAAAUAUGGAGCAUGUGAUUAGUACUCUUGAAUUUUUUUUAAGAAAAAUACUUAAACAUAAAUUAGAGGCGAACAAGUUCACAAAGAAAGCAACAAAAUGAUGUUAAGGAAUAUAUAAGCUGUUAUUUAAAAAAAAGCAAUGCAUGAGCUAUUGGUAACUUCUUCUUGUCGGUUUCAUGCCAUAAUUUUUUAUUUAAUUAUUAUUAGAUCAGACUCCAAAUCUAACUUAAAAAAUAACUCAAGUUAUUAGACUAAGUAAAAUCUAUCAUGAUAUUGUUUCGAGUUUUUUUUUUAAAAAAAAUUGAUCUUGAUCUACUUAGUUUUAAAUUUAAUCAGAUCAUGAAUUAACUUGUUAAACAAUCUAAAGUUAACUAGUUUAAUAUUAAAAUAAAUUUAAAUUAAAACAUGACAUGAUUAAUAUUUUUAUUACUAAUGUGGUGAAUAAGUUUGUGAUAGUAGCUGUUUUUUAAAUUGAUUUUUACUUAUAAAUAUAUCAAAAUAAUUUUUUAUUUUUAAUAUCAGUAUAAAAAAUAAUUAAUAAAUAAAUAAAUCUUAAUAAAUUUUUAUUUAAACCGCAGUCCUAAACAUGUAAUUAAUAUACUUAUCAAUCCAUCAAGCAUGUAAAUUUCUCAGACAAAAUAUAUUUUAAUAACUUUUUUUAAAUGGUUAGUCCUAGUCCUGAUUACUUUUAAUGUUCACGUCUUGGAUCCUAAAUUCGAGGUAUCCGGUCCUCCUCUCCCCGUAGAUGUAGACUUUUGGCCUUGUGUUUUUAACUUUAUAUUGGCCCCGACAGGGCAUUAGAAAAGUGUUGGGUUUUGCAGCGGCUACAAGAGGGCAUUGAAAUUUUUCGGCGUGGGAAAAUCAGUCCGAAAUAAAAUAGGUGGAAUAACUUAUAAGACCUUCUUCUUUUCCUUUUUUUUUUAUCCUAGACUUGGUUUGCACGUGUUGAGCUGGGAAGUCCGUCAAACACAUCAUACACGUGAUAACAAGUUUUUUGAAAAGGUGGAAGUUUAAUUAUUUUUUUCUCAUCUGCAUUACUAUUUUUUUUUUCACUUGUAGAUUCAAUUGAUUGAACUUCACAACUCAACGUUGUUGAGUUAUAAUUAAAUCCCCUACGUGGAUGUGGAAUCCUUCCACAUGAUAGAAAUGAAGAGUGUAUCAUUAUAACAAAAAAUUAAAAGCCCUUGCUAAAAAAAACUUGUUAAACAUAUAGGUAGGGGUGAGAUUAUCUUUUUUAUAGGAUAUAUUCAGUAUUGAAAAAAUAAUUAGGGAUAACAUGGUUCGUUCAUGUUUUUUAAGGUACAAUAUAAAUAUUGAUUUGCCAUAAAUUUUCAAGCUUUGAGUUGGGGGUUUCGUUUGUCUUUUUUUUAAAAAAAACAGCGAAGAUAUAAUAAUGUCCUUGUAGAGGGGAAAAAAUAUGCAUGUGUUGAGGGCUUCACUGUCGUUUUCUUUUAUUGAAACAGUUCCAAUACAAAAUUACUCUUAGAUUUCAACAAAAAUAAAGUUGCAUAUAAUGGUGUUUUCGUUGUUUGGCACUUGAAUUUGACAUGGCUAUCAAACUCAAGGCACCUGAAUUUAACAGCUAAUCACAUCCACAGUAAUGUGGAUCUAGCAUGUUUGUCAUAUUUAAAAUACUUGAAUCUAGAGAACUAUAAAGUCUAACAUGAAUAUUAAAACGUUUAUAAAUUUAAUUUCUAACUGUUAUUACAAUAACUAUUUAUAUUUUUUACGAAUUGGCCCGUAGCAACACGCGAAUUAUCUAUCUAGUUUUUUUCUAUUACUCGAGGAUGGUAUGAAAAUGCAAUGAAGUAAAAUAGGAUAACCAUAUGGUCAUUUUUUUUUGUUGUAAUUGGAUCCAUAUAAUUAGUCCCUCGCUAUGUACUUUUGAUUAGUGUAAUUUUUACAUGAAAACUAUUUUAUUUUUAAAUUCUAUUCGGGCAUUUUUCAAACAAAAACACAGGAGUGAGAACUUCCGGGCUGCUUGCUUAGUGUACACUCUGUCGUUGCAUAUGGGCUUUGCUUAGAAACCAGUGACCAUGGAAAACUUGAGAAGAGAUCCACUUGGCCGAAACGCUCUCGCUUCUCUUUCACAUGGGGAUCAGCAUGACAAGGUGCCACCAUUUCCGCAUGAGAUAAGCUGGCAUGUUGGGUCAAAGACCGAAUAUUUAAAUCCCUCCUUUCCCGUUCUGAUAGAUAGCGGCUCCGAGAGCGGGGAAAGGAAAAUCCACAGACCUUUCUGGCUUUUUUAAUUGUUGAAAGGUUCCUGGAGGCUUCCAGGUUCUUGCUUAUCAUAGAUUUCAUUGCUUCCAAUACCGGCGAUCACAGUUGGUGGGGAGUGCGAGACGGCGUCGCACUGGACUUUGGAAAUGGGCGGUAUGGGAAUAUAAAACUAAGGGAAAAGGACAACAGGGCUUUAAGACCAAUUGUAACGGAGAGUUGAAUAUUAAAAUAUUUGUCAUUCUCGAAACAGCAUUAAGAGUUCGGUUCCAGGACAGAAUUAAAAAAAGUUAGUUCAGCGAGUAGAUCUGCUUAACGUGAUCUCACGCAAUUUGACUUUUGAACUGGAUAGUGCCGCGCUAGUGGUGGGGCGAGCUAAGUUUUACUCAACAUAAAAAAAAUAAUGUUAAUGCGAUCCAAACAUUUAUAAAAUAGAUAAAAAGUUUAAGCCUACUUAAUUGUAUUUAAUAAUUUUAAUUAAUUUAAAUAAUAUAAAUAUAUAAACUGACAAAAAAAUAACAAUAUAAAAUAAAUUGGCUAGAACUCAUCCGAGUUAACAUGCCAAAUCUACAAUCUGGUUAUGCUAUCGAGAUAGCCCCGUCAAAAAUAACAUGAAUAAAACUAUGAAAUUCAAUUAUUAAACAAUCUAAUGUUGAAAUGUAAAACUAAAAAAAAAAAUACAAAAAAAAAUAUAAGUUAACUUGGGUUAAUCUGUUAACCUUGCAACCAUAUGAUAACCCAUUGGAAAGGAAAUUAAAAAGGAAAAACAAGAAGAAUAAUUCCCGAUAAAUCAAAUAUUGAAUGAUGAAAUUAUAAAAUAAUAAUUAAAAAAAGACCUAAAACGGACUAAAGUUAACUCAUGUUAACUUUCAAAACUUUUGACCUUGGUCAAGAGCUCAGGACUAACCUCAUAUAAAGCAAAUUCUAAAAAAUAACGAAACAAACUUCUAAAUCAAUAAAAUGUUGAGUAAAACAUAAUAAAAUAUCCAAAACAAAAGAAAUAACAAUUAAAACAACGAGAGUAAAUAUAAUAUAAAAAUAAUUUUAAAUAAAAUAUCGAGGGAUGAAAUUUGAUAAGAAAAAUGAUAUAAAAAGAUUUUAAAUCAAUUAGGAAAAUGAUAAGAAAACAACAAUAAAAAGAACAAGAUCGAAUUUGAUAUAAAAAUUAAAUGACACCGAAUAAUGAAGGAUGAGAUAGAAGAAAAAAAAUCAAUAAACUAAGAUAAAAAUAAAAUAAAAUAGCAAUUAAAAGAAUGAGAACCAAAUUUGAUACAAAAAACAAAAAAAAAUACCUUUAUUUUUUUGGCGAGGAGAAGAAAAAAGUUCACUAGAGCUCAACCAUUGCGCCACCGUGUAAACACAUUAAAUCAUAAAAAAGAUGACAACCAAACGCUUCCAACGCAGCCAUAAAAGGUGAUGGCAGUGUUUGAAGGUGGGAUAACGCCUCACACGACGCCAUAAGAGCGUAUAUGGUAUCUACUCGCUAGCAUCUGCGUUGCACAUACCAAUCACUUUUUAUUUUUAAUUAAUAUUCAUAUUUAUCAAAAGAUCAAAUCGUUCCCGAUUAACCUGAUAAUAACUAAAAAUGCAGCUUGAAAUGAUGAAAAACACCCAUAAAUAAGAGCUUGAAAAAAAUUUGCUUUUAAGGUGAUUUAAUCUCUACAUUGUGUUUUUAAAAUAUAAAAUGAUUAAAUUAUCCUUUAACAUUAACAUUGUUUUGAAAAAAAUUAUUCUCGGGAGUAAUAAAGUUUUUAUAGUGUAUUGAAAAGGUUAAAAGGUUAAAAUGUUUCUUUAUCAAUGUUAUAAUGACUAAUAAACUUUGUUGAAAGAUAAGAUUGUUUUAGCACAGUAGAAAGUUAACUUCUUCUUUUUUUUUAUUUAUUGAAAGAGAAAGGAUACCCAUUCUAUUACCACGGUGAAUAGUGAUAUGUAUUACAGAAAACAAUGAAUUCUCCAUGGCUUUCAAUAUUACUACUCACGCUCGAGGAAUUAUAGAAGAGGAAGAAGCAUCGUCCUUUUUAUCUAUUUUCUUAGCAAGCCCUCAUGCAAUUCAGUCUAGAACAAUUCAGAUGGCAUCCCUGCUAAAAUCCACAAAUAUUUUCUUCUAAUGGAAAAGCAAAGAAGUGUCACAUCUGGUUCCCAAGAUUCCAUGGUCAUACAGUUUUCAAAUGCAGCCAAAAUAUUCUCACAUGCUGGAAUGUACCAAGAAACUUCACAUCAGCUUGUAACCUUAACAACCCAAUUCACAGAUUUGUUAGCAGUUCAACACAGAGCCAGUACUCAUGAAUCUCCACUAGGAAGAAAAGAAAAGAAAAAAAACCCUAAUUUCCUAGCAAAAGCAAGGCCCGAAGCCCAUGAUUUUCCCACUUCACACGUACUAAAUGCCCCUCUCUGUUUCCAAACCCUGUAUUAAAUGCAGCAGCUGGAAAAUCCACCCACCUUCCGCAAAAACAAUCUCCCCUAAUCCCCAUACCUUUCUCUUUUCUCGCCCCUCAAAUGGACUCCCACUCCCUCUUUAAACCCAAAUGUCCACCCCCACCACCACAAUCCCCUCCACUAUCUCCGCCACCUCCCCUCCUCCCCCUGCUAAUUACCUCACCAACCUUGGCCUUGGCUAUUCUAUAGCCAUAGCCCUUUUCUUUCUCGUACUUCUCUCCACUAUCCUCCUUGCUUCUUACAUAUGUUGUCGCACCAACCGCCAUCGUUCUCGUAACUCUAACAACAACAACAAUAAUUAUGCAAACUCUACAGCUGAUGGCAUAAUACUUCCUCGUAUUAUUUUCGUUGCCGAAGAUGACGAAGAACAAGAACGUGAUUUAGAAAGUGCUGCUGUAGGUCUCAACCAGGCUGUUAUCAACUCGUACCCGAAAUUCCAGUUUAGUAAAGAUGGUGGGUUCAGUGAAAGAACCAAUAAUUUUUGUAAUACUUGCUCGAUCUGUUUGUGCGAGUAUAAAGAUUUGGAGAUGUUAAGAAUGAUGCCUGAUUGUAGGCAUUAUUUUCACUUGCUUUGUCUUGAUGCCUGGCUUAAGCUUAAUGGGUCGUGUCCCGUUUGUCGGAACUCACCGUUGCCUACUCCGCUUUCGACACCGUUGUCGGAGGUUGUGCCUUUGUCGCAGUACGCAGCGGAUCGGAGGAGGAGGUGAUUUUGGUUUGAUGUGGUUUGGGUGUGGACCGUGGAGUGUUGGGUUGUGUUUGGAAAUGGAGAACUGUAAAUUUUUGGGUUUUGAAAAGGCAGUAGGGGAAUUGGAUUUACUGAUUUGUGAUUUUGGAUUGUUCUAAAAUGAAACGUCUGGAAAAUCAUUUGACCAGGAGCUUUUUUUUUUUUUUGGCAAUGAAGUCUAAGAAUUGGAGUGUUAUUUUUGUUUGUUUCCUUUGAAUUUUACCUUUACUGUAACAAUGAUUGACUUUUUCAUCGAUUGCAAGAUGUUUCUGAUUCUUUUUCUUUGUCUUGUUCUAUUCAACUUCUGUUUGGUUGUUCUACUCGCAUUCCUUGCAAAAGCAAUAUCUGAGACUUUGUAGCUCAAUAAAGUAUUCUUUCUGAUUUUCUUCCUAGAUUGCUUUUGCAGUUUCAGACACCCUAAACUUCAAUUUUUUAAGCACAGAUCUUCGUUGCAUUUUGCAUCGGUGCUUCUUUCUUCAUUCCUUUCCUUUUUAUUUCUCGAUGAUUCACGAGUCAUUCACAUAAUCACAUGGAUGUGCAAGAAUCUGGUAGUCCUUCCAUGAUCGUAGCCAUAUGAAGGAAAUUUCAUAUUCAGGAUAUACAUAUAAGAAAGAGAAGUACAUGUAUCCCGCAACCAUUUUAGGUGUGCUUAGAGCGUAGUUAUGCUUAUAGUUAUAGUUUUCCAAGUACAAAGCGAACCUAUUCUUGUCCUACACUUCUACCUACGUGUCUUGCUGCUUCUAUUUUUUAGUUUAAGUUGAGACUCUCGUUGUAGCCAACUGUAACUGAUUCUACUAUUGUGCAUUGGACCAUUUCUCCUCAGAACCUUGCUUUAUCUUGCAAGCGUUGCAGUGAAUACGUUUUUGCGAGAAAAUUGGAGGCUUUAAGGAAACGAGAUUGACCACGUAAUGUACAAAGUGUAAAUUCUACAACUUCUUAUUGGUAUUUUUCAUUCUUGGUGUUCUAGCUGCUUUUUUUAUCUCUAUCGCUACUCUGUCUAAAUUCUGCUCUAUCAGAUCUCUUUUUAGUUCUAAUACCUCUGCAGUCAUGUGCGGAGUUCAGAGUGAAGUAGUAAUAGCUGCUGAAACUGUUGUUAAAAAGAUCCACAAAGAAAUGAAUGAGAUGAGAGAUUUGUCAAUAAACUCAUCGGCAGAAACCCUCGUGUCAAGAUACAGUGCUUUUCUUACUGGAAUUAUGGGGCUUAUUGAGUCAUGAAAGACAACAGGAAAUCCUCCGGAAAACAGUGAAUCAGAGCUGUCCAUACUCUAGUAAGACAGCAACGGUUGGAUGAAGUUGUAGAGUUUUUUUUCUAAUGAAGAGAUUCGCAAAUAUGUAAGGAUCAAACACAAUCGUUUAGAUAAACAGAAAUGGAACGUUCACGAGCAUUGGCCAUGCUUGUUUUGCAACGAAGAAAGAUUUUGAAGAGUACAUGGGUAUUAUGGUUCAUGGACGCGAUCCAUUACCGAGGAGGAGGUGCUUCGCAAGGGGCUCGCAGCUAUACAGCAAGCCAUUACCCAUAAAUGAGUCCAUGUGGAAGCUACCUGACAAUUGAAAAGUCCGAUGGAGCCAGUACAGAUGCAAAAACUUCACUUGCCUUGCUAGGGCCUUGAUAACCAAUACAACUCGCAAGGGAUUCUUUAAGUGUGCAGAUUGCUUCAAUCUCUCGGGCCAUGAAACGCCAAGAUGGAUCAAACAGGCAGAACCUGAUCCGGAGAUGAAUCUUAUAGCAGAUUUUCUGACAACUGAAGUUCUUGACAUCAAGCGAGGUGAGAUCAUAAUCGGAUUGGAUUUCAGUGUAGGAACUGGGAAUUUAGCAGCAUGAAUGAGAGUUCAAUGUCCUAAUAGUCUCAGCAACUAUUAAUCUUGGUGCAGCUUUUAAUGAAAUGGUUGCUCUUCGAGGACUUGUACCUCCUGACUAUAAAUCAACGGCUUCCAUUCCUUGAUAAUACUCUGGAUCUGUGACACACAAAUAGAUGGAUAGAUUUUGUGCUCUUAGAUUUUAUAUUGUGGUUGGGAUAGAGUUCUGAGUCCAGGAGGGUUCGUUAUGGAUUGACAGCCCUUUCUGUUUGAAGGAAGAUUUGGAUGAUUAUUUGGAAGCCUUUAAGAUGCCAAGGAAUGGGAAGAAUAAGAGGAUAGCUGUUCCAAAACUGAACAAGAAUGGCCGACAAGUGUUCUUUUCUGCUGUGCCAGAGAAGCCGCUGAGACCGAUUCGUUACCAACACAUGCCAAAGCCGAUAUUCUUUUUGGUUUCUGACUCGGGAUCUCCAAUUUCCUUGGCUUCCACCUUGAGUCCUUGCGCCCCUUUCGCUUUAAUUGAUGAUUUAUUAGGACACUACAUUCAUGUUUUUCCGGUUAAUUUAGUUAUCUUUACAUUUCACGGUCCUAUAUGGUUGAUAUCUGCACAUUUGAGAACCAUUGUACCCCGUAGGAGAUACAGGUCCUCACACUUCGAUACAUCUAAUUUCUUGCCUUCUUUUCUAUACAGUGGGCCAGAUACCAUGAACAUAACUCUUAACUGUACGACUUAUAAACCCAAAUUUAAUACGCUAAAAAAACACUCUUAAAGGAUCCUAUUUAAUGUAUUCAGGCACAACAACUCUAUGGGCUCGCUUUAGAUAGCAGGUUUGAGCUCUUUUUUCAACUUUUAAUGGGCUGAAGCUCAACUCUCUAUUAAAUUGGUAUUUUAGGAUUUUAUAUUGAUUCAUAGUAUAAUAAAAUUUAAAAUAUUACAAUAAUAAAAUUAUAUUUUAGCUUCUUUCUACACAAAAAAUACACUAUGAGUUUCAAAACCUAAGAUUCACAAUAUUUUAUUUAUAACAUAUAUAUUUUCAAAAUCUAGCAUUUUUUUCUCUGCAAAAUUACUAAUUUAAACAUUUGAGAGUCCUUGUAUUAAUCAAAUGAGAUUUUUUACAGGUAUCAGUUAUCAACCGUAUGAGUUUUUAAUAUCAAGCCACCAUAUAUCUCAGCUAGAAAGAAUGUAUUAUAUUGUUUAAACUACAAGAUCAAUUGAUUAUAUAACACAUAAAAUUUAUUAUUAAAUAUCUUGAAUUUUAGAACUUCCAAGACAACCAAUUUUGAAGUUGUGAAGCAAAGUUGAAGGGUAUUUUCCAAAAUUUUGUUUGUACAAUACUGAAAACAACCUUGAAAAUAGUAUGUAUUUCUGUAUACAUUAUGGUAUCAUCUUAAAACCCAGAAGAAAGAUGUAAGUUUUAUCAUAGAUUCUAUUUUGAUUGCUAAUUUAUAUUUCCUUUACCAAAUUAUAUUCACAAUCUUGCACACUCACCUUUUAUUAAAUGUUUUGCCUUUUAAAAUUACACAAAAACACAAUAUAGAAAAUGUGAUUUUGAGUACCUACACUUGUCUGAUUCUUACAAUUAAGUACCAAUCUUUAAUUUUCUUCAAGUGUUUAUUUGAUUUUUUUCCCGCACAAUAAAGUAUUUGAGUGAAUGUAUGUUAGUCGAAUGCUAACAUGUACGUCAAGGCGAUGAUAUGAACAUUCACACAUUAUAUAACAAUUAUUAAAUGUGAAGACUCUGUUUUUUUACGUGUUUGAGAUAUUAUUAAAUUAACGAAUCAUGUAAUGAACAAGGUGAAACUAAAAGUAAAUGAUGCUAUACCUAAACUAGAAGUGAUGAUGCAUAUCAUCACUUGAUGUGUGUGUGUGUGUGUGUGUGUCUCUCUCUCUCUCUCUCUCUCUCUCUCUCUCUCUCUCUCUCUCUCUCUAUAUAUAUAUAUAUAUAUAUAUAUAGUAAACAUUUACCUGGACAGCGGGCACUUUAUUACGUGAAAUAAAAAGAUCAGACAAUUAAUUUAAUAGAAUUAAAUACUAGAUGCUCAGUUGUGAAAACCAGAUAAAUUUAGUAAUUUAAAAUCGCUUUAUCCUAAUACAAUGCAAUACAGCACAAAUAAUUGAUGAUCUUUCAUAUUUCAUAGAUUGACCGAUUAAAUUGUUCUUUGCUUUACUUGUGAUUUGUUUUGGAUUUUAUUCCUGAGAUACAAACUCGGAGAAUCAAAAGAAAAAAAAAAGACAAAUAUAUUUAACCAUCGUAGCAUUAGCCGCAUUUUGGUUCGAUAGUCACCUUUUUUCCAGGUGUAAGGCUUCUUUAUUGCAGAAAUGCCCCCAGUUGCCAUCUCCAGCUUUCGGACGAGGGGAGGCGACCCAUAAGGUUCAACAUUCUAUCUUUUCAUUUGAUUUGGACCUGAUAAGUCCCUCAGUUGCAGGCCAAGGAUCCCCACUUGCACAGUUACAGUAGCCCAUCUUUGUGCCAUUUCUUGUAUCUUUUAAAAAUAAAAAUAAAAAUAUUAAUUUAGUUUUUCAAUGCUUUUUUUUCGAUUGCAUUUUUUUUUUUGUAGCCAAGAUAAUUUUUUGGUUGGUUUCUUAGUUAUAAUUUACCAUGGAAAAAAAUAAUAAAAAAAGGAUUAAACUGUAAAAUUUGAUAGAAUACAAUGUCCGAUGUGAAAAUCACAUGAAGAAGUUCUUUAUGAUAUACUCACGUUUCUCUUUCCUACAUCACGGUUUCUUUCGUGUUUGAAAUUUUAAUUUUGAUCUUUAACUUUAUUUUUUAGUCUUUGUAUUUAAAAGAUGAGAGAGAAAGCUAUUAGAAAAGAAAAGAACGUUGUUAGCUGAUCACGUUUUGAUCAUGAAAAAAAUUAUUUUUAGUGUUAAUAAAUUACAUUCAAUAAAAGAAGUUUUGUUGAGAUGGUUUUUUACCUUCAUUUUUCCAUAAAAAAAUAGAUUAGGGUUGAAUUAGAUUUUUCCUUUUGAUUUGAUGUUGUGUUUUUGACAUAUUUUGGUGUUUUGAGUUGAUUUACUAGUUUAUUGAUGUUAUAAGAAUAUUUAUUAAAUGUUUUUAGAUAAAAAUGAGAUAAUUUUUUUUUUAUAUUUGGAGUAUUAUGAUUUAGCUAUAGAUUUUAAUAUUUUGGGAUAUAAAAUUACACUGUAAAUUAUAUCAUCGGGUUUUAAAUAUACAAAAUAAAAAAUAAAUGCAAUGCUAAAAUCAUAGUCUUAAAACGAUUAGAAUUUAACUUUAUAAAGAAUAGACAUCCUCAUAAAAAGAAAUCUGUUUUAAACCAUAUAUAAGACCAUAGAUAGAAAUAUAACUUGGAUUAACAACCAAUCGACAAAGUAGCUUAAUUUAUAAAGGAUGCACUAGAGUUGAUAUGUAUUUUCCUUGAACAAGUAGUUUUUAUACUUAUAUUAUUGUAGAUCAUAGGUUAUAUUAGGUGAUGAUUUUAUCUAACCAUGAUUUUAUGAUCAAGUCUAAACACCCUUCAAUUUAAGAGAGAGCUCUAUUAUCCCAUAUCUCGCAUGUCAUGAUUUUUAUUAUUAUUUUUAUUUUAAAAUAUUUAUAAAUAGCACCAACCAUCAAGAAUGAAGUGACAACUACCAUUAACAACAAACCUACAUAUUCUAUAUCACCUAAUUCACCACUGAUUUACAAAAUUCUUGGUCACGACCUCUCUUGUUUUUUUAAUUACGCUAACAAUCUAAAGUGCCAGAAAAUAUCUUUUGCAUGGGACACUAACCUAUUUUCAUAAGCUAAUUUAUUAUUAGUUGUGAAAAAGCUUAAAUUUAUCUGAAGUUCUUCAGAGACUUUAUUAGUUGUAUAGUUUAAUUAUCAGAGUCCAAUAAAAACAUUAUGAAAUUUUCAUUUCAAAUCCUUAGCUCAUUCCAUUUAAUUUCUCCUGAGAUAUUUUAUAUUUUAUUGUCUUAAAAUAUAGAACACGACUAGUGAAUUAUAGAAGUUCUAAUAUAUUUAUAUUAUACAAUACCGCUCGGUAUUUUAUGAUUUACUGAGAAUAUUAUCAGAUUAAGUAUCAAAUGUAUUGCAGAGAUUUCAUUAAUCCAAAGUUUUACGAGUCCGUACAUUUUUUUCACAAAUUCACCAGUACAAAAAUGUACUGGUAAAAACAAUCAACUUCAAUAGUCAAUUCAUAGAAAAAGAAUUAGCAGCAAUCGGCUUGAUUAAGCCAAGGCUUACCAUUUUUUUUUUGGAAGGAAAAAAGAAAAAUAAAAAAAUUUUGUUUUAAAGUAUGGUUGUGGUUAUUUUUUAAAGUGUUUUUUAUCCUGAAAUAUAUUAAAAUAAUAUUUUUUUAUUUUUAAAAAAUUAUUUUUAAAAUCAGCGCAUUAAAACAAUCCAAAACACACAUAAAAAAUUAACUUUUAGCAAAACAAAAAUAAUUAAAUUUUUAAAGAACGUAAUUUGCGCCCAAACAGAUUUAUGAGUACUAUAGAUGGAGUUUUGUAAUAUUUAUAUCUAAAUCUUAACUUAAGAUUUUUAUCUUAACUCAAUUUAUUAUAAAUUAAAUUCAACUUAAUUAAUUUUCAGGUAUUUAUAAGAUAUCUGUGGAGCAUCCCAAAUCAUGAUCUUUUUAUAUUAAUUCAAUGACAAAUAAAAACAAAAAAUCUUCUGAAAAAUCAAAUUACAUCCAACAAGCUCCAAAAUCAUAAUUUAAAUCCAGUCCAAUCAAUUAUACAAAAUAAUCAAUCUCAACCCAGAACAGAGACAAGACAUGCUAGAGAAAAAAAAAUUACACAAAAAAAAAUCAUUUCAACCACAAAACAAGAAAACACACAUUAAAGAAAACCAAAAUAACAAUAUCUCUAAAUUCCCUCCUCUUUAUUUACUCGGGAGUGUUUAAAAUAGUAAUAAAGGUUGAUUUUCAAAAUAUAUUUUUAUUUAGAAAUAUAUUAAAAUAAAAGAAAAAAGAAAAAAGAAUAAUGAAGAGAGAAGAAACGGCUAGAGAGGUAAGAUGGUGAAAUGUGAAAUAAGACCACAUUUUUUAAUUUAUAUAUACUUGGUAAAAAUGUGAUUUUUCCAAUUUCCAAACUCUGAAAUAUAUUUUAUAUUAAUUUGAUUCGGGUUGAGCUCAAAUAACAUAGUUUUUAAACCCGGUCUGUGGCCAGCCUGGUCCAAGGCUCGGGUUUCAACCGAGUCACAGGAUUUUAACCGGGUCACUGGGUCUGCCGGGUCAAUCCCUAUUUUAAAAAAAAUCUAAAACGGUUUACAACCGAGUUUUUGAUCUGGUUUUGUUAGGUCAACCAGGUCGCCAGGUCACGUCAUGAAUUUUUCUAUUUUCUCUUCAACCUGACCUGGUUCUAAUUCCAGGUUAGUCGGAUCCCGGAUCGACUUGCCGGGUUUUAAAACUAUGUCAAAUAGGUUUCAGAUGAGGUUCAACAGUAUUUAUAUUAUAUUCACACCUUAUUUUUUCACUUCAAGUUAUUACAUGAACUUGAACCGAAUCCAAACAAGUAAGAAACAAUUUAUUAAGAUAAAAUUAUCAUUCCCUUGCGUCAGCAGGAAGCUAAAAUCUUUUUUUUUUUCAUCGAAAAAAAACAUUUAUAUUUUUCUAUAAAGAACGCACGUUAGGCCAACGUGGAGCCCACUCUGAUUUCCAGUCUGCCUGCCCAACAAAAAGUAGCAGCCGUCCAUUCCCGGAUCACCGUCUCUUUAACUGCCACGUGUCGAUGCCUUUUCAAACAUCCCAUCCACCACCGUCCUUCAUUGUCUCCACGUAUGAAAGCAAACCUCCCAAACUCUCAGUUAACGACGUAACUCCUCGAACCUCCCAAACGUAACACCGUCAACUCAAUCAUUUCAUUUCAAAUUCAACCAAACCACCAGGUUCGUAGACUCCAAACCUGAGGCUCGGCCCACGAUUUAAAUAACCCUCACAUGCUUUCUUUUUACUCCCUCACUUUUCAUCACUCCCCUCUGUGUCUGUGGGUGUAUUUCUCUUUUUCUUGCGAAGAAAUUCUCUGAAAUUUUUAAAUUUUUAUUAGGAGGAUCCAGAUUACAAUGGCGGAGCAAUCAGAGAAUCCGAUUGAGUCAGUCAUGGGGAAGAUUAGCGAGAAGAUUCAUCACGAAUCGUCUUCGUCGGAUUCGGAGUCCGAUUCAGAGAAGAAAUCGUAUCCUUCCGAGUCGGUGAAGGACAAGAUUUGGCGGUUGUUUGGUAGAGAAAAACCUGUUCAUCGUGUUCUUGGUGGUGGAAAGCGUAGGUCACUUAAAACCUGCUUUAUUUAUUAAAAUUUCAUUUUCUUUUUUUUUAAUUCAUUUAUUUAGGUUGAUUUUGAUUGUUUAUUAUUUUAUUUUUUUACUAGUGGAGAAUAGAAUGAUUCAGAUUUAGUCAUUGUUUUUUUUUUCUGGUCUUCUGGGGUGUUUGGUUACUGAGAAAAUUAAAAGGAAAAAAAAAUGACUGUGGUUAAUGUGGUAUUUUUGUUCAGCUGCUGAUGUGUUUUUGUGGAGGAACAAGAAGGUUUCAGCUGGUGUACUUGGUUUUGCGACAGCAAUCUGGGUCCUUUUUGAGUUGGUCGAAUACAACUUGCUUACUCUAGUGUGCCAUAUCUUGAUACUCUCUCUUGCACUCUCGUUCCUCUGGUCUAAUGCUCACUCUUUUAUCAACAAGUAAUAUUCUCUCGUCCUUGAAGUUUUUAGCUCCCUUUUCUGGUUUAGGUAUCCAUGUAUUUUGGUGGAGGUAUUGACAACUGUAGGCUCGGAAUGGGUUGUUUGUGAUUUUCUUUCCGAUGUUGUUUUAUAGGAGUCCUCCUCGCAUCCCACAAGUUCAUCUUCCAGAGGAACCAGUCCUGCAGGUUGCUUCAGCACUGUGUGUUGAGAUUAACGGUGCGUUUGUGGUCUUGCGCAGUAUUGCCGCAGGAAAAGACUUGAAGAAGUUUCUCAUUGUAUGUUUCUUGAAUAUCUCAUCACUUCUGUUUCUACAGGUUCACCUUGUAAUUGAAGUAGAUCAUCUGAUAUUUCUGCCUUAUUUUGUUUUCAGUAGAAUAAUUCUUAUAUUACUGCUACAUAUGGAUCUGAAAUUUAUUGCUGUCGAGUUCUGCAUUAUUUGGUCAAUAGUGUCAUUGCUGGUUUUCAUGCUUUGCCUACUCUGACUAAUUCCUAAAAUUGCUGGUGUGUAUUGAUGUCAGGUUAUCGCCGGAUUGUGGGUCAUGUCAAUUGUGGGGAGUUGGUGCCAUUUCUUGACCUUGUUUUAUAUAUGUAUGACUUUCGAAGCUGAUUUUAUGCCUGAUUUUAUGCAGUUUGCUUAACGUGCGUUAGAUAUUAUAUACUGAAACUUUCCAAUGAUUUUAACAGGCUUCGUUCUGCUACACACUGUACCCGUUCUCUACGAGAAGUUCGAGGACAAAAUCGACCCCUUGGCAGAGAAGGCGAUGAUUGAGAUCAAAAGGCAAUAUGCGGUCUUCGAUGCUAAGGUUCUGAGCAAGAUCCCAGUGGCCGCUUUGAAAGCCAAGAAAGUUUAGAUUGGUUGCUUUUUGUGUUUGGGUAAUCAGGGGUUUGCAGGUCGUGAUUGCUUUACCCAUAAUUUGCUAGGGAUUCCUUUUGUUCUUCACCCCACAAAUUGUUUUAAACUGUUUGGGUUGCAUUUUGAAUGAAUUGUCUUUCAUGGUGUUAGUUUUGAAGAUGGAGGUUUAAUUUGCAAUCCUAUGGCACCUCUUAAUGGUGGUUUUUGAUGAGUUCAAUGUACAUUAGUUUAUCUUUUAUGUUUCGGACCGUUGUGCUCCCGGUAUUUUCUGAUAUUUGUGUCGUGUUUGCCUCGUGACUACGACCAAAAACAAAGUAGAUGCUGUCGCAGAAACAGUUCCUCAUUUGGCUAUUGCGGGGGCAAGGUGGAUUUGCGUGCAAGGCUGAAAUCUAUUUCAAUUUGGAUGUGUGAAUGUCGGUGAGUUGGAGAGUACUAUUGCUCUGUGCUUUUCUUAAAAAAAAUUUGAAUUUUUUUUUGAAUUUUUUUUGUGUUUAUUUAAAAAAAAAUAUUAUCUUAAUAUAUUUUUAAAGAAAAAACAUUUUCAAUUAAACACCACAGUACCACACAGCCAUUGCGUAAUAUAAGCCAUAAGGUAACCUGGCAUCUAAGAUUUCUAGCUAACAGGGUAUUGUUCGUGAUGUUACGUGUAAACCCGUGUGUGGUGGCCCGGCACAAGCGAGGUGAGGGGAAGCCAAGUAAACAGCAGAGUUUGGUGAGCGGCCACCUCGCAGGCCGCUUUAAUAAAAUUUGUACAACCCGCAUCCAAUAUGUACGCUUUGGCAGCCAUUAAUCGGACAUCCAAGUUCCUUUCGUAGGUGGUUUUACAGGUGCUGCUCAGGUUAAACAAGAAGUUCAAACUGCAGAGCUCAAUAAAUUUAGUGAAGCAUAAUGCCAGCAUCAUUGCACCCACAAGAUAAGAGAGUGAUGUAAAGGAUUUUUGGACAUUACAACUGGCUGAGUUUGGAUGGCGAUAUACACUAACACUAGAUGAAGAUGGAAGGAAUAUUGCAUUCUGCCAUUAAGAUAGAGAGAUUGUACUGUUAUUAUUACGUGACAGCGUGCUAACAUUGGAGAAUGACCACGAGAUAGCUAUUUGGGGAAAAGAGACGCUUUUCAUUUCACCGUGAAAGAAUUGAUUGAACACCAACGAACAAUCUAUACCUUUGAUUAAUUACAUAAUAAAUCAACAUAUUUUCAAUGUUUUGUGAGCAGUCUUGAGAUCCGAGAAGGGUUGUCCAAGGAUGUUAAAGGAACUGUUGAGAACUCGGAAUCGAUAUGUGCAAACGGCAGCGAAUUUCCUCGAGGGGCUACAGGACCAUGAUUUUGAGCUGGAGAAAGAUUUGGUCCAGAUGUGCUAGUUCCAUGGUUGGGCACCGACGAACUAACCCCAGUAGUAUUUGGACUCCUUCCUUGCGAGUCUUCAUUGGGUCUACCUGUAUCUUGCCCAGAUUCCCUCUUUUCCCUUUCUUCAGUUUCCUUGAGAAGAAAAUCAACCCACAUAUCUGCAAAGGACUGGAGAAACAUAUACUUGAGAUGAAAUUGCAUUUUCAUCGCACUCCUCUCCCAAGAAAAAUAUACACUUGUAAAAAUGAUAUACUGAGAUAGCUGAUUAUCUUUUAACGGAAAGGAAAAAUCCUUUCCUAAUAGCUAAAUUCAUGCAUGCACUGUUGAUGCCUCACUAGAGGCUGUAGAAUGUCAUUUGCCAAAUAGGCAUAUGCUAGUGACCAAGAACCCACACACCCCACCACUUAAAAGUUAAAACAAAAGGGCAAAGACUUUACUGUCAAGUCUUGACUACAAAGCAUCCCGAGUCAUGCAUGCACUGUUGAUGCCUCACUAGAGGCUGUAGAAUGUCAUUUGCCAAACAGGCAUAUGCUAGUGACCAAGAACCCACACACCCCACCACUUAAAACAAAAGGGCAAAGACUUUACUGUCAAGUCUUGACUACAAAGCAUCCCAGAGUCACGGUGACCAAACCCAACAACUAUUUUCUGUGAGUCACUCAACCUCUAAUGAAUAGGUGGUCUUCACUCAAUGGAUAGAACACAACAAGAUGCAUAGAAAGUAAAAAACCAAACUUUCAGUUCUGAUUGAAUUCAGAUCAGAAUACAUUCUCCAGAAGAGGCUACUAGGUUCUUGCAGCAAAUUAGUAAUGAGCAAGUGGAUAGAUGGAUCCAUCUCAAGCAAAUGCUAACUUACGUCAGCUCAAUGAAAAGCUCAAAAUCACGCAAUAACUGAGCAGAGAUUGAGCAGUCUGCCACUAGUCUAAAUGACAACCCAGAUUAUUAGGAUGCAAAGGGCACACUGUAUGAAACACCACAAAGAGUGGAAACAGAGCUACUUGUACAUGAAGAUCAAAAGGCCCAUAGCAUCAUCUUACAGGUCACCUAUUAAACAUCAAGAAAGAAGAAAAAAAACCAACCUGGUUAUCGGAUGCCAAAUUCAUUUGAACACCAGCUGCACUUCCACCCAAGAUUCCACCAACUAGGCGACCAGGUAGCCCCAAAACCCCACGAACAACACCUUUUCCACCUUGUUGAGCUACACCUAUUCUCUGCUUGUCUUCAUCCGAGAACCCAAGCAUUCGAACCAUAAGAUCCAAAACCUGGAACCCGCCAUACAGAAUGAGAGUAUAAGCUAUGUCAAAUUGAGUACGGGUUGCCAAAGGGAUGAGAAACCAGAAACAAUAAUCAUUAUAACAAUUUAAAUAGCACUGCUAUGUGAGAGCAGUGGUACAAUAUGGAUUCUUUCCAAACAAGGAUCUAUUGAACUUGAGAUGUCCUUUAACCAAAGGGUUCUCCAGUUAAAAAAAAAAACAAAACAAAAAAGAUUUAUGUAGGUUAAAUUUUUCCUUCUUGAAGAGAUGGAUAAUGAUGCCUAGGUGUAUUAGUGGUUAAUCUCCUAAAUGAAUAUAAAAACAACAAUCUGCCUGCAUGGUAUAGCAGAGACUAAAUAUUGCCAACAAACAUAACAUUGAAAGAAUGAGAUUAUCUUUUUUUUGUUAAUUUUUUAUCCUGUUCAAUUGUACUAAGAGAUUCAUACCUCUUUGCUGUGGUUUCUCUGGAAGUAGGUCACUAGUAAUUUAAUCACAAUGCGCCUGCAAUAAAAGCCAGUCGCACAUUAUAGACUACGCGACCCAUGCAUAUCAACUUCCAAUCCCAACAAUGUAUACAUGGUACAAGCCAUCUCACUAACUUGUAACUAUGAUGUAAUGUAUAACAAAGUAGUAGAUUGAAUACAAAACAAUAAUCAAAACUAAGAAUCACACACAGAGCAGGCUAACCUGUCAACUAGAUAAUCAGAAUCCAUGGACAUCCUAUUGAGUCUGCUCACACUCUGCUCAACAGCACGACGAAGUUUUGCAUUGUCUUCCUCGAGCUUAUUCACUCUGCUCUUCCCUUCUGCAAACUUCCUUUCAACGUCUGAAAGCUUGGCUAAAAUUUCUUCUUUCUCCCUCUUUGAUUCCUCUGUCCCUAUCUCUGCUUCCUGGAUAAAUCAAGGCAUAUCACUCUCCAAAAAAUGGGUAAAUGGAACUUUUACAAUAUAAAAUAAACCAUUAGUUUUCUGGGUCAGCAAAAGCAGUAAAACAUGCUUUGGCUUGAAGCAGUACUCAUCUGACAAAUACAACAGCAGCUUCAUUCUUAGCAAAACUCAGGAAACUAUAAUGAUGCUGCAAAAUGCAUAUCAAAACAAGAAUAAAAAAGGGUAAAAUACAGUGUUAAUUAGAUUCUCUCUUUUAAAAAUUAAUUAGACAAGUUCAAUGACAAUUUGAAUGCACAGCCUGUAGAUAAGGUUGUGCACAUGACAGUAUCUCAAAAGUACAAGACUGCAAAACCUUACAAGACAGAAACUUUCUUCAUGUCAGAAAAACUAGGAGCUUGUAAUGAUUCUGCAAAAUGCAUAUUAUAACAGAAAUACCUUGAUAAGUAUUUGAACAUUUGGCCUUUGAACAGCAUGAGAAGAUUUUCUUCUUGAAUAAAAAAAAAUCUUAUUGAGAAAACGCAAUGACAAUUCAAAUGCACCAUCAGUAGAUAAGAUUGUGCACAUGCCAUAUCACAUCAAUCUAACAAUACAAAAAGUUACAGAAGCCCUUCAUCUCAUAGACUUUGUACAUUCAUGGAAGAACAGCCCUCUAAAAGAUAAUUCAACAUUGCUCAUAAUACAGACAUCAAAUUCCAGUUACUAAGUUAUGAAGACAUCCAAUUCACAUCACAAAAAAUUCAUAAAAGUAAAUAUUAUACAUAAGAAAAUUAAGGAUUUUCAGGAACAUUUAUGAAUUAUCUGAUCUGAAGUAAUCUGAGCAGUUUGACGAUUUUAAAAUUAAAGGUUUAGAAAACUAACAAGACUUGGAAUAAGAAGGAAGGUGAGGCCAUACUUUCAAAAGUUGAAAACGCUUAGCUGAUUCUUCUUUUGUCAAAGCCAACUGUCGCUCCAAAUAUUCCUGAUAAAACAACAACAACAACAACAACAGGAACAAUAGUUAAAAAAACAACCUGGAGACUGCAAGACAUCAAACAUAACCUGUAGGAAACGGAAGCAAAGAUUACCUUUGCUUCAACUUCAGCAAAAUACUGCCCAAGAGCAGUUUGAAGAUUUAGAAGUUCAACAUUUUUUGAUUCUAUUGUGCUCAUACAGUUUGCAAGUUUUUUUUUCAAAUCUUCAGUCAUUUCUUUGGACUUCUGGAUUUCAUUGCUGUUCAUCAUCCUGACUUCCUCCUGGCCUGCAAUUGCCUGCUUUAGAGCUUUCUCCAAAUGUAAUAUUUGAGCCUUUUGAUAUUCAUUACUCUGACGGAGUUCUUCAAUGAUCUUACUGUCUUCAUCCAUUUUUUCCGAUUCUUCAGAUUCCUAGACAGCAGAAGUCUUUAAGGACUGAGAACUUCAUAGCCUACAUUUACUUCAAUAACAUGCAAAGGAUCACAAGAUCCAAACAACACAGAUAAUACCAAGCCAAUAUCGUAAUUAUCAAUAUCAUUAUAUGGAGUGGCUAUUUCAAGUCAUGUUUGGACAAAACAAAAUUGACACAGCAAACAUGAGUGCACAGCAUAAGCUUUGGCAUGGGAAAUUGAAUUUACUAAAAUAUCAAUGUAUCUCCAAAAGAUUCCAGAUGAUAAACCAUUGAAUAAUGUUUGCCACAUGCAAUAGUGGGAAACUUUGACAAGAGGGUUUGAAAUGUUCUCAGUUCCUGUAGAUGGAGUUGAAUUUAUUAAUGAGCUAACAUAUCAAAGUAUCUCUAGAACUCCUGAAGAGAAACAAUCAACUCAUAAUGAAUGCAUGCACUAGUUAGAUUCUUUAUCACGAAAUUUUGUUGUAAUAUUAGCCAUAAUUGUAAAAUGAGUAAAGCAGUGAUUGCAAAACCAUCAUUUCUUAUCUUUCUUAUUUAUUAUAGUACAGUUUGUCAUUUACAUCUCUAAGGUCAUGCCAGUUUUAUGGAAGAGAGAACUUUAUGGUGCAGCAUAUCAGAACUGUUGAGUUGAACUUGAAAAAUAAGCAAAAGUCAGCAACAGAUCAAAGCAAUAAAGUAAAGAAGCCAUGCGAGAUUACAAUAAGAAAUGGCAAUUUUAGGAGUAGCAACCUUUUCCAACAAAUGCUGUUUGAGACGGGCCAAUUGUUGCAAUGCUUUCUCCUUUUCAUGGCGUGUUUCCUUCAAAUCUCUCUCCAAUUUUUGCAGCAAUAGCUCCAUUUCCUCCUUUCUAGGAGAAGUUGUAGUUGAAUCCACUUUCUAGGAGAGGAAUGGAUGAUGAAGAUGGAAAUUUUGAUGAGGAUGAUUAUGAUAACAAUAGUAAAAUAUUUGUGUAAUUGAAGAAACAAAAGAUGUGUACCAGGGGCAGUGAGAAUAUAACUCUCUCUCAAGUAACAACCACGUGUGUGCAUAAGAGGUAGAUAGAGCCUUUGUGUGGGAAACUGUGGGAGUGCGCCCAUACGUGUGCAUGCAGAGAAAGAGAGAGGGAGAGGGAGAGUAAAAUUACCCCAUCUGGAGAAGUUUCGUUAGGAGAAGAGUUCUUGCUUCUUUUCAAAGCAGCCUCAAGUUCAUUCCUUGCCAUCUAAAAUAGAAUAUAGGUGAGAGAUUUAGGAACCCAACAUAGAAAAGGUAUUAUGAAUUUUUGUGACAUACAUGGCACCAUGGUUAUUAAACCCGGCCUGGGGGUCGACCUGGCCUUGGCAGGGUCUCAGGUCACACUGGGUCAACCCAUGAAAAUUAAAAAAAAAUAUUUGAGGUUUUAAUAUCUCACAUGAAAAAAUUAAGAAACAAUUCAUGUGGAAGUGGGCUAUAUAUAUAUAUAUAUAUCCCACGUCGAAAAGUUAAGAAACAUUCUAUGUGAAUGUAGGCUAUGAGAAAAAUAUAUAAGGCAAAGUAUUCAUAAAUUAAUUUUAUAUUUUUUGGUUUCAUUUGAAAAAAAUAUAAAAAAAAAGUCGGGUCUAACCCGAUUAUGUCAGGUCACCCGGGUUUUGAAUUGACCCAGCAGGUCGCCCAGGUUUGACUGGGCCAAUUACAAGUUCAGGUUUUGCUUAUGUGAAAUCAAGCCAAGGCCCCAAGCUUAUGUGAAAUCAAGCCAAGGCCCCAAGUCCCAGGUCAAUUUGCCAAGCCGAGCCAGGUUUCAUAGCAAUGCAUGGCACACUUCUUGCAUGGAUGACAUUUUAAAAUGCAACUAACCUUCAUAUUAGCAUUUUCCUUCUCUAAGGUUAUAUAUAUAGUAUUCCACAUCGAAAAGUUAAGAAACAUUCUAUGUGGAUAUAGGCUAUAAAAGAAAUAUGAGAAGCGAAAUAUUUAUAAAUUAAUUUUAUAUUUUUUAGUUUUAUUAAAAAAAUAUAAAAAACAAAUCAGGUCUCACCCAGAUUGCGUCAGGUCACCCAGGUUUCGGGUUGACCCAGCAGGUUGCUCGGGUUUGACCAGACCAAUUGCAAGUCUUGGUUUUGCCUAUUUGAAACCAAGCCAAGACCCUGGGUCGUCCACUGGGCCAAGCCAGGUUUCAUAACAAUGCAUGGCACACUUCUUGCAUGGAUGGCAUUUUAAAAUGCAACUAACCUUGAGAUUAGCAUUUUCCUUCUCUAAAGUUGCAAUGACUCUUUUCAAACUCUUUACAUUGACAUUGGGAUCUUCAUCUUCCCGCGUACUCAACUCUAUCUGCAAUCGUCUUAUCUCUGAUGUUUUUUCAUUCAAUUCAUUAUGAAUUUUGCUCACAUCUACUGAGGUCUAUAAAUUGAGAAAACACGUCAACAAAACACAAAAGUCAGAUCUCAAAUCAGAAAGAAAAUAUAGAAAGUCAUACAUACAUGCAUACAUUUAUUCAAGCAUAAUAAGAAAAAGAAAGAUGAUGUAACAAAAUCAGCACUGCUAGAAGCAUAAAAUAAUAUAAAGAAAACAAACAUAAGGUCCUAAACUGAUAGGUAGUAAUGGGAUGAUCCAAAAACAUGUAUACGACUACAUUUAUAGAGGUACAGAAAUGUUAUGCAUAUGCCAUCUAGAACAUACAUAUUUCCGGAAACUCCUAAAUUCUGUAAGUGCUCCUUAGUGAAAAGGACAGAAAGACUAAAGAAACCAGAGCAGAAUAAGAACAAAACUGAAUGUAUGCAUGGAAUAAUAUUCCACAGAAAUUAGGAGCAUGUAAUAUGAUAAAGCACUCCAACUAUCCAUUUCUUUUCCCUAAAAAAUACCAAAUAACAGGUCUUUCCCGUAAACUAACGUCCUCAGUCUUCACAGGAACCAUCGGAAUUUCCUGGUACUACCCCAAUCAGGAAAAAUGGGACAAUUAUGCUAACAACAUAGAGUAGCAACAAGAAGUUCCAUCUCACUACCUUCUCACAGAUUGGUAAGACACAUCUAGAUAACAACAUAUCUCACUAACAGUAACUGGUGCAACAUGCUUGUACCAGACAUGGUAAAUAUGCAACAGAUGAGAGAAUGAUCAGUAGAGCCAUAGAAUCAUCAAAUAAAAUUGAACUCACUUUGUGAUGGUCCAUAUUUAGAAUCCGGAGCUCCUCCUGAAAAGAUUUGUUAAUACUUUGUUCCUCUGAAUAAAUGUUGGAGACAACAAAUAAAAAGGAAGACGAGUGAAAAAUUUUGGUAAGUAAUUCAAGCGACACCAAGAAGAAUUCAAGAAGACAAAAGGAAAACAUCAUAUUAAAUUUUUAAGUGAAGAGUUACACCUUGCAAUUUUAUCUGUAUAUUUGCUGAUUUGCGGCGUUCUUUUUCAAGUUCAGUUCUUAGCUCUUUUAUUUCCAACUCAUGAGUAGCUUUCAUUGCUGCCAGAGACCUAUUUUUCUCCUCCAGCAAAUCUGCAAGCUCCUAGAAAGCAUUCAUAUAUCUGUUGUCAAGUUUGUUCAUUUAAAGAACAAAUACAUAAUGAAAAACACUAUCUGCAAGUAGACAAGUACAAAAAGGGUAAUCUACUGCUGAGUCCGUUUGUCAGUCAAUUAUAACGCACCAAAACAAUAGGAAAAAAAGAACUUGCAAUGUAAUACAAGUGAAAAAAGGAGGGGGGGAGGGGGGGUUACAUCCACAAAUUUAAAUUUCAGAAAUUUAUGAACCAAGUGGUGCAGGCAAGGCAAUCAACAACUGACAAUAACAAUCAUCUUACAAAAUUCCCAGAGGCAUAUUCUUACAUGACAGAACAGGGUGCAAUGUGUCAUUACCUUGUCCUUCUUGGUUUCCAUCUUACUCUGAAUCACAUCAGGAUGAACAUCAUGUAAUAUUCCAUUGCCCAUUCCAUCAUGUUUUGGAAAGACUCUGUUUUGUAUUUGAUUUCCACCACGGUUUUUUGCUUGAGUUGCAGGUCUAUGUGGUCGUUUGGGUGAUUGGUCGCCACUUUCCUGUAAAAAUAUCAGCCUGUACUUUUCAGCUUGUUGGAAGGAAAAACAAUACAAAACAUAGAACAUGGUAUUUUCAAUCCCAUAGUAGAAGAAUCAUACUCGGAAACAAAUAUUUUGCACAAAACAAUAAAGCCAAAAGCUGAAUAGAGAACGAGAGGCAGGUCAAAUUCUAGAUUAAAAAGGUGCCUUCCAAGACAGCUUAUGUCAUGAUGGACAAAGGACAUACGUAAGGCCGGCAUAAUUCUGAUAUAGGCAAACACUAAGAUCAACAAUCCAUUGUAAACUAAACCUAUGCUUCACUUUAGUUUCACUGUAAAUAGAUCGAAGUAGUAAAGAAGUCAUGUAAUAUCAUUUUUGAUAUUUGCUGUCAGGUCAUGUUACAAGUGAAGUGUUUACAUUUUCGAUCCUAACUAGCACCUCACGCAGAUCAUAUGAUGGACAACUAAAACAAAGAAUGAAAAUGAUCAUCACACAUUGUUUCUGUUCAAAAUGUUAAGGUGGUCAAAACUGUAUCACGCUAAAUCCCACCAAAGUACUCAAUUGGCUGAUACCAAGUUUCUACAAAUAUUAAUUGGGCAAGCUUCAUGGGACAACUAAGAAACAACUCAGUAAAGAGGGGGUAAGCUGGUCAGAUAACCGUGUAACAAGACAUACCACAUGAAUACAAACUGCCUUUUUCCUAUAGGUCAUAAAUCAUGCACUAUAACUGCAGAAAAAAUAACAUCACACAGUAUCAAGCUCUCAAGUUUACUUGGAUAUAAUCUAAGCAAAGCAACAGAGAUGAUCAGUACUUACCAAAAUACUGUGGAACUCAUAGUGCAUGUUCAAUAAUGAGUAACUAAACAGAUUAAACUUUCAAAUCAAAUAAUGCAUUUUAAUUGAGAUUUGAAUAACCACCUUGAUGCUACUUGUUGAUGCUCUUCGAUGCUCAUUUCUAGACACAUUAAGAGCCUCCUUUGUCACAUCCAAAUUUUGCUUCAACGAACCAUUUUCUUGGUUCAAUCUAGAAAUCUGAUCCUGUAACAUUGGGAUAGAAGAGCAACAGAUUUAAUUUGUCAAAGGCCCUUGAACAUAGAACUAAUGGAAACUAGUUAAUGUUAAUUGAGAGUUAAUAAGCCAAAAAUAUACUCUAGACUCCAAGACAAUCAUGAAAAACAUGAAUUUAAUAACGAAACCCUAAAAUGAGCAAAUAGAACAUGGUGGUCGAUAACUGCAAAAUGAAAUGCAUUUGAUAUCAAUUCUGGACAUGUUGUCUCUUGCCAGUAAAUAUUAUUUCCUUCGAUAGAAUGUGCAUGUACAGCAAAGAUAAAAAGGACAUGGCAUUUAACUAUCAGAGUGCACUUUGCACCUGAAAGCUAAAGGUUUUUCUGUCAUUCAUCGGUACUUAUUUCUCAAUUUUGAUGUUUGAGACAUAAUGAUAAGCAGGAAUAAAAAACUAGCCAAAAAAUUACUGAAUUUCUGCAGCAAAAAAAAAAAAAAAACAAAACAAAGAUUGAUCAUGUACCUCUUUCUCUUUUAAUAUAGCUGCAUAAUUCACAGAUAAUGCUUUAAUCUCCGCCUCAGAUUCCUGGUGCCUUUUGAUUUGUGCUUUGUACUGUUCAAUCUACAAGAAGAAGAAAGAAAGAAAGAAAUAUAUCUCUAUAGCAAAACCAAUCAACUAACCACAUAUUCCACGUUACAUAACACCCCACACAAGCCACAACAAGAAUGCUAUCAACAUAAACUUCUUAUGCAAAUCAACUCAUCUUAACCUUUCUUUACAAAUAAACAUUUUCAGCCUAAAUUACUUCCAUUUACAGCUAUCGUUGGUCCAAAUACUUUUCAAAUAAUCAGCCACGAGUCUCGAGCAAGACCGAAGCUCGCCUGCUUUCGAGCACGUUAUUACAAAGUUGUCAAUGAUUUGGCGAUUACGCACUAAAAUGCAGUACGCUUUACAACUGACUGAAGUGGGGAUCAUAAAAUCUCUAAUUAAUUAACACGAUAAUUCGUAUAUUUCCAUUCCUUGAUUUUUGAUCGAAAUUGAUACCAGCAGGGAUCAAUAACAAGUUCUUGCAGUUCCAAUAACAAAAAAAAACCGUCAUCAAUAAUUAAAUCAUGAAAACACAUUGAACAACAAAUACCUCAAAAUUGUACGGUGAGUCAUUCCCAUUCGCAGUAGGAGACGGUGAGACCGACUUCGAAUGCGCGAAACGGUGAGAAUUCCUCCGAUCAGAUACCGACGAAUCGUAGCCAUUGGUGGAAGCAUGGAUCUCGAGAUCCUCAUCGUCGUCAUGAACAUCAAGUGCAAUCUUUUCAAGGUUUUGCUUCAAAUUCGCAAUGGAGCUCCACAUCAUUCACAAAUCUCAAACAAACCAAAAAUCAAAUAAAAAUCAAUUGUAGUUGUAGCUGAGGUUUGGUAAAUUUAGCGUGAGAGAGAAGAUUGGGGUUUUUGUUUCUGUUGGUAGAUCUGAAAUGGAAAGGUGUUAAAAGAAGAAGAUUUGGUUUUUAAUGAAAAGAGUAGUAAUAAUAAAAAUAAUUUCGUAGUACUUGUCGGGGGGAAGAGAAUAAAUUGCGUUACGUGAUAGAAGUUAUAGUUUGCCCCCCUUUGAGUUGUUAUGUGAUUUUAUUUGGCAAUCAAACUUUGCCUCUUGUGAUUCUUACCGCCAUUGGAGACCGUAGACGGGGUCGGGAAGAAAAUACAGAGUAUUUUGUUUUAUUGUUUUUAAAGCAAGUUAAAAAAAUAAAUAAUUAUGUUUAUUUGUUCUACUAUUAUGUUUUUUUCUUUGGGGAAACUGACUACCUUUUCUUUCGGUAUGCAAUCCACAUGAUUGCCGUAUAUUUAUAUCCUUAUUGGAAACUCUCUCAUAUCUUUAUAAAAAAAAAAACCUAUUUUUAAAAUGUCAAAUAGUAAAGUUAAUCAGUGCAAAACAGUAUAGUUGCUACUAGCCCAUUGGUCUUUGCUAAGCGAUGGAGUAAAAUUUGUUUUUUUUUUUUAAAUAGAUUUUGUUAACAUUUCUUUUUUUUUAAAAAAAAAAUAAUCAUUAAUUUAAAAUCAAUUGAGGAAGAAAUGAUAUUUUUAUUUAGCAUCAAAAAAGAAACACAUUCCAAAUUGACAUGCACAAGUUGCAGGAAUAAUCUUAAAAAAAAAUUAAUAAAGAAUCUAAAUCUCAAAUUAAUUCAAUAUUAAAAAAUAAAAUUUAAAAUAAAUUAAUUUUUUAAAAAAAUAAAUGAACUUGAGUCAAUCAAUUAAACUCUUGAUACAAGUCAUGCAUGUCAUUAGAUUUAAUAUAAAUUUUAUUUCAUAAAUUAUUUUUUUAUUUAAUAGAUUUAUAUGAUAAUAAAAAACAUGUGUUUUUUUAUAUGAAAUAUUUUCUUAAAAAAAAAAAACAUGACAAGCAUGCGAGAUUAAGAUAGCAAAGGCAAACAAUCGAUAAAUAAAUGGUGUAAUUGCAUUUUUCUUUUUUAAAUUAAGGUAUGAAAAAGGUAUUAAACAAAAAAAAUAAGUUGGAUGUUGUGGCUUAACUCACCAAAUUUGCAAUCUGGAUCAUGGAAUCAAUCGGGUUAGUUUUUAUUUUCAUAAAUUUGUAUCUAAAAAAAAGGCUAAGAAAGAGGCCAGUGUAAAAGAAACAACUCAAACACGUGGGCCUUUAAGCCCAGGUUAUCCGCUUGGGCCUAUUCUUGUUCAAAGAGAUGGACAACAAGUCGUUAAUCCCUUAUCAUGUUUUUUUAAAAAAAAACAGACAAGCGAUGCAUUGUUUUCUAACUCGGAUUUUAGGCACCACUGUGAUGGUCAGAAAAUCAAGGCUAUAAAUUUUUAACCUAACAACUAUUUUUUAACUCAUUUAAAGCCACAAACACCUAAAAAACCAAUCUUAAAACUUGUAGAAACCAAUCUAGCAAUCCAAUAAACUUGAAAAACAGCUAAAGUCACAAAAUCAAAAUAAAUAAAUUCCCUCAUCCUUGACUUAAAUAUAUUUUUUAAGUGAUAUUAUGUUCAAAGCAACCAUUAUAAGACUCUCAUCACUUAAAGGAACCCAUCAACACCAAUUUUAAUCAUUUUGGUGGUUGAAACAGGUAUAAACAACAACUUUUUUUUCUAUACUGGAAUUUGACAGUAAUCUUUCUCCCUCUCUCCUCUCAUAAAAAAAACUAAAAAAUGAAGGGAAAUGAACUUUCAUAUAAAAAUUAAAUCUUUAAAAAUUAAAAGGAACAAUCACCUAUAAACAAAAAAAAAAAAUAAGGAACCGAAAUAAACUUUUGUUGUGAAAUUUAAAGUCACCACUUAUUUUAGUUGUUAUUUUAACUUUGGUUCGCUGAUUGUCAAUCCAAUCCAACAAACCUUACUACAAAAAUUAAAUUUUUAAAAACUAAAAGGGUCGAUCACUUAUAAAUAAAAAAAGAAAAGGGAUUAAGAUAAACUCUUGUUAUGAAAUUUAAAGUCAACACCUAUUUUGUUUGUUAUUUUAACUUUGGUUCUAUAAUUUUCAAUCCAACCCAACGAACUUGGGUAUAAAAAUUAAAAUUUUAAAAACUAAAAGGAUUGAUCAUUUAUAAACAAAAAAAAAAUGGGUCAAAAUAAACUUUAUUUUAUGAAAUUCAAAGCCAUUAUCUAUUUUACUCAUUUUAACUUUGAUUUUCUAAAAACCUUUUAUUCUAAAAAGUUGCUAAUUUAAAUUAAAAAUAACUCAGCUAUAUAUAAAAAAAUGUUAAAGAACCAAAUGUUGGUGGUUCAUGCUGCUUGAACUUGCAUCUUGUCUUACGUGCAGCUGCAGCUAGUUUUGUUCUCUUAAAAAUAAAGUUUACGGUGAUUCAUGAAUGCACCACAAUAUUUGAAGCUGGGGUAGUUUUAAGUUGCUCGAAUAGGAAAUAGUCAAUUGGAUAUUAUCGAAUAGCUGAUGGAAUGGGAGGCUCUCACCGCGCUUGCUCAUGCUUAAACUGAUGGCACCACUGAAGUUGUUGGAGAAAAGCUUGAAUCCAGUAAGAUUCUGAAGUUCAAGAAAUGAAUCAGAGACAUGCCCUUCGAAAUUGUUGAUGCAGAUCAACAACACUCAGGGCGAUAAAUAUGCUCGUUAAAAAUCUUGCAGGACACCACCAAGGCUGUUUUGACUUGGCAGCAAUCUCUCCAGGGAAGGAAGCUCAAAAAGCGACGAGUUCAAUGUCGCCUCCAUUGAACUGCUCUCAGUAGAAAGAGAGCCUGGAUUUGCUAACCCAACAUGGUUUAUUGUAUCGAGUAGUACUCUCGGGCCUUUUUUUAACGGUGGAAGGAACGGAAUCCAUCCAAGAAGCUUGUUGCAUGAGAGUUUUAAGUGAAUAAGAUGGGUUAGGCUUGAGAAGAAGGUAUCAAUCCAGAGAGAGUACGAUUCCUUGAGUCCAGUUCAGUAAAAAAAUUGAAGAUUACCAAUUGAAUCUGGGAUUUCUCCAUAAAACUCGAGAAGCAUAAAGACAAGACUUUUAAGUGCUUGUCUACUAGAAAUUCCGGCUAAGUCCAGAACAAGGCAUAUUUCUUGAUAAAUCAAAAGUCUUCAGGUUUGGCAGUAGCACGAUACCUUUCGGAGACAUUUAAGAGAGAUUGUUGCCAUCAAGGUCAAGCUUUGAAAGCAAUGAAAGGUAACUAAGUGAUUCACAAAUGGGACAUUGGAGGUGACAGUGUGACAAGCUCAGGACUUGAGAUUUGGGGGGUUGCAAUUUUCAAAAACUUAUUUUGAAGUUUAACCUUCUUGUUGCAUUAUUUGUAAAGUGAUAUUUUUUGAAUUAUUAAAAUAAAAAAACUAUGGUAUUAUUUUGAAUUAUUAAUAUUGUUAAAAUUAUUUGAGUCAUUUGAUUGUCUGUUUUGAUAAUAUGAUUUGUGUUGGUUAGAUAUUUAUUUUAUUUAAGUUUGAUUUGAGAAAACUCAAGAAUUUUAUUGGAAUAUUUGUAGAAAUUUUUUUUCUCAACAUUCCAAUAAAAAUAUUUUGAUUGAUUUUUUUAACAAAUAUAUGUCUUUUUUUAAUUUUUUCAACAAAUAUUUAAUAGAAAAAUAAUAUAAAAUAGGUCUAUUUAUAUUUUCUUUAAUGCCUAUAUUUUAAAUAUAAGUUUCAUUGCAACACAAAAAUAAUUCAAUGGAAAGAUCGUGAUCAAAAAGUUUUUUUUAACAAAUAUAUAUUUUUUGAAAUUUUUUCAAUAAACAAUCAAUAUGAAAUUGGUAUGUUUAUAUCUUCUUAAAAUAUCUAAAGUUUAUGUUAUUUUAAAUAAAUAUAAGGGUUAUUGUACCAAAAAAUAACAAAAAUAAUUAUUCGGUUGAACUUAUUAUAUGUCGAUUCAAUUAAUUAAUAUAAGAUUUAUAUAACAAAAAUAAUUUCUAAAUCAAGAAUAAAAUAGUUAAAAUUGUCAAUUCAAUUAAUUUUUAUAGGUAUUUUAAAUAGUAUAAUUGAACUUAUUAUAUGAUUUAAUAUUUUAUUUUAAAUAUAAAAAUUGUAAUAAAUUAUUAAUUAAAUUUAAAUUUAUUUAUAAAAAACUCAGUAUAUGAUUUGAUUUUAAUAAAAUAAUAAAAUCUCAAAAUGCCACUACAUUUUAAUCUUUCUUCGGUUGUAAUUUUGAUUUAUUCGGUUGUAAUUUUGAUUUUUGUACUUUAAAUACUCAAACGGGAUGUGAGAGAUUAGGAAAUCUAUCAAAAUGUUCGAUUUUAUUUUAAAAAAUAACUAUCAAUGAGUUUUCAUGUAGACAAAAAAAAAAACUCACACUAUUAAUUUAUGAAUUUUUUCAGUUUAAUUUUACCGUUUGAAUCUCUCAAAAAAUAUUUUUUAAAAUAAAAGGUCUUUUUUUCCCUUAAAAUUAAAUUUUCAAAUUACCAUCUUAAAAAGAAAACCUUUAUAUAUAUAUAUAUAUAUAUGGUGCUUUUCAAGGCCUUUAGGGUAAUUACAGCGUCUGUAUGAUUUUAAUAAGUUCGCAUAACAAUCGAAUCCAACGAUCGAGAUACAUCGGAUUUUUUCUCGCCCUCUGCUAUAUAAAGAGCUAUCCAGCUCUCUAUUCUGUGUGAAAGAUCAGACAAUUUGCUAGGGUUUGGCACUUCGUGGCCGCCUUUCUUCUUUUUCUCUUCUGUAUUAUCAUGUUGCGUGUUUCCAGUAGAUGCGAUGAUGAUAGAACAGUAGGUUAAAAACCCUUGAUUGUGUGGUGGGUUCAUAGCCUCCACCCAAGAUGAGUCUCCUUUUCUGGUUCGUAUUCACUGAGCAUCUAUGAUUUCCUCUACUUCUAUCGUCUUGUCUGGAGUGGAUUUAAAGUUUUUGCAACGAAGGUACCUAUGGAGGGGGUGCUAUAAAAGUGCACUCCUUGUCCAAGUUUGCCUUCGAAAAUUAGAAUCGAAUGACAGAUUUCGCAUGAACUGUAAUCUAUUUCUUGUGAUUUUCAGUUCACAGAUCUGAUUUUCGUACAUGUAUAAUUAUACUUGAAAUUGUCAUGUCUGUAAACUCUGAUACAAUGCGAAGGUCCCAGCAGAGGGGUAAGGAACUCUAUAAAUUGAGGCCCCUCUAACAAUCAUAAAAAUUCCUUCGCAGAUUAAUUUGCCGAAUCGUAGGAUGCCCUGAAUUUCUCAUGACGGGCCGUCUUGAACCCUCGGCUAAAUAUCAAUGUCUGUCUAGUCUUGCAUCUCACUUUUCUAUCCUGAUCUUUCAAUUGAAAAGACUAAAUUUUUAAACGAUAGCUACUUAUUUUUCUUUCCCCAUGAAGAAAGUCCAUUUAUACUAUGUGAAUCCGCCAGGCCAAGUUAAAGCAUGUAUUUAAAUCUUGUGAAAGGCAAGAAGACUCUGGAUAAUGGACAAAGUAAAACCAUUGGAGAGAACUUUUUCUCUGAAAAAAAGAUUUAGAUGGAGGAAAUUAUCACUGCUUUAACAUGUAGGAGGGAAAUUGAUGAGUGAGUACAGCCAGAUGCUGUUAACUUAAAAUGGGGUCAUUGUUUCAGUCAACUAGACUUUCUGGAGAUGAACAUUUCACCUUAACUAGUUUAAGGAUACAUGUUUUCUGAACAAGAACCAUGAACUGUUAAAUGUUAAUAGAUUUUCUUUGUUUCGAGAAAUAUACUGAAAUGAAUAAAGAACAGCUGAGCGGUGCUGUUGGCUGCUCAAACAAAUUGUCCAGUUCAGUUAAUAUAAAUGAGGGAGAAUGGGGCAAGAAACUUUGGGCGGUGAAAUUUGGUUUAGAUUCGGAAAGGAUUUCUGACUAAAGGCUGUGCAGUUGGAGGCAGGUUGUGAAUCAGUGUAUCAUUUCAUCAGAGGUAACAUACAGGGACCAAUAUAUGUGCCUUGUGCUAGCAACUGGAUUAAACUUAUUUCAGGGCUUCUCCACAAGGAUUGGGAUGUGACAGUUACCCGUGUUUACAGAAAAGCCAAUAUCUGUGCUGAUGGAUUGGCCGUGGGGUGGGUGUUGAUGAAAGUCACAGGGUGACUUAUUGCACAGAGCCUCCAGAUUGUGUGACGAGGAUAAAUUGCAGAGGUUUUUGUAACCUGGGAAACUAUAGGUUAUGCAAGUAGCAUCUUCUGUUUCUUUUUUUCCGGGCUUUACGCUCCUGUUUAACACCCAAAAAAAUAAAAAAAACACUGCUAUUACGCAGCAAGAAACGGAAAUUCUCGAUUGCAAAUUCUAAACAGAUAAAAAAUCUAUUUUCGGGCUGCACAUCCUACUCAUACCAUUAUAUGCACCGGAAUUUUCUUGGAAACAAUGAAAGUUUGCAGACUUAUGUAGCUGCAUAAAAGUCCCCAGUUUCUUCACAAUACACCGACACAGGAAGGAUUAGUCGGUGCAGAAGCCGAACUGAUAUUUGGUUGCAGCCCAUUCAUUUAGGCCUAACGAGGUAGGAUGCCCAUAUAUCAUCUGCCGGCGGUGGUGGCUGAACCCAGUGGCCUGGUAUGCGGCUGCACUCAAGUUCCACAGAACAAUUAGGGGAAAAACAACUACACAAGGUUGGUAAACUAUGAACAGCUAUAAAAUGCAGCUUCCAGGAAAAAGAAUGAUUGGCAUGCUUACCUUCCUCCUGGUCUUAUAUACGCAUCCCAUGUUCUUCUAACCUGCAAGCAAAACGAAGAAAUAAUGGAUCUCUCAGCAAUUGUCAAUCCAGAAAGACACAAAUGCAUGUAGCCUUUAUAGUUAAGGCUAUUUGGAGCUCAGUGAACUGAGCACGUAAACUUGUAAUGUGCUAACUGAACAGACAAACUCUAUAACGUGAUUAUAUCUUACAUUCUGUAAGAAAAGGUGUAUCCUGGAAAGUGUGAAAAAUCAGUUUAAGUUGCUGAAAAUCACCUCGAUAAGUGUGCCCAUAUCAUUAUUGCUGCCAUGAUAAUAGUGGUAGAAUUCAAUUGGCAAAUUUGCUACAGAAUCAUAAGCUCCACCAUAAACUUGACCUUUAGAUCCUUUUUCUCCAGAUGGACCAGGAACUGCACCAGAGCCUAAAUUGUCCGUGCUCUCAUUUAUUUCAUCAUUACUUUCCUUCAUUCCAUCUUUGGCAUCACUUGCAUCUUUAGUGUGCAGCCCACCACUCUGGAUUGUUUUCCUAGAUUCCUCAGCUGUUGCAAUGGCACCCUUGGCAGCAUCUGUUUCAGCUGCAGCCAUUGCUUGGCGCUCUUCUUCCUCAACUGCAGCUCGAACUCUCUCAAGAAACUUGUCAUCCUCCUCGGGGAGAAAAUGUCCUGCAUACAACCAACCAUAAUUAAAGGUAAAAAAUAGACAAUAUGACAUUACAUGAGCAUGGACACCACAUGCAUCACACAAAUGACGCACUUAAGAACAGAAACAAGACCCAUACAGGGGUGGUGCCACGGCCAGCCACCUCUGUAUAAAUAAAUAAUUUUUUUUUUCUUUUUUUGAAGUCCUAUUAUUUCUAACUUGGUCCCACCAACUAUUUUUUCACCCCCCACCACUGGACCAUAAAUCAUCGAGUUUCACAAUAACUAUCAAAGAUAAAAGAGUCUCACUGUCUUAGUUGUGAUGACUAUCUUCAGAGCAAGCUGAUAAGUUUUAUACUCUGUAAUGGUCGAGGUGUAUUCAUAAUAACAUUCACCAAGGAAAGAUGCAUACAUUUGAACUUGCCAAAAAAUUUUCAAAUCCCACUUUAAACACAAAUGCCACAUCCGAUGCAUCAAACUUAUACUAGCUGAAAACCAUAUUCAUGAAAUUAGAAAUGCAGUUGUAUUUAACAUGGAAAAUAUCAUAGCACUGUAGGACUGGAAAAAACAAAUCAUAAGAACAAAAAAUUACAUCGCAGCAGGCAUGCACACAGUAAAUAAAAAAGAAAAAGAAAUUUAUCAAGCAUACCUUGUUUCUUCAAUUUUUGAAUCCUGAUGGAGCGCAAUUCUUGCAACUUCUCCACAACUAAUACCAGCUCAAGCUGAAACACUUAAAAUUACUUAAGAUUGGGCACCGGCCACAGAGGAGAAAAACAAACUCAAGAACAGAAACAGCAUGAUAUUAGACAAGUGUUUUAACUCUAAAUGGUCCAAUGAAUGCUCUACUAACUCUUUACUAAUAGUCAACACUCAUUGCAAACUCUUACCAGCAGUGAUGCAGAAAUUAAUGUGAACCAGGAGAUUAGCUACAGACAGCUUUGAGCUUUGUAAAACAAUUACAAAUCCGAAAAUAUUAAAAAAGUUUGUAUGUUAUGUAACUAGUAGACUGACUACUCAAUUCAUUUGAUAUAGAAUGCUUCUGUGAACAUAUAAGAUAUUAAAUACACUUUUUUUGGUAUAUGCAUCUAUAAAAUAUGUGAUAUCAUUAUACUAGAUCCCAAAAUAUCAAAGCAAGAUGCGAGUGAGAUGAUAUCAACUUGUUAAGAAUGUAUGGGAGUUGGUGUAUAAUGUUUCUUAAAUUCUCACCUCAGAUUCUAGCCUCUUCCUCUCUUCUUUUGCUUUAAGCUUUGCAAUUUCUUUCAUCUUUUCCACCUGCAACCGCGAAUGCCUAAGUUAAAAUUGAUAACCUCAUGCAAACAGCAAAUACAACUGAUGUCAACAAAAUGACGUGAUUUAAAAAUAAAAAACAUGAUGACACAAUCUUCAAAGCUAGAUAUUUAGACAAGUUUAGUAUAACAUACAUUUAACAUGCCACCAUCUAACAAAAGAAUUAUAAGAUCAUGCUGUUUCAAAAUCUCAUAUUUCAGUCUCCCAGAUGUGUCACCCCUCAUGUUGAAAACAAGAGCAAUAGAAAAUACAAUGAAUACCAUAAAUAUACCAAUGCAACACAAAAUGAACAAGAGAAAAGGCACCUGAGCUUAAACUUCAUGUACCUAGAGUACUGGAAUAGAAUCAAUAUGCAUGAGUUGAACUUCUGACAGCAAUUAUAACCGUUUAAGAACAGAUGGUUCUUUCAAGCAAGAGAAGCAUGAAAGUUGAGGGUGCUUGGAUGCUUGUUAAAAGAAAUUGAAUGCCCCAACAAAUGCAAGGUGUCCUGUGAAUCAAAUAUGUUCUUUCAGGUAUCUUACAACAUCAGUCUUGCACAGUCAUUCAAGUUUGUUUGGAAUAUUUGCACAAUAUAUUUUAUUGAAAACUAAAUUGGAGAUCUCACAAAUCCAUUUACUGGCCUUCAAAGCAAUCAACUAGCACCCAGUAAUCACCUUAUUAGCUCUUUCAACUGGUUUUGUGCAUGAGACAAUCUUAGAUUGUUCUUCUAAAUUCUAAUGCCUCAACGUAAAUUUUUUUUUGCUUCCAAGGAAACUGGAAAAUCUACCAGCAAUAUCAAAAUUUUAUGCUAUGAUGUCUUCAAGUUAAAACAACAAAUUUUUGGUGAGUUUCUACCAGUCACAUUAGAGGUUUCUACGCUGACUCUAACCUAAUCCAGAUAAAGUACAGUGGACCAUACAAGAUAAUUCCUCGAACUAAGAGAAUCGCACAGCAUUUGGAAUCUUAUCACCUACUGAAAGAGAGGCAAACAGGAAUAUAGCUGAUUAUACCAGUUUCAAACAUAAAACUUCCAUUACCUUGAGUUGUGCAGCAUCCUUUGCUAUCUCCCUAGCCCUCCACUCAUCAGCUACACGAUCAGCUUGGUCAAAUUGUUCAUGUACCUAAACAUCACAGCAAGCACUAUUAGAGGGGGGAAAAGAGCAAAAGAAGAAGAAGAAGAAAAGGAUAAUAACAGAGGCCUGGAAGGCUACAAUAAAUCAAGGAAAACCACCUUUGUGUGGAUUUCUGCAGCACGUUGUCUCUUCCUCUUCCUCCAAAGUUUAUUACGCUUGGACUUCAAUAUUUUAUUAGACAAUCUAGCUGCCAUUGAUUUCUCUUCCCAUGGAGUGACAUCAUCUAUGAUUACUCUAAAUGGCUCUAAUUGAGCUUUUAAUCUUGACAUCAAAGCAUUUGCAGCAUUCACCGAAAGUGAUUCCUGUGCUUCCAAAUCAAUUUUCCUAUCUUUCAAAUACUCGUACAACCCACAAGCAUAAGGGUCGGUAGAUUCCCCUUCCCCCUCUUCCACAGACCCUUCAGUGCUUUUGAUUGUCAUCAACAUCUCAAGCUCUUUCUGCCUAUUAAGAAUAGAAAAUUAUUACAAACCAUGUUUGCAAAAAGCAGAGAAAAGGCAAUGAAAAGCCCCUUGGUAACUUUAUAUCCCAAACAAGCAUUUGAAAUUCAAACUGAAAGCAAUAACUAAGUACAUUGAUGUAGCAAGAGUUAACGUGUCCUGUAACUCUUUCAGCCGAUCAUGCACAUUUUUGGUGUCCCAAAAAGGAGUCGACUGUGGUGGAUUAGGGGGUAACAUCGGGAACCAGGGAGGAGGAGGUGCAGCAGGAGUCGCAUGAAAAGGAACCGGAUGCAUGGCUGUGGAAAGAAUUAAAGUCAAAACGAAACAAAUGUUGUCAAGAAAAGAGCUAAUUGCGGAAAAAGAUUGUUUUAAGUUCUAACCCCAGCUACCAUUGCCACUCGUUAACAAAUUUCACAACUUAAUACGCACAAAGAAUUGACGAUGGAAUAUUGCAUAAUCCAAAAAACACAGUUAACUAUAGCAUUCUUUACCCCUUCAAUUCUUUUAGUGAAUUAAAAUCUCUCUCUCUCUCUCUCCAGUCAGUCAAAUUCACAAACAGUUUGUGGUCCAGUGUGAAAUUAUGUAUUAAUGUUGCUCUUUAUCUUACUACUUCAAUUAAGCACCUUAAUCACGAGUGACUCAGAGAUAUUAUACAAAGGAAGUGAUUCUGAAUCAACCGUUUAACCGCCGGUCACACACAAAGAUAUCAAAUAUAACAGUUCUCUGUAUGUUUUAGCUACAACAACAUUAUAUGAAAUUAUGUAUCUUUGAAAGCAAACAAUAUUGAACGAUUACAACAAAAGAGUAAUUUGCUCGUACCUUUUCAAAUUUUACAGGGUUGAAGUCAGUCCCAGGUUGUGCUAUGAACUCCACAGAGCUUGUUAAAUAGGAGGCCAAAUUGUACCCCGAAAAAACCCUGAACUUCAGCGAAAAAUGAAACACCCCCUAAAUCCCAUUUUUUCCACUUUAAACACUCCCACUUUCGUUAAGAGUUAUAAUACCAAGCCUGACCCAGCCUAAAGCCUGAGUCACAAAUUGGGUAGGUGAAUCCAAAUAAACGUAUCUUAAUUUGUUUUUCUUCAAAUGUUAAAAUAAUGUUGUUUUGAAAAAAAAAAUCAAACCAAAUUUUAAUUGGGUUUUCACCAAGCUGAUCGAGCCAAUAAAAUUUAAUCAAGACAAUUUUUAUCUAGUUCAAUAUAAAAUCCUAAAUCAAAUUCCGAGUUACUAAAUUUACCUGCUAGACCAAGUCUAGUUUAAUUAUAGGGGGUUGGUCCAGCCUGAAGGCCCGAUCCUGAAUAACACGGGAAAACCCUCAUGAAAAAGUGGUAUUAUUAGAAAACCAUCCAUAACAAGUUGUGAUUUUUAAUCUCCUAUAGAAAUAUAUUUAUACGAUUUCUUUUUUCUUUCAAAAAAGACAAAUAUAUAUUAUAUCAUCCUCAUCUCUCGACGAGGCUUUAUUCGUGAAUACUAUACAUUUUUUACUUUGAUAAUGUAAAUCCCGCAAAAUCUGAGUUUGUUGAUCUAGAUGUAUUGGGUAAAACCUAUUUGCCAUGAACUCCUGAUGCUGAAAUUUAUCUGAAUGUUGUGAAUCUUGGACAAACAAUUAAAGAAGGAAAUGAAAUACAUUUCAUUUAAGUUUUUUUUUUCCCCUGAGAGAGAGAGCAUUUGAGAUUUUUUUAUUCAAAUUAUAAUGUUAUGUUUAGUUAAUUUCUCAGAAUAAAAGGAAUAUAGUAGAAGAAACAUAAAAAUAUUUAAUUAGAAAAAUAAAAAUAUAAAAUAAAUUAUAAUUUUAUAGUGAAUCUUUAUCGUUUUAAAACAAGAAAGACAUGAGAUAUGUGAUCUUCGUCCCAAGUGUUUUCGUGUAAAUUAUUUUGAGAUAGUAAUUAAGGUUGUCUAAAUUUUUAUAAUUAUUUUUUAGAACAUUGUUUUAUUAAAACUUGAUUUUUUCCAUUUAACUUUUCAACGAAACCUUAACCUGACCACGAGGAGUGACUUGGUUAAAAAACUAAAAUGGUUGAAGGUGUAAAAUCAGAGAUUUUUUUCGUUGAAGUAUUUAUUUUUUUAAGUUGAAAGAAUAUUUUAUAAUUUAGCUUAAAUAAAAAAAACAAAAAUGAUGUAGUAACCUAAAAUCAUCUCAAUUGUUUUUUUCUGUUAGAUAAUAUUAUUAAUAAAAUAUUAAAGGGUCUGGUUGUGGUUAAAUCACUGUAACCAUAUUGUAAUUAUAUCCAUAACAUAUUAUUUAUUAUAAUAGUAUUUUGUGUUUUUUUUAGUCUCAUACUUCAAUAUUAUGUUAUUUUAGGAAUUGUGGUUCAUAAUUUUUUAUUUUUUAUUUUUGUUGGGUUAUAUACUGAUUUUAUAGAUUUAGUUUUUUUUUCUUGAUUUCAACAUUUAAAAUUAGAUUUAUUGGAAACGGGACCUCGUAGUUUUUUUAAUUUUUUAUUAUGAAUUUAUUUUAAUUUCAUGACCUAGAUCGCGGGUUUAACAAAUUAACUCGAAUGGAUUCAUGUCAUUUUUAGGCCACUUUUUUAAAAUGAUUUUUUUUUUAUUUCAUCAUUCAAUAUUGAGUUUGUUAGAAAUUAAGCUUCAUGAUUUAUUUAUUUUUGCUUUCUAUGGUGUUAUCCCGGUCUCAUUACUCGAGUUGUAAGUUUAAUGGAUCUACCCGAGUUGACUUUGUUUAUUUUCUUUAGGUCCUUUUUUUUAACUAGGUUUCAUUUUUUUAUCUACUUUCUAUGACUUAUCUCAAUCUCAUAACCUGAGUCAUAGACUGACAAGUUGAUUCGGGUUGACUCUAUUAAUUUUUUGUGUCAUUUCUUAAUUGAUUCCCCCUCAAUUUCACACUACAACAACUCAAUCUUCUUUUAAUUUCUUUAUUUAUUUAGUUUUUUAUUCAAUCUCAUAUUUUAAUAUUAAGGUGUUUAGGAAUUGAGUUUCAUAUUUUUUUUUAAUUUGUUUUAUGUGGAGUUAUCCCAAAAUAUAAUAUUUUUUUUUCUCGAUUUUAACUUUCAACAUUGAAUUUAUUGAAAAAUAAAGAUGAGGUGGAGCUUCAUGAUUUUUUUUUAUUUACUUUUUAUAAAGUUAUCUCAUCCUUAUUUGCUUCAUGAGUUGGUCUAGGUUGUUUUUGGUUAUUUUUUUCAAUUGAUUUUUUUUAUUUCAUCAUUCAAUGUAAUGUUGGUUGGAAAUUAAAUUUUAUAAUUUGAUUUAAUUUGUUUUUUAUGGGUUAUCCUGAUUUCAUAAUCCGAAUUGCGGGUUUGGAAGGUUAACUCGGGUAGCAUGCAAUUUUUUUCUCUUUUUUUUAAAUUUAUUAUUAUUUUCUUUAAUAUUAAGUUGAUUAGAAUUUGACAUUUAUAAUUUAUUUUGAUUUGAUUUUUUUAGGGUUAUCAUGGUUUCAUAAUCCAAGUCGUAAAUUUAACAGAUCAACUCGGGUUAAUCUAAUAUAUUGUCAUCUCAAUAUUUAAAAUAAAUAUCACUCAAUAUGUUACCAUACCAAUAUUUAAAAAUUAUAUUAUCAAGUAUUUAUUAUAUUUUUUAGUUAAUAAUUAAAUCUUUUUAAUUAAAAAACACAUUAAGAAUGGAACACUUAAUUUUAAUGGACUUGUGUAGCAGGGUGGGGGAAUGAUAUAGGCUCAUUUUCCAUUUUCACACUGUAGUUCAAUCAUACUUUUUAAAAAAAUUUAUUUUAUUUUGUAGUUUUAAUUUUUUUUCUAAUGUUAUUGGAUCGUUGUGCUUACAUUAAAAAAAUAUAUUUUAUUAUAUUUUUAAAUAACAAUACUUGUAAUUUUUAAUUCCGUGAUCCACCUAAUCAGGCACAUUGUAUUCAACAAAACACUAGUGAAGAUCAGAGACAACAAGGCUAGGAUGGUCGAGCGGUCCAAGGUGUCAGGCUCUAAUUCUUGUCAUCGUGAGAGAGGGCGUGGGUAUGGUCCCACUUCUGACAUUUUUUCCACAUUUCUAAUGUUUUUUAAACUCCACCCCUUUUUUAAGCUUUCAUUGCUGGGCUAAUGAUUUUCACCUUGGCCCAAAUUUUAAUAUUUAUUUUGCAAGGUUUCUAGCAAAUAUCGAAUUUGCGUUAAUUAUAACAUAAAGUACUGUAGUUUUAAAAAUCACACACACAUAUAUAACCAUGUCUUUUUGUUAAGAUUGUGCAUUUGUCUAUUUUAUUUUGUUAUUUAAAAAAAAACGGAAAAGAGGAGCAUAAGAUUGAGAAGAUUUGAUUAAAUAAAAAAAUAUUUUUCAACAAAAAAAAACUAGCUAUUGGGAAUGAUUAACAUUGGUGAAGAGAUUAUUUGAUUAUAGUUGACACGUUGCUAUUGCUCCUCUGAUGAAUAGUUGUUUUAAACGAAUAAUUAUAUAAAAUAGAUAGAUAUUUCCUUUUGUUUCAGGUUGAUGAAUCUUUUUAAUUAUAUAUAUAUAUAUAUAUAUAUAUAUAUAUAUAUAUUCUAGUUGACCGCUUUAUUUUUUUUUUUUUUGAAAUGGUUAAUUAGUUUGAUAAAGUUAAUAUGAUUUAACCAAAUCUUCUAGUUUUAUAUAUUGCUGGUCAAUAAUUUCUCGCCCUUUAUACUGGAUUUUUUUUUUUUUUGGUUCUUGCUGAGGAGCAGCAACACCGCAAUACAUGAUCCCUUGUUUCAUAUCAAACAAAUAAAAGAUAGCGAAUCCACAGAUGAUUCCAGUUCUAGGCAUAGGCCGGGCCUUAUAUAAUCCAAAUCCGAGAAAUAAGCAGAGUCCUCAUCCAUUUUCCUUCAAAUGCAUCAUGAACCCACAUGGCAUCUCGAUGUUCUGACUCAGUAACGUUUCAAUAUUGACUUGCUUUCCAUAGUAACGACGACAAAGCAUGCCCGACAUGUCCUUCUAGGCAACUCAGAGAGAUAGCUCGGCCCCCCUUUGGCCACAUUGUCUACAUUUUCGUUGCUCGGUUUUCUUGCCAGGAACACCCGGGGUUUUCAAUUUCUUGGAAUUAAAUUUAAGUUCAAUUAUUAUUGUUUUUUUUUGUGUGUAAAACCUCAAAUCAGUCCUCAGCCUAUGCACCGAUUCUCAAUGGGUCUUUAAACUGAAACUCUUCUUAACUAGAUCCGUAAAUUAACAUAUAUAUAUUUUUUUUUAGUUUAACGUGGGUGUCCGGCCAGCUUGCGCGUACCUCGACUAAUAUCACGGGCCCUGAAGUUAACGACCAUGUAAGCCUCCAGUAACCAUCAUAUGAGCAACCAUAGGGCUCGAACCGUAAAUUAUCAUACUUUAGUCCUUCAAGCCAUGCUCAUCAAUGAUCGAGGAUAAUUAAAUUGAAUCAAAUAUUGAAUUUCAUUCUCCCUCAUGUACAGGCGGUGGGAGAUUUUGCAGUACUGAAAAUAUUUUCACCUGAUAGUAUGAGUUUAAUAGUCAGGAAUAACAUAUAAAUAACCUCACUCUCCCUCGUGUAAAAUGUACAAGAAAAAUAAUAAGACAAGAUUCCGUGGUUCGAUACACUAAACUCUUCAACAGGAUCAGAAAAGGCUGGUCCUUGCGAUAUUGGUACUAGAUAGGCACAGUAUUCUUUGCUAUAUAUUUAACUAUGAUAAUUGUGUUUUGAUUUUACAAGUUAAGAAAUUAUCAUCCCAAGGUUUAAACCAAUGUCUUGAAGGAAACAAACAGAGGGGUGGUCCGGUAGCGAGGACAAUAAGGAUGUGCUUUUGUUUGGGCCCCUUGUGUCUCAUGCUUAGUAUAUUUCUAGCUAUCGGAGAGAGUAACGAGCCAAAAUGUUGUAGAUAGCUGGUGCUCGUAUCACGUACGACUUAUUUGCAAGCAUAUUUUGUCCAUGUCCCCCCUUUUGUGAUGCACUCUUGCUUGUUUUCAUGUGAUUAUCAAUGCUACAGAAUCCCUUUAAUAAUGCAUAUGUGUGUCUCUUGCUUGCAAUAUUGGCUAAGCCGCUGUUAACAGGUGACGAGUAAAACUUUUUGAAUCUAUAUUUUGAUGUUACGUGAAAGAAACUAAACCCAUUUCAAGGUAAUAACCCAAGUGAAUUUGUGCAUGGCAGAUUGCCAAAUUAUUUGGGUUUAGAUUGCCAUACUAUUGAGCUAAACCCAAUAAUAUGUUGGUUUGACAACUGUAUAUUUGAGUUUAGUUAUAUAUUAACCUCAAGAUUGCGUAGGUCUGAUAAAUUAUCACACUCAAUAUUGGUUGAACCUAAAGCAAUAUGAGUCAGGUAUGCUAUCAGACCCAAUAUAUUUGGAUUCAGCUAUUUGUUGGGUCCAACUAAACGAGGACAUGACAAGUUGUUUGAUCUGAUAAACCUGAGUUCAAUCAUAUGCUGAGCUUAAAUUAACAUAAGUCUAGUAAGUUGUCAAACUCAAUAUACUUGAAUUCAGCCAUGAACCGAGCCAAAGUUAAUGUGGGUUUGUCAAGUUUAUAGACCCAAUAUACCUGAAUCUAGCCAUGUGCUGAGAACAACUCAAUGUGAGUAUGACAAGUUGUCAAACCCUAUAUAUUUGGGUCUAACCAUGAGUUGAACCCAAGUCAACGUCGGUCUGUCAAGUUGUCAGACCCAAUGUACUUGAGUUCAGCCAUGUACUAAGCCCUGGUCAACGUGAUGAUAAAUUAUCAGACUCAUCUCUUAUAGUUUUGGCUACACGUCAACCCCAAUUGGUCUGGACGUUGUUAAAGAUCCAUAUUAGAACCACAUGGUUUUGUCUUAAACCUAUUAAUAUGAUUUGUCCAUGUUAGAAAUAAUCAUUACUUUACAUCUAUAGAUAUAUAAAAAAUCUUUCAAUGACUUACCAUAUUUUUAUCUCAUUAAUGAUAUGUAAAAGAUAUUUGUCUAUAAUUAAUGACGUGUAAGAGAUUUUUAUCUCUCAUUAAUGCCAUCAAGACCAAAUGACUCUCCGGUCCUUUCACUUCAUCAAAAUAAUGAGUUCAUAAAUUAUAAAUGCCCUUGAACCAGUCAGAUAAAAAAUUAAUAUUUUUCUACUUUUCAAAUAUUCAUAUCUUAACUGUUAGAGUAUUUAUCACACCAAAACAAAAACAAAUAUCAUUAUUCUUGGAAUUUAAACCUUUUCUUUUAUUUAUUAUAUUUCCCUACUUGAAAAUUGAUGAUUUUAUAAUCGAAAAAUCUCUAAACCCAUCAAAAUAGACUGUUUUGUAUGUAUCAAAAUUUUUAUCACCAUUUAUAUAUUUCCUGGACUAUAAAAAAUAGAAUAUUGGUAUAAAGACACAAUUAACCAUUAUCUAAACAUCAAUUAGCCUCAUUUCUUAGUAUAUCGGAUUUUAUAACAUCAUCAACAAUAAUUUUUUUCAAAUUUUGUUAACAGAAAUCAUUCAAAAGGUCUGUUUUCUCAUUUUCACUAAAAUAUUAGAUUACAGAGAUUAGGGUGCUGUGAAACAUAAGGGCACGUAGUCAGAUUGAGGGCCUUGCUCAUACGACUUGCAAGCUGAUUGUUCAAGAGUACAUGUAACAAAUAUAUAUAACGCCAUCGUAUUCCUUUUAUGUACUUGAUCAAGACCCAGCACAUCACUCAUUGAAUGCAAAAAAAUGUAGAGUAAUUUACAUGAGAUUUACUAGGAUAGACAUAUUGAGAAAUGUUUCAGUCAAAUACAUUAAUUUCUCAUUUCAAGCUCCGUAAAGGGAUAGUAAUGAGGAAUGAUGACCAGUAGAUUGUUGUGCUUAUUUUUACAAGAGCUUGGAAAGGGAAACUGAUAAUUAACUAACGAUGUUUAAAGGAGUGGUGCUAAUUUUUACUGAAACAUUCUUCCUAAAAUUAGUUUUUGAAAAAUUUCAUCCGUUGGAUAAAUGGAUCCCAUUUGUGUGUUUCAUUCAUUCAAUAGAUAAAAAGAUUUUUCAGGAUGUGGGUUUAGGAAGAAUUUUCCAGUAAAACAAAAUUUAUCCUUUUAAAAUUACAUGCUAUUUAUUUUUGCGAUUCAAACCAUGUUUCGUGAUUUUUUUAAAUUUAUUUUUUUUUAUUUUUUUGGUAUUUUUUACCGUUUUACCAUUUUAAUAUGUUAAUAUCAAUAAUGAUUUUGAAAAAUUAAAAAUUAUUAUUUUUAUAUAUUUUUCAAGCAAAAAAUAUUUUAAAAAACAACCACGACACUACCAAAAAGGUUUCGAACUAGGAAUGGCCUGAAUUGAUUGAAUGGAAAAAAAAAUUCAAUACGGAUGCCGCAACCACUCUCACAGAGGAAUAAAAUGGAAGGGUUGCAUGGAAAAAAAAGCAUAAAAGAUAGCAUAAAGCAACAAAAGCUGGACAAAUCCCUCCGGGGGUCCUAUAAUGCUUCAUCUGCAGGUAUUUUAAUGUCCCAGGCCAUUCAAUAUUGCUGGGAAGAUUCGUCUUUUUAGUCCUCUAUUUCUAGUCUAUCAUAUUGCAAAUUCCUGUCUGUCCAUGCAUGCUAUUAUAUAUUCUGCAAUUUGUUACCCCAGUUCCUGAAUUUUUAAAAAGAAUCCCAUGGAAAAAACAAAUCAAGCACAUAGAGGUUGGAAAUUUCAUAUCUAUACAAAAUGAAGACGACGAAUAAGAAAUAAUUUUAAUUUCUAUCUUCGCACCAUGACGAGACUAUAUAACAUAUUAAUCUGUAUUAUAAUUUAUAAGGACAUACUAAUUAUUUAUCAAACUUUUCACAGCUGAGCAACAAUGAAAAAUUGCCAUCCUGAAUGGACACAUGAAUAUAUAAACAAGCAAAGGAGUAGAAGACAGAAAUGGCAGAUGACAACUUGUGUUUGAUCUCCUGCCCUGCAUUUCUAGAAGCUCUACACUUCCCUUCUCCUUCCGGUCUUGUUUUUUCUCCUCUCUGUAAAACAAUCAUUUAUCUGAAAGUAAAAGUAGAAGAGGAUUAGAACACUUCUGAGAUUUGAACCAGCAAACAUAAAAAUUAAGAAAAUAAUUAAAGAUGGCAUGAACUUACGCAUUGAUCUUUUGCAAUGAAGAACUGCGUCAUGGAUUGAGCUCUCACUAUCAUGGCAACCAUCCAGUGAAUAAGCUACUCUUCUGCUUGGAGAUGCUUCCCGUGAAUUGCUCUGGCUCUUAACUUCCCAUGCUAUCCUCUCAACAUUGUCAACUCUUGUGCUUAUUCUCGAGUCUCUUACUCUGUGGGAUAAAGGUCUAACAUAUCCAAAACACUUCGGCAAGAUUCGCUUCCAUCUUCCAAGGAAACGACAAAGAAUCUGAACAGCUGAGACAGUUUUUGAAGAAAGAGAAGAGGGCACAGUAGGGGCUAAAUUCAGGGAACUGGAGGCCUCACUCUUUGACUGGUUGAUAAAAAUGGGUCUGAUGAGGCCGUCAGAGAAAAGCUGGUCAGCAUGAAGAAGAGCAUCAGGGGAUUGGGAAAUGGGAAAAUAGAAAUUGAAGUUCUGGUCUUCUUCCAGCGAUCUUCUUGAGUUCUGCAUCCUGUAAUCUAAUUCUUCGGAGAUGGCUUCAUGGGAACUGUCAAGAGAUGCUCUGAGGGCCGUCUCAAGACCUUGUAAGGAGGGAUUGACACUGGUCAACCAACUGCGAGAGAAACUUUCAAUGGCCAGAGUUUCUGGGGAUUCCAUGGAUUGUCAACAGCAGCAGCUAAAAUGAAAUUAAAAAGCACUAAUUCUUAUAUAUUAGUGGAGGGCCAAGAUUCAUGUGAUUGGCACAUUUAAAGUUACCACAGGCACAGACCAUGACGACCACAAGUGCAUGAAUUGUCUAUUCUAUCAAGGUCAAGCAGGAGACAAAUGGAACAAGAAAAUUUGAAGCUAGAGAGACGUCACUUGCUAUUUUGUUCUUCAUGAUUCCCUUAUCCAAUUUAAAAAUCAUUUUUAUUUAUUUUUCUCUUGAUCUGUCAUUAUAUUAUUUAAUACUUAUCCAUAAAAUCUUUUGCCAUUUUUUGGCAUAAAAAACACAGUACUGUUUCAGUUUCCUCCUCCUAGUGGCUACCCACAACAACUACUUUGUCCCUAAUCUCUCAACUAUUAACGUUUGAACCAAAGAUGUGUUCCAACUUCCAAGUGCCCAAGGCAAAGGGCCAAAGCCCAAGGGAUUCUUUGAAAAUCUUUUUUUUUUUUUUAAACUCCCUAUGAUAUUAUUUUUGACAAACACACUCUAAUUGUCUUAAUUUGGAAAACAGAGUCUUACUUUUAUUGUCUUAAUUUGGAUAACAGUCUUUUAUGGUUUGCUACGUUAGAUGUCUCCAUCUAUAAUCAAUCCAGUUUUUUUUUUUUUUUAUUAAUUUCAACUUUUAAAAAAUAAGAGGACACGCACAAUCUUUUUAUUAGUUUUAUUUUUAGAAAAAAAUAAUUAAAAUUUUGAAAAAAUAAAAGGAAAUUUGUUACACAUUUUGCCAACUUGAUAUAUAUUUAUAUCUAGAUUAUUUUUUGAAUUUUUUGUUUACAUUGGAAAUUAUUCUUCACUUCAUUUUAAAAAGACAAUUUUUUUAAAAAAAUAUUAUAUAUAUAUUUUUAUUUAGCUGAAUAUUUAUUUACUUGAUAAAAUUAUUGAUUUAUUGAUAAAAAAUUAUUGAUUUAAUUUUUUUUAUUUUUUAUUAGAAUUCUUUUCCAAUUUAUUUUUUAUAAGAAAAUUAUUUUAUGUGCAUGAGAUUUUAUAAUUUCUACAUUUUUUUUCUUUCCUGAUUUUUUCUUUGGUUUUUAAAAAUAAAAUACAAAAAGUAACUCAGCAUAAAUUAAUAAAAAAAUUAACAAUUUUUUUAUCUUUUCUUUUGUCCCUUUAAUAUAUAUAUAUAAAUUCGAAUUUUUGGCAUAACAUCUAUGAUUGGAUUAAAAAAAGCAGAGGCUUCAAACAAUUUUGUAAAGAAAAAGACACUUGAAUAAAGAACAAAAUUAAGACAGAUACAAAUUAAAUCAAGAAUAUUACGCAAUACAAACAUUUUGUUUAGAGUUAUUAAUAUUCAUAUAAUGAUAUAAAGAUAUAAAAUAGAUACGAAUUUGUUAAUAGCAACCAGAUUUGCAAUGACUCUCAUGUUAUCAUUUGAAAACAAUUUGAUUUUUUAUUUAUAGGAAAAGAACCAAAGGUUGUAUUCUAGAAACUCAUUUUUUUAAUGGUAUUCUAGAUGGCCCUUCUUUAUACAUUAAAAACUCUAAUGUUUUAGGUGGCGGCAGAAGCCUCAUAAUGGCUCCAAGAUCAUACUCUAACCUAUGGUAUGGCCUCUACUUUAAUCUAUCCGCAUGACAUCUUGAUCAUUAAAAAAGUUUUGAUUUUUCCAUUAAAAUGAAAAUCUAAAUGCAAGAAUGCAUAAAGACAGCAAUGUGCCUCCGAAUAUUUAAUAUAUGUUUAGAAAUUGAUGCUCAAAGUAUAGAGAAUUGUCCACUGCCCUCUCUUCAGAAACGAUGUUCUCAAAACAAAGAGAUAACAAAACUAUCAAUAAGCAAUGCGCGGCGAGGGACAACCACACCCUGACCAAAGCAGCUCCUAAAUAUUCUUACAUUUAAAGAACGUAUGAGAAGGUGAUUAAUCAAGAUGUCUAACAGUGUUUAUUUUCUGAUUUGUCUGCAUGUAGCAUCGUGUGAAAACAACACACAGAGCACAAUCUCCAUGGUCGACUUUGAUAGAGUACACGAUGAAAAUUGAUGGUGAAUAGGAUUCCCAUUUUCCAAACAAGAGUUUUAACUAUUUGAGAAGAAAGGAAAUGAGUAACUAAUACCCUUUGUAAAACAACUAGAAACACCAAGAGUGAUUCUUUGUGUGGCUGCGUCUGUAUCCUAGUUAAGAGGGCGGGAGGAAGAAAAGGGAUCGAGAGAUGUUCUUUCCAUGCAAUACCUGAAUCUUAACAUGUAAAUAUCCUUAGAAAGAGAUAAAAGCAAAAGUAGCAGUCAGGGGUCCCUAGCUAGCUGAUAGGAGGUAGAGAUAGAAUGUUUCAGGGACGAGCUACAUGAACAGAGAUGAAAAGGCGAUACAGAAGGAAAGGGUCCCCUACUUACUAUCUGAUGAUGCUGCAAUGUCUCAGACACAAACUAGAUGAAAUGACAUGAAAACUGAUAAAGAGUGAAGGGGACUCUCCUCUCUGCUCUCUUGAAAAACAGCACAACUAAAGCAACUGAUCCACACGCAUUAACUUGAGAAACCUAGCUAGCUUCUUUCGUGUCACUGUACACUGCCUCAAGUUUCCUUCCAUUAAUUCAAUCAUGCAAGUAACUGUAAACUAAUGCAUUUAUGCAAAAGCUAGCUCAUUUAAGUAAUAGUAAUUAACUAAUUGAAACCAUCACUUUAAUGCCUCUGGCUUGACAUGAUUCUAUGACAGAGCUUGAGGUUGUUCGCCCUUUACAAAUAGAUUGCAAUGACCAGCAAGUUUUAUAAUGGGAUUAGGACCGCUGCCAAAACCUGACAGAAAAUCAAUACUCACAAACUUGACUCCUGAGGCACGAAUCUCUAACAAGCUGCCCGCAUUUCCAUUCAGACCCCAUUCCAAUAAAUGGCAAUGCCAAUUGCCACCAGCAUUUGAACCAGUAGCUAGCAUUAGCAUUACUAGACAUGAUGGAACGGCAUAGAAGUUUUAAAGCAAGGCAUUGUUCGAAAAUAACAGAAUCCUGUACUCAGAGCAAUCACAUCCUGCUACUAUAAAAGAAACGGUCCUCCAGAACAAUGCAGUGCAAUAGCGGUAAUGUGAAAAAUAAUAAAAUGAAAAUCAUGUCCAGAUCAGAUUGAAAAUAUGAGUAAGAUGUGGCUAUGUGCUGAUUGGAGAAUUUGGGUCACUGUAUGUUCUUUUGAUUUUUUAGUAAGAAAAGGCAUGCAUGUUGGAAAACCAAAUUUAAGUGGACACUUAUUUACAAGUUAGUCAAGUAGUAGUGAAAUAAAGAGCAAAUAUUUUCAGAGAUUAUAAAUCUAACAAAUACCACUGUAGCAUUUAUUUACGAAGAAUAUAUGAAGAUUACAUACAUCGAACAUAAACUAGUAGGAACUGAGUCACCACAGACACGAGAUGUUGAUACAAGACCAUCGAAGAUUUUUAGACAUCGGCCUUGAUGGAAGAGCUGUAUCCACUUUGAUCAUCAUAGUACUUAGACCACAGCAUCACACCGCCAUACUUAUCAGACCCCUUGAUGGCUGGAAGCACAUUGGAAGUUAAAUCAGGUACAGGAAUGAAGCCACUUCCUGCUGCCUCAGGAGAAGCAGGUAAUCCUAGGAAAAACACAGUGGCUGGAAUGUCUGAAACCCAUAGCUUCCAUGCAUCUUCGAGAUUGGUAAUGUCACCGGAUGUGUACUGACAAGGAGGGUUGUUGUAGAAUUGGACCCAAACAUAGUCAAAAAGACCUGUUUUGAGGGCAUUUCCUACAGACGCAUCAGGAAAUGGGCACUGGGGUGCUGCCGUUAGGUACACCUUUUUUCCUUGAUUGCUGUAUGCUGAAAGGUACCUUGCAAGAUCAUCCCAGUACAGGUCUGUUCCUCCUUCAAUAUCAAAGUCAACUCCAUCUAGAACAGCAGGGCCGAGCGGACGAAAUGAAGAUUGUCCACCCAAGAAGUUGUUCCAGAUAUAAGUGGCGACUUGUCUUGCGUCAUCAGAGGAGGCCAGGGAGUAGCUUCCGGAACCUCCUCCGAUAGAAAGCAUCAGCUUAAUUCCUUUGGAUUGACAUGAUUCUAUGUCAGAGCUUAAGCCUGUGCAACCUUUACUGUAUGGAUCGCAGUGACCGGCAAGGUUCAUCAUGGGGUUACGACCGCUACCAAAACUGGAAAGAAAAGCAAUGUUAACAAACUCAUAUAAUCCUGUGGCACAAGUCUCUGCCAAGGUACCCUCAUUUCCAUUCUGGCCCCAAUAAAUAGUGAUGCCACCUGCAUUUGAACCCGUUGCUAGCAGUAACAUUACUAAGACGAGGAAUGGCAUUGAAGUUGUUGUUAGUACUGCCAUUUUAAGGUAGUUACCAAGUCUUUAUAUGAUGAUAAGUCUAUUCUACUUCUUUGUUAAGGAUUCUGGAUAGCCAUGGCUUUUUAUAGCAAAAACUUUCCCCUCUUCUAAUAAUCAUAUUUUGUGCCUAUGCUUAAACGGAGUGCCGUGACAGUUGCCCAUUAUUUUGUAGUGAGGUUUUGAAAUUUCAAUGAAUGGUUCUGAUAUCGAACAGUGGUUAAUUUAUUUAUCUCUCCACGCCACUUUGCAUUUCGUCCAUUUCCUCCUUUGUCCUGGUUGCUUGCUCAAAAUAUAGUGGUAGACGGAGAGAAGUGGCCAUCAACUCCAAGUCUCCAUCUUGACUGCUAUAAUGAUACAGGCACAAACCAUUGUUUGAUUUCUCUUGUUUAGUCUGUUUCCAAUUCAUUAUCUUGGAAAGGACGGGAGUGCUUAUGCCGAAUGGUUUGAAUCCUAGACAACAGUUAUUCAUGCUCAGAUGGAAUGAGUAUUUGUCUUCAUGCAUGGUAACUUUGCUUAUAAAACAAGAAUGGAGUCUUCUUUGUGCAUUCACUGUGAAUAUCUUCUUGUUUAUUGAUGGUUUUUUUGGGUGACGAUCCAGCUUUAGUGGAAAACCAAGGGUUAUCUGGUGCUCAAGGAAAUUAGGGAGUAAAUUGAUAAUUAUUUCUCCUGUGAUACAGACGAAUUUUCUGGUCCAAUAAGCUCAAUCCAGCAAAACAAAACCAAAAUCUUUUAUAUGUAGCUCUUAUUCUAUGAGCACAACACAACUGACAAAAGGAUUACAGCAUAUUAUCCUAAGAGAAGUUAUUGAGAUAACGUUCUAUAAAAUAUGAAAUUCAUACUGUCUCGUAGUGAACUAUACCAAGCAUGACAAAAGAGAAAACAAGGACAAAAUAUUGAAGCCCGCACGAGUGCAACAUUUUCGCAAUUCCUAUACUUUAGUAACUUCCUGGUAUACUGCAGCAAUAAACAUUGAUUUAAUAGCAGAAGAGGCCAACAAUUUAAGACACGUUAGAGGCAAACGAAGGCUAACAGGCAUGCAGAUUUUUUCAAAGCGGAUAUUUUCAAGCUUAAAAAACUCCGUCUGCGUGGAAGUAUGAAGCAGGGGAACUUAGGAGAUGUAACUGUUAAGGCAAGGCAUCGUUAGAAUACAAAAACCCCUGCAGCCAGAGCAAUCGUAUCCUUCUACUAUAAAAGCAAUUCUCCUACAGCACAAUGCAAUGCAUUCUGAAUUAGUACAAUUCCAAGUGGGCAGCAAAAGUAGAUUAAGAUGGCAUUUCAACCAGCAACUACAUUAUCAGUUGCCGCAUUAGUAUUGCUAAUUUUAGCAACAGGAUCUGAUGCUGGUGGAAUAGCAAUCUACUGGGGUCAGAACGGAAACGAGGGAACCCUGGCAGAUACUUGUGCAACUGGAAACUACCAAUAUGUAAACCUGGCCUUCCUCGUGACUUUCGGAAAUGGCCAGACGCCCAUGAUUAACCUUGCUGGGCAUUGCGAUCCAUACAGCAAUGGCUGCACAAGCUUGAGUUCUGACAUUAAAUCAUGCCAAGCCCAAGGUGUUAAGGUGAUGCUUUCUAUAGGAGGAGCUUCUGGUAGCUACUCCCUCGCCUCCUCAGAGGACGCGAGGCAAGUCGCUACUUAUCUGUGGAACAAUUUCUUGGGGGGUCACUCUUCAUCCCGUCCCCUGGGGUCUGCUGUCCUAGAUGGGAUUGACUUUGACAUCGAAGGAGGAACAGGAUUGUACUGGGAUGACCUUGCAAGGUACCUUUCUGCUUAUAGCAAUAAAGGUAAAAGGGUGCACUUAACAGCAGCUCCCCAGUGCCCCUUCCCUGAUGCUUGGGUGGGAAAUGCCCUGAAAACCGGUCUUUUCGAUUACGUUUGGGUCCAAUUCUACAACAACCCUCCUUGCCAAUACGCUUCUGGGGAGGUCACCAAUCUGGAGGAUGCUUGGAAGCAAUGGACUUCAGCCAUUCCAGCCAGCAAGAUUUUCUUGGGUUUGCCCGCAUCUCCUGCGGCAGCAGGCAGCGGCUUCAUUCCCGUGCCUGAUCUCACAUCAAACGUGCUUCCAUCCAUCAAGGACUCUUCCAAGUAUGGGGGUGUAAUGCUGUGGUCCAAGUAUUACGAUGAUCAAAGCGGAUAUAGUUCUUCCAUUAAGAAUGAUGUCUGAUCUCACAUUUCUGUCAAUUCCGCGUGCCUGUAUGCGUGAUGUGUAUCGGUUGUAUUUCCAGAUAUUCUGAUCUAUCUUCUAUAUAUGUAUCUUCGGAGUAUAAAUUUGAUUUAUGCUCACUAGUUUCUUACAUGCGGCUCUCUUCAUGGUCUUGUAGUUUUUAACUACUACUUAUGCCAUGAACAAACCUGGCCAAAAUUUUAACAACUGGAACUUCGAAAACGAUAAAACUGAUGCAGAACAAUGCCAAUCUAAUCAAAAUCAACAUUUCAUCUCACAUACAAGCGUAGGCAUUAUGCUAUGGAUCCAGGUAAACAAAAAAUUGAAAUUGUAGAAGAGAAUUAGCAUCACAAAAAGGAUGGCCACCCUUAUUGCUCAAAUCAGACACGGGUCAAUACGGCUAAACCACAUACUAGUAAAGUGCGGCUGUACGAUAUAAGUAAAUUCAAGCAUUCUUCCAACCUUUUCAACUGGUAUUAAACUGCUAAUCUCCUAACCUGCGGGUCAACCUGCCCAACCCACCACUAGGCCUUGAGCUGACAAACCCAUGUGAAUAGUUGACAAAAAUUUGGAUGCAAAUUUGGUGGAAAAGUUUUAGGACCAACCAACCCCACGUUCUUUGUGGUCAUUACUAAACAAUGGUUUGUAUGGACAAGCGUAAAACAAGAUGCAAGUACAUAAUAUCAGGGAAUGAAAUUAUGUCCCUUCCAUAACCCUCUCUUGACCUGCUAUGCUGCAGCUUGGACCUAGCCAAUGUGCCUAUCAAAAUUAAUCUGGAUGAAUUCGAGGCAGAAGCUCUCGUUCUUAGAUGAAUUCUAAGUGUGAUCAGCAACCAUUUUUUUCUAAGAAAGGUUGCAGUAUAAAUAGAUUCAAGAACGGGUUUAAUAUAAUUUAUUUUCUUUCUUGUAUUGAAUUUCAAAUGGGAGGAGAGAAAGAACUAAUGAACUUCAACACAAAAGUCUAGGGGUUGAUUUUGAAGAAGUUAAGCUUGUAAAAUAUUCAUAAUUUUGGUGCUUUCUGUUUGUUCUUUUCUGCUACUUUAUCAUAACAGGGCCCAACACAAGUGUAAAACAAUCAGGGGCAUCAUUACAAGUGUGUUUGGUUUACUAAAAAUAUCAAUAUUCAUGAGCUAUGACAGCAGGGGAAUAUUUUUCUCAAGAAACAAUAAGAAAAGAAAAAGGAAAGAUUAAUUAAUCUCCUUCUGAUCAAAGAAUCUGUAAAACUUCUGUAACAGCUAAACAAGAAAUAUACUUCCAAUAAUAGCGAGUUUUUAUAUAAAGCAUGAUCAGAACGCCAAUACCAGUACAAACCCUGUUAAUUAAAGGUUAAAAUUUCGAGGAAAAAAAGCCCAAGAAAAUAAAAUUUCCAAAUUACACUAUGAAACAAAAUAUGUAAAGAGCAAAGAGAUUCAAAUUAAACAAGAAACUGUAAUCGCUGGGCCUUGAUAAGCCUUCAUGAAAUGUCGACCUUCAUCCGUGAGUAUUAACAGCUUCCCACAGCAUAUUUUUCGGAACAGGGUUGGCCAGGUCCCUAGCCUGCAGAGCGACAUUCCUGAGUUUCCUGAUUGUCCACACGUUGGCUUCCCAGAAGGACAAGCUCCUGUAAGAUAAAUUGUGCUUCUUGCACAGAUCCUGUACCAAUGGUGAAACUCUUCUCAAUU